UUAUGGAUAAUAUUUGAGAAUAGUACAAGUUAUGAUUUAUUAAUAUAUUAUAAGUUCUAAUAUAUUAAUAUAAGAUCAUAUUAUUUAAUUAGUAUUGAUCUAGAAUUAAUCUAGGAUUAAUUUAGAGAUCAAAGAUAUUACUAAUUAAAUAUGGGCUUCUAUAUUUAUAUAGUGUGGGCUAGUGCUCAUUUGGAAUGGGCUAGGCUUGCAUGGGAAAGUCCAUGGAUACUCCAUGGAGCUUUAACCUAUGGAUCUCAUGGAAAUGAAGAGACAUGGGUAUUAGGGUUUACUUGGAUGUAACUCUAAUCCAUCACACUAUAUAAAGGAGGCUUUGGUUCUUGAAAUCAUACUAGUUGACACUUGUUGAGGUGAGGGCCGAUUUCAAGAUAGUAGUGACUAUUCUCUCAAAGUUCCAAGUUUGUGGUGAUUUGUGACUUUCAUUUGAGGCAUCCACACUAUUGGUGCUAGGCUCUAAAACUCCAAUGAAUCAACUACAACUACAAGGUAAGUGUUUCUACUAGCUUUAUUUGAUUCAAGUUCCCCAUGCCAUGCUAGUUAGGAUAUGAACCUUGGAAAAUUAAUUAUUUGCAUGUAUCUUAGACAAACAUAGAUCCAAGGUUUAUUAGGGUUGCAUGUACACUUAGGAAGUGUUAGAAUGCUCAAAACCCAACAUCAAGAUCUACCAUUAUCCAUUGGUUACUUACUUAAAGCAACCACUCCUUCAUUAUCACCGAAAAUCUCCAUGGGCUCCUUUAUGGUUUGUAUAACUCCAAGGUCUCCAAUGAAGUUCUCCAACCAUAUCGCCUCCAUCGACGCUUCACUCGCUGCUAUGUACUCUGAUUCACGUAUUGAAUCAGCCACGGUCUCCUAAUUGGAACUUUUCCAAGUAAUCGUUCCCCCAUUUAGGGUAAACACCCAGCCCGAAUGGGAGCAGGAAAUUUCUUUGGUGGUCUGAAAGUUUGCGUCACUAUACUUUGUCUCUCUUAAGUCUUCACUCCUACCAAGUAUAAGGACCUAGUCCUUAGUCCUUCAUAGGUACUUAAGAAUGUUCUUCACUGCUGUCCAGUGAGAUCUACCCGGUUUCCCUUGAUAUCAACUAACCAUGCUCAAUACGAAAGCCACAUCAGGUCGAGUACAUUUCAUAGCGUACAUGAUCGAGCCAACGGCGAAAGCAUAUGGCCCUUGACUCAUUUCCGCUAUCUCAGAAUCGACACUCAGACUCUGAGUCUUACUAAGCUUGGUACUACUCCAGAUUAGCAGUUCCCGUUUCUUGAAAUUCUCCAUGCUAAAACGUUUCAGCACCUUGUCCAAGUAAGUACUCUGACUAAAUCCAAUUAGUUUUCUACCCCUAUUUCUCAAGAUCCUUAUCCAUAUAAUAUAAGCAGUUUAGCGAAACACUUCCCAAGCCAGGACGUAACCUCCUGCAAAGUCGGGAUAUCAUUUCCUAUGAGCAGUAUGUCAUCAACAUACAAAACUAGAAAGCUAACUAAAAUCCCACUAGCUUUGACAUACACAGAAGACUCAUCCUCACUUCUAGAGAAACCAAACUCUUUGACUUUCUCGUCGAAGCAAAGAUUCCAUUUGCGAGACACUUGUUUUAAUCUAUAAAUGGACUUCUCAAGCUUUCAUACUCUAUUGGGGUAUUUAGGAUCCUCAAAACCUUUUGGCUGACACAUGUAAACACCUUUAGCUAGCAUCCCAUUAAUGAAAGCAAUCUUGACAUCCAUCUACCAAAUUUCAUAAUCAUUCGACGCAGUGAUCACUAACAGAACCCAAAUAGACUUGAUCAUGGCCACUGGUGAGAAGGUUUCAUCAUAGUCAACCCCUAGGGUUUGAGUAAAGCCAUUCGCAACCAGCCUUGCCUUGAAUUUAUGCAUCUUACCAUCAAUGAUGGUCUUCUUCUUGAAUAUACAGUUCCACCCAACUAUCUUUCGACCUGGUACAUUGUCAACCAAGUUCCAAACUUGAUUGUCAUACAUGGAGUGGAUCUCGCUGCCCAUUGCCUCUUUCCAUUUUGCAGACUCGGGGCCCGCCAUGGAUUCCUUGUACUUAGUAGGCUUAUCCAAAUUUACUAGUUUACUAUCACUGGUAAACAUAUCACCUUCCUGGUAAUAUGAAAACCAUAAAACUCUGGUGCCAUUUUAACUCGAGAGGAACAUCUUAGAGGUAAUGAAUCUUCAAUUGGUUCAACAGGAAUCUCUUCCUCAGGUUAAGCGCUAGUGUUAGAGGAUCCUUCAUUACUUGACUCUUGAAGCUCUUCAAGAUCAAUUUUCCUCCCACUGUCCUCUUGGCAUAUGAGUUUUCUUUCGCGGAAAACCCCUCUCCUUGCUACGAAGACCACGUUGUCACUAGGUCUGUAGAACAGAUAUCCAAAGAUUUUUUGUGGGUAGCCGAUGGAAAUAUAUUACUCACUAUGAGGCUAAAUGUUGUCAUGAGUCUCUCGUCUUACGAAAGCUUCACAACCCCAAACAUUGAUAAGUGCUAACGAGGGAACCUACCAUGUCUACAUCUCAUGAGGUGUUUGGGAUAUGGGCGAUAGUCUCUAAGGCAUACCCCUAUAAUGAGAUAGGUCACAAAGCUUUACUCAUCAUGGAACGAACGAUGUCUAACGAGGUUUGAUUGCGCCUCUCAGCCAUACCAUUGAGCCAUGAUGUUCUAUGGGUGUCAACUGUGAAACGAUUCCACAGUCCUUCAGAUAGUCGUAGAACUCGAUACUAAGAUACUCACUACCCCUAUCGGAUCUGAGCACCUUUAUCUUCUUUCCCAAUUGAUUCUCUACUUCUUGCUUAAACUCUUUGAACUUUUCAAAGGUUUCCGACUUGUGAUUGAUUAAGUAGAUAUAUCCAUAUCUGUUAUAAUCAUGGGUAAAAGUCAUAUAGAAGCGGUUAGCAUUCCUUGUGGUAGAUCGAAAGGGCCCACACACAUCUAUGUGUAUAAGAUCUAACAAUCCCCUACAUUUUUCACAAGUACCAGUGAAAGGUGAUUUAGUCAUCUUUCCAAGUAAACAAGAUUCUCACGUGUCAUCUUACUUUAGGUCCAAUGACUCCAAGACUCCAUCCUUUUGGAGUUGGGCCAUGCGCUUCUUGUUGACAUGUCCAAGACAAAAAUGCCACAAGCAUGCCUUAUCUAAAUCAUUAGACAGAUCGAUAUGCAACAUAUUAUUUCCUAAGUUAUCUACAACCAUCACAGUUUCAUAUACACCAUUACAUGGCAAUGCUUCAAAAUAAAAAGUACCAUUAUAGAAAGAAUUAAUAGAACCUACUUCAUUAUUAAAUGCAAAUCUAAAACAUUGUCUUUACAAACCAUGAAAAUAAAUAAUACUCCGCGUCAUCUCAGAUGAGUAGCAACAAUCAUUUAACUCUAAUCCUAACCCACUAGUAAGCACUAAAGAAUAAAUCCCAAUCUUGGAGACAGGUGACGAUUUCCUAUUCCCCAUUAUCAGGUUCAUCUUCCCAUGCUCCACAUCCCUACUUCCUCUUAGCCCCUGCAAAUCCGAACAAAUAUGAAAACCACAUCUUGUAACAAGGCCUAAGAAAUAGCAUGUGAUGAGUUAUUAGAUUGAAUAGUAUAAAUACCUACAAAGAUGGGCUUUAUCUUCCCGUCCUUGAUGUCCUACAAGUAUUUCAGGCAGCUUCGCUUCCAAUACCCCUUGUCGUGAUAGUAGAAGCAUGUUGCUUCUUUAGGAUCAAAUGAGGGAGUGGCAGAACUGACUUUACCUUAUACAUUUGAAGUAGAUCCAUCAUGUGACUUUCCCUUGUGGUUCUUGGAGGGAGCUUUCCUCUUUUUCUCUUUUUCAUGUCCUAUAACAAGGACCGGGGCAGUAGUAGUAGGGGUGGACUCGACAACUUUGCCUUUAAGUCCACUUUCAGCAGUUCUUAACAAACCUUGAAGUUUGCUCAAAGUUACAUCCUCCUUGUUCAUAUGAUAAGUCAUCUUGAACUGAUCAUAACAAGGAGGUAAAGUGUGGAGGAUUAUGCCAAUCGUCAAUUCUUCAUCAAAGUUGACAUUCAACUUCAGUAAACAAUCCACACAUCUUUGUAUUCUUUGCAUGUAACUCGUGAUGGAGUCUCUAUCCUUCAUCUUUGUUGUUAUUAGUGAGGAAACAAUCCCAUACCUUUCUUGACGCGCACUUUGAUGGAACUUUUCCAUCAAAUAUUGGCACAUCUCGUAAGGCCAGUAGUCCUAGUAGAACCACUGCAGCUCAAGAGUCAUAGUGGCAACCAUGGUACACGACACCUUUGUCACGUCCUUUUCAUCAUCCCUAUACUCACCUAUUGGUACCGGUGUAGAUUUAGCUUCAUUGAUCUCGUUGAGUUGCUUGUCGAGAAGGUAUUCAUUUUCUUCAUAACGCAAGGCCAUUCGAAUGUUGCGCAUCGAAUCAUUGAAGUUGGAUCCAUCAAACGAGAUCCUCGCACAAAUUUUCAUGAGAUAAAAGGAGUUUGAGGAGUUGGAGUUCGAGCCAGAAGCAUUGUUUGAGCCAAACAUCUAAAAAAUUAAAAGAACAAAGUUUAGAUUAGAUAAAGAAUCCUUAAUAUAACACCCAAAUGAGAUAUUAAGGCUAGGACCUAACACAAUAAUUCACAAUUCGGAAGAGGGAUGUCGUAAUCCAAUUGAAAAUUAUUUCAAGGUAGGCAAAUCACGAUUUUCCAAUUCCACCAUGAAAAACAAAAUGAAGAACUAGGUUUUAAAUGAAAUGAAAUUCCUAGAUUCUUUUGAGAUUCAUUGAACUUUUCAAUGGCAUCUUUAAUCUCGAUUAUGCCCUUCAAGUCUGUGAAUUGGAUACCAAGGAUCACAAAUAAGGUGUGAAUAACCAUGCAAAUUAGUUUGGCACUCUUGAUGUCAUCUACCACCUUAUCAAUGUGUCGAUUAGCCAUAGACGCUCCAUUGAUAUUUGAUAAUUCUCGAGCUACCCUUUUCCAUAUUUGUUAGUCCAAGUUAGAGUGUCGGUUAACCACACACGCUCCACUAACGACUUGGCAAGGUGAAAAGUGAACUUUCAUGGAAUCGCAUCAUUUUCACAUUUUCCUAAACUAAGAUUGGGAAUUUAUAAAAACAUUUAGUUACUUCAUAAUUUUACUUAUACUUAUUAAAGAGGAAAUUAAUGUCUUAUCCUACCCGUUCGGCUAACGACCCUCCACCAAACAAGGAAGCGGUGGAUGAGAGUGGACACCCAUUCAACCGCCAUUUUAUAGGCAGUUUCCUUAUACCCUCCUUACAGAUAGGCUUCGUGAAUGAGGCAUACUAAUGGUAAGACUGAUCAUUUUAUACACACACACACACACACACACACACACACAUAUAUAUAUAUAUAUAUAUAUAUAUAUAUAUUAAUCUUUUAAUAAUAUAAUAGUAUAAGGGUUGUAUUUUAAACUUUUAAAAUACUAGGGUUUUAGAAUUUUAUAAUUCAAAAUUAAACUUAUAAUAAAAUUUUAAAUUCCAAAACAUUAGGGAAAAUUUUGAAACUUUUCAAAACUUUCUAGAUCAAAUUUUGAAUAAUUAAACUAAUCAUAUAAUUCUGAACAUUGUCUUAAAAUUUAACCAUUAUCUUCAAAUUUGAUCAGGAUAUUCAUUACCAUAUCAAAAAAUCUGAUUUUAAACAGUUAACAUAGUUUAUGGUAAUUAUCCUUAUCUAAUAUAGGCUUGAAAUCCGAAAAUUUUGUCAACAGACGAACCAUCUCAUCGAGCCAGUGCAUGGACUCGUCGAGUUGGUCCAACUCAUCGAGGUCAUCAUAGAACUCGUCGAGUUCAACAGUCAGUGAGCAAAAUGUAACAUCCCAAAAAUACGGGCCAAAAAUUUCAUUUUUAAUUAAGUGAUUUGUAAAAGCGUUUGUAACAAAAUAUCAUACGAUCAUAACAUUUGGUAAAACAAGUCUCGUGGCCAUAAACCAAAACGGAAAACAUGAUGAUGUCAGAGUACAAUUCCCAGAAUGACUCAUAGUCCAGAAAACAAAGAGCGUGUGUGUGAUGAGCCGCUACCGUGCUUGCUCCUUCCCCUUUACUAAAGAGGUACCUGAAACAACAACUGAAAACCGUAAGCACGAAGCUUAGUGAGUUCCCCCACUGUACCACAUACCAUAUAACCACAUAACAUAAAUAUGUUGUCAGGCAUAUUUGGCUGCCCGACCUACCCCUUCGGUCCUCUCGACCGGAUACUGACUAGCAUAUCUGGGUGUUGGCCUCCGCUUGGGUCCUCUCGACCGGAUACUGACUAGCAUAUCUGGGUUCUGGUCUCCCCUUCAGUCCUCUUGACCGGAUGAUGGGGACUAUUUCACCCCUACUACUACCACAUAACACAUAUCACGUAAUCUAUCUAGCAUGGCUAGGCAUGACCGCCCCUUCGGCCAUAUCGACCUAUAAUCUGGUGACUAUCUCCCCCUACUGUCACUAGCACAUAACAUCAUAUCAGACUAGCAAAUAAACAUAUCACAGGUAGUAGCAACCCUAGAUGAAUAUCACAGAGACAAUCAUCUAACAUACAACUCCUACUGGUGGGCCGGCAUUGUGGCCGUAGACCGACCGCUACUGGAAGGUAACUCACCUCAAAGUAGCUGCUGAUCUGUGUGGGAGCUAACUGUCUUCUGCUGCUGUUGCUGCCCCGGAAGUCCUCCGGCUAUAAUUCCCACAAAACACUUAGUCAAAUAUUGUUAGACGUACUUAGGGUAAAAUGACCCUUUUACCCUUAACCAGGUCAAGGUCCAAAUCCAAGUCAACCUCCAGUUGACCCGACUUGCUGAGUUGGCUCUCCAACUCAUCGAGUCCCUAAUCAUUCGAUUGACCAUAAUCCCGUAUUUACUCGUCGAGUUAGGCAUUGACUCGACGAGUUUUCCUUCUAAACCAAUGUCCAACAGUCCUUCAUCCUGCUCGCCGAGUUGUAUGAACAACUCGCCGAGUUCGUCUUCAUCCGAAGAACAUUCUAUGCUGAGACUCGCCGAGUUGUAUGAACAACUCGCCGAGUCUGUUCCUGAGGCAAGAAGAUUGCCUUGAACUCGCUGGUUCAUGGCGUUGACUCACCGAGCUCCUUCAUGGGUGAGUCUGGCUUCCGACUCACUGAGUCACCCCCCCCCAUGAGUCACUACUCCAUUCAGCAACCACGAAAAGGGGGAAAACUCUGGGACUCGUGACUCGACUCGCCGAGUCCGAAGAACGACUCGCCGAGUCUCAUGCAUGCAAAAACUGUAUACUCGAUUUUGCUCGAAUCCAGUGCAUACCAUUCGUAGAUAUAGGUUCCUAGGAUUGAUUUUACAUGUAAAGUUUCCAACUUUACGUGCAUGCAUGCUCAUUCAAGUGAUUUAAGGACUUUAAUGGGGUUAGAAGUGUAGAUCUAGGCUUGUUCAUGAAGAUGGCCAAUAAAGGUUGUAGAUCUGAGCCUCUACAGCUCAGAUGUGGUCAGAUCUGAAGGCUAAACAAACCAACGAGUUCUCUAAACCACAACCAAGCCAAUAAAUGGUUCCAAAAAGUCUUAAAGUUGCUAUAAUGAAGGUUCAACCAUAGAAACAGAAGAAGAGGUCGAGUUUUUACCAUACUAUUCUAUGAAAUGGGCUCACAACGUCUUUUCUCCUCCUUCUCCUUGAUCUUUCCUCCUUCUCUUCUUCAAAACUUCAAAGAAGCACAGACAAACACUCAAAUCACAAAGGGAAUGGUUAGGGUGUUGCUAAGGUUGCUCUGAGAGUGAAGGGGGUGAGCUUGGGGGCGCAUAUGGUGGUUUAAAUAGGGUGCAAACCCUUGAAAUUAGGGUUUCAUCCAGACAGCGGGGACUCGCCGUGUCCGGAAUGUGUACUCGCCGAGUGGCCAACUUAAACGUGCUCAAUAUCCUGACUCUACUCGGCGAUUCGGACCUACAACUCGCCGAGUCCAAGACUAAAAAAAGAAAAUUACUUAGAUGGGUUAUAUGUACCAGGAACCAGUUGCUACAAAUCUCCCCCACUUAUUUUAGAUUUCGUCCUUGAAGUCUGCUGCUCUAUCCUGGAACAACUCGGGGUAAUGCUCUAUCAUUUCUUCCACCGGCUCCCAAGUCCACUCUAAACCCUUCCGGUGCUGCCAUUGCACCUUCACUAAUUCCACCCUCUUGUUCCUCAGAUCCUUCGACUUCCGGUUGAGGAUUGCAACUGGGCGCUCAAUAUAAUUCAAGCUAUCAUGAACCUGUAUAUCCUCUAACGACACCACUGCUGAAUCAUCCACUAGGCACUUCCGCAGCUAGGAGAAAUGGAAGGUGCUGUGAAUCUGACUGAGCUCGGCUGGCAGAUCCAGCCUAUAUGCCACCUUGCCCACCUGGGCUACAACCCUGAACGACCAAUGUAUCUCGGGCCCAACAUGCCCCGCUUCCUGAAUCGAAUGACGCCUUUCCAAGGCGACACUUUCAGGAGGACCAUAUCCCCGACCUGGAAGUCCAGGUUUGCUCGACACUUGUCGGCGUAACUUUUCUGCCGACUUUGUGCAGUCUGAAACCUGCUCCGAACCUGAUGGAUCCUCUUAGUAGUCUUGAGCACCACUUCGGUGCUCCCCAUGACCCUCUGGCCAAAUUCACCCCAAAAUAUUUGGGUCCUGCACCUCCGUCCGUACAACAUCUCAAAUGGAGGACUGUCAAUACUCGCGUGGUAGCUGUUGUUGUACGAGAACUCAGCCAAGGGAAGAUAGGUAUUCCAGCUACUACCAAAGUCUAGCACGCAUGCCCGCAACAUAUCCUCGAAGGUCUGGAUGGUCCGCUCGCUCUGACCAUCUGUCUGCGGGUGAAAGGCAGUGGUAAAAUAAAGACAAGUGCCCAACUCAUCACGAAACUUCUUCCAAAAACUGGAAGUGAACCGCACAUCUCAGUCUGAUAUCACUGACACUGGCACCCCGUGUCACGCCACUAUCUCCCUGAUAUAGAUAUCGGUCAAAUUUUCGGCUGAGAUUCUCUCUUGGAACGGAAUAAAAUGGGAACUCUUGGUCAAUCGAUCCACGAUGACCCAAAUCGAAUCUACUCCUCGCGCAGUCCGGGGAAGCUUUUUGUGAAAAUCCAUCGUAAUAUCUUCCCAUUUCCACAACGAGAUGUCCAACGGCUGCAUCUUGUCGUGCGGUCUCUGAUGCUCGGCCUUGACCUUUCAUGCAGGUCAAACAACGCUCGACGUACAAAGCCACAUCCCGCUUCAUGCAGGGCCACCAAUAGUCUAGACGAAGAUCCCUAUACAUCUUCGCCGACCUUGGAUGAAUAGAGAAUCGGGAUUUGUGCGCCUCCUCCAUCAAGAUCUGGCGUACGCCUCCAUGAUACGGCACCCACACCCUACGGUGUAGUGUCAAUAAUCCUCGGCUAUCAUAAUCGAAGGAGGUGACUUGACCCAUUAUUCGCUCGAACUUUUGAUGUUCCUCCUUCAUAGCCUCCUGUUGAGCCUCCUGAAUCUGCUCUAACAAUGGAGUCACCACCGUCAUCCUCAUACACACAUCCCUGAUCGGUGCCGCCUUACGGCUAAGUGCAUCGGCCACCACAAUGGCCUUCCCCGGGUGAUAAAGGAUCUCACAAUCAUAAUCCUUCACCACGUCUUACCACCGACUCUGCCUCAUGUUCAGAUUCGGUUGAUCCAUGAGGUACCUCAAAUUCUUGUGGUCUGUGUAGAUGGUGCAUCGGACCCCGUAGAGGUAAUGCCGCCAAAUCUUGAGGGCGAAGACCACCGCCCCCAACUCUAAAUCUUGCGUCGGGUAGUUCGCCUCGUGAGGCUUCAGCUGCCUCGAAGCAUAGGCAAUGACAUGCCCCCCUCUGCAUCAGUACCACGCCUAACCCCGAAAUGGAUGCGUCACAGUAUACCACGAAAUCCUCUAUGCCCUCGGGCAGGGCGAAGAUUGGCGCCUUGCACAAUAUCUAUCUGAGAGUCUUGAACGUUGUAUGCUGCUCAGGCCCCUAUCGAAAGACCACGACUUUCUUAGUCAACCGUGUCAAGGGUACGGCUAUCUUGGAGAAAUCCUGGAUGAAUCUCCGAUAGUAUCCCGCUAAUCCUAAGGAACUCCGAAUCUUGGAUGGAGACUUCGGAACCUCCCAUCUCAUCACGACCUUGAUCUUGGCUGGGUCAACCAGUAUACCCUUCUAGUUGACAAGGUAUCCAAGGAAUUGCACCUCGCGCAACCAGAACUCGCACUUGGAGAACUUGGCGUACAAGCUCUUCCUCCUCAGGGUCUCCAAAACCUCUCUUAGAUGCUCCUCGUGCUCCUCCUACGUCUUGGAAUAAACCAAGAUGUCAUCAAUGAAAACUAUCACAGACCGAUCUAGCAUCGGUCUACACACGCGGUUCAUGAGGUCCAUGAAUGCGUCAGGAGCAUUGGUGAGCUCAAACGGCAUCACCACGAACUCAUAAUGGCCAUAGCACGUCCGAAAUGCGGUCUUCUGCACAUCCUCCUCUCUUACUCUCACCUGAUGAUAACCCGAAUGCAAGUCGAUCUUGUAGAACCAAGAUGCUCCCUGUAACUGGUCAAAGAGGUCAUCAAUCCUCAGGAGUGGGUAACAGUUCUUCACCAUUACCUUAUUCAGCUCCCGGUAAUCUAUACACAUCCGAUGCGACCCGUCCUUCUUCUUCACAAACAGAAUCGGGGCUCCCAAGGGUGAACUGCUCGGUCGAAUAAAUCCCUUGUCUAGCAGCUCCUACAGCUGCGUAGACAACUCCUACAUCUCAGGAGGAGCCNNNNNNNNNNNNNCGUUACCGGAGCCGCACCAGGAACUAAGUCGAUCCUGAACUCUACCUGACGCUCCGAAGGUAUUCCAGGAAGCUCUUCUGGGAACACAUCAGUGUAGUCUCGCACCACUAGAACCUCGCUCACCGUCAUCUUACCCGUUUCCCAGGUAUCCAUAACGUACGGGACAUAUCCCACACAACCCUGCUGAAGGUAGCGCCUAGCCCUUGCUGCUGAACAUACUGUGGGCCCACGAUGUGGCUUCUCACCGUGGAUUACCAACUCUCCCCCACUGGGGGUCCUGAUCCGCACUAACUACUGUGCGCAAUCUAUCACCGCCCCAUUAGGGCUCAACAAAUCCAUCCCUAUAAUCACUUUGUUCCCACGCAACGGAAUGGGAACUAAAUCCACCAAAUAGCGCUCCUCGAAUAACCUCAGAACACAAUCUCUGAACACUGAUGAUGCUCGCACCGAUCAAUCGUCGGCAAUCUCUACCUCCAAAGGGCAAUCAAACAUGCCCGAAGACUCAGUGAACUUCUUGCUAAGCGCAAAGGAAACAAACAAUCGGGUGGCACCCGAGUCGAACAACACCUGAACUGGGAUACCGUUCAUAUGGAACGAUUCUAACGCAUAUAUAUAUAUAUAUAUAUAUANUAAAGCAUAAAUAAGAAAUCAUACCCGUCACCACAUCGGGUGCGGCGCGUGCCUCCUCGGUAGUCAGCUAAAAUGCCCGGAUCCUCACCACUAGAGCCUCUGCCUUGCCCUGCUGGCCAUCAGUGAUCCGUAGGGUCGCUGGAGCUGGCGCCUUCAUUGGCACUGCUACUGUCAACUGAGGGCAAUUGGCCUUCUUGUGUCCCCUCUGGUUGCAAUGGAAACAUAGCAACUUAGACGUCUGUAUCACUGGUGUAGGGGGGUACAACCCUGCUGAAGUGCCCUGACUUGCCGCAUUUCUAGCAGCCUGACGAUCCCAACUUGCACGCUCCCUCGUGCGUCUUGCCGUAUUUCAUGCAGCGGCCCCACCCCUGUUAGCCCUUCGGCCCCACAUCUGGUCCCUUGGGCUUCUUCGCCGAAGCCCCCAUAACAUGCCCCUCUUCCGCCUUCCUCUUCUGGGUGUGCUCCAGAUCUAUCUCCCUCUCCCUUGCCCUAGCAAUCAUAGAGUCCAGAGUAGGGCAAGCUGAAAAACUGACAUGCUCCCGAAUAUCAGCUCGCAGUAUGUCAUGAUAGUGGGUCCUCCUCAUAUCUUCAUCACCCGUGUAUUGGGGCACCAACAAUGCCCUCUCCCAGAACUUGGUGGUGCUCUCCGCCACAGUCUCCAUCGUCUGCCUCAUGUCCAAAAACUCCUUGGCAAGCUGCUGAAGCUCGACAGCCGGUGCAAAUUCUACCCUGAACCUGGUCACAAAGUCUGACCAGGUCAUAGCCUCAACAGCCGAGUCUCCCAAUGAGUCACCAACGGACUUCCACUUGUCCCUAGCUCGAUCUCUCAAACAUCCUGCUGCAAAUCUCACCUUCGACCCCUCAGGGCAGAAGCUAGUCAACUGUGCAGACUCAAUAUCUGCAAUCCAUCGUCUGGUAGCUAUGGGGUCCUUCACCCUGUAAAAAUCCGGUGCACCACUGCCCCUGAAGUCCUUGAAGGACAAUGUGCGAGAUCCCGACUGGCCAGAUGCCAUGUCGCUCCUGAAUGCCCAGAGGCGAUCCUCCAUCAACUCGAUUAUCCCUUCCUUGAUCAACCCGAAGAUAAUGGGGGUCGACUCAAGGAUAGCCCUGGUAAUAUCUGACGCAAUGAACUCGCGUAGUCCCUCAUCUACUGGCUCGGAACCUGAUCCCGAACAUGACCCCCCUCCUGAAGCGCCAUCUAUCGGCCUCGAUCGUAGUACCACCAUUCUGCAAUACAUAAACAACAUUUGUUAAUGAUACUGAUACUUCACGAGGGAUCACAUCUACCACAAGUUCCCUGGUCUUAUCUUGGCCUUCCUUGGUUCGGGUACGGAUCCUCUACUUUCAGUAGUACGGGCCCAUACUACCUUCCACAUAUAUCCGUACCUUCUUCAAGGACUGCCUCGACUCCACCAGGUUCCCUUUCGCUACUGCUGAUCAUUGCUAUACUCAUCCUAGGCUUGCCGUAGGGAAAUCUCUAACUCCACCCUUCCCGGUCCUCAGCUGCUGAAGGCCUCCUUGUAAUGCCAAUUAUCCAUUACCUGAAUACCAUCACAUGUGAUGAGGCUCAAAUAAUCCUUCGAGUAACAGAAUCGUCCCUACAAUGGUUAGACUCAAAUAAGAGCUGCGCAAUAGGGCCAAAUCCAACACUCUAGGAUUAUUCAACCUUGAUCACAUGUGACAUGACAUAUUCACCUAAUGGCUAACUCCCAUCACUCGGAGUCCCACAAAGCACAAAGCAAGCAGCAUUCAAACAAAGGAAGCAAUCUCAAGCAACUUUGCUCUCAUAGAGAGAAACUGAACUCGCAUACAGUGCUAAACUCAUACCAUCAGGCAUAACCCAAACAGGCUAUCCUAUCGUUGUCUACUCAAUUCUAGCAUGCAAUUUUUCGUACACUGAAGCACAUAAAGCUGGCACAUAAGGCAUCAUUCCUAGAUCCUUAGUCCUAUUCUAGCAUGUUGUUCUACUGAAAUUGAUGAACAUAACUUAGGCUUGUAUGGGUACUUUGGGGAAUACUUACUUGAGCUCGGUCGGUCGCGCGCAUCACACACUUUAUUCCUUCUUAAAACACUUUACUUAACCUUUUAGGAAACAUUUUAUUUUUCAAAAUCUUUUAAUCCCUCGGUUUGAGUUCAGACACCCCCGUAGUUGUGUCCGAAACCCUCAAACCAGGGCUCUGAUAACAACUUGUAACAUCCCAAAAAUACGGGCCAAAAAUCUCAUUUUUAAUUAAGUGAUUUGUAAAAGCGUUUGUAACAAAAUAUCAUACGAUCAUAACAUUUGGUAAAACAUGUAUCGUGGCCAUAAACCAAAACGUAUAACAUGAUAAUGUCAGAGUACAAUUCCCAGAAUGACUCAUAGUGCGGAAAACAAAGAGUGUGUGUGUGAUGAGCCGCUACCGUGCCUGCUCCUUCCCCUUGACUGAAGAGGUACCUGAAACAACAACUGAAAACCGUAAGCACGAACCUUAGUGAGUUCCCCCACUGCACCACAUACCAUAUAAACACAUAACAUACAUAUGUUGUCAGGCAUAUCUGGGUGCCCGACCUACCCCUUCAGUCCUCUCAACCGGAUACUGACUAGCAUAUCUAGGUGCUGGCCUCCUCUUCGGUCCUGUCGACCAGAUACUGACUAGCAUAUCUGGGUACUGAUCUCCCCUUCGGUCCUCUCGACCGGAUGCUGGGGACUAUUUUACCCCUACUACUACCACAAAACACAUAUCAUGUAAUCUAUCUAGCAUCGCUGUGCAUGACCGCCCCUUCGGCCCUAUCGACCAGUAAUCUGGGGACUAUCUCCCCCUACUGUCACUAGCACAUAGCAUCAUAUCAUACUAUCACAUAAACAUAUCACAGGUAGUAGCAACCCUAGAUGGAUAUCACAGAGACAAUCAUCUAACAUAUAAUUCCUUCUGGUGGGCCGACAUUGUGGCCGUAGACCCACCGCUACUGGAAGGUAACUCACCUCAAAGUAGCUGCUCAUCUGUGUGGGAGCUGACUGUCUUCUGCUGCUGCUGCCCCGGAAGUCCUUCUGCUAUAAUUCCCACAAAACACUUAGUCAAACACUGUUAGACGUACUUAGGGUAAAAUGACCCUUUUACCCUUAACCAAGUCAAAGUCUAAAUCCAAGUCAACUUCCAGUUGACCCGACUUGCUGAGUUGGCUCUCUAACUCAUCGAGUCCCUAAUCAUUCGAUUGACCAUAAUCCCGUCUUUACUCGUCGAGUUAGGCAUUGACUCGAAGAUAUUUCCUUCUAAACCAAUGUCCAACAGUCCUUCAUCCUGCUCGCCGAGUUGUAUGAACAACUCGCCGAGUCUGUUCUUGAGGCAAGAAGAUUGCCUUGAACUCGCUGAUUCAUGGAAUUGACUUGCCGAGCUCCUUCAUGGGUGAGUCUGGCUUCCGACUCACUUAGUCACCCCCCAUGACUCACUACUCCACUCAGCAACCACGAAAAGGGGAAAACUAUGGGACUCGCGACCCGACUCGCCGAGUCCGAAGAACGACUCGCCGAGUCUCAUGCAUGCAAAAACUGUAUACUCGAUUCUGCUUGAAUCCAGUGCAUACCAUUCGUAGAUAUAGGUUCCUAGGAUUGAUUUUACAUGUAACGUUUCCAACUUUACGUGCAUGUAUGCUCAUUCAAGUGAUUUAAGGACUUUAAUGGGGUUAGAAGUGUAGAUCUAGGCUUGUUCAUGAAAAUGGCCAAUAAAGGUUAUAGAUCUGAGCCUCUAAAGCUCAAAUGUGGUCAGAUCUGAAGGCUAAACGAACCAAGGAGUCCUCUAAACCACAACUAAGCCAAUAAAUGGUUCCAAAAAGUCUUAAAGUUGCUCUAAUGAAGGUUCAACCAUAGAAACAGAAGAAAAGGUCGAGUUUUUAACUUACUAUUUUCUAAAAUGGGCUCACAACUUCUGUUCUCCUCCUUCUCCUUGAUCUUUCCUCCUUCUCUUCUUCAAAACUUCAAAGAAGCACACACAAACACUCAAAUCACAAAGGGAAAGGCUAGGGUGUUGCUAAGGUUGCUCUGAGAGUGAAGGGGGCGAUCUUGGGGGCACAUAUGGUGGUUUAAAUAGGGUGCAAACCCUUGAAAUUAGGGUUUCAUCCAGACAACGGGGACUCGCCGAGUCCGGAAUGUGGACUCGCCGAGUCGCCAACUUAAACGUGCUCAAUAUCCCAACUCUACUCGGCGAGUCGGGCCUACAACUCGCUGAGUCCAAGGCUAAGAAAAAUAAAAUUACUUAGAUGGGUUAUACGUACCAGGAACCAGGUGCUACACAAAAAAUAUUUUUGUUCAAGCUUUGAAUGAUUAAAAUUACAUCAAAUAUAACAGAAAAACAUCCUAAGCUCUUCUACCACUAAUAGGAACUGAGCAUUACAACAUUCCUAUGUGUACAUGCAACCCAAAUUCCUUUGGAUCUAGGUUUUUCUCAAGUUAUACAUGCAAAUUAAUUUUCCAAAACAAAACCCUAAUCUAGCAUACAUAAAAUUGAAAUCUAAUCAUAUUAGAGUUAGAAGAAUACAUUUCUUGUUGAUAGCUUGAUCUUGACCUUCAAGAGCUUAGUGCCUCAAGUGUUGCACCUCUAAUGGAGUCACAAACACCACUUAGCAAAGGAUGAAGAAGAGUGAGGUGAUGAAGGCUACUAAUUUCGGCUAGGGUUCUCUAUGAAAGCAUAGGGUCAAAAACCGGUAGCCAAGGGGUCCUUAUAUAGUUGAGCUGCUAAGAUUUUAGAUGGCAACCCUAAUCCUCUACUUAGGCCUUAAGGAAUCCAUAAAAUCCUUCUUGAAAUCCCCUUGGACGAAAUCUCUAUGGGCUUCGAUAAAUUUCGUCCACUCCUUCCUUUAGGAGUCUAUUAGCCGAACUUGCAACUAUCAAUGAUUUGUAAUAUCAGUCCCUUUACUUUUAAUUAUUCUCUUUUGACCACUAAAUUAAUUUCUGAUCAAACCUAAUUAAAUAAUAUGAUUUCUCAAUUAAUAUAUUAUUCUUAUAAUAUAUUAAUAAAUCAUUUAUAAACCUCUUUCUCCAUAAUUCAUCUUGUCAAGUUUCUAUGGUGAAGGCAACCCAAAAGGACCAUGCUACUAUCAGAUCAAGUACAUUUCAACUAUAGUUAUGGGUUUAGACACCUAAUCCAACACCUUAGGUUGUUGGUGGAUGAGUUGAACCAGUUAUGGAGCUUUGGCAUAGAUACUAAAUACGCAAUGACAUAUACAUUCCUUAAUAUGAAUGUGAUGCUGCUAUGGAAAAUAAACGACUUUAUAGAUCAUAUUAUUUUAUCUAUUUGGAGUGGACAAGGGUACAAAGCUUGUCUGACUUGCAAUGAAGAUACUCCGUCAUGUCGAGUAUCAAAUAAAGUCAUAUAUGUUAGUCAUUUUCGGUUCUUAGAUGUUGACCAUCCAUGGUGAAAAAUUUUAGAAUAUAAUGGUGAACACAAGAAAAGAGGCCCUCCGAGACAGUUUAAUGAUGAAGAAAUACAAGAGCAACACGCUCGUCUAUUAUUACGUCCAUCGGGUAAAGUAGCUGCUCAACGAGCUGGUAUUAAGAAAGACAACUCGAUCUUAUUCAUACUGAAAAAAAAAUGUGGGUGAGAGUCUUUUGGGUACUUCUCUGAUGAAUGAUAAGACUAAAGACACAUUAAAUGUUUGGGCGGACUUGACAAAACUGAACAUUCGGAAAAUUCAAUGGUUGAAAAAGAGUGGUAACAAAUUUCAUAAACCCCAUCGACCUUAUUCGUUAAUGAAACCUGACCGCAUUCUUUUUUGUAAGUUUAUAAGAGAUGUGAAACUUUCUGAUUGGUUUGGAUCUAACAUUAGUAAGAAAGUGAAUGAAAACAAUACUAACAUUAUUGGGCUGAAAUCUCAUGAUUAUCACAUUAUUAUGCAACGUUUGAUACCCAUUGGAGUUAAAGAGCUUUUGGGCAAAGGUGUUUAUACACCAAUAGUAGAGGUCAGUACAAUUUUUAAGCGACUUUUCUCAAGAACACUAUCAGUGAAGGAUAUGAAAGAAGCGAAAUUAGCCAUUAUUAAAAUAUCGUGCAAAUUAGAAGUGAUCUAUCCUCCUGCAUUUCUUCACAUUAUGGUUUAUUUAGUUUUGCAUUUAUCUAAUGAAGCUAUUUCUGGAGACCCAGUAUAUAUAAGAUGGAUGUAUCCCUUUGAAAGGUAUACGGAAAAACUAAAAAACUAUGUCAGAAACAAGGCGAGGCCGGAAGGUUCUAUAGCUAAGGGUUAUGUCAUUGAAGAGUUAUUAUCAUUUUGUUUGAUGUACCUCGAAGAUGUCGAGACUCGAUUUAAUCGUCUCGAAAGAAAUGAGGAUGUUGUCAUAGAAGAAACAAUGUUAUUGGUGUUUCAGUCUAAGUGUCGACUGGGUAAUGCAAAGAAAAUGAAAAUUCUCAUUCUAGAGGAGAGAAAAUGUCUCCAAUGGUUUGUGCUUGAUAGUUGUGACGAAGUCAGAAAGUAUAUUGCGUAAGUGUUCUUAUCUUUUAAUUCAUUGUCUGUUUUUAAUUAUCCUUUCUUACUAAAUCUAUAUAUUUUUUCAUCAAUUUAGUGAAUUCAAAUCAUUACAUCCUGAAAUUAAUGAAAAAACUGAACUCCCUAAACGGUUCCUUCACAAGGUCUAUGAUAGAAAAAACAAAAAUCUAUAGAGUUUAAAAAGGAGUUAUCGGCUCUUUCAAAUUGAAAAUACCUUUACUUAUACCGCUUGCAAAGUGAAUGGUGUUAAGUUUAUGGUAAUUAUGUGUGACGCCCAAUGAUUAACACAAAACUCAGGGGUUCUAACCAGAGAGAAUAAGCAUAAAUAUUAUUGUCAGCUAGAAGAGAUUAUAGAGAUGCAUUUUCCUCAUAAAUAAUCUGUUGUACUUUUUCGUUGCAAGUGGUUUGAUACCACAGGAGUUAAAUCUAAUAAUAAUUUCACCAGUAUCGACCCACAAAGCGAAUUAAGCAACGAAGAUCAACUCAUAUUUGUUACGUAGGCCAAACAAGUAUUUUACAUCCAAGAAGUUGCUCGAAGUGACGAAAAUGACAACCAUCGGUGGGUUGUUGAAAAUGUUAAUCAUACAAGAAUUUGGGAUCUAACGAUGGACGAUGUCGACCAUGAUCCCAUUGAAAAUGUUGAGAAUGAUUCGACCUAUGUUGUUCUUAGUAAUUAUUCUUCUAAUUUCACUCUUUCAACCGACUUUAUCCAGUACUUUCAAAAUUCUCAAUCGGUUGAAGAUGAUAUUGACGUUGGUCCGACAACAGGUACCAUCAAUAAUGUGUCUGACUGUGAGACUGAUUAUGAUGAGGAUGAUUCUGAUUAUGAUAGUGAUGUUUCAGUAGACACUGAAGUGUUUAAGGGCAAGAAUGAUUAAAAAUCUUUACAUUUGACUAGUAAAAUAAGUAUUGUAUUUGUUGUAAUCAUAUAUAUAUAUAUAUAUAUAUAUAUAUAUANNNNNNNNNNNNNNNNNNNNNNNNNNNNNNNNNNNNNNNNNNNNNNNNNNNNNNNNNNNNNNNNNNNNNNNNNNNNNNNNNNNNNNNNNNNNNNNNNNNNNNNNNNNNNNNNNNNNNNNNNNNNNNNNNNNNNNNNNNNNNNNNNNNNNNNNNNNNNNNNNNNNNNNNNNNNNNNNNNNNNNNNNNNNNNNNNNNNNNNNNNNNNNNNNNNNNNNNNNNNNNNNNNNNNNNNNNNNNNNNNNNNNNNNNNNNNNNNNNNNNNNNNNNNNNNNNNNNNNNNNNNNNNNNNNNNNNNNNNNNNNNNNNNNNNNNNNNNNNNNNNNNNNNNNNNNNNNNNNNNNNNNNNNNNNNNNNNNNNNNNNNNNNNNNNNNNNNNNNNNNNNNNNNNNNNNNNNNNNNNNNNNNNNNNNNNNNNNNNNNNNNNNNNNNNNNNNNNNNNNNNNNNNNNNNNNNNNNNNNNNNNNNNNNNNNNNNNNNNNNNNNNNNNNNNNNNNNNNNNNNNNNNNNNNNNNNNNNNNNNNNNNNNNNNNNNNNNNNNNNNNNNNNNNNNNNNNNNNNNNNNNNNNNNNNNNNNNNNNNNNNNNNNNNNNNNNNNNNNNNNNNNNNNNNNNNNNNNNNNNNNNNNNNNNNNNNNNNNNNNNNNNNNNNNNNNNNNNNNNNNNNNNNNNNNNNNNNNNNNNNNNNNNNNNNNNNNNNNNNNNNNNNNNNNNNNNNNNNNNNNNNNNNNNNNNNNNNNNNNNNNNNNNNNNNNNNNNNNNNNNNNNNNNNNNNNNNNNNNNNNNNNNNNNNNNNNNNNNNNNNNNNNNNNNNNNNNNNNNNNNNNNNNNNNNNNNNNNNNNNNNNNNNNNNNNNNNNNNNNNNNNNNNNNNNNNNNNNNNNNNNNNNNNNNNNNNNNNNNNNNNNNNNNNNNNNNNNNNNNNNNNNNNNNNNNNNNNNNNNNNNNNNNNNNNNNNNNNNNNNNNNNNNNNNNNNNNNNNNNNNNNNNNNNNNNNNNNNNNNNNNNNNNNNNNNNNNNNNNNNNNNNNNNNNNNNNNNNNNNNNNNNNNNNNNNNNNNNNNNNNNNNNNNNNNNNNNNNNNNNNNNNNNNNNNNNNNNNNNNNNNNNNNNNNNNNNNNNNNNNNNNNNNNNNNNNNNNNNNNNNNNNNNNNNNNNNNNNNNNNNNNNNNNNNNNNNNNNNNNNNNNNNNNNNNNNNNNNNNNNNNNNNNNNNNNNNNNNNNNNNNNNNNNNNNNNNNNNNNNNNNNNNNNNNNNNNNNNNNNNNNNNNNNNNNNACUGGCUCGGAACCUGAUCCCGAACAUGACCCCCCUCCUGAAGCGCCAUCUAUCGGCCUCGAUCGUAGUACCACCAUUCUGCAAUACAUAAACAACAUUUGUUAAUGAUACUGAUACUUCACGAGGGAUCACAUCUACCACAAGUUCCCUGGUCUUAUCUUGGCCUUCCUUGGUUCGGGUACGGAUCCUCUACUUUCAGUAGUACGGGCCCAUACUACCUUCCACAUAUAUCCGUACCUUCUUCAAGGACUGCCUCGACUCCACCAGGUUCCCUUUCGCUACUGCUGAUCAUUGCUAUACUCAUCCUAGGCUUGCCGUAGGGAAAUCUCUAACUCCACCCUUCCCGGUCCUCAGCUGCUGAAGGCCUCCUUGUAAUGCCAAUUAUCCAUUACCUGAAUACCAUCACAUGUGAUGAGGCUCAAAUAAUCCUUCGAGUAACAGAAUCGUCCCUACAAUGGUUAGACUCAAAUAAGAGCUGCGCAAUAGGGCCAAAUCCAACACUCUAGGAUUAUUCAACCUUGAUCACAUGUGACAUGACAUAUUCACCUAAUGGCUAACUCCCAUCACUCGGAGUCCCACAAAGCACAAAGCAAGCAGCAUUCAAACAAAGGAAGCAAUCUCAAGCAACUUUGCUCUCAUAGAGAGAAACUGAACUCGCAUACAGUGCUAAACUCAUACCAUCAGGCAUAACCCAAACAGGCUAUCCUAUCGUUGUCUACUCAAUUCUAGCAUGCAAUUUUUCGUACACUGAAGCACAUAAAGCUGGCACAUAAGGCAUCAUUCCUAGAUCCUUAGUCCUAUUCUAGCAUGUUGUUCUACUGAAAUUGAUGAACAUAACUUAGGCUUGUAUGGGUACUUUGGGGAAUACUUACUUGAGCUCGGUCGGUCGCGCGCAUCACACACUUUAUUCCUUCUUAAAACACUUUACUUAACCUUUUAGGAAACAUUUUAUUUUUCAAAAUCUUUUAAUCCCUCGGUUUGAGUUCAGACACCCCCGUAGUUGUGUCCGAAACCCUCAAACCAGGGCUCUGAUAACAACUUGUAACAUCCCAAAAAUACGGGCCAAAAAUCUCAUUUUUAAUUAAGUGAUUUGUAAAAGCGUUUGUAACAAAAUAUCAUACGAUCAUAACAUUUGGUAAAACAUGUAUCGUGGCCAUAAACCAAAACGUAUAACAUGAUAAUGUCAGAGUACAAUUCCCAGAAUGACUCAUAGUGCGGAAAACAAAGAGUGUGUGUGUGAUGAGCCGCUACCGUGCCUGCUCCUUCCCCUUGACUGAAGAGGUACCUGAAACAACAACUGAAAACCGUAAGCACGAACCUUAGUGAGUUCCCCCACUGCACCACAUACCAUAUAAACACAUAACAUACAUAUGUUGUCAGGCAUAUCUGGGUGCCCGACCUACCCCUUCAGUCCUCUCAACCGGAUACUGACUAGCAUAUCUAGGUGCUGGCCUCCUCUUCGGUCCUGUCGACCAGAUACUGACUAGCAUAUCUGGGUACUGAUCUCCCCUUCGGUCCUCUCGACCGGAUGCUGGGGACUAUUUUACCCCUACUACUACCACAAAACACAUAUCAUGUAAUCUAUCUAGCAUCGCUGUGCAUGACCGCCCCUUCGGCCCUAUCGACCAGUAAUCUGGGGACUAUCUCCCCCUACUGUCACUAGCACAUAGCAUCAUAUCAUACUAUCACAUAAACAUAUCACAGGUAGUAGCAACCCUAGAUGGAUAUCACAGAGACAAUCAUCUAACAUAUAAUUCCUUCUGGUGGGCCGACAUUGUGGCCGUAGACCCACCGCUACUGGAAGGUAACUCACCUCAAAGUAGCUGCUCAUCUGUGUGGGAGCUGACUGUCUUCUGCUGCUGCUGCCCCGGAAGUCCUUCUGCUAUAAUUCCCACAAAACACUUAGUCAAACACUGUUAGACGUACUUAGGGUAAAAUGACCCUUUUACCCUUAACCAAGUCAAAGUCUAAAUCCAAGUCAACUUCCAGUUGACCCGACUUGCUGAGUUGGCUCUCUAACUCAUCGAGUCCCUAAUCAUUCGAUUGACCAUAAUCCCGUCUUUACUCGUCGAGUUAGGCAUUGACUCGAAGAUAUUUCCUUCUAAACCAAUGUCCAACAGUCCUUCAUCCUGCUCGCCGAGUUGUAUGAACAACUCGCCGAGUUCGUCUUCAUCCGAAGAACAUUCUAUGCUGAGACUCGCCGAGUUGUAUGAACAACUCGCCGAGUCUGUUCUUGAGGCAAGAAGAUUGCCUUGAACUCGCUGAUUCAUGGAAUUGACUUGCCGAGCUCCUUCAUGGGUGAGUCUGGCUUCCGACUCACUUAGUCACCCCCCAUGACUCACUACUCCACUCAGCAACCACGAAAAGGGGAAAACUAUGGGACUCGCGACCCGACUCGCCGAGUCCGAAGAACGACUCGCCGAGUCUCAUGCAUGCAAAAACUGUAUACUCGAUUCUGCUUGAAUCCAGUGCAUACCAUUCGUAGAUAUAGGUUCCUAGGAUUGAUUUUACAUGUAACGUUUCCAACUUUACGUGCAUGUAUGCUCAUUCAAGUGAUUUAAGGACUUUAAUGGGGUUAGAAGUGUAGAUCUAGGCUUGUUCAUGAAAAUGGCCAAUAAAGGUUAUAGAUCUGAGCCUCUAAAGCUCAAAUGUGGUCAGAUCUGAAGGCUAAACGAACCAAGGAGUCCUCUAAACCACAACUAAGCCAAUAAAUGGUUCCAAAAAGUCUUAAAGUUGCUCUAAUGAAGGUUCAACCAUAGAAACAGAAGAAAAGGUCGAGUUUUUAACUUACUAUUUUCUAAAAUGGGCUCACAACUUCUGUUCUCCUCCUUCUCCUUGAUCUUUCCUCCUUCUCUUCUUCAAAACUUCAAAGAAGCACACACAAACACUCAAAUCACAAAGGGAAAGGCUAGGGUGUUGCUAAGGUUGCUCUGAGAGUGAAGGGGGCGAUCUUGGGGGCACAUAUGGUGGUUUAAAUAGGGUGCAAACCCUUGAAAUUAGGGUUUCAUCCAGACAACGGGGACUCGCCGAGUCCGGAAUGUGGACUCGCCGAGUCGCCAACUUAAACGUGCUCAAUAUCCCAACUCUACUCGGCGAGUCGGGCCUACAACUCGCUGAGUCCAAGGCUAAGAAAAAUAAAAUUACUUAGAUGGGUUAUACGUACCAGGAACCAGGUGCUACACAAAAAAUAUUUUUGUUCAAGCUUUGAAUGAUUAAAAUUACAUCAAAUAUAACAGAAAAACAUCCUAAGCUCUUCUACCACUAAUAGGAACUGAGCAUUACAACAUUCCUAUGUGUACAUGCAACCCAAAUUCCUUUGGAUCUAGGUUUUUCUCAAGUUAUACAUGCAAAUUAAUUUUCCAAAACAAAACCCUAAUCUAGCAUACAUAAAAUUGAAAUCUAAUCAUAUUAGAGUUAGAAGAAUACAUUUCUUGUUGAUAGCUUGAUCUUGACCUUCAAGAGCUUAGUGCCUCAAGUGUUGCACCUCUAAUGGAGUCACAAACACCACUUAGCAAAGGAUGAAGAAGAGUGAGGUGAUGAAGGCUACUAAUUUCGGCUAGGGUUCUCUAUGAAAGCAUAGGGUCAAAAACCGGUAGCCAAGGGGUCCUUAUAUAGUUGAGCUGCUAAGAUUUUAGAUGGCAACCCUAAUCCUCUACUUAGGCCUUAAGGAAUCCAUAAAAUCCUUCUUGAAAUCCCCUUGGACGAAAUCUCUAUGGGCUUCGAUAAAUUUCGUCCACUCCUUCCUUUAGGAGUCUAUUAGCCGAACUUGCAACUAUCAAUGAUUUGUAAUAUCAGUCCCUUUACUUUUAAUUAUUCUCUUUUGACCACUAAAUUAAUUUCUGAUCAAACCUAAUUAAAUAAUAUGAUUUCUCAAUUAAUAUAUUAUUCUUAUAAUAUAUUAAUAAAUCAUUUAUAAACCUCUUUCUCCAUAAUUCAUCUUGUCAAGUUUCUAUGGUGAAGGCAACCCAAAAGGACCAUGCUACUAUCAGAUCAAGUACAUUUCAACUAUAGUUAUGGGUUUAGACACCUAAUCCAACACCUUAGGUUGUUGGUGGAUGAGUUGAACCAGUUAUGGAGCUUUGGCAUAGAUACUAAAUACGCAAUGACAUAUACAUUCCUUAAUAUGAAUGUGAUGCUGCUAUGGAAAAUAAACGACUUUAUAGAUCAUAUUAUUUUAUCUAUUUGGAGUGGACAAGGGUACAAAGCUUGUCUGACUUGCAAUGAAGAUACUCCGUCAUGUCGAGUAUCAAAUAAAGUCAUAUAUGUUAGUCAUUUUCGGUUCUUAGAUGUUGACCAUCCAUGGUGAAAAAUUUUAGAAUAUAAUGGUGAACACAAGAAAAGAGGCCCUCCGAGACAGUUUAAUGAUGAAGAAAUACAAGAGCAACACGCUCGUCUAUUAUUACGUCCAUCGGGUAAAGUAGCUGCUCAACGAGCUGGUAUUAAGAAAGACAACUCGAUCUUAUUCAUACUGAAAAAAAAAUGUGGGUGAGAGUCUUUUGGGUACUUCUCUGAUGAAUGAUAAGACUAAAGACACAUUAAAUGUUUGGGCGGACUUGACAAAACUGAACAUUCGGAAAAUUCAAUGGUUGAAAAAGAGUGGUAACAAAUUUCAUAAACCCCAUCGACCUUAUUCGUUAAUGAAACCUGACCGCAUUCUUUUUUGUAAGUUUAUAAGAGAUGUGAAACUUUCUGAUUGGUUUGGAUCUAACAUUAGUAAGAAAGUGAAUGAAAACAAUACUAACAUUAUUGGGCUGAAAUCUCAUGAUUAUCACAUUAUUAUGCAACGUUUGAUACCCAUUGGAGUUAAAGAGCUUUUGGGCAAAGGUGUUUAUACACCAAUAGUAGAGGUCAGUACAAUUUUUAAGCGACUUUUCUCAAGAACACUAUCAGUGAAGGAUAUGAAAGAAGCGAAAUUAGCCAUUAUUAAAAUAUCGUGCAAAUUAGAAGUGAUCUAUCCUCCUGCAUUUCUUCACAUUAUGGUUUAUUUAGUUUUGCAUUUAUCUAAUGAAGCUAUUUCUGGAGACCCAGUAUAUAUAAGAUGGAUGUAUCCCUUUGAAAGGUAUACGGAAAAACUAAAAAACUAUGUCAGAAACAAGGCGAGGCCGGAAGGUUCUAUAGCUAAGGGUUAUGUCAUUGAAGAGUUAUUAUCAUUUUGUUUGAUGUACCUCGAAGAUGUCGAGACUCGAUUUAAUCGUCUCGAAAGAAAUGAGGAUGUUGUCAUAGAAGAAACAAUGUUAUUGGUGUUUCAGUCUAAGUGUCGACUGGGUAAUGCAAAGAAAAUGAAAAUUCUCAUUCUAGAGGAGAGAAAAUGUCUCCAAUGGUUUGUGCUUGAUAGUUGUGACGAAGUCAGAAAGUAUAUUGCGUAAGUGUUCUUAUCUUUUAAUUCAUUGUCUGUUUUUAAUUAUCCUUUCUUACUAAAUCUAUAUAUUUUUUCAUCAAUUUAGUGAAUUCAAAUCAUUACAUCCUGAAAUUAAUGAAAAAACUGAACUCCCUAAACGGUUCCUUCACAAGGUCUAUGAUAGAAAAAACAAAAAUCUAUAGAGUUUAAAAAGGAGUUAUCGGCUCUUUCAAAUUGAAAAUACCUUUACUUAUACCGCUUGCAAAGUGAAUGGUGUUAAGUUUAUGGUAAUUAUGUGUGACGCCCAAUGAUUAACACAAAACUCAGGGGUUCUAACCAGAGAGAAUAAGCAUAAAUAUUAUUGUCAGCUAGAAGAGAUUAUAGAGAUGCAUUUUCCUCAUAAAUAAUCUGUUGUACUUUUUCGUUGCAAGUGGUUUGAUACCACAGGAGUUAAAUCUAAUAAUAAUUUCACCAGUAUCGACCCACAAAGCGAAUUAAGCAACGAAGAUCAACUCAUAUUUGUUACGUAGGCCAAACAAGUAUUUUACAUCCAAGAAGUUGCUCGAAGUGACGAAAAUGACAACCAUCGGUGGGUUGUUGAAAAUGUUAAUCAUACAAGAAUUUGGGAUCUAACGAUGGACGAUGUCGACCAUGAUCCCAUUGAAAAUGUUGAGAAUGAUUCGACCUAUGUUGUUCUUAGUAAUUAUUCUUCUAAUUUCACUCUUUCAACCGACUUUAUCCAGUACUUUCAAAAUUCUCAAUCGGUUGAAGAUGAUAUUGACGUUGGUCCGACAACAGGUACCAUCAAUAAUGUGUCUGACUGUGAGACUGAUUAUGAUGAGGAUGAUUCUGAUUAUGAUAGUGAUGUUUCAGUAGACACUGAAGUGUUUAAGGGCAAGAAUGAUUAAAAAUCUUUACAUUUGACUAGUAAAAUAAGUAUUGUAUUUGUUGUAAUCAUAUAUAUAUAUAUAUAUAUAUAUNAUAUAUAUGUAUGCUAUAAUUUUCAGGAUAUCAUUUUUUUUGGAUUGGAUUGCUCCAUCUCAUAGCUGUUGUGAUGGGCCAUGGAGGUGAUGAUGGUGAUGAGCCACCACAUCCGUUCCACAGAGGUUUUGGUGAUCACCAGAUCGAUGGUAAUUAAGAUUUAUUCUAAUUCACUGUAUUUUAUAUUUUAUGUAUAUAAAAAUUUAUUUUGACUAAUAUUUUUUAUGCAACGGUACCUCCAAAACGAAGAGGCAUGGGAGUAAACAACAAAAAUGUACAAGUUAUUUGUAUCUAAUGGAAACCGCCUCUGAAUAUAAUAUUUGACAUAAAUAGUCACAUGCCGGGAAGAAUAUAAAUGUUUCAUCCAGGAGGUUGGGAGCUAUAUGUGGCGCAACAUUGGUUUUGAUAAGGACACAUGGAAAGACGUUUCUGAAGUCGAAGGGGUUGGCAUGUUCGAGUAUCUUUCGGUAAAUUAUUUAUAAAGUUAUAUAUUUAAUAUGUUUAAUUUUGAUUUAUUUUAAUUUCUAAAUUUUUUUUAGACAUGGUUUGAUUUUGGAGCGAUUUCAAAUGACAUCAUGGCACCAGUUUAUUGGGUGUCACUGAACAAUCGGAUAUGUGCAAAGUAAAGAGGCCUAAAAAAUGUUGCAAAAACUCGUUUGACUGGUUUUGAAGGGAUGUGGAGGCAACAAGAGCUCCAACCCCUACGGGUAUGGAUUUGCAGUGUUGUAGUGACAUUAUUAACCACUUCUAAAAAAACAAAACAUCAAAAACGAUCCACUCGAAACAAAGAAUGCCGGAAGAAGCAAGUAGUUAAGAAUUAUGGAGGAACGUGCAGCUACGGUAUGCUUCUUUUAAGAAUGUAAAUUACAACAAUGCUUAUUCAGUUAUAACAUAUUUUUUAAUGCUUAUUCAAGUAUAACAUAUUUUGUAAUGUUAAACAGAAUUUGAAUAACUUGAACAAUUUCAUUGUGGGCAUUAUGAAUAAAAAAGGGGAAUUCAUUGAUCCUUUGGUUGAAGACCAAUAUGUAAGUUAUUAUUACUUAAAAAUGAAGUAGAUUUUUUUAACGUAUAUUGACAAUCUUUGUGAAAUACAUAAUGUAUUAGUUGCUGAGGUUACUUUGCAGACUCAUCACAUAGCCGACUCUGAUGGUGAUCCAGACACCAUUGAUUGGAUCCCAAUAUUUGAGAAGGUGCUAAAUUCUCGAAGGGUGCACGUGAGAGGCAUUGGGCCUAAACAUCUUUCUACAGCGAGUACAAGAGCUACAUCCCAAUGGCACUCACGGUCACAAGCACCGCAACCAACACAAGUACUUGUUAAAUUCUUAAGCAAUUUGAUACCUUUGCUAUAUUGUUAAGAACUAGAUACAUUUAUAGUAAUUUCUGGUAGUUUGUUAAUUUGGUAAAGACUUAAUUGAUUUCAUGGUUUCAUAGUUUGUUAAUUUGUUAACGACUUAAUUCAUUUAUUGCUUUUAUAGUUUGAUAGUUUGUUAAAUUGUUAAUGACUUAAUGUGCUUGUGACUUAAUUGUAGGAUGUUGAUUUCAAUGGUUUUCUUCAACACUCGGCAUUUGUGACGGCAAUUGGAGAUACUACCCGCUUAUUCAAGAACCAAGUCAAACAACGAUGAGGAAAACGAAGACACAUAGUAUUUCUUGUUUUAUAUUAUGGAUGACAAUUACUAGUAAUGUCCCUAUCGACCUCAGUCUUGUUUUUUGCUAACUUUAGUCUAGAACUAGACUAUCUCAUUAAACGUCGAAUAUCCCUAUGAUGCUAGCCAUAGAAUAUUUUUGAUUUAUUAGAUAGUUUAUGUAAUGUUUUAUGUAAUGUGGUAUGGAUUUGUUUUUGUAUUUUAUCAUAUCUGCAUUUUAUUACAUAUUAAAACUAAUUCAUAAAUAAAUUGUUUCUUCAAAAAAAAAAAAACCAUUAGCAGCGACACUUUUAGGGACGACAUUGACCAAUUGCGACGACUACUGAUUCCGGGAAGAGUAGCCGGAAAAAUUUCGACCAGUGGCCGGAAAUCAAUAGAGACGACGUUAAUAGCGACAACAAAGAUAUUUAACAAUGAAAAGUAUUAGAAACGACGCCAUUUACAACGACAGAAGAGUAUUAGCUACGAUGUAAUAGCGACGACCCUUUAAAGACGACUUGUCAUCACUAACGGUAUUAGCGACGACAAGAGGCAUCAAUUGCAAAGUUCUAUUUCGUGGCUAAAAAUUAUGUUUUUUAUUAUGAAAUCUAGAAAGUUCGUAUAUGUCAUUUUCUGAUUUAAAUUAAUUGGAAGUGACAUGUCUUUCGUUUGAACAGCAUUGCAAGCAAUACUUUUUUGAAAUACUAAUCAAAUGACAUCCAUCUUUUUACUAUUUUCAACGGAGCAUGUCUCCUUUUUAGCAUAACUUCCUAGUAAAAAAAAUAUUUUUCUGGUGAAAAAUAAUUUCCUUGUGAAAAGAAUUUUAGAAAAAUAGACCUCGCACAUUUAUAACAAUUAUGUGAAAAAAUAUCUUAAUCAAUAAGUUAAACAAUUCUCAAAUGUACUUUUAAGACAUAGGCCAUGUUAAUGCACAAAGUGUCUUCCACAACGGCAUAUAUAUAUUCGAUGCAUGCAAAGAUGUCCAUUCAAAUUUCAGUGAUUCUUAUUUACUGCUAUUAAUAACUGAAAGACUACAACCUUCAAAUAAGAAAAGAGAAGAUGGGCGUUUUGAGUUAUGAUAGGAAAGCUGAGCUCACAGAGUUCGACGAAACCAAAACUGGCGUGAAAGGACUUGUAGAUGCCGAAGUUACAGAGGUCCCUCGGAUAUUCCUCUUACCUUCACCUGAAAAUCUAAACUCUGACCAAGAUGUUAGUCUUCCGACCAUCGACCUCAAAGGAAUCCAUGAAGAUCCUAUCCGGAGAAAGCAGGCGAUGGAAGAAGUGAAGGAUGCAUUGGGGAGUUGGGGGUUCUUUCAGAUUGUGAAUCAUGGAAUUCCGGUUGAAGUGUUGGAGGAGAUGAAAAAAGGAGUUUUAGCGUUUUUUGAGCAGGAUAGUGAGGUGAGGAAAGAGUGGUACACGAGGGAUUACUCAAGGAAGGUAGUGUAUAACAGCAACUUUGACUUGUACUCUGCACCGGUGGCUAACUGGCGAGACUCUGUCAUGUGCACCGUGUAUCCUAAUCCUCCUCAACCAGACGAGUUGCCUCCGCCUUGCAGGUUUUCAUUAUAAAUCCAUUUCGAAUAUAAAAUAAUUUAACACGUCAUUCAUUGAUUACAUGCAAUAUGAAUAAAUCCGUGUUCAGUACUUUGAUACAUAUUGGAAUUAAAAUAAUUGAAUCCAGAUGUAUGCAGACUGUCACGAUCCUAUAUUUUGUUUAAUUAUGCUNNNNNNNNNNNNNNNNNNNNNNNNNNNNNNNNNNNNNNNNNNNNNNNNNNNNNNNNNNNNNNNNNNNNNNNNAUAUAUAUAUAUACUCGCAGAGAUAUUUUACUGGAGUACUCGAGCAAAGUAAUGAAACUCGGAUGUUCUAUAUUGGAGUUGAUGUCUGAGUCUCUAGGGCUUGCCCCCAAUCACUUGUUAGACAUGGGAUGUGUCGAAGAGAUUCAAGUUACCGGCCAUUACUAUCCUCCUUGCCCACAACCCGAGUUAACAAUCGGCACCACUGAACACACUGAUGCUGGUUUCAUUACCAUUCUUCAACAAGAUGAUAUUGGUGGGCUCAAGGUCUUUUAUCAAAACCAAUGGACUGAUGUUCGCCCUAUACCAGGAGCUCUUGUAGUGAACGCUGGAGAUCUUUUACAGGCAUCUCUCUCUCUCUCUCUCUCUCUCUCUCUCUCUCUCUCUCUCNNNNNNNNNNNNNNNNNNNNNNNNNNNNNNNNNNNNNNNNNNNNNNNNNNNNNNNNNNNNNNNNNNNNNNNNNNNNNNNNNNCUCUCUCUCUCUCUCUCUCUCUCUCUCUCUCUCUCUCUCUCUCUCUCUCUCUCUCUCUCUCUCUCUCUCUCAUUAAUAUUCUUUACUUUAUCUUAAAACUCAGAGUACAGUGGACCAAUACAUAACAUUCAAAAUAAAAUUUGUUUUCAGCUAGUUACAAACGACAAGUUUGUGAGUGCACGACACAAAGUAAUAGCAAACAAGGAUGGUCCACGAAUAUCAGUGGCAUCAUUUUUUUUGGCUAACCUGAAGCCUCAACAAUUGAAGGUGUUGGAACCGAUUAAGGAGCUGCUUUCUGAAGAUGAUCCAGCCAAGUAUAGAGGUACCACAGCAAAAGAAUAUCUUAAUUACUUCUAUACGAAAGGACUUGAUACAACUUCCGCUCUUUUGCAUUUCAAGAAAUAGCUCAAUUGCAUGCUGUUUGAGAUCAUAAUGGUUUAUUGAUAAAGCUCCGCAUUUCAUAUUUAUGUCAUGGUCGUGUUAUAGUUAUUAAAACUUGUUUUCAUGAGCUUAUUGUAAGAAUUUGCCUAUUUUUACAAGAUAUGUAGUUCGUUAAGUUUUGAAUAAAUGAAUGGUUAAAUUUGAACACUUUUUAAAGUUGUAGUUAUCGGACUUCGUUUANNNNNNNNNNNNNNNNNNNNNNNUAUAUAUAUAUAUGUUCAAAUACCUCAGAUGUACCUCAGAUGCAGAAGCCUUGUGUUAUCAGACUCGGACAUCGUUUAUAUACAUCCCCCAUGCAGGAUAGGGAUUAGAUCAAUCAUAUAACGCACCCCAAAAAGGUCCAGUAACAACCCUUGAUAUACCUUAGAUGCAGAAGCCUUGUGUUCGUUGGCGAUGGAAACUCACAACGGACACACUAACUCCCCAGUAGGCAUAUCAAAACCCCUAGUGAAAGAUCAAGAUACAAAGGACCGACUUACGCCCGAGUCAAAUAACACAGGAGCAGGAAAAGAGUUCACUAAGAAUGUACCUACCAGGGUUGUGUACUGGAGAUUUUUGGGGUGCGUUAUCUAAAAAAACAAUAAACAGAUACAUACCAGACGAAAUUUGGAGCUGCUCUGACCUCCUCGGAAGCGAGCUCGAAAGCAUGACCUCGAGCCAUCGAGGGCUUCGCCCUCCCCUGGCACCCAUCGGUGAUCCUCAAGGUAGCUAGCGCCUAGGCUUGCGCCAGCUUGGCGGUGAACAAUGGAAAGUUGUCCUUCAUAUGGCCAACCUGAUUACCGUGAUAGAAAAUCCUGGAACUUGGAACUUGUAUUGACUGGUUGCAAUCCCUCGCAUAGAGCCCCUCCUUGCCACACUUAUGGCAUACACUGACUGAUCGACAGCCCCCUUCAUUCACCUUUCUGUACUUCCCACAAGUAGGCCCCUCUACCCUCCAGAUCUAGUGUCGGUGACCUUGAACCGCUUCUGCGCAGGCUGUGACUACACCGGGGCUGGUCUCUGCUCCCUCAUAUGGAGCUCCAUCUCAAUCUCACACCGCCUGGACUCCUACAACUCCAAUAAAGAACAAUAAUGUUGACUGGAUACAAAUUGUCUGAUAUCUGUCUUCAAAAUGCUCAAGUAACGGGACAUGUAAGCUUGAUCAGAAGCAGGAAAAUCAGGACAAAAUGUGGCCCUCUCUAUAAACAUCUUGGUGAUUUUCGUCACCAACUCAGUUUCCUGUCUUAAAUCCAAGUUCUCCUGGGCCAUCCUCUCACGCUCCACCAGUGGCACAUACCUAGAACGCAACAACUCCGAGAACUGCUCCCAAGUCACAAAAGCUCUCUGCUCAGAAGAAUACAAGCAAGUAACAAAUAUCCAUUAAUCCUUCGCUCUGGAUCGCAAAAGUUUCAGAGCCAACUUGAUCCUCUGGUCUGCUGGGCAAGAGCAAGUGAAGAAACACCCCUAUAUGACAGACAGCUACCCUAUGACGAUGAUCGGAUCUUGAACUCCAUAAAAAUUCAGGGGCUUCGUAUUGUCAAAGUCCUGAUACUAAAAGGCUCUCCCAGCACUAAUCCCUAUAGCCGCAAUGGCUGCGGUGCCUCCAGCAACAACAGCCGUAGAUAAAGCAGCAUAAUGUUCAUCAAAAUACUCCACCAUGGCAAUCUAAAUAGACACAAACAUCUCUAGCAACAAUGCUCGAAAAUGAGCAACAACCUCCUCCUGAAGGAUCUCCCUAAUCCUUGUCCUCGUACACAGUUGAACCAUUUUGGCCACCUGUCCCUGAUCCUGAUCUGGAUCCUACCUUCGAAUGUCGUGUCAUCACCAUACUGAAAAUAAUCUAGGGAGAUAUCAGAUAACAUGCAUAUCAUAUUAGGGGAACCAACUCCCAACAAAUCCUAGGGGUUGUGACUUCCUGAUUAAGUGUAUGGUUCCUGUGCUUUCAGUAGUAUGGGCAUAUACUACCUUCCACAACUACUCGUAUUUGUCUCAAGGGUCAUCACAACAACCCAAACAAUACAUAUUAGAAAACUGAUAGACUAAAUCCUCAUUCCCUGGAGGAAGGCUAAACAUCACGAAUCUGGUCGGCUAACCCCACACAAGUCAUCCAUGAAACUUCCACCAACCCUACAACACUCGUGUAUGCUAAUCACACAUUACAAUGGACCCUAUAGACAGUCAGAUAUCUAAUCCUAUCAUAAUUCCUUCAUCAAACAAGAACAAAAAAUAGAUAGGCUAUAGAAUCAUAGUUAUGUAUAACUAUGAUGCAUACACUAUGCAGCGACAGUAAUGAUGUCAAUUUCAAAUAAGAAAGAACCCUAGGCUAUCAGACAUCAUAUAAUCAGGCAAUUCUAUCAUGCAAUUCCUGAAGAUCCCUAGCCUAUGACUAGCAUGUUGUUCUAACAUAACACAAGAUCAAAUAACAUUGUGGUAAUUUGGGGUCUAUUUACUGGCUCCGGCUGAUCGUACACAUCGAAUCCUCUUUGAUUAGUUUGAAAACAAUUUGAAAUUCAUUUUUAAAAUCCUUUUCCUUAGUUUGAGAAUGGAUUCACACAUGUAUUCCUCUAAUGCACUCAAACCAAGGCUCUAACAACCACUUGUAACAUCCAUAAAAGUCAUGAUAAAUUUAAACUUUUUAAAACCAACCAGUUUCACAAAUUGUUUACAAUGAUAGUUUUCGGAAUAUGUUCAACAUCAUAGUCUCCUAAAAUCAUAAGUCAAAAACAUGAGGAUGUGUACGCUUAUAUUUUCGCCUUCCCGUGAUAAUCCGAAGUACCUGAAACAUAACCCAAAAUUAUAAGCCAACGCUUAGCGAGAUCCCCCAAAGCACCAACACAUAAUAUAAGCAUAAUACAGACAGCAUGCAUACAAAGACUUCAGCCUUACUAGAACGCCCCAUCAGCCUACAGUCUAUCUAGUAUGCUCAUAGAACCUUCAGCAUGACUGGUAGGCCUCAUCGGACCUUCAGCCUAUCCGGAACGUUCUCUGGGCCUUCGGACUAACUGGUAUGCCUCUCAGGCAUGCAGAGUAUCAUGGACGCCCUCGGUCUGUUGGCCUUUAGUCUACAAUAGUCCGUCUCAACCAAACAACACACAAACCAUGUCGACAUAUACAUAACAAAUAAGCAUACAUAUAACCAACCAAUAGACAAUCAGACAAAUCUUACAAAUCACUAACCAUAACAUCAUCCUAUAUACCAGAAAAGAGCUCUAACAAAUCAUUAUAGCAUACCAACAUACGAUAAACUAGGAUAACAAUCCAAUGGUUCGGCCUUGCUGCUUUUGACCCAAAAGUACAGUGAGGAAUAAUCACCUCGCAAACUGAACAGAAGUUGAGUAGGUCUCGACUCCAAAUCUCGGCUCUAUAAGCGACAUCUAUUCCCACCAAAUGACCAAUUUCCAUCCAAAUCCCAAAAUACCCUCAAUGUCAAACUUGGUCAAAGUCAACUGUCAAACCAACUAGGUCAACUGAAUCAACCCAGCCGAGCCAACCCAACCAAUUCAACCCAGGUUGCGUACACAAGGCACACUUUGGAGGUAUGUUGUGUGACAUCCCCAAAAUCUCGGCCAGAAAAGACCGGUUUCAUUUAUGCUUUUUGUGACAACCCAAAAUUUCCAUUAUGAACAAACCACAUCAAUCCAAUAGAAGUUAGAAUAGUUACAGUGAAAUUCCAGACUUUGAGUAUAAGUUUGGCAGUUUUUCAGGAUUUACACUUAAGGAAAUAUCAGGAGAGUGGAUGCACCAAGGUUUCGUGCAACACUAUUAUUCCGAUACUCUAUGAUAUUAGAGUUCAUUCCGAGAAUAAAAAUAUUUUCUGCCAAAAAUCCCAGGACUAUAUAUAGAAAACUUAACCAUAUUGGUUCAUUAGUUACAUUUCCAUUUAGAGAAAAGUCAAAAUUCUCUCUCACGGAUCGUCGGGUUUUUAUCCCAAAUCGUGAGUACUUGGGGAGUAAACUCCAUUUUAAAGGCUAAAAGUGUCCCAAUGUCCCUCAAAGCCUCGGAUCUCAAACUAGAAGCCUAUAUUGCAUGUUUUGGACACAAAACAAUUAGGAAUCAAUGGUGAAAGUGAGUUCACAGCCAAGGAUGUUCCAGGGUCGUGAACUCCAUUUUUGAUUGCCAAAGUGCCCUAAAUGCCUUCAUUGAGCCAAGAGACUAUCAUAGCACAUUACCUUGAUGAGUCUAGGACCCAAAACAAUCAAAAUACCAACACCUAUGGGUGUUCACGGCCGCAAACACAUGGCCAAAUGGUUCAUGGGCCGAAAACUCAAUAUUAGGGGUGUUUGGAUGCCACAAACACUUCCUAAGGCUUAGGCUUGAAUUUAGACGUGUACCUUAAAGUGUUUAAAGCCUAGAAAACAUAAGGAAUCACAAGUAUUAAGGAGUUUAUGGCCAAGACAAGUUCUUGGGCCGUAAACCCCUAUAAAAGGGUGAAAUGACACCCAAACACUUGUUUAAGCCUUGAAACAAUUUACCACUAGAGUUGUAUUAAUUCUAAGCUUCAUUUAGAGACCUUAUUGUGAUUUUACGGCCAUGAGUUUACUCCCGUGGGCUGUAAAAUCCAAAGCAUAUGGUCAUUAGACCAAAAACUCUCGUACGAGGCCUUGCACUCCUUUGUUGCAACCCAGUAGCCUCCUAGUACUUGACCAAAAGUGUUUUCCUCGCAUAAAAAUGCUUAUACUUGUAUAAUUAGUGUUUUAAUCACUAAUUAUUUAUGUACAUAUGUCUUCAUAUAUAAUUAGGGUCAUUGUGUGUGUCUAAAGUCUUCACUUGACACCAAGCACUUGUCCGAUCCUUCCUAACGAUAACAGUCCGUUCAAUUCCAAUCACUUACGACAUGUGAGUUCAUACACCUUAAUUAAUGUUUUAAACUAUUUUUAAAUGUUUUAUGGGGGGAUACAAGUAGAAUUAUGCUAAUUAUUAUAUCAAUCACAUGUGAUUAAUAAGCAACAUUCAAAUGAUUAGCUACUCAUUAGCCGUUUUACCAAACAGUUUCCUUCAGAUGUUUUUCAUAAACACUUUAUAUGUUUAAAACUCCUUAUUAAACUGUACAUUUUACACUAUAUAUUACAUUUCAAACUUAUUUACAAUUGUGUAUCAAACAAAUGUUUCUUUGUACUAAACCGUUUUAUCAAACUGAUGCCUUCAAAACCAUUUUAUAGAUCGACAUCAAGUCGAUCUUUUCUUAGAAAAUAUUUAUGUUAAAAAGUUUUACAAAACUUGUUUUAUACCUUUUUAUUAUAAAUUGCAUGCCUAUAUAUGUAUAAUUAUAUAAGAAAUGUUUAAAGGACUUAGGAAGGCUAUCCACCUUAUUUCCUUUUCCUUGAUUUGGAUGUGGUCUGGUGGGAUAUCAGGUACCGUCCUAAGGUCGUUUAAAUAUUAGUUAUAUAUCAUGUGUACAUAUAUGGUCAUAAAGGUCCUUCCAGUUCNCCCUUGGGUAGCAAGGGUAUACAUCCAUGUCCAUACGUACCAGUUAGAUUACUAGUAAACUACCAUAGGGGUAGUUUAGGAAGAUACUAGAACUAUUACUAGAACACAAUAUCAUACUAUGAGUCAGUUCAUUCAUGAGUCAAUACUUACUACUAUGAGAACAUAUACAACUAUACUAGAGAAGAACAUAUACAACUAUACUAGGAAGAGAACAUAUACAAAGAUACUAGAACAAGUAACAUUACAUACUUUUACAUGAUUACGCUUACAUGAGCAAACACACAUAAAUACGUUUACAAUUGUGAUUCGCUGUAUCGGAGCAUGCCUUAAAUGACAUGGCCCGAGUUGUAGCCAAAAUUCUCUUGGAGGGAGAGCAUGAGUUUGCGUAUAGAUCUAUACUGGAUUGACUAUCCUACACCUUGCUGCUAGCUACAGCCGGACCUACAGGUCUGCGGGUGCCAAACGUCAUUUCGUUUUACGACCAUUCGUAUGUCGUUGUUACCAGUCGAUAGUAUGGUGCAAUUAAUCACAUAAUACCUUAAUAUAAAUCCGGUUUAAGGUUGUUAGUACAACAGUAGUUCCUAUAAUACAACACUACAGUACUUCAUUAAUUUCCCUUUUUCAUAUAUUUAGUGAUCAUUUCACUUAAACAUUUAAUGUAAAAACUAUAUUUUGAUAAUGAUAGUUACACUUGGGAAAAUUACAAACUUUUACAAGAAACGAACAUUGAGAACAGUUAAGUCUUGGUAGAAGACACCUUUAUAUAAAGUAGGAAUCAUAGGGAUUUUGAGGGUUUUUCAAACGUUUACAGUUGUUUUACAAACAUUUUUAUACGUACAUUUCAUCUACAUUUUUCCAUACUUACAGUCCAUUUACAAACAAUUUCUUACAUACAAAUUUAAACACUAAAAUACUUAUGAUCUCACCAGCUUCAAAGCUGAUACUCGCUUUCAAAAUUACUUGUAUCCUCAGGUCAUCUAUAGAUAGGUACAGAUGCAAGGUUUAGAGAAGAUGGAGCUCGCUCAAGACUCAUCUUUCAUUUUGAUUUAUGCUUUAGUGUUUAUCAAAAUUUGACAGAACACACUUGUAUAAUAAUUCUAUUAUUAAUGCAAUGGAUGAUGUUGUUGCUUGUUUGCUACUUUACAUUGUUGUGAUACUGUACAUGACGUCCUUCUCCCCAGAACGUUUCCACCGUUCUUGGUUUUGGGGUGUGACAGAUUGGUAUCAGAGCAUUGUUAUAGUGAAUUAAGUAUAUCAACCCAUAAAAGAUAUACUAACUAUAAACCCAUUGGGAUUAAAAAUACUCUGAGCAAGAGUUUAUACUUUAAAUAAUAAAAUAUUUAAUAUAGUAUACGUGCCUGCAUUCAUACUAAGAUCAGUGUCACUAGGACAGUGCAAAAGAAUUACGAUUGUUGGACAACACAAGUGGGCUUAGAGACAUAUGGUUAAAACUAGGAAGAUAUAGCAUGAUCACCUAUAUUAUCCAAGGGUUGACUAGCAUGUGCCUAAGUUUAAUUGUGUGGUUGCAACAAUGCUAAAAUCUUACCAACCCUACCACAAUGAGAACAGUAGAGCAUAACAUUAAACUUAAAAUACUAUAGGAGUAUUUGGUGUUACUAUAAGUACUUCAUACUUGAGAACUAAAACAAGAUCUUCAUUACUAUGUUGAUAGUUGCUAAGUGGAUACACUAAGGCUAUAUGUAAUUAGGAUGUUAUAGACUUAGAAUCUAUGAAAAAAUUUCUUUACCCCUAUUCUGUGUAAAAUUUGGAGUUAAGGUCACUUAUUCGAAGGUCUAUCCUGUUUAAAUUACAUAUAACUGGUAUGCACUUCACAAAUAGCGACGUAACUAAUGAAGAUUUUUCUAAAUAAUUAUCUAGAUAGUUCGUCUAAUAAUUAUUUUCUUACCCCAAUUCUCGCGUAGAUAACAUGGUCGGACUCCAUCCCCACGAAAACUUGUUCCUUUCGAAUGAGGUCAUUGUUGGAUGGUUUGAAGAAGAACCAGAUAAUGAUCAUCCGAUCCCUCUGAAUGAUCACCAUGUUGAAGACCUUUCGGAUGGUGCUAACUCCGAACCCGAGGUUGAAGAUCUAUCCCAGGCAGCUCUCGUCCAAAUUCCUAACCCUCGUCCGGCUUUACAUGGCCCACCGCCGCCAUGGGUGGAAUGUUUGGAAACAUGGAGCGAAGGUCAAGAUCAACCUAUGUCGUUUAAUGGAGACCGAAGCUUCUACAAUGUAAGCGAAGGGAGCACAGCAGAUAGAGUUCUACCAAUACUGAUCCGUAGAGUUGCCUGAAAAGAGAUUCAGGGCAUGACAACUCUACAAGGUAUUGCAGAAGUUGAUACAAAUGGAGGGAUGCACAUGCUUCGCACCAGUCGGCUUGAACCUGCUCGUGAGAGGUCUGAGAGAGACCAUGAGACCUUGCUGCAAGCACUAGCUGAAACUCGAGCCGAAUUCAUAGAGCUCCGAGUACGCCAGAGGGUGUACGAAAGAUACCUUCUCGAUAUGGAACGACAACUGGAUGAACUGAGAGUUCACCAAAGGAAUGACCGUCGCCAGGAGUAGAUGCUUUACUUUAUCUUCCUGGUUAAAUGAAAUCGGUUUUCUGUCUAUGCCCGAUCUGGCAUUUUCUAUGAAACUACCUUGUACUGUAAGUAAUUUUGUUAGGUCUUUAUGCUGUCAGGAACUAUCUUCUGUGGAUAUGAUGUAAGACCUUUAUAAGGUCAUUCUCUCGAAUCUUUACGUCAUGAAUAUCAAAGAUAUUGACAGCCGACUAACUUCUGUGUCAUUCUUUAUUCAAGUACUCUUAUCAUACAUUCAUUUGGGUCUAUCUGAACAUGCUUUAGUCAAGUCAUUGGACUAUAGUAAUUUAGCUCCGGAGACAUUUCCAAGUCUCUUUCAGUGGUUGGAUCAUGUUAUUCACCAACCAACGAUUCCUCGGCUUGAACGACAAACGUUUUGAGACCAUUCCACGAACUUAAUUCUACCCAUUACUAGGACUGCAUCAGAGGAAUGUAGGUCAAACCUUCGCGAACAUACUUCCAUUCUGUACUAGGACUGCAUCAUAGGGAUGUAGGUCAACCUUUUGGAGAACAUACUCUUACUCUUUUCUUGAAAAAUCGAAGUACAUCUAUGGUCAGCCAGAAUCGCUCACAGAAUCCUUAUCUUUCGUGUUACAUAAUCAUGUCGUCAUCACGAAACAAUCAGCCGAACAACGAAAACCCUAUCCUCCAUAUCGACGCAGCUACGUUACAAGCAGCACUAGCAGCCGCUGUGACAACUUUCCUUUCACACAUCAACUCCGGCAACACAAGCCAGACUGACAAUGUAGUCGAGAGUACCAAUGGUAGUGCCAAACCGGGAAACCAACAAAUGGCAACAGUCAUGGAUUUGCGAAGCCAAAAGACCGAAAGGAGGAGACGAUAUCAUAAAGCCCUAAAGGAGCGCAAGAGAGCCCAAAGACUUGCCAUGCCACAACCACAAGUGGCAACUCCUGUAGAACACUUUAGGAAGCAAUUUCCAAGGUGGAGUAACGAGGAAGGCACUCAUGUCCAUGUAACACUGGCUAAACACCGCACUCCCAUCACCAAUGCAAGUACUAGCCAGUCAUGCCACCAAUGCGGUGAGAUAGGACACUUCAAGAAGGAUUGCCCUAUAACAAAGAACUCUGGCGCAGAUGGGAGGAUUCUCAGCUUCAUAGAUGCAGGAGAACCUACUCUGGAACCCUCGUUAAUGUAAUUUAGGCGUUUCUUUGUAACAGACUUAUAAACUAUCCGAAACUAGUGCAACUAGAGUCUUACCUUUUGCGAGAUCCUAUCUGUAUAAGGAUUCUCGUGCUGCGUAUAUUUGUCUUUUGUAGUAUACCUUAUUUGCAGCAAUAGUCUUGUAAUUAGCCUAUGAUACUGUAACUCUGUUCGUGGUUGCACGUUUGUGUUUUGUCUGUAAACGCCUUAUGUUCAAAUCUAAUGUCUUUAAGUUUCUGUAUGAUUCCGACAUUAUCAUACGACCCGAUUCAAUUUGAUCCUCACCAAAACAGCUUCAUACGUACAUCCCUUUGUCAGUGAAUGUCAUUUUAGCAAAGCCGUCAUAUCAGAACACCGAAGUACUCAUGCAUGGAGUACCUAAUAGUUCUUUUCUUUUCGGAAGGAAUCCCCGAAGUAUCACUCGUGCAGUACGUCAAUUUCAAUCCAAGGAUUCAUGAGGAUGAUCUAUCACUGAGGAAUGUAUACAUAAGAGUGAUAUAUAAUCAAGGUUCUACAGGUUUAGAAUUGAUUAUUUCGCUUUAACUCUUUUCUUCAUUGGGAUGUGAGGGUAAAGAAGAAUCAGUUAUUCGACUACCUUUUCAAUCUUAAUUAUAUACGACUCGUAUACACGAGAUUGUGAUCGUGAAGCCAUGUAUGAAUUCUAAUAUGAACUUCAAGACGGAGAACUGCCUAAGUCUACAAGUAAUCACAUCGUCAUGUGAACAAACAUAGAACCUAGUAUGACUCCCGUAAACAGAUCCCCCUACAGUCUAAAAAUCUACGGAGAUACAAGAACAGUACAUACGACUUAGCGAACUACAAAGAAAUGGAAUUAGAAGACUAGGCUUCUCACCCUAGAGAACCCCGGUCUUAUUCUUCCAGAGCUCGAUAGAUUGCAUCGUAUUUACCUCGGAUAUCGAGGACUCCGUCAAGAUUUUCAUUAGAAAUCGUUAUCUCUGCCUCACAUAGAUGAGAUGGUAGAGCAAACGCAAGGAAAGCAUUACUUUCAGAAAUGGAUCUGUGAUCCGAAUAUCACCAGAUCGAGUGUUGGGGAAGGAUGUCUGGAAGACUAUCUUCCGAACUUGAUGCGGAGACUUCGAAUCCGUAGUGGUACCCUUCGGAUAGGACCAAUACUCCCAUAGUUUUCAUGAGUUUAAUGAAUAGAGUCCGUGUUUCCUACUUGGAUCGGUUCGUCAUUCUCGAUGUAAUGACUUACUUAUCUACCCUCGUAGUAAGAACGAACCCAUAGAAACAUUACCCUCAGAGAAACUUUCCGAAAGUUCUCUAUGCACGAGUUUUGAAAUUGAAGAUUCAAAUUUCUAUGACACACUAUUAGUGAUGUAGGAAAUUUGGAGUACUCUUACAACUUGUCAAUACCGUUGAGAAUUUGUCGACACCAGAAGAGCCGACAGACAUUCGCCAAAAUUCUAGGUCUUACGGACAUACUGUCAUAGUUCAUUAAGAACUCCUUGCAACUUACAGAAACCCGUACGAAUUUGUCCCAGCAAGGGGUGGCCCUUGACUAGGAAGUUAAGCAAGAGAAAGAACCUUUGGAAUUCCAAGUGAGAGACCAAGUUCUUUAGGAAAAACUCACUUUAGGAAUGGCUUAAUACGCUUCGUAAACAAUGGAAGACAAAAUCCAAGAUAGAUAGGAACUCCGGGAUUCUUACCAGAAUCGGUCUCGUACCUCGCACAAACUAGACCUACUCCGCAAACUCAGUAACGUACAUUUUACUCUUCACAUCUCGAUCGUGAAACCAUACCUUUCCGAUAGGAAUCUUGUAAGUCCACUCGUCGAGAUCCUCACCUUCGUAUUAGAACCGUAGUGACCCUCGACCGAGAGGUCAAGCGAACGAAACAACACCGUCGCCCAUUAGUGAAGGUUUGUUGGAAUACCAACCGAGGACCCGAUUUCACUUAGGAGCGCUAGAACAAAUCGUUUAGGAAGUUUCCUCCUCAUGACUCGAUCAUUCGUACCUACUUCCUUGCCUAAAUUCUGAUGUCGGGAUGAAAUUCCCUUUAACAGGGGGAUGAUGUGACAACCCGAAAUUUCCAUUAUGAACAAACCACAUCAAUCCAAUAGAAGUUAGAACAGUUACAGUGAAAUUCCAGACUUCGAGUAUAUGUUUGGCAGUUUUUUAGGAUUUACACUUAAGGAAAUAUCAGGAGAGUGGAUGUACCAGGGUUUCGUGCAACACUAUUAUUCCGAUACUCUAUGAUAUUCCGAGAAUAAAAAUAUUUUAUGCCAGAAAUCCGAGGACUAUAUAUAGAAAACUGAACCAUGUUGGUUCAUUAGUUACAUUUCCAUUUAGAGAAAAAGUCAAAAUUCUCACUCACGGAUCGUCGGCUUUUUAUCCCAAAUCGUGAGUACUUCGAUCUAGUUAUAUUAUUUAGCUUAGAUUGUGUAUUAUAACAUCAAAAUCGGACCAAAACCCCAAGAUUUGGGAGUUUACCGCCCAAGAACACUUGGGUAGUAAACUCCAUUUUAAGGGCUAAAAGUGUCCCGAUGUCCGUCAAAGCCUCGGAUCUCAAACUAGAAGCCUACAUUGCAUGUUUAGGACACGAAAACAAUUAGGAAUCAAUGGUGAAAGUGAGUUCACGGCAAAGGAUGUUCCAGGGCCAUGAACUUCAUUUUUGAUAGCCAAAGUGCCCUAAAUGCCUUCAUUGAGCCAAGAGACUAGCAUAACACAUUACCUUGAUGAGUCUAGGACUCAAAACAAUCAAAAUACCAACACCUAUGGGUGUUCACGGCCGCAAACACAUGGCCAAAUGGUUCAUGGGCCGAAAACUCAAUAUUAGGGGUGCUUUGAUGGGUGUUCACGGCCGCAAACACAUGGCCAAAUGGUACAUGGUCUUAUGAGCUUCUUCCAUCAAAAGAUCUCUGACUCCUCCUGUCUUAGGUAUCCAAAUCCGAUCUUGGAACACCUUCAGUCCAUGACUGUUUAUACCGAACACCAACGUUUUGCCCAAACGUUCCUCCUUCUUGUCAUUCUUCUUUGAAGCUUCCUCUUGAGCUUUCUUUAUACUUUCCACAAUUGUCGUGAUGACUUCUAUUCUCAACGCUCUUGGCCUUUUCCUUUCAGGAUUGACUUUCCGACUGAGAGCAUCAGCAACAACGUUAGCUUUACCGGGAUGGUAAAGUAUCUCACAGUCAUAGUCUUUAAGUAAUUCUAGCCAGCUCCGCUGCCUCAUAUUCAAUUCUUUCUGACUAAAGAGAUAUUGGAGACUCUUACGAUCAGUGAAAAAUUUUCACUUUGUUCCAUAGAGGUAAUGCCUCCAUAUUUUCAAAGCGAAAACUACCGCUGCCAACUCCAAAUCAUGAGUCGGGUAGUUCUUUUCAUGCUCUUUCAGCUGUCGAGACACAUAUGCUAUCACCUUUUCUCUUUGGGUCAAAACACAACCCAAUCCAACCCCAAACGUAUCUCUGUAAAUAGCAAAGUCUUCAACUCCAUCGGGUAGAGAUAGAAUCGGUGCCUCACAUAGCCUCUUCUUUAGCAACUCGAAAGCUUCUUUGUGCUUAUCAUUCCAAGCAUAAACAACUCCUUUGUGGGUCAAUGCUGUUAAUGGACUAGCGAUCGAAGAAAAGCCUUGGAUAAACGUUCGAUAAUUUCCGGCUAAUCCUUAAAAGCUUCGGAUCUCUGUAGGAUUCUUCGGUUGCUCCCACUUUGUCACAACUUCAAUCUUUUCUGGAUCAACCAUUAUCCCUUCUUGGUUGACCACGUGACCCAAGAAUUGGACUUCUCGAAUCCAAAAAUCACUUUUGGAGAACUUUGCAUACAGCUUCUCCUUCUUGAAGACUUCCAACACUUCUCGCAAGUGUCUGCCAUGCUAUUCUUGGCUUUUUGAAAAAAAUCAGAAUGUCAUCUAUGAACACUAUCAUAUAUUUAUCCAGGAAUGGUUUACAAAUCCUAUUCAUCAAAUCCAUGAAUAUUGCUGGAGCAUUGGUUAGUCCAAACGACAUAACCAAGAACUCAUAGUGUCCAUAUCGCGUUCCGAAUGCAGUCUUCUCUAUAUCCUGCUCUUUCACUUUCAGCUGAUGAUAUCCUGACCUUAGGUCGAUCUUUGAAAAAUAACUUGAAACUUGUAAUUGAUCAAACAGGUCAUCAAUCCUCGGCAACGGAUAUCUAUUCUUUAUUGUUGCCUUGUUCAGCUCUCUGUAAUCGAUGCACAUUCUCAUACUUCCAUCUUUCUUCUUCACGAAUAACACCAGGGCUCCCCAGGGUGAUAAACUAGGUCUAAUGAAACCCUUGUCCAAUAACUCCUGAAGUUGCAUCAUCAGCUCCUUCAUCUCUGUCGGUACUAGUCGGUAAGGUGCUUUUCCAAUCGGCAUUGUUCCGGGCAACAAGUCAAUAUGGAAUUCCACUUGUCGAUCAGGCGGUAAUCCAGGAAGAUCUUCGGGAAGUACUUCUGGAUAAUCACACACAACAGGAAUAUUCUGCAUUACCUUCUUUUCCUUCUUAGCAUCAGUCACGAAUGCUAAGUAUGAUGUACACCCCUUGGUCAAACAUUUUCUGGCUUUCAUUAAAGAAAUGAUUCUAGAAUUUACUCUGCAUUUAUCUCAAUACACCAUAAACGAUUCCUUCCCAGGCGGGUUCACUUUCACUAUUUUCUUCUUGCAUAAAAUUUCGGCAUCAUUGGCACUAAGCCAAUCCAUUCCCAAAACGAUGUCGAAACCGUUAAGUUCUAUAGGCAAUAAUUCCUCAUGGAACUUAUUCCCAUUUAAGUCAAUUAAGAUGUUUUUCAAACGAUAGCUAACAGGUACAAACUUGCCACUAGCAACUUCGACUAAUAAAGCAUUAUCUAGUCUAACAACAGGCAAAGCUAGUUUUCUACCAAAUUCAUGCGAUAUAAAGGAGUAGUUGGCUCCAGAAUCAAAUAAAAGUUUGGCAGGCAAUUCAUUUACAAGAAAGGUACCUGAAGCGACAUCAACUUCUUCUUUCGCAGCUUCCAAUGUCAUCUGGAAUGCUCUUGCUUUCGGCUUUGGUGGAAUGUUGAGUCUUGCUGCUUCCUUCUUUUUCGGACAAUCCCUUGAGAUGUGCCCCUCCUCACCGCAACCAUAGCAAACUUUCUUGGUGAGGGUGCAUUCAUUAGCAAAAUGCCCUGGCUUUCCACAUUUGAAGAAUGUGACCACUUCCCCGUCACAUUUCUCAUCAUGAAUCUUUUUACACUUUUCACACCAUUUCGCCUCUACCUUUCCUCCACCUCCUCUCGAACCAGAUUUUGAGAAUUUAUUUUUCUUGCUGAAUCCUGAAGAUACCUCAAACUUCCUAUUUUCACCAACAUCUAUCCUUUCCAGACCCUUUUUCCUUCUGUUGGGUCUCCACGUUCUUAGCUGCUCGAACAGCUGUUCUCAGAGUAGUUGCCAUUUUAACUGUCGGACCAAAGUCAGCAGGCAGUCCAUUAGCGAACCUCUCGAUCUUGGAGAGUUCUGUUGGCACUAGGUACGGAAAUAACUUCAUUUUCUCAGCGAAUUCUGUAGCAUAGUCAUCAACACUCAUCUUCCCUUUCUUAAGGUUUUGGAACUCAUUGUUCAGAUCAAUAAGAUCUAUCUCUGAACAAUAUUGCGCCCUAGGUUGUUCCAAGAACUCCUCCCAUUACAUUUUUAGAGCUUCUCCUCGUGGCAUAGUAUCUGCCAACAACUUCCACCAGCUCAAGACUCCAGUCUUCAGUUGUCUAACUGCAAAGUCAGUCUUCUGUUUGUUGCUACAUUUGCAACUUUCAAAUACCAUCUCCAUUUCGGAGAUCCAAUCCAUAAUUUCCAAAAGCUUUGGGCUCCCAGAAAGACUUGGCGGUUUGGCGCCCAAGAAGUUCUUUUACAUUCGCCCAUCGUUGUUUUUUCUCCUUUCCGGAUCAUUCCUUCGUUCUUCUUGCGUACCAAAUUUGACUCACAGUGCGACUAUUGUUCCCUUCCUCCGAUUGUUCAGGAAUCAGUUCGGGUUCCACGUUAGGUGAGAUAGGUCCGUCCCUAUUCCCAUGCAACAUCUUUCGCAUUUCUCCCCUUUGUUCGGCAAACAUAGCCUGAAUCAUGGCUUGCACUCCAUCCAUGGUGAUCUGUUCUAGUGCAGCAGCUUCAACAGCUACUUGUUGAAUUGUAGCCGGUUGAUUCCUGUUCUCAUUUGCGUUUCCAACACCACUUCUUUUUCUCACCAUUUUUUAUCUAUAUAUCGCAUAAGGUGAAAUUUAGAUCUUCAUUCACGAUAGAUAUUCGAAUCAUCCUUAUUACUUCGAAAUGUUACAUGCUAGAUCUAAUAACGUAGACAUACGCUUAGAAUCCUAAACACAUAAGGUUCCUAGAUCCGGUCGGCAACAGACCAUAGAUCCGAACAAAUAAUAUCAUAUAUGGCAACAUUUAACAUUUAGCACAUAAAAGCAUUUUAGGCAACUUUCCUAAAAUAAACUAGUGCUCGUGUCUGAAAUAUAACAGACAUACAUCUAACAACCUUCACUUAGAAUUCUAAAUUUAAGUCUAGAAAUCCUACAAAUUCCUAGUUCGCUUAAACUAAUGCUUUGAUACCAACCAUGACAUCCCCCAAAUCUUGGCUAGAAAAGACCGGUUUCAUUUAUGCUUUUUAAAAUAAUUUCAGAGUAAAUCCUUUUGAUUUUAAAAGAGAUGCGGAAUUUGUUCCCACAAACAAAACAUGAUAAAAUGGAUCUUUUAUCAAAAAAUUUCAUAAAGAAAUAUAAUUUCAUUUCAUAAUCAAAAUUGGGAAGUAAUGUUCCGAUACAGACCAUAAAGCAUAAACGAUAACAUUACAAGUCAUUCAAGAAAUAUAUACAUAUACAGACUUGUAAAGAAAACAAGUUGAUGAUUCAUCCAUCUUUAUGCUCUUGUGCCACUUCCUGUAAUAAAAAAAACUGAGUGGGUCAGGCUUGGGAGCCUGGUGAGCAUAUAGGGUUUUCAACCCACAAUAAAUAUUUAUAUUUAACUCAACAAUCAACAAUAGCCCGAUUACCCAUUCCUGUUAUCCUCAGUUUACGUCCCUAAAAAAACAUCUAUUAUAAGGGACCUAAUCUAGGAUUUUCAUCGGGGCGGACAUUACCGCAAAGGGGCUUCCUUAGCAAUAAAUAUCCUAAAGGAAACCAUGAGGGGGAUAGAUUACACCGGUGAACACAUCGUUCACAACACCUACAUGUUAUGAGCCUGCUAGUGUUUCACAGGACUGUCUAGAAAGAGUCUGUGAUCGUCAUCGAUACUCUGCUGAAUGACUAGAUCAACGACAACAACAUCGAGGCCUCUCAUCUGUUUAUUACACACCAACUAUCUUCCCAUGUACUACCAAACAUAUUAGUAGAUAAAAAUAUACAUUUUAUACAUAGUUUAAAACAUGUAUAACAUGCUCAAUCAAUACAUUUUUCCACAUAACAGAUGAGGCACACACACAUAACAUGUAUUUCAUAGAGAAUAAAUCAGAUCUAUAAGAUAAAAGAAAGUGAAUAUACAUUCACACAUAUAAUCAACAAAAUAUACACGUAACACGUAUUUCGUAUAAAAUAAUUCAUAAUAAUGUGUUAGAAGAAAAUGACUACACACUCACUUGAUCAGAAGAUGAUCAGACAACACCACGACUUGUAGAAGUAGUGUUUCUCCGUAGAUCUGGAAGAUCUUCACAAAAAUCGGGCUCCUCGCGGGCAGGGCUUUGGCUUGGAAAUCUCACUUCACGGGAUCCUCGGGGCUUUGGAUCUUGCUUCGGGGUUCGGGAAUGAUACAGGGGCUUUGGGAUAUGAUUGGAACGCAAAUCGAGGAAAAAACUAGAGAGAAGAAAGAGUUUGAACAAGAGAAAAUGGAUGAUCUCGGUUUCUAUUUAUAGGUUGUUGGGUCUGGGAUUACAUUGGGCGUAAUUUCCAAGUACAAUGGGCGUACUAAGUAUGCUGGGCGUAAUUAGGUUAUGUUGGGCGUACUUUGACGUCAUUGCGUUCAUCAAUUGGUGGCACUCGAGUAUUGGUUAGGCAACUUGCACCCUUCUGAGUACGCUGGGCGUACUCAAAUUACGCUCGGCGUAAUUUGACUCGUCAAACUUCUAAAUUGCGUAACUUUCGCAUACGAGUUCCGUUUUCGACGUUCUUUAUAUACACGCGUAGGUGAGACCAUAAUCUACAACUUUCAUUUAGACUCCAUCGGCUAAUUUUGAAUUUUCUUUUUAUUAUUUAUUUUUAGUAGGCCGGGAUAGGAAAAUUUCGCUAUAAAUUCAUAACUUCUUCGUCUGACGUCCGUUCUCGCCUAACUUUUCAUCGUUUCGCUACUAACAACGAGAUAUUAGAUUCUCGUUUAGAUUGUUUCGGCUAAAAACCGCUCGAUCUCAAAUCGAGUAUUCGGGCUGCAUACUGCCAAGUCGAAACUUCACAAAAUCAUAACUUCCUCAUACGAAGUCGGAUUUGAGCGUUCUAUAUAUAUUCGGAAACCUUGUUUCGGCCACUACAACUUUAUGCAAAGAUAUCGAGUUCAUUUUACACUUAAAUUUGAUGCGAUUUGUACAAACAAUCCUAUGUGUGCAUGCAACCCUACAAUUGGAUCUAUGUUUUCACUAUUAGAUACAUAACAUUAUGAACACAAAAAGAAACCCUAGUUCUAGCAUAUAAGUAAUCAUAUUAACAUAAGAAUAGGUUUAUAAUAUUAUCUUGAUUGUUAUGUAGCAAUCACAAUCCCAAAUCUCCUUGUAUUGACUUUGGAAGGCUUAGAGUCACAAGUGUCACUCCUCUAAUGGCUUACAAACACCAAGAGCAAAUGGAGAAGGUAUAAAGAGAGAGGAGAGAGGUAGGAAUUCGUCCUUAGGACUUCUUGGGAAGGCAUACACGAAUUCAUGAGCCUUAGGGGGUUUAUAUAGGUGUAAAGAUUAGGGUUUUAGUCCUUAUCCUUAUCUAGUUGCUUGCCCACCAAGCAACCAUAAGAUAAGUCUUAGAAACCCUUAUCCUAGUCGAAUUCUAAGGCAUUAUCUCCUUAAAUUCGUUCACCCUAUAUUUAAGAUAAUCCUUACAUUAUUUUGUAACUAUCACAUAAUUACAAUUCAGCCCCUCUAGUUUAAUUAAUUACACUUGAUCACAAAAUUAAUUCUUAAUUAAUUAUUGACCAAUAUUAAUUAAACAAAUAUGAUUUCUCCUUUAAUAUAUUAUUCUUAUAACAUAUUAAUAAAUCAUAUUAUCCUCUCUCUCUAUAUAUUUCUCCAAUCAAGUUGCUUUGGUGAAGGCAACCCAAAAGGACCAUGCACCAUCGGGUCAAGUACAUACCAAAAUAGUUAUGGACUUAGACACUAAUCCAACAGUCUCCCACUUGGAUAAGUCUAAUAACUAUUAUGCGUAUGACUUCAGAUCCUGAUCUGCAAUCGUAGCUUUCCAAAGCCGCUGUCAACUCUGAUCCUAUCAGAUACGCGUGUCCUUAGAUAAGGGAUCAUAUAUUCCUCCAUUCUAGAUAUCAUAUGAGAUAUGAUUUCAAAUCAUUCUCUUUGUACUAUAUCUCGAUUCCCGAUUUAUGACGACUGACUAAUUGAACAAAUCAAAUUAGCCCUAGCCCGGCCGAGCAUUUACGUUUGUCAUCACUAAACCAUCGAGGGGCCCAAAGAUAUCGCUUUUAUCCUACUUUGAAUAAAAGGAACGGAUAAACUUUGAUACAAUGCUUGCUUGCACUCACUCACCGAAUCACACACAACAAUAUGUUUUAUAACACCAAGUUACUAGUGCGUUUACAUAUUAUCAAUGUGCAACCGAUUUGCAAGAUACAACUCACACAUCUCGGUUUCAAGAAUAUAAGAUGUUAUCGUCUCACCAAUCACUCGUGAUACAAUUCAUGGAGUGAUCCAAGUGAGCGUGGGUUUAAUCCAAUGCUCAAAUCAUAUUCAUAAGCACUCAUGAACGUUGCAGCAAACAUUUGCUUAUGUCUAAUACUCUUUUAGACAAUCCACACACCAAUUCACGACAGUCUUCAUUCAUAUCUACUUCCAACAUAUGAACGACUGUGGCCCGUUUGAAUAAUUCGAUUAUUCUUAAUAAACUCAAUUAUUCUGGAAGUCAAAACAUGCAAAUGUGAAACACAAGAAUAAUACUAAUCCCAUAUGGCCUCAAACCUUUGAGUAUAAAUAAAACACCUUUUAUUUAUCACCAUAUUGAUUACUCAUUAUUUGUCGUUUCGGGUAAUCAACUUCUUACUUGAAUUACAACACUUGUCCCAUGCUCCUAGCAUGCACACAAUGUUUACCUAUGGUUCUUACUUUGUGAAAUAGAUCACAUUGAACACAUUUCCAAUCAUUCUCAUUUCACAACUCCAAAUCCUUUUUCAUAAGUGAAAGAAUAUCAAAUUCUUGCUACUUAUAGAAUAUGCUAGAUUCUAACAUUCUAUGCAACUAUCCUUUCGUAAUGUCACUGCACCAAAGUCACAAAGACUAUUGCCAAUGAUAUUACAAAGUCCUCUAUCGGAGAUUGUUACAAGACAAUUCCAUAGAUGUGAUGUCUCUCACUCAAAGUACAUUCUUUGAACAUCCUUUUGCAUAGAAGUUUCUAAUCUAGUCAUAGAUUUCUCAAUAUUCAAUUCCCAAUAUGGACACACUUCCAUAUGUUCCAUAUGACAACUCAUUCUUAAUAGAAUCUUAUCUAUUCGUAAUGAUGUCGAUAUGGUCCAUCCAAUAUGGAAACAUUUCCAUAUUUUCCAAUACUAUACUUCCAACUACUCACAAGCGACCAAUCCUCGUCGAACUUUGGAUUGUCCUUUGAUAGUUGUUUAAUUAUUUUAGUCAAAACCAAUUCUAGUCCCUUUUCCCUCUAAAUGCGCUCGACAUUUGGAAAAUUUUAGAAUGGUCAAACAUUAAAGCAUUUGCAAUCGAUCCUAUACCCGAAGCGUAUGGGACACGACGCAUAAUGUUUUAUUUGCUAUGUUCUCAAAAUUCGAAUUGUGAAGAGGGAUGCCGUAAUCAUAAUCGAAAUUUUAAGAACACACUUUGUACCUUUGACUAAAUUUUAUUAACAUUUCUCAACCUAAACCUUUAGAUUUGAAAUGAAGCAUAAUAUUCUCUCCCUUAAUUAUAGCAAAACAACUCUUCAACUAUUGCGACUUUGCAAAGUAUGACUCUUGUUUUCUAUAAUUAAUAUUGCUAACCUUGCAAUACUUUCCUUAAUAAUCAUACAAUCAUAACUUUUAUGCUCCCACUAUCUUGAUGAUUAUUAUAAAACAUAACACUUAUGCUCCCACUAGCUUCGACAUGUAUUCAUAAACAUCUUAACUUUCAGAAAAAAAAUGCUUAUUGAAUUUCUUAAGUUCAUGUUUCUAAUACUUAGUGCUUUGAUAAUCUUUUAUCAAGGUUUCUUGAACUUAUACACAUUUGCCUUCGAUAGUUCAUAUGUGUGUCUAAACAAUUAAGACUAAUUGCCAAACCUCACAAUUCAAAUUAUGGAAAGGGAUACCGUAACCAUAAUCGAAUUCGAGAAUGCAAUUUUACAAUCACUAUCUUCUUAAAAUCUUUCUUAGUGAAAGCAUUUCCUCACAAUCAUUUUCAUGAAGGAGGAAAUCUUAUGACACUUAGAUUUAAAGCGGUGUAUGUGUUCCUUUCCAUGUGAAUUCGUUAAAACCAAAGUUUACGACAAAUUCAAACUCAUAUGGACCAAACUCUCUUAAUCUUGAUUUCUUGCCUUAUGGUAGCACAGCUGCCCACCACGUCUGCCAAGUAGUUAAGCAGCUCACCCUUUCCUAUUAAUGUACCUUUCAUUGACUAAGGUGUCUUGCCUUUUAUGCGUUCAAAAUGAGAACUCAUAGAACUCACAUGCAUAAUUAACUCAAUUCGAACGGCAUAGAAACAAAAUAUUGUCAUCACGAUAGGUUGUAAACCUCAACUUGUGUGCUAGUGAUGAUCAAUAAGGUUUAUUUAAUUUGUUCGUGAAACUUUUCAAGACCAUUAGGACUCCCACUGACUCCUUGACAUAUAAUAUUCUUUUGUCAACAACCAUUUCUUGACAAAUAUUCAAGAGUUAGUGUAGCUUUUAUCAAAACACUUCAUAAAUUGGUCCUAGUUGAUCUUUUGUCUUAUCCAAGACAUCACAACUUUCCUCAUUUGAUGAAUAUUAUAAACCUUUAAUACUUUUCACUCAUUGUCACAAUCUUAACUUUAAGACUUGUUAUUGGAACGAAGUAUGAUAGACUUCUUGAUUUAACGAUUUCUUCCAUCCUUGAUUCCUCUUCUUAAACAUACAAUUGUACUAAGACUCAAUUAGAGGAUCAAUUGAGAUAUGGUUCUUAAUCAUUAGGAAUUAUCAUAAAGCAUAAAAGCUACUCUCCCUUCUUCUUAGAAUGGAGAAAAUUUUAUCUUUCUACCUUCUUGAUUCUUCUUAUUCGUUUUGCUAUUGAUUUAAACCUUUUUAAUCCAUCCUAAUUAUACUUAAUCUUGUAAGUAUAAUCAUAUUUACUAAACCUUUAGUAAAUUAUGACGAAUAUCUUUGUUACUCUUAUGGUGAACUUGAUCAAUACACAACUUUAUGUACUUGAUCUCCUGGUCCUUCACUUGACACUUUGUCAACAAAUUAGUCUAAUUUCCAAAUAUGAAAUUUCUCAUUCAUCAUGCAAUCAAGUUGCGGGAUUCCAAAUUUCUGUCCAUUUGAAACUUUGGGCGAUGAGAAACUCUCCCUAUUUGGUAAAUUCUAGACAUUUCCAUAAAUAACAUAACUAAGAAUCAUAUCCAUUCGUUGUAGAAAUAUGCUAACAUCAAUUUUCAUAAUGAUUUCAUUGCAAGGAAAUAAACAAGUAAAUAAAUAAAUAAGUCAAACAAAAAUUUAUUUAUAAAAGCAGCAGAAAAACAUUUGUCCUUAAAAUGCAAAAUCCAUUGAAAACUAUGUAAAAAAUGAAAUUUCUAACAACUCUAUCAUAACUAUCUAAGCUCAAAAUCUAAUCUUCAAGUCCAUGUGAUCGAGAUCCAUCUCUUGGUGAUUAGAUUCAUCUUGCUUUCUCAACAAGCUUCCUUUCUUUUCACUGAUCCUGCAAAACACUCAAAUGCAAUCUUAUUACAUCAUGUAUUAAGAAUCAAUGAAUAGGAACUUAAUGAAGUUAUAUAGUGGAUUUUACCUAAAGUGGAGCCAUACUUUCUGACUCUCCCAUCUCUUAGAUCUCUUAGGUAAUUAGGGCAACUUCGUCUCCAAUGCCCCUUCUCUUGGCAAUAAAAGCAAAUUGACUCUUUUGGAACAACACAUGGAACUACUUCAGACAUCGCCUUUCUCUUAUGAUCAAACUUUCGAUCAUUGCAUGUCUCUCAUUGACAUUGUCUAUAUCCAUAGAGGUCUUGAAGGCAGAUUCACCAAUCAACUUUGCUUUUCUAUUGCGCCAAACCAUUGCUGAUUCAGCAGCAAUAAGCAUGUAGGUGAGAUCUAUAAGGGUCACGUCGUGGUUCAUCAUAUAGUACUCUCUUACGAACUCACUAUAUGAGUUGGGAAGUGACUGAAGAACCCAAUCAACAGCCAUCUCUUCACUAACAACGGAUCCCAUCAUUCUUAGUCUAUCAAUGCGCGACUUCAUCCCUAGGACGUGUGCACACACCGACUUUCCUUCUUUAUGUUUACUUGCCAAAAGGGCUUGAGUGAUAUUGAACCUUUCAAUUUUUCAAUCUUGUGGGUUAGGGAGAACAAUUGGAGGAGGAGGAGGAAGUGAAGCAUGAUUUCUUGUUCCUUGAUCGAAUCGUGGAAUAUCAUUUUCAUGUGGAAUGCUUGUUCCACGGGAUUUGGGAACACCAUAGUUGUCGAACUUUGACAUCUACGAAAUUCAAGUUAGUUGAAUGAUUGAGUCCUUGGUAAAUCACCCAAAUGAAAUUCCAAGGCUAGGACCCAACACAAUAUGCUACUACCUAGAAAAGGGAUGCCGUAAUCUAGUUGCAGAAUAUUUGGAGGUAAGUGAAUGACGAUUCACUAAUUUCCACCAUGAAAACGAAAAAUUAAUUUAGGUUUUAAAUCUAUGAAAACUCCUAGAGCCUUUGAGAUUCAUUGAACAUUUCAACGACAUGUUUAAAUCUCGAUAUGCCCCUCUUGUUUGUGACUGGGAUGCCGAGGAUCACAAAGCGGGUGUGAAUAACCAUGCAAACUUACAUGGUGCCCUCACAUGUUACAGUCACCUAUUCGAUGUGUCGGUAAACCACACACGCUCCACCGAACUAUGAAAAACAUUGAGUCACCCUUUGCUACCUUUGCUUAGAACCAUUUAGUGUGCCAUUAAACCACACACGCUCCACUAACGUCUUCGUAAGGGCACAAAGUGUAAUUUCAUGGAAUUGCAUCAAUUCACUUUUGCCUAAGUAACUAAGAUUGGGAAUUUUAUGAAAACAUUUAGUUACUUUUAUACUUCAUUAUACUUAUAAUGGAAGGUUUCGUCCUAUCCUACCCGUUCGGCUAACGACCCUCCACUAGUCAAGAGUGCGGUGGGUAAGAGUGGAUACCCAUUCAAUCGCCAUUUUAUAGGCAAUUUCCUUAAACACCCCUUAUAGACCAGCUUCGUGAAUGAGGCCUACUAACGGUAAGACUGACUUUUACUCAUACAUAUAUAUAAUGUUAGACUUUUAAUGUUAUAUAUAGUAUAGGGUGUAUUUUAUAACAUUUAAAAUACUAUGUGGUUAACUUUAAUAAUUACACUUUUAAUUCAAUUAAUUGGUUAACCAAAACUUUUAUGGAUUUAUUAAAUCUCUUUUAAUUAUACUCCUUAAUUAAUUAAUAAAACCAUAAGCGUGUGAAAUGAACUUUUCAAAACAUUACUUNAACCUUUUCAAAACAAUACUAGGGUUUUAGAAUUUAACAUCCUAAUUAAACUUUUAAUCAACUUUUAAAUUCCAAAACUUGAGGGCAAGUUUUGAAACUUUUCAAAACAAUUUAGUUUUAAUCUCUCUUAAAAUUUUCGAAUUUAUGCCAUAUAAAUUAAUAUUUUAAAUAUUAAAACUCUUGAUUUAAUAAUUAUCUUGAAUUAGACUAUUAAUUUAAUUAUUAAAUCAUAAGGGAUUAUCUAAAUCAUGAGGAUAAUUACCAUUUAUACAUUUAAGAUAUCUUAAUCCCUUAAAUAAUUAUAUAGAUUUCAAAAAUAUGGAUGGAUAAUGCAUGAUCUAUAAUUACCAUAUAUAACAAUUAGAGGAUAAUUACAAGAUAUGGGAUAAUCCAAAUCCCUAAAAUUUAGGAUCUUAUCUUGGGGAGGAGGCUAAUUUCGAAAAUCAUGGGGUUUUUCAAACCCUAGAUUUCGAAAUCUUGAGGCUUAAGUAAAGGAUUUGAAACCCUUUCAAAUUUUCGCAAAUUAGGGUAUAGAAACCCUAAUCUCGAAAUUUCUAGCCUCCUAGGGUUUAUUGGCUAUAAACCCUAAUAUGUCAAGUUCAUACAAUUGUAUAAUACUAAUUGAAAACAAGUUAACCAAAGGCUCUGAUACCACUGAUGGGUUUUGUACAAACAAUCCUAUGUGUGCAUGCAACCCUAGAAUUGGAUCUAUGUUUUCACUAUUAGAUACACAACAUUAUGAACACAUAAAGAAACCCUAAUUCUAGCAUAUAAGUAAUCAUAUUAACAUAAGAAUAGGUUUAUAAUAUUACCUUGAUUGUUAUGUAGCAAUAACAAUCCCAAAUCUCCUUGUAUUGACUUUGGAAGGCUUAGAGUCACAAGUGUCACUCCUCUAAUGGCUUACAAACACCAAGAGCAAAUGGAGAAGGUAUAAAGAGAGAGGAGAGAGGUAGGAAUUCGUCCUUAGGACUUCUUGGAAAGGCAUACACGAAUUCAUGAGCCUUUGGGGUUUAUAUAGGUGUAAAGAUUAGGGUUUUAGUCCUUAUCCUUAUCUAGUUGCUUGCCCACCAAGCAACCAUAAGAUAAGUCUUAGAAACCCUUAUCCUAGUCGAAUUCUAAGGCAUUAUCUCCUUAAAUUCGUUCACCCUAUACUUAAGAUAAUCCUUACCUUAUUUUGUAACUAUCACAUAAUUACAAUUCAGCCCCUCUAGUUUAAUUAAUUACAUUUGAUCACAAAAUUAAUUCUAAAUUAAUUAUUGACCAAUAUUAAUUAAACAAAUAUGAUUUCUCCUUUAAUAUAUUAUUCUUAUAACAUAUUAAUAAAUCAUAUUAUCCUCUCUCUAUAUAUAUUUCUCCAAUCAAGUUGCUUUGGUGAAGGCAACCCAAAAGGACCAUGCACCGUCGGGUCAAGUACAUACCAAAAUAGCUAUGGACUUAGACACUAAUCCAGCAAAAUUUUGACGCUCUUUUUAUUCUUAAUUCAUUAAAUUAUAAUAAUUAAGAAAAUAAACACAUAAAUCACAUAAUUCACAUAAUUCACAAAUAAUACAUUCUUAUUAUUUCAAAACGGGUUACAAGGGUUAAACUAGACUAUUACAUUGCUAAAAAUGGCAAGCCCAGAAACAUAGGCGUUAAAUGUUGAGCGUACAUGAAGCCUCGCAGGUUGACCAUCAUUGGUGUGGUUGACCAUCUGCGCUGGGCGUACUCUGAGUAUACUGGGCUUACCCUCGUAAGUCUAAAAAUUCCAUUUAGAGCUUAAUCGCUUAAGCUCUUACGUCCAAACUUCAUAUCCAUGGCUAAAAUAUUCUUUGGAGUCAUAAAGUCUCCAACUUUAUGACCUAUCAUGUCCAAUAAGUUCUUAAAACAAGGUUGUAUUCCAUUAAGACAUUCUAUAACAUGCAUGAAGAAAAACUAACCAUUCGGAACCCAUUUUUAUUAAUUAAGACCCAUCCUAGGGUCUGAAAUGAAAACUCAAAGGUCAAGAACAUACCAUAUUCAAGAUCUAACAUUUUGGGACUAAAAAGCUCCAUAAAAAUAACCAAAACUAGGCCUAUGAGAUAGAGGGAUCAAGUUGCAAGCUUUUUACCUUAGAAUGGUUGCAAAUGAUGUAGAAAUCCCAGAUCCAAGUGUUCCACUCCUCCAAGAUGACUUUGGCUUCCUUCCUUCUUGUAAGGCACCAAAAACACACUUCUAAGCUUGAAAAGGCUCCUCAAUGUGGUUCUAGGGUUACAAAAACGAAUGAGAGGGACAGAAGCAGUUAAGGUGCGUGAAAUGAUGCCAUAAGAGUGCUUAAAUAUGAGACAAACCCUAAAAAAUAGAGUUUCUAUAACUGGCAAGUAUGUCCAGCGUACACUAAUAUACGUACAACGUACUAGGGCGCACCCAAAUAUGCUCAGUGUACACCACGUACGCAUGGCAUACUCCAAAGUCCAUAAUUACAACAACGCCAUUAGGGUUUCUUUGCACAUUUUCUUUAACUUAGGGACCAAAAUGCAACAUCAUAAAAUUUUAGGUUUGAAAUUUGAUGUACCUUAUCAUCAACAUGUUACAGAUGUUUUGCGUACACACACACACACACAUAUAUAUAUAUAUAUAUAUAUAUAUAUAUAUAUAUGUGUGUGUGUGUGUGUGUGUGUGUGUGAUAGAUUCUAGCAUAACUUCAAUUGAAGCCCAAUUUCCCAACAUGGUCUUGAUAAAAUUACUAGAAAAAACCUCAUGGAGUACUGGGUUCUUAAUUAUUUAUCACAAAUCUUGAGCUUUUAUUUUCUGUAGAUAUGGAUCAAAAUGAUGAUGGAUCUUUUUGUUUUCAGAACAAACAAGAUGAAAAAGUGAAGUUGAAUUCUAUUUUAAUGCCUUUAUCUGAGUUUGACGAUGGAGAGCAAGGAGAUGCAUUAUAUGGUAAGUUUUGUAUAUCCCUAUUUUUCUAACUUAUAAAUGUACUUUUUGUAAGCUUUCAUAUAUUAUGUUUGAAUGUUAAUAGUCAUGGAGCUUUCUUUGUCAUAAGAGAAGUUGCCAAAUGAGAACUAUUAAACCUCCAUGAGGUAUUUACAUAAAUUCCCUUUGCUUUUAGUUUACCUUUUUAAGCAUAAGAAUGGAUUCAAGUCUUUGAUAUGUAAAUGUAGGGUGGAAUGAAACCAGCUAGCCAAGAAUAACAAUGAUAUGCAAUCAAUUGAGUUAGUUGGAAGUGAAUUAUAGGUGAUAUAAUUAUGAGUAAUAGUCUAAUAUUCUAGUUAUUUAGUAAUGUUGUGAUAUGAUAAUUAAAUCCUCACAUCUAUUCUACAGUUGUUUGAACUUAUACUCGAGCACGUGUAAAUUGGUAAUCGAUAUUCUUUAAGAACGUAUAUUCUUUCAGAAUAUUUUCCAAUAUUUUUACUAGUCAUGAUGAAGCUAUUCAAUAAAAGAAAGAAAUUAAAGUUUGGAUUUUGCUCUUCCUCAUUGUUGUGGCAAUAUUCUUUUAAAACAUAGGUUAUGAUGGUAUUACGAAGCUAUUUCACUUGUUUUAUUUUUAUUUUUAUCUGAGAGAUGAAAAAACAUCUGAAUUGACUUUAUUUACAUUCUCAUGAGAAUAUUAGAUUUGCUAUUAUAAACUAUCUUCAGCCUUAAGAAUGUUUAAUUUUUAUAUUUGAAUUUUAGGUUCUUAUUUUAUUGAUUAUGUUAUUCUUAAAGAAUAUUUUAUUAUUAUUUUAAAAAUGUUGGUUAUACAUAUGAAAAUAAUGACUUAUUCUUCUAGAAUUUUAAAGCAUUCUUUAAGAAUAUCAGUUAUGACAACAAAUUAAUAUCUUAUUCUAUAAGAAUGUCAUAUGAGAAUAUCAUUAUUAAUCAUUCUUCUUAUCACUCAUGACCUUUAAUUAACAAAAUCAAUUCUUAACCAUUUUGAUGAUAUAAAAGACAUUUUAAUUUUUUUUUAAAUUUGGUUAAUAAGGUUGUAUCAACCUUGAGAAUUGUUAAAAGAUUUUAAUUCUUAAACAUAAGAAUUGCAUAAAAUAAAUCACGAUAGUUAAUUCUUAAUUGUUACCGUGAUCAAGAAAAAAAAUCAAAUAUUAUAGGUGGUGAAAUAAUAAAUCAUAAUCUACUCUAAGAAAUGAAGGGUUUUUUUUCUCACUUGUCACUUUCUCAUUCAAUUUGUCAAAUGUCAUUUUGUAGUUAUUUUGAAUUAAUUUUUAUUUCACAUGUCAUUUUAUGGUUUUUCUAUUUUAUUAAAUUCAAAAUAGUAUUUAAAUAAAAUAAUAAAUGCAUAUUAAUUUCCUUAAUGAACAUACCUUUUAGUUUCAAAUUUACUAAAGUAAAGGUUCAUUAAUUUUCUUUAUUUAUUUAUCUAAAUUAUUUGUUUAAACUAGAGUAAAAAAAAAACUUUAAUUUUUAUAAUUUAAUAUUUUUCUCAUAUUUUUUAGAAAUUCAAACUUCUCAAAUGAUUAGAAUUUUAUUUUUAGUUUUUUCUUUUAAAUAAACACAUGUAAUGCAUGAGUUUCAUACCUAGUUCUUAAAGAAUGAAAUAUGUUUCAUAUUUUUUAAGUACCAUCUAAAAAAGGAUUACAGAACGUAAAUUGAAUUUAAUUUGACAUCUCAUGAAAAUCUUACCUUCCAUAAAUACUUUUUUAACCAUUCUUACAAUUAAUUAAUUGAAAUUAUAUAGUAAAUGUUAUCACAUGUUAAUAAUAUGUGUUAACAACAAAAAGAAUGAAUUUUGGCCUUUAAAUGUGGUUUAAACGAUUUAAAGGUUAUUUGAAUGGUGCAGAUGAUGAUCCAUGCAUGUUAAAGAAAAUAGUAAAUCAAAAUAUAAAUAUAAGAUUUAAACUCAUAACAAGAGCCUUUCAUUAUUGAAACCCACAUAUUCUCAUUUUAUUCUCUCUCUCUCUCUCUCUCUCUCUCUGUCUCCCUGUCUCUCUCUUAGAGAAGCACACACUCAAGAACAUCUCAAGUGACACCGCCAUCCGCCAACACCGUCUAUCGCCGAUUCGCAGAUUCUUAUGUCGGAAAUUACCAAAUGUCGCCUGAAAAACUUCAUAUGCCACCGAUACUUCGUAUAUCCAUGGACAGGUGAUGUAAUCGUUCUAUAUCAUAGCUUCGGUGGAAGGAAUGGAAAACCAAGACAUCCGAGGAACACCAAAACAUCGGUGGGCACCUGAAAUCAAAUAUAACCCUUGUAAAUGUCCUCUUCAUUUUUUCUUCUUUUUUCUCUUCUCCUUCUUCCAUUUUCUGACAGUGGUGAACACCAAGAGAUCUUAUGAACACCAAAACUUUGUAAUCAUCAUCCUUCAUCCCUUGCCACUAUUGAAAGCAUGAUACCAUCAUUUCUAUCUAUCUCUCAUCCAUCUAUGUCACUAUCACCGCCUUAUUUGUUUUUGUCCAUUCAAAAUAAACCAACAAUCGGAACCAUUAAUAUUGAUUGGCGCCUUUCAGGUUCAUCCAAGCGCUAUUACACCCACCUCAUAUCCUUAUAUACUUCUCCCUUCCUUGAUUUUUUUCUUUUGGAAUGAUUUCUGGAACCAUUCUUAUUUUUUUUAUCUAAAGGGGGCCUUUUCUUGUUCCAGAUACAUUUAUUAGUACUAUUGAUUGGUGCCAUUCAUGUUCAUCCAGACGCCAUUUCACCUACUUCUCCCUUCCUUUGAUUUUUUAUAGUAGAAUGAUUUAUGGAACCAUUCUUGUUUUUUGGAUCUAGGGGGCGUUUUUGGUCCCAUAUACAUUUAUUAGGGUUAGAUAUUAAUUUUCGAUUUACCACUGUAUUCGCUGUAUUCACCAGAGCUAGCAUAAGCAAACCCUAGCUCCCGCACACCUGAAUAAAACUUCUUCUUCGGUGCUACAAUCCAAUUUGAUAAUGGGUUGUCUCGAUAUGAUGGUAUUUUUGGCUAAAAUAGGUAGUGGCGAUUGGGUUGGCUUGUAACGAUGGAGGUCGAUGGAAUGAAACAUUUUAAAGAGAUUGAGGUUGUAAGGGUGGUUUAUGGAGCGUUUGGUCUGGGGUUGCUGGUUUUUUAUUAUUAUUUAGAUUAAUAGAAAUAAAUAUAAAAAAAAACUAAAAGCAAUUAAAAAGAAUUGCUUAAGGGAAAUUUUUUCAUUUCAAGUAGGGUAUUAUGACAACCCGAAAUUUCUUCCUUGUACAAGCAUUCUAUUCAAUCAAAGUCGGACACCUUUCUGCUAUCUUUUAGUACUGUUUAAGGUCUAUUUGAGGGUUCUAAGCAUAGUACAAUCAAGGUUUAAGCUUAGGAUUGAGUUACCUUAAGUCAUAACAAGUCAAUAGGGCCAAACACUCCUUCAAGAGGUGUGCAUGGCUGUACACAUGGGUGUGCGGCAGUACACCCCCUCAUAUAUAUGAUACUUAGUCAUUUUAAGCCCCUUUUCGCACACCUAAGCCUGGAACUAGUUUUUCUCUCAACUAUCAUCCGAUUUUUCAGCCAAGUCUUCAAGAUUGUAAGUAGUUCUUCCCUUGUUUUGUCGAUUUCCUUCACUAUCUUGUAUGGAUCACUGAAUCCAUCCAAGAAGUCACUUCAUUUUGGUAGACCUUCAAGUGUUCUUCAGUUCACGAAGAACACCAGGAACACCUACUAAGUUUUUGGACUCUAAACACCCCUUCAAGCUUCCAGAUUGUGAGUAUUCCUACAAUACCUUGUUAUGUGCUAGAAACUCUUGAUGUUUAACAUAAAAUAGACCAUUUUUCAAGAUCAUCAAGGGUGUACGGCCGUACACACCCUUUGUGGCCAUACACACCUCUUUUAAGGUCCAAAAUGGUAACCAACUUCCCUUAAGACUAAGCAUGGGUCAAAACACACUCCCUAGAAGCUUCAUAAGACUUUAAAACACACUUUGGCAUGUUUCACGAUGAGUGUGCAGCCGCACACCCACUUGGGCCAUAAACUCUUGCCGUACACACACAUGAAACACACCAUUCUGGCCGUACACACCAAGGUGUGGCCAUUAACCCAUUAUGUUCAACCCUUGGUACUUCUAGCACUUCAAUCUAAGUGUUUCCUAUGUCCUAGGGUGUUUUUCCUUGCAUUAUUAGUUAUUUAAACACUAGUAAUAUACAUAUAUGAGUCAUUAUAUGCUUAAUAGGACCGUUUCGGCCCAAGACUUACCUUGACACUCAGCUUCCUGUAUCGAUCUUCCAGUCGCACCACUCACCACAGGUGAGUUCAUACCCCUUAAUCUACCUUUUAAAUAAUUUUAAAUGCUUUUAUAGGGGGGGGGGGAGUACAAGUUGAAAACAUUAUAGUUAUUAUAUCAAUCACAUGUGAUUAAUGACUAUCAAUCAAGUGGAUUUCAUAUACUUCAAAACUUUUUACUAAACAAAGUCUUUAAAACAUAUUCUUAACUGAUAUCAAGUCAUCUAUUAAUAUUCAAAUAUUUAAAACUCCUUUUUAUUUUAAUCUCCUUUAUGCUAAAACUCGUUAUUAAACUCUUUUAUGCUAAAACUCGUUAUUAACCUCUUUUAUACUAAAACUCGUUGUUAAACUCUUUUAAACUUAUAUAUUGUCAAAAUCAUGUCUACAUAGACAUAGUUAUAUAAGUAAGCUUUAAAGGACUUAGGACUGAUAACUCACUUUAUUUCUUGUUCCUCGCUUGGUUGUGGACUUAGAAAUUUGGUUAUUUGUCCGAGUGUCGUUUGAACCUUAGUUAUAUAUUAUGUAUAUGUAUAUAGAUAUAAAAGCUUUUAUCUCAGUUAAACACCUUUGGGUAGAAAAGGUGAACAAACACACUCGGUCAUUUAAACAACCUUACUAGUAAACUAUAAUACAUAUAGUUUAUAAGAUUACUUGUAACAACCCGAAAUUCGUUCCAUCGCCGAAACCUGUUUCCGCCUGUAAAUUCGUCUUUUUCAAAUCUUUUCCGUUUACAUUUUUUUUGAAAAUUAAGUCAUUUAUUCUGAGACUUCUAUUAUGACUUAAUUAGUAUCCAAACCCAUUAGAAACUCAAGAAAACAUUCCAAAUUAUCAAUUAGAAAAAUUUAAGUUUCGACCAUAUCGGGUAACGACAACUUAAUCAGCUGCGACCAAAAGCCCCGUUUAACGUCGGUAUCGGGUAGAAUUCCACCGUGUCCCGAACUUAGGACCUAUUUAAAGCUCAAAAGACUUCAUUUGAAGCCUUUCCUCUCUCUCACUACUCUCUCUCUCAAACCUCUCUCCUCAAACUCAAGAAUUAGGUCCAAAAUCAUCAAAUUUAAGCUCCAAAACACCAAGGUAACUACCCUAACUCCUAGUAUAGCAUCUUAGACCUUCAAAUUCGAGUUCAAAUAAUGGAAUAGGACCAUAUUCAUGAGUUUACAGCCUUAGAACAGUCCUUGGCCGUGAACUCACAUAAAAUGGUUUUUGGAGCCCAAAAACCCUUCCAAUCGACCUUUGGUGCUUAGAUAUGACUUAGGGGCUUAUCAAAAUGGACUUGGAACACCUUGAACUUAAUUUUUGGAGAGUAAACAUCAGUUUACUUCCCAAGAACAUGAUUCAGCUAUAAACUCCAUAUCAUGGGGAGUAAACUCAUUUUGAAGUGUUAAAAUGAUAUUUAAACACACCAAUAGCCUUGGAAUAAAUUCUAGAAUCAACCACAAACAACUUAGAAGCCUAAAACAUAAGUAAAUCAACCCCCUAAGGAGUUUAACGCCAUAUGAAGGGGUCUUGGGCCGUAAACUCCUAAAGAUAUGUCAAAUGAUGCCCAAAAAUCCAUCCAAGGCUUGUAAAAUGAGUUUAAAUCACAUAUGAUUGUCCUAGCACCACCAAAACAUCAAGGAUUGAGUGUGGGGGAGUUUACGGUCGUAAACUCCAUGUUUACUGCCGUAAACUCCAAUAAAUGGUCCAUAAGAGAGUUUAAUCCAUUCCAAGGCCUUAGAUUUAAUCCUAGCUAAUUUUCCCAAGUCAUGUAAAGCCAUUUAGCAACCAAAAUCACCCCACCAUGAGUUACGGCCGUAAACUCAUGGGGAAUGUGUCAUUAGGGCCGAAAAAACCCCUAAUAGUUUACUCUUGAAGAGUAAACUCCAUAUCCAAGCCUUAUGUGUCCUCAAAUGCCACCCGGGUCCCUCCAAACACUUGUAAUAAAGUAUUUUCGCAUCUAGAAGUGUUUGUCCCUAACUAAUAAAGAAUUUAAGUUCUAAAUAGAUACAGAUGUGUAUCUUCUCUUAAUACAUAGGAAUCUUGUGCAUUUGCGAACCCAGAACUGACGUUUAGGAUCCAAACCGACGCAUUCCUCAACCGGUGAGUUCAUACCCCUGCCUUUUUUCUGUGUUUUUCAAAUGUUUUCAGGGGGGAUACAAACAAAAGUACAAGGAUAUCUUGUACUCAAACUUAUCAUUUUCAGUUCAAAUAUCUAUAUUGUAUAGGUUUUUAAUAUCGAAAAUUGUGUUAAUCAAAUAGUUCAAAAUACGAAGUUAGCCUUCAAACUCAACAUAGAUAUCCUUCUAAAGUGUUAUAAUCUAAAUUAUAUUUCAUAAUCUAUGAGUAAUUCAUACUAAUCAUCAAUUAGAACGAAUACGAAUACGAAAGUACAACUAGGAACAGAACGAAUACAAAAGCAUAACUAGGAAAAGAACGAAUAGGAAUACUAAAGUAAUAAUGUGAAAAUAAUAAUACGAAUAUGAAUGCGAAUACGAAUGCGAAUACGAAUACAAAUACGAUUAGGAUUAGGAAUAGGAAUAGGAAUAUGAAUACAAAUGCGAGUAUGAAUGCGAAUACAAAUACGAAUACGAUUAGGAUUACGAAUAGGAAUAGGAAUACGAAUACGAAUUCGAAUAUGAAUGCGAAUACGAAUGCGAAUACGAAUACGAAUACGAUUAAGAUUAGAAAUAGGAAUAGGAAUGCGAAUACGAAUACGAAUGUGAAUACGAAUACGAAUAGGAUUAGGGAUAGAACUAGGAAAUCGAAUACUAAUGCAAAUACGAAUACGAAUACGAAUAUGACUAUGAAUACAAAUAUAAAAUACGAAAAUGAAUAUGAUUAAGAAUAGAAAUACGAAUAUGAAGGCACUCAUGUAGGUACAUUCAAGUGUAUCACAAUUAGGAUAUCAGAAUACUUGCUAAUAUGACAAGUAUAAUAGAUAAUCGAAUAUUAAAUUGGUGUCCAAUAACUAAACUUACUUUUAGGAAAAUAUAGGGUUUUCCUGGGAUAACAUAACAACUCGUAAACGAAUUAAGAAACGAAUGGAUAACUAAACUAUUAGGAAAAAAUGGGAUUUUCCUAGGGUAACAUACAACACAUAAUCGAAUUGGUAACAAAUGAUAACUAAACUGUUUCACAUAAGAAAAUAUGGGAUUUUAUUGGAUAACAACUUUUUCAGAAAACUAAAAGGGAACUCGUUCAUUUUCAUAAAACAAAACCGUUUAUGAACUCACCAGCUUUAUGCUGAUUUUCAAACUACUUGUAUUCUCAGGUCCAUUUUAGACAGGUACCCAACGAUCUUUUUUGGAGAAAACGGAGCGUACAAAAGACUAGUCUUUGCUUUUGUCUAUAUAUANAUGUAAAUUCUAAUAUGUAAUUUAAUGGUUGUUUACUUGCUUACUAUGUACAUUGGAUUUGAUACUCAACGUGGAGUCCGCCCCGAAAAUGUUUCCGCCUUUGGUUUUCGGGGUGUGACAGAUUGGUAUCAGAUCCCUUGUUUAUAGUGAACUAGUAUACCAAACCUUACAUGGUAUAAAACUAUAAACACUAAAGGGCCUAAGUGCUCUGAACUAAAAGUAUACCUCAAAUAUAAGUAUUUUCAAAAGUAUACAAGUAUUCCCAACCGUCGAAAUCCGUAACUACAAGUAGAACAAAACAUAAGUAAAUGGGUGUUGUACGCUGCGGUUAAACCUGGGCAGUUAUGUAGUCUUGUCUAUGAUCAAUAUAGCCUGGCCAACUAUAUUCAUUCGAGACACAGCCAACAUGUGCUUGGGAGUGAUGUAACGACCCGAAGUUCGUUCCAUCGCCGAAACCCGUUUCCCCCUAUAAAUUCGUCUUUUUCAAAUCUUUUCCGUUUACAUCUUUUUAAAAUUAAGUCAUUUAUUCCGAGACUUCUAUAAUGACUUAAUUAGUAUCCAAACCCAUUAGAAACUCAAAAAAACAUUCCAAAUUAUCAAUUAGAAAAAUUUAAGUUUCAACCCUAUCGGGUAACGACAACUUAAUCGGGUGUGACCAAAAGCCCCUUUUAACGUCGGUAUCGGGUAGAAUUCCACCGUGUCCCGAACUUAGGACCUAUUUAAAGCUCAAAAGACUUCAUUUGAAGUCUUUCCUCUCUCUCACUACUCUCUCUUUAACCCCUCUCGUCAAACUCAAGAAUUAGGUCCAAAAGCAUCAAAUUUAAGCUCCAAAACACCAAGGUAACUACCCUAACUCCUAGUAUAGCAUCUUAGACCUUCAAAUUCGAGUUCAAAUAAUGGAAUAGGACCAUAUUCAUGAGUUUACAGCCCUAGAACAGUCCUUGGCCGUGAACUCACAUAAAAUGGUUUUUGGAGCCCAAAAACCCUUCCAAUCGACCUUUGGUGCUUAGAUAUGACUUAGGGGAUUAUCAAAAUGGACUUAGAACACCUUGAACUUAAUUUUUGGAGAGUAAACAUGAUUUUACUGCCCAAGAACAUGCUUCGGCUGUAAACUCCAUAUCAUGGGGAGUAAACUCAUUUUCAAGUGUUAAAAUGAUAUUUAAACACACCAAUAGCCUUGGAAUAAAUUCUACAUUCAACCACAAACAACUUAGAAGCCUAAAACAUAAGUAAAUCAACCCCCUAAGGAGUUUACCGCCAUAUGAAGGGGUCUUGGGCUGUAAACUCCUAAAGAUAUGUCAAAUGAUGCCCAAAAAUCCAUCAAAGGCUUGUAAAGUGAGUUUAAAUCACAUAUGAUUGCCCUAGCACCACCAUAACAUCAAGGAUUGAGUGUGGGGGAGUUUACGGUCGUAAACUCCAUGUUUACUUCCGUAAACUCCAAUAAAUGGUCCAUAAGAGAGUUUAAUCCAUUCCAAGGCCUUAGAUUUAAUCCUAGCUAAUUUUCCCAAGUCAUGUAAAGCCAUUUAGCAACCAAAAUCACCCCACCAUGAGCUACGGCCGUAAACUCAUGGGGAAUGUGUCAUUAGGGCCGAAAAAACCCCUAAUAGUUUACUCUUGAAGAGUAAGCUCCAUAUCCAAGCCUUAUGUGUCCUCAAAUGCCACCCGGGUCCCUCCAAACACUUGUAAUAAAGUAUUUUCACAUCUAGAAGUGUUUGUCCCUAACUAAUAAAUAAUUUAAGUUCUAAAUAGAUACAGAUGUGUAUCUUCUCUUAAUACUUAGGAAUCUUGUGCAUUUGCAAACCCAGAACUGACGUUUAGGAUCCAAACCGACGCAUUCCUGAACCGGUGAGUUCAUACCCCUGCCUUUUUUUUUUGUGUUUUUCAAAUGUUUUCAGUGGGGGAUACAAACAAAAGUACAAGGAUAUCUUGUACUCAAACUUAUAAUUUUCAGUUCAAAUAUCUAUAUUGUAUAGGUUUUUAAUAUCGAAAAUUGUGUUAAUCAAAUAGUUCGAAAUACGAAGUUAGCCUUCAAACUCAUCAUAGAUAUCCUGCUAAAGUGUUAUAAUCUAAAUUAUAUUUCAUAAUCAACGAAUAAUUCAUACUAAUCAUCAAUUAGGAUGAAUACGAAUACGAAAGUACAACUAGGAACAGAACGAAUACAAAAGCAUAACUAGGAAAAGAACGAAUAGGAAUACUAAAGUAAUAAUGCAAAAAUAAUAAUACGAAUAUGAAUGCGAAUACGAAUGCGAAUACGAAUACAAAUACGAUUAGGAUUAGGAAUAGGAAUAGGAAUAUGAAUACAAAUGUGAGUACGAAUGCGAAUACGAAUACGAAUACGAUUAGGAUUAGGAAUAGGAAUAGGAAUACGAAUACGAAUUCGAAUAUGAAUGUGAAUACGAAUGCGAAUACGAAUACGAAUACGAUUAAGAUUAGGAAUAGGAAUAGGAAUGCGAAUAUGAAUGCGAAUACGAAUACGAAUGUGAAUACGAAUACGAAUAGGAUUAGGGAUAGAACUAGGAAAUCGAAUACUAAUGCAAAUACGAAUACGAAUACGAAUAUGAAUACGAAUACAAAUAUAAAAUACGAAAAUGAAUAUGAUUAAGAAUAGAAAUACGAAUACGAAGGCACUCAUCUAGGUACAUUCAAGUGUAUCACAAUUAGGAUAUCAGAAUACCUUGCUAAUAUGAAAAGUAUAAUAGAUAAUCGAAUAUUAAAUUGGUGUCCAAUAACUAAACUUACUUAUAGGAAAAUAUAGGGUUUUCCUGGGAUAACAUAACAACUCGUAAACGAAUUAAGAAACGAAUGGAUAACUAAACUAUUAGGAAAAAAUGGGAUUUUCCUGGGGUAACAUACAACACGUAAUCGAAUUGGUAACAAAUGAUAACUAAACUGUUUCACAUAAGAAAAUAUGGGAUUUUAUUGGAUAACAACUUUUUCAGAAAACUAAAAGGGAACUCGUUCAUUUUCAUAAAACAAAACCGUUUAUGAACUCACCAGCUUUAUGCUGAUUUUCAAACUGCUUGUAUUCUCAGGUCCAUUUUAGACAGGUACCCAACGAUCUUUUUUGGAGAAAACGGAGCGUACAAAAGACUAGUCUUUGCUUUUGUCUAUAUAUAUAUAUAUAUAUAUAUAUAUAUAUAUAUAUAUAUAUAUAUACACAAACAUAUGUAUCAACACUUGUAACACUUUNNNNNACACAUAUGUAUGAUCACUUGUAACACUUUACUUUUGAACAUAUGUAAAUUCUAAUAUGUAAUGUAAUGGUUGUUUACUUGCUUACUAUGUACAUUGGAUUUGAUACUCAACGUGGAGUCCGCCCCAAAAAUGUUUCCGCCUUUGGUUUUCGGGGUGUGACAGAUUGGUAUCAGAUCCCUUGUUUAUAGUGAACUAGUAUACCAAACCUUACAUGGUAUAAAACUAUAAACACUAAAGGGCCUAAGUGCUCUGAACUAAAAGUAUACCUCAAAUAUAAGUAUUUUCAAAAGUAUACAAGUAUACCCAACCGUCGAAAUCCGUAACUACAAGUAGAACAAAACAUAAGUAAAUGGGUGUUGUACGCUGCGGUUAAACCUGGGCAGUUAUGUAGUCUUGUCUAGGAUCAAUAUAGCCUGGCCAACUAUAUUCAUUCGAGACACGACCAACAUGUGCUUGGGAGUGAUGUAACAACCCGAAGUUCGUUCCAUCGCCGAAACCCGUUUCCCCCUAUAAAUUCGUCUUUUUCAAAUCUUUUCCGUUUACAUUUUUUUAAAAUUAAGUCAUUUAUUCCGAGACUUCUAUAAUGACUUAAUUAGUAUCCAAACCCAUUAGAAACUCAAAAAAACAUUCCAAAUUAUCAAUUAGAAAAAUUUAAGUUUCAACCCUAUCGGGUAACGACAACUUAAUCGGGUGCGACCAAAAGCCCCAUUUAACGUCGGUAUCGGGUAGAAAUUCACCGUGUCCCGAACUUAGGACCUAUUUUAAGCUCAAAAGACUUCAUUUGAAGCCUUUCCUCUCUCUCACUACUCUCUCUCUAACCUCUCUCGUCAAACUCAAGAAUUAGGUCCAAAAUCAUCAAAUUUAUGCUCCAAAACACCAAGGUAACUACCCUAACUCCUAGUAUAGCAUCUUAGACCUUCAAAUUCGAGUUCAAAUCAUGGAAUAGGACCAUAUUCAUGAGUUUACAGCCCUAGAACAGUCCUAGGCCGUGAACUCACAUAAAAUGGGUUUUGGAGCCCAAAAACCCUUCCAAUCGACCUUUGGAGCUUAGAUAUGACUUAGGGGCUUAUCAAAAUGGACUUAGAACUCCUUGAACUUAACUUUUGGAGACUAAACAUGAUUUUACUACCCAAGAACAAGCUUGGGCUAUAAACUCCAUAUCAUGGGGAGUAAACUCAUUUUGAAAUGUUAAAAUGCCAUUUAAACACACCAAUAGCCUUGGAAUAAAUUCUAGAAUCAACCACAAACAACUUAGAAGCCUAAAACAUAAGGAAUUCAACUCCCUAAGGAGUUCACGGCCAUAUGAAGGGGUAUUGGGCCGUAAACUCCUAAAGAUAUGUCAAAUGAUGCCCAAAAAUCCAUCCAGGGCUUUUAAAAUGAGUUUAAGUCACAUAUGAUUGUCCUAGCACCACCAAAACAUCAAGGAUUGAGUGUGGGGGAGUUUACGGUCGUAAAAUCCAUGUUUACUGUCGUAAACUCAAAUAAGUGAUCCAUAAGAGAGUUUAAUCCAUUCCAAGGACUUAGAUUUAAUCCUAGCUAAUUUUCCCAAGUCAUGUAAAGCCAUUUAGCAACCAAAAUCACGCCACCAUGAGUUACGGCGGUAAAAUCAUGGGGAAUGUGUCAUUAGGGCUGAAAACACCCGUAAGAUUUUACUCUUGAAGAGUAAAAUCCAUAUCCAAGCCUUAUGUGUCCUCAAAUGCCACCCGGGUCCCUCCAAACACUUGUAAUAAAGUAUUUUCGCAUCUAGAAGUGUUUGUCCCUAACUAAUAAAUAAUUUAAGUUCUAAUUAGAUACAAAUGUGCAUCUUCUCUUAAUACUUAGGAAUCUUGUUCAUUUGCAAACCCAGAACUGACGUUUAGGAUCCAAACCGACGCAUUCCUCAACCGGUGAGUUCAUACCCCUACCUUUUUUCUGUGUUUUUCAAAUGUUUUCAGGGGGAAUACAAGCAAAAGUACAAGGAUAUCUUGUACUCAAACUUAUCAUUUUCAGUUCAAAUAUCUAUAUUCUGUAUGUUUUUAAUAUCGAAAACUGUGUUAGUCACCUAGUUCGAAAUACGAAGUUAGCCUUCAGACUAAUCAUAGAUAUCCUGCUAAAGUGUUAUAAUCUAAAUUAUAUUUCAUAAUCAACGAAUAAUUCAUGCUAAUCAUCAAUUAGAUUGAAUACGAAUACGAAAGUACAACUAGGAACAGAACGAAUACGAAAGCAUAACUAGGAAAAGAACGACUAGGAAUACUAAAGUAAUAAUGCAAAAAUAAUAAUACGAAUUCGAAUGCGAAUACGAAUACGAAUACGAAUACGAUUAGGAUUGGUAAUAGGAAUAUGAAUAGGAAUAUGAAUAGGAAUACGAAUGCAAAUACGAAUUCGAAUACGAAUACGAGUACGAUUAGGAUUAUGAAUAGAAAUAGGAAUGCGAAUACGAUUAUGAAUGCGAAUACGAAUACGAAUAGGAUUAGGUAUAGAACUAGGAAAUCGAAUACUAAUGCAAAUACGUAUACAAAUACGAAUAUGAAUACGAAUACAAAUAUAAAAUACAAAAAUGAAUAUGAUUAAGAAUAGAAAUACGAAUACGAAGGCACGCAUCUAGGUACAUUCAAGUGUAACACAAUUAGGAUAUCAGUAUACCUAGCUAAUAUGACAAGUAUAAUAGAUAAUCAAAUAUUACAUUGGUGUCCAAUAACUAAACUUACUUUUAGGAAAAUAUAGGAUUUUCCUGGGAUAACAUAACAACUCGUAAAUGAAUUAUGAAACGAAUGGAUAACUAAACCAUUAGGAAAAAAUGGGAUUUUCCUGGGGUAACAUACAACACGUAAUCGAAUUGGUAACAAUUGAUAACUAAACUGUUUCACAUAAGAAAAUAUGGGAUUUUCUUGGAUAACAACUUUUUGAGAAAACUAAAAGGGAACUCGUUCAUUUUCAUAAAACAAAACCGCUUAUGAACUCACCAGCUUUAUGCUGAUUUUCAAACUGCUUGUAUUCUCAGGUCCAUUUUAGACAGGUACCCAACGAUCUUUUUUGGAGAAAACGGAGCGUACAAAAGACUAGUCUUUGCUUUUGUCUAUAUAUAUAUAUAUAUAUAUAUAUAUAUAUAUAUAUAUAUAUAUAUACACAAACAUAUGUAUCAACACNUAUGUAUGAUCACUUGUAACACUUUACUUUUGAACAUAUGUAAAUUCUAAUAUGUAUACUCUACGUGGAGCCUGCCCCGUAAAUGUUUCCGCCUUUGGUUUUCGGGGUGUGACAUUACUACUCACUAUUUCUAAGUACAAUGAAACAUACAAGAGUCGGUUCAUUCAUGAGUCAAUACAAACUUACUAUUAUGAGAAACAGAAAUAACAUACUAUGAUGAGAAAUUAAGAGAACAUACACCUCACUAUCUACUAUACACUAGAAUAGAGAGAACACACAAUACACUAGAACAUACUAUACAAAUACUAGAAUAUUAUAACCUUAAUGUGAGUCUACUUCAUGGCAUAUCAACAAAUUUGUUGUGUCACGUUUGGUAACCAGAGCCUCCUGGAAGGAUAGCGGACAUUGUGUGUAUAGAUCUAUACGGGACUAAAAAGCCCCCAUCCCGACUGUUCGCUACAGUUGGCGGAAAGGCCAAGGGUGACAAAUGUCGUGUUAUCUACCUGUUGAUUUAGCAUGGUUGCUACAACAUCACAUUCAAACCUUAAUUUAACAAACUGGUUUAAGGUAGUUAGUACAUUGGUAGUUACUCACAUACAAUACUACAAUCCUUUAUUAUUUUCCCAUUGCAUUCACAUUGUGAUCUUGUCACAUAAAUGAUAAUGUAAAAACUAUAUUUUCGGUAAUGAUAGUCAUAUUUGGGAAGGAUACACACUUUUACAAAUAAACAGCAUGUAGGACAUUUGGGUCUAGGUAGAAGGCUACUUUUUAGUAGAAAAUAUAGGAUUUCUAGGAGAUGCAAGCAUUUACUACAAACACUUAAAAAGUUUUACAUCAAACAUUUUCAUACAAACAAUGACACUAAAAUACUUAUGAACUCACCGGCUUAAAUGUUGAUCCUAUCUUUCAAAAUAACUUGUAUUCUCAGGUUAUCAGUAGACAGGUACCGAUGCCAGGUUUUGAGAAGACGGAGCUUUCAAGACUCGUCUUUAUUUUGAUUAUUCUUUUUUUUGGUGUCUUAUUAUUAUACAUAACACACUUGUAUUAUAUUAUACUGUUAAUACAAUGGAUGAUGUUGUUGCUUGUUUACUAUUAUGCAUUGUUGUGAUAUUGCACAUGACGUCCUCUGCCCCCGAAUGUUUCCGCCAAUUCGGUUUGGGGGUGUAACAAAUUGGUAUCAGAGCAUUGUUUAUAGUGAAUCGAGUAUAUCAAACCAUAAAAGAUAUACAAACUAUAAACACAACGGGAUUAAAAUAUUCUGACCAAGAGUUUAUACUUUUAAAUAAUAAAAUAUUUAACUAAGUAUAGAUACCUGCAUUCAUACUAAAAUUAGUGUCACUAUGACAUAACAAAAGUAUUACGAUUGUUGAACAACAUAAUUAGGCUUAGAGACAUAUGAUCAGAUUUGGGAUUAAUAUAGCCUGAUCAACUAUAUUUUCCGAGAAGUGAUUAGCAUGUGCCUAAGAAUGGUUGUGGUGUUACAACAAGUCCAAAAACUUACCAACACUACUACAAUGAAAACAUUAGAACAGAACAUAAACCUAAAAUACUAUAGGAGUAUUUUGUGUUACUAUAAUUACUUGUUUGAGAACUAAAGGUCUUUACUAGUAGGUCAACAGUUGCUAAGUGAAUACACUAAGGUUAUAUGUGACUAAGGUGUCAUAGACUUAGAAUCUGUGAUCUUUGCUUUAUUUCCUGUUCCUUGUUUGGUUGUGGAUUUGGAGUUAGGGUCACUUACUUAAAGGUCUAUCCAAUCUUGGUUAUAUAUGACUGGUAUGCACUGUGCAAGUAUUAAAGUAACUGGUAAGGAUCAUCCUAUAAUUAGCUUAAUUAGUACGUCUAUUAACUAUUUCUUUUAUCCCUAUUCUCACGUAGAUAAAUAUGGUUGGAUUCCAUCUCCUCGGCGACCCUUACUUCCCAAAUCAAGGAAAUAUUGCUUGGCUUGAUGCCGAACAAGAAGAAGAGCCUAAAAUCCCCUUGGAUGAUGACUUUGUAGAGAACUUAUCGGAGGAUUCUGACUCCGAGCCCGAAGUCAAUAAUCUACCCCCUGUGGCUCCUGUCCCAAAUCCUAACCCUCGCCCGACUUUUCAAGGCCCGACGCCUCAGUGGGUGGAAAGCUUGGAAACAUGGAGUCAAGAAUAGGAUCAACCCAUGCCAUACAAUGGAGAUAGAAGCUUCUACAAUUUGAGCGAAGGAAGCUCAACAGACAGAGUCCUGCCAAUUCUUGUCCGCAAGGUUGCUCAAAACGAAAUAUAGGGUAGGACAGCCCUCAACUAAAUCAUGGAGGUGGAUGCCAAUGCGAGAAUGCAUACAAUCCGCACCAUUCAUCUUGAAGAUGCUCGUGAGAGAUCUAUGAGAGACAACGAGGCCCUACAGUAAGAGGUUGCUGCAACUCGGGCUGAAGUCAUUGAAAUCCGAGUACGCAAGAGAGUAUAUGAACGACAACUUCUUGACAUGGAGCGUCAACUGGCAAGCUUGAGGGUUCACCUGAGGGGUACCCGUCGUCUAUAGAAGAUACUCUAUUCAUCCUCCCUUUAGGUUUAAGGAAUAGCUUUCGUAUAUAUGUUCUAUGUAACACUUUUCCAUCUAACUACUCCUAUACUGUAGGUACUAUUUCACUAGCUCUUUGUUCUGCAAAACAUUCUACCACUUCUGAUUUGAUGUAAGACUUACUCAAAAGUCAAUUGUCCCGAACUUAUUACAUCUUUAAUGUGACAUCCCCAUUUUCAUGGCCAGAAAAAGACCGAUUUUGUUUAUGCUUUAUUAAAUCAGACUACCUCUUUUAAUAAAAAUAUUGCGGAAUUUGUUCCUAGUAAAACAUGAUAAAUACGUUAUCUGUAACGCCCGCAGAUCCGGGCUAGUCAAAUUAGAGGCAAUAAGUGUCGAAAACGUCUUUUCGACAGAAGCUUAUAAAUAAUUUGAACCAAGUUGUAGUAUAUGUCACUAUGUUUCUGUACAUAUAAAGAAUGCCGAAAUCCGAGUUAUUACAAAGAAGUUAUGAUCCGUCGAAGUUUCGCGACGGAACCGGCUCGAUACCGGGAGGCGUAAAUAGUGAAUUUACGAUAGAGCGAGAUUUAGCCUUGGCGCUGUAAACGAAAGUCAUAGAAUAUGUUAAACUAAGAAGUUCGAUAAAAAGAACGCCCAAAUCUGACUUCGUAUGAAGAAGUUAUGAUUUUUCGAAGUUUCAGAUUAGCAGUGUACAGCCCGAAAUUCAAAUAUUAGAUCGAGCGAUCUUUAGCCGAUACAACCUGAACAAGAAUCGAAGAUCUCGUUAAGAGUAGCAUAACGAGAAAAAGAUGGGCGAAAACGGACGUCGGAUGAAAAAGUUAUGAGGAUUUAAUAGCCCAAUCCUGUCCCGGCAUGUUAAAAAUAUAACUUCAAAAAUAAAGUCAAAAUUAGUCGACAGAGUCUAAACGAAAGUUGUAGAGUACGUCUCCACCUAAGCAUGGAUAUAAAGAACAUCAAAAACGGAGUUUGUAUGAAUGAGUUACAAAUUAUAAUAGCAUAUUUACGUAUUAAAAUAAUGUAUAAAUCAUAUAUACGUACACAUAUAUAUACAUAUGUAUAUAUCAUUAGAAAGGUAUCGACGAUGCGGUCAUUAUAAGACUAAUGUUGAGUUCUUUCGACAUUAGUUUAGUGCAAAUAUCGUUAAAUCUAUUUAAAAUAGUAUUAUAAAGGGGUGUUUAGUUGUUUAUAUAACUAUGAGGUCAUUAAGUAAUUAUGAAGGGUGGUUUUUGUAAAUUCAAUUACUAAAAAUAAGAGGCUUGGGUUCUCAUAUUUCUUGCUCCAUUCUCUUGAUUCAAGAGUCUUGCUCUCCUUAUCCCCCGAGCAUUUCGGUCCCUCGUCAUUCGACUUCUCUUUAUGUAGUUUUAGUAUAGUAAGGUGAGCAUUAAAGCACUGCACGAAUCUUUCUUAAAAAUAUUCAACGACGAAGUUUUGCCCCUACAGAGCCCGACUCCUAGCUAAAAUCCCCUUGUAAGUAAGUUAAGCUUACCCUAUUUUAAAUAUAGUUUAUAUUUAAAAUUAGUACUGUUAUUAUAAACUUAUAAUAAAUAUUUGAGCUAUUAUUAUGACUUAUAUAAGUAUCGUUAUAAUAUCUUUUUAACUACUCGCGGUACGGGGAAUCUGGUUUAAUGUGCCGCAUAGGGUUGCUGGAUUUCAGAAGUGCUAUAUGCGAAAAUGGUCCUGCCCCCCGGUGUUUUAUGCCUGGCCCCUGUCUGUACAUAGUGGUUUGAAAGUAUUGUUUAAACGUUUUUAUAAUAAUAAUAAUAAUAAUAAGACAAAUAAUUAGUCACGGUAAAUAUUAGACUAAAAUCUAGUGGUAAUAAUACUAGGUUUCGUCGAAGGAAAUUAUUUUAAAGUAAACGAAGCGCUGUCCGAGUACCGAGUCACCACCUUCUCAGGUGAGUGCAUAGUCCCUUUCAUCUUACACAUAGAUAUGAAGUAUUUUAAUAUAAAUUACGUCUUUUGUGUGCAUAUUGUCUGAAUACUUGUUGUCUAUGCUGGGUGAAAGAUUUUUAUACAUGUUUUAAACGAUUUAAAGUAUAUAUGUAUUUUAUAUCUACAAAAUGUGUUGGGUAAAACACGGGUAGAUGAAAUAGUUGUUUUUUGAUAACACGAUGGGAGACAUCAAUGUUGUCAGUGAUCCAGUCAUCUAGUUGACUAUAGAUGAUGACCAUGGGCGAUAAUAGACGGUCAGGUGGAACGCUAGGUGUUUUUGAACUAGGUGCUCAUUAGGUAUUUUGAACUGAGUGUGUUCACUACGUAUCUUUGAUCUGAGUGUGUUCACUAGGUAUUUUGAACUAAGUGUGUUCACUAGUUACUUUUGAACUAAGCGUUUACCAGAUGUUUUGGACUACGUCUUCCCCGUUUCCGUUAAUGGAAUAUUCUAUCUUAUAAAAGUCCUGUUAAUUUGAGGUCGUCAAAUAAAUAAAUGUUUUAUAUAUUUAUAUUUUAUGUCGUUAUCGUCGUGAUAAAAUAAAUAAAAGCACGUAAAGUACAUUUCCAUAUAAAUUGGAAAAAGUUAAUUUUAUUACGACCACUAAAUCGGGUGCGACCAAAAGCCCCGUUUAACGACAGUAUCGGGUAGGUUUCCACUGAGCCUUAACUCCAACCCCUAUAUAAGGGGAAUGGACUUCAUUCCACCCUUUUUACUCUCUCUCUCUCUCUACAACUUAAAUUCGAGCCAAAAAUCAUCCGUUUCGAGCCCCACACGAGUAAGCAUCCUAUCCUAACUUGUUGUAUAGCUUAUCUAACAUGCAAAUCCGAGUUUAAGACAUAAAAUAGGGACAAAAUGAUGUGUUUACAGCCCAAGAACACUAGUGGACCGUGAACACCAUUUAAUGGGACUUUUAAGCCCCAAAACCCCUCCAAAUUGCCCCUAAGGCUUAGGUAUGACUUGUAGGCUUAUGGAAUCGGACUUAGAACACCUUGAACUAUAAUUUUGGGGAGUAAACUUGACUUUACUAUCCAAGAACUUUCUUGGUCCGUAAACUCCCCUUCAUGGGGAGUAAACUCAAUUCCAUGUGUUAGAAAUGCCCUUAAACACACCAAUGGCAUUGGAUUAAAUUCUAGAAUCAACCACCAACAAGUUAGGGACCUUAAACUCAAUUAAACCAACUCCAUGAGGAGUUGACGGCCGCAAACCCUUCAUGAAAGGGUACCUGGGCCGUAAACUCCUACAAAGGGGUUAAAUGGUGCCCUAAACUCACCCCUUGACUUGUAAAAAUGAGUAGAACCAAUUGUGAUUUACUUAUGGCCUUCAAAAUAAUUUAUGAAUGUGUGGGUGAGAGUUUACAGCCGUAAAAUCAUAGUUUACUGCCGUAAACUCAUCAAAUGGUCCCAAUGUUUUAAUUAGUCCCUUUCUAAUGCCUUAGAACAAAAGCUAGCAUCAUCCCUAAAUUGAUAAAGGGCCAUUUAACACUCAAGAACCUCAUCCAUGAGUUUACGGCCGUAAACUCAUGGGUAUGAGGUGUUUAGGUCCGAAAUCUCUCCUAACAGUUUACUCUUGAAGAGUAAACUCCUUAUACAAGUCAUACACACCCUUAAAUGUUACCCGGGACACCCCUAACACUUAAUCAAAGUGUCUUUCGCACUUUAGGAUGCAUAUACUUGUUUAAUUAGUAUUAUAUGUACUAAUUGUAUGUGAACAUAUCUUAUCAUAUUUUAAUAGGUCACUAAGUGUGUUCAAGUCUUUACUUGACACCAAGCACCCAAUCGUCACCUUCGUCAGAUCCACUUACAUCAGGUGAGUUCAUACCCCUGAAUGAACCUUUUAAAUGUUUCUACAUGUUUUAAUGGGGGGAAUACAAGUUAAACAUUCCAGUUAUCACAUCAAUCACAUGUGAUUGAUAACCCGCAUGCACAAGGAUUUACUACACUGUAAAUUGUUUUAUCGAGUAUGAUACUAUAAAUGGUUUUCUAAAAUGUUUUCACUUGUUCAAAACUCUUACUUAUAUUGUUUUAUCAAAGUUUCAUUGAAAACUGAUUUAUGAAAGGUUUCAAAAGGAUUUCUAAAGUUUUUCAAACUUAUUUUACAAAAGAAUACCCAAUCGUGAUUUUCUUAAGUAUAAAGGUUUUCUUCCAUGUUUUGAUACUCCUACUUGGUUAAGAUACUACUGCUUCACUCCUACUUAGUCAAUGCUCCUACUUGAUGAUGCUUUUACUUCGUAAAACACUUCUACUUAGUGAUACGUUCCUACUUCACUUAUACUUCAUACGCUCCUACUUCACUUAUACUUGAUACGCUCCUACUUUACUUAUACUUGAUACGCUCCUACUUCACUUAUACUUGAUACACUCCUACUUCACUUUUACUUGAUACGCUCCUACUUCACUUAUACUUGAUACGCUCCUACUUCACUGACACUUGAUAAAGCUUUUACUUCACGAUACGCUUCUACUUCACGAUAAGUUUCCACUUAUUUAAGUGCAUGCCUAUGCUUGUAUAGUUAUAUAAAUAAUGUUUAAAGGACUUAGGAAUGCUAGUCGCCCUAUUUCCUUUUCCUCGUUUGGAUGUGGUCUGGUGGGAUCGGGUAUUCAUCCGAAGGUCGUCUAAUCAUAUAUUAUAUAUCAUAUAUACAUGUAUAGACAUGGAAGUUUACGUCGGUCAGUUUAGUUAUGAGUCUUUACUACUAUUCCAACACUUUCAUCAGAUUUCACUAUUUGGGAUGCAUCCUUCGGACAUGGCCUUCUCCGUUGUCUAGUUGGUAACCAGAGUCUCUUGUAAGGAGCGCGGAUAUUGUGUGUAUAGAUCUAUACGGGAUUGACCCCCCCGCACCCUGACUGCUAGCAACAGUCCACGGCCUACCAAGCCAAGGGGUGACAAAUGUCAUAUUUUACACAGACGCUUGUAGGGCGUCAAGUACUCUAGUGUCGGUUAGUAUGGUUACGAGUAUCUCAGGUUACCUUAUAAUUCAUGGUCUUAAGGUAACGAUAUUUAACAUUGUAUGCGGGGAACACACUCUUAGAGUUACACUGUUUUAGACCUUACUAGCUGUAUCUUUCAUUUGGUACUGUCUGGGGUCUGUAUUCUCCGUUUUAGACCUUACUAGCUGUAUCUUUCAUUUGAUACUGUCUGGGGUCUGUAUUCACUAUUUUUAGACCUUACUAGCUGUAUCUUUCAUUUGAUACCAUCUAGGGUCCGUGUCUCAUGUUGUUAGACUGAGCCAGGCGUGUCGUUCAUUCGAUACUCUCCUGGAGUCUAUGAUUCCUUUUGCCUUAGUCAGCAGUGAGUCUUCACUGCUGAGGCAUAUGUUAUUUUCCCUGUUAUUCUCCUAUUGCCUUUAAUAAUCAAAUUCCGUAUUUUGAUAAUGAUAGUGUUUAAGGGAAAACUACUUUUUACAACAUAACUCCGUCCAGUCUUGGUAGAAGACUGCAUUUAAUAAAGAAAAUAUAGGAUUUUAUGCAAAGGACUCUAAUUCAAUGGGUAUUCUAAAACCACUACUUUUAUAAAGUUAUUUGGAUAAAAUGACACUAAAUACUUAUGAACUCACCAGCAUUUGUAAAAAUUCUGAUACUCGUUUUUCAAAUAACUUGUAUUCUCAGGUCAGCAUUAGACAUGUACAUCCCCGGGAGCUUUUGAUGAAGACAGUUUAGUACCAGGCUGCAUCUAUAUUAUUACUUGUAUUACUUUGAUGUUCCAUGUAAUGUAAACCAUGUAUAUUAUUCUGCCGUUCCGGUUUUGGGGUGUGAUAGAUUGGUAUCAGAGCAUUGUUUAUAGUGAGCUAAGUAUAUCAAUUCAUAAAAGAUAUACAGCCUAUAAAUACAUAGGGAUAAAACAUUCUGACCAAGAAUUAUACUUUUAAAUAUAACCAUAUUUUACCAAAGUAUAAGAACAUCCAGAAUCUAAACACUCGAACACAAGUAUCACAAGAAGAACAAUAAUAAAAGUCUUCGGAUGUUGAGCAUUACCGUCAAACCUGGGCAGUUAUGUAAUCGUAAGCUGGAAUAAAUGUAACCUGAUGAACUACAUUUAUUCGAGAUGCGAUGAAAUUGUGCUUGGGAGUGAUAGUGGUGUUGCAACAAGUCUGAAACUUACCAACUAGGAGUGCUAGAGCCACACAUAAAGUUUAAAAUACUAUAGGUGUAUUUUGGAACACUAAAAGACUCACAUUAAUCCCAGAAUCAUAUUCGGAAGAUAAGAAACAAACAAGAAAUUAAAAUACCAUAGGGGUAUUUUAGGAUCCAUACAUAAACUUGUGUGAAGAACUAAAAAGAUCCUUAUUGAUAUACCUACAACUACAGAGGGUAUACUCCCAAGGUUAUACAUAAUAAGGAUCCCAUGGGCUAAGAAUGUGUAGUUUCGCUCUACUUCCUUUUCCUCGUUGGGAUGUGGAUAUAGAGUAGUAUCACAUAUUCGAAGGCCUAUCGGAUCUAAGUUAUAUAUGAUUUGUAUAACCUGUGUAAUCGUAGCAAGACUCGAUACGGAUCCCCCAGUGAAAUGUUAAUAAUCUCUUUGGAUUCUUUAGAUAUUUCCAUUCUCGCACGAACCCUGUAGACAACCCUACCCACUUUAGUACUCGACAGAAGAGUUGAUUCAGACCCAGAAAAGGUUCAUUGAAAAGAUUUCUUGUUCGGAAAAUAAAUGAACUAGGUCAAGACUAUUGGAAUCACCAAGUGCCUAUAUCAUUUUAGGGACAUCGGUGAGAAAUUAGCCUAAACUUCCGAGAUUUCCAGUCAACCAUCAUGAAGUGAUGACACCCAGAGUCGGAUUCGGAAGUAAGGCGGAGUAGAAAUUUAAUACGUCUUCACAAGAAAAGAACCCUAGGUAACUACCCGAAGGAAACCAACGCCGGUCCCAGUCAAAGCUACGAGGUAGACAGAGGGAGCCAGUACAUGGAACCCGAGAAGUGUAUUUUCAUCGUGUUCGUCACGCUAAUACACCUAUAAAUUAAUACAAUUUAGUGAGUUAGUGGUUACACUACUCAUGUUAUGUGUUAGGUAAAUCGCCAUUUCCCGUUGCCAGUAACACGAUUAGAGCGGAUCCCGACACCUCUAUUGAGAGUGUUUAGCCAUAAGCCUUCAUGGGCCUCUCUUUCUGCGGUUUUCGUUCCGAACUGCUCUUAAAUGUUUCCAGACCGGAGAGUGAAACCUUUCCCAGUAUAAAGGUAACUUAGUAGGAACGACUCUCACCUUAUAACCUUUUUCCGAUACUCAUACUCCUACCUUGAAUACCAGGACUACAUCAUAGGGAUGUACGUCGACACUCAGACGACCAACAUCCGAGGCACGGAAAAAAUUUAUGCCUAAUACGGUCAGGACAGAUAUGUCCAGGGUCAGCCAUCGUCUCUCAUUAUCUUGUGUUCCUUCCCGUGUAGGAAAACCAUGCCUCCAAAGAAGCGUAACCAGUCCGCAAGCAAGAAACCUACUCUCCUAUUCGAUGAAGCUACGUUCCAAGCUGCAGUCUCGGCAGCCGUAGCAGCUGUCAUGGCUCACCUGAAUGCUAACAAUGCCAAUGUUAGCAAGAGCUCUAUCGGGAAUUCUGAUCCUAGUGGUGGACAGCGGCAACCAUCCUCUGUGUACGCAGCCACCCAAGAACCUCAGCUAAUUCCACUAAAGAGAAAACUCAAGAUCGAGGAGGGAUGUACUCGGCUCAAGGACCUUCCGAAGGGCAACGAGCUGAGACAGUCAAUGCCCCUGUUAAUCCUUCCCUCCUGGCUUCAAGAAGACCAUACCUAGGAAGCCUUCCCCACUACAGCACGUGCAGUUACCACCAUCAUGAUAGCUGACGAGAACUCUUUUGUGCUAGGUGCAAUAUGAAGGGCCAUGCUGCUCGCGUCUGCAGAAUUUUGGUUGAGUUAUUACAUCAACCACCAGUGUGACAGACAAACCAAUUUGCUGCCUAUGUGGUGAGAUUAGACACUUCAAAAGGAACUGCCCAACUGAAGGAAACAACAAAGACACAGGAGGAGCCUAACUCUACUGCUUAGGGAGAAGCAUCAAGGAACCCGGUAGAAUUUGGUACGUCUCUCAUUCUCAUAUAACUAACCAAAAACAUUAAAAGGCUAAUUCAAAUGUAAAUAUUUCCCCAGUAAGGCGAAAGUCGUAGCACUGUUAUAACAUUUAAAAAUUUCAUCAGGUAAAACUAUAAUGGCUAAACAUAUAAGUUACGGCCAUGUAUAGGUAAGAUGGAUAGACCUAGAGUGAGUGAAUGUCGCCUCAUUUCAUGUUCCUCGUUUGGUUGUGGAUUUAGGGAGGAGACACUUAGUCAACAAUCCUCCCCACCUUAAUUAUACAUGACUAGUAUAUGUUAGGCUAUUAUAGAGAUGCCUUGUGAGAAUCUGUUCAUGAAAAGAUACUCUAUUCAGAAACACUCAGGACCCUCUACAGCUUCGCGUCGACUCUAUCGGUCCCAGUAUCCGCGUCAGAGAUACACGGGACGAAACCCGAGACGCCUAGAACUUGUAUGCCCGUUCGGAACAUGACUCUAUCGAUCCUCAUUUUAUAUCAUGUCGAAGUAUGCCAACUUCGACGACACUAUCGAUCAUGGUUCGACUUCGUGCAACCAUGUGUAAAUCCUUAGUGCUGAGUAAAAAGAGCUUUCUCCGUAAGCCAUUUCGGCAAAUUAAGGUUCUUCCGAACCUAAACAUAAUACAAAUAAUAAAACCUAAUGUGAUCUGUCAUUCGUCCCUCUUAUCUAAAACCUUCUAAAGUACCCAGGAGAAGGGUAUCGCGCGCUGUUAACCAAUCCCUCUUAAACGGAUAGAAGCCGAAGCGAGAGACACUGCAAGCAUUCCAGAAGACAAUAACCACCCGAAGCAUACUCCGUAGAUCCCCCAAAAAGACCCUCGCACCUCGCAAACCAGGUUCGUAAACCCAGAGGAUAGAACUCAUGGGACUAACCACUAUAACGGAGUAUAUGCAUAAAGGUGGUAUCUAAUUGAUAUCAAAAAGAUUUAAGAUGUGUGCUUCCUCCCUACUCCCUGUUCCUCGUUGUGUUGUGGGUCUGGGGUGGAGUCGCACAACUGAACAUCCAGCCGACCUCAAUUAUAUAAAGCUUGAAUACACCAAGUAUUAGUGGUUAAGCCAAGUAUGAGCUUAACCACGAACCCCAUAGAAAGACCCUUCAUCAUAUCCCAUGUAUUGGGAGCUAUAUUCAAGAGAAGCACGGCGGGUUGAGCUACUAUAAUGACCACCAAUCCGAAAUUCGUAGUCCUCCUGGUUAGACCAACAUUGUAGUUAACAUCCUCAGUUGAUAAAGGGAUCUGAGUCGUAAGAGUCAAGGACAUUGACUACGACCAUCCACUCACGCUUAUCCCACAAAUUAAGCAUCUCAGCGGAUAUCCCGGAAAUCCGAAAGCUGCGAUGAGUUGAACUCUUAGAAGAGUGGAUGAGGAGAUUAAUGUUCCGAGUGAUGGAACCCCGCACUCACUAGAUUUGACCUAGACCGAGAAAAACUCCGAAACUUCGGAAGAUUAGUCGCAGAAGAUGUUCGCACUACUCAGGCACUUCGUCCAUCCCGUUACCGACGAGUAGUGCCUAGAACCCUCCGCCUCUUGCGUGGAGCAAAUCGUCGUCGCCUUGUAGACGAUAGACUACAUUCUUCGAAGUGAACACUAGAAUACCGAGGACCACGGGAUAACCUCCGCAGCCAAGAAUACAAGAAUAAAGUGCAAGGGUAGGUUGUGUUAAGCCUUAUAACCCGGAAUCCCGGAGAGAUUAUAGACUUGAUGCCAGUCUAGGUGUUAGUCGAUGGGUUAUACAGGAGCACACGCUUUCCGCACUAGAAUAAACUAACGCCUUGGAAAUUUGGGCAUGUCUCACAAGAUUCAUUGGACUAUCAGGUGUUCCAUGAAUACUAUCUCACACAGAGAUAGUAGAACCACCCCCAGAGAUAGUCCAGCACUCGUCUGGUGAAACCCUAUCUCCCCGACCCUGAGGGUUCUGUUAGGAAUAUCUCAGGAAUUCACUAGUGUAGGUUCAUCUUGCACAAGAUUGAGAUAGCCACUCUACAACAAAAAGAUACUGCAGACACACAACCCAUCCGAUGAUCUAGAAAGUCUCUAAAAGCCAAUUUACAUGAAACGCGAAACCAAGGACAACCCGAGCCUCCUAAGAACCAACCUGAAGGACUACACUUCCAAUAUGAGAGAGAACGUUUGGAACUUCGAAAUGGUGAUCAUGCCAGUGAUGACCUCGCCAUAGAAGUACACUAUGUUCUAAGUACUGAAAAGCUCUAUCCUUCCGAGAGCUUUGGACCAUCCGAGAUCCUUUACAGAGAUGGGUCCAACCCUCAUCAGACGACUACCACUUUCGGAAAUUCCACGAGCUUCACCCCAGAUUGAUCCACGUCUUAUACUUGACAAGUGCUUGCCCGACGUCACACUUUGUAUCCCACUCAUCUUGACAGAAACCAUUGAGAACCCUAACAUCCUAGACACACCUGUAGGAAAUCAAUAACUACAUGAGACGGAAAUCCGCAUCCCGUAGGUGAAGGUCUACUGGAGUGACAAACAUAGGCCAGGGUUCACUUGAGAGUGCAAGGACAAACUGAAUAGGAAGUACCCUCCUGCCUCUACAUGGUCAUUCAUACCUACUUCCUUGCCUAAACCUGAAUUUCGGGACGAAAUUCCCUCUAAUGGGGGAAUGAUGUGACAACCCAAAGUUUAUUCCUUUACAUUACCCCGUUUCUGUUAACGGAAUAUUCCAUCUUAUAAAAGUCCCGUUAAUUUGAGGUCCUCAAAUAAAUAAAUGUUUUAUUUAUUUUUAUUUUAUGUCGUUAUCGUCGUGAUAAAAUAAAUAAAAGCACGUAAAGUACAUUUCCAUAUAAAUUGGAAAAAGUUAAUUUUAAUACGACCACUAAAUCGGGUGCGACCAAAAGCCCCGUUUAACGACAAUAUCGGGUAGGUUUCCACUGACCCUUAACUCCAAACCCUAUAUAAGGGGAAUGGACUUCAUUCCACCCUUUUUACUCUCUCUCUCUCUCUCUCUCUCUACAACUUAAAUUCGAGCCAAAAAUCGUCCGUUUCGAGCCCCAAACGAGUAAGCAUCCUAUCCUAACUUGUUGUAUAGCUUAUCUAACAUGCAAAUCCGAUUUUAAGACAUAAAAUAGGGACAAAAUGAUGUGUUUACAGCCAAAGAACACUCUUGGACCGUGAACACCAUUUAAUGAGCUUUUUAAGCCCCAAAACCCCUCCAAAUUUCCCCUAAGGCUUAGGUAUGACUUAUAGGCUUAUGGAAUCCGACUUAGAACACCUUGAACUAUAAUUUUGGGGAGUAAACAUGAGUCUACUUCCCAAGAACUUUCUUGGGCCGUAAACUCCCCUUCAUGGGGAGUAAACUCAAUUCCAUGUGUUAGAAAUGCCCUUAAACUUCUAGAAUCAACCACCAACAAGUUAGGGACCUUAAACUCAAUUAAAACAACUCCAUAAUGAGUUCACGGCUGUAAAACCCUCAUGAAAGGGUACCUGAGCCGUAAACUCCUACAAAGGGGUUAAAUGGUGCCCUAAACUCACCCCUUGACUUGUAAAAAUGAGUAGAACCAAUUAUAAUUUACUUGUGGCCUUCAAAGCAAUUUAUGAAUGUGUGAGUGAGAUUUUACAGCCGUAAACUCAUAAUUUACUGCCGUAAACUCAUCAAAUGGUCCCAAUGUUUUAAUUAGUCCCUUUCUAAUGCCUUAGAACAAAAUCUAGCAUCAUCCUUAAAUUGAUAAAAGGCCAUUUAACACUCAAGAACCUCAUCCAUGAGUUUACGGCCAUAAACUCAUGGGUAUGAGGUGUUUAGGGCCGAAAUCUCUCCUAAGAGUUUACUCUUGAAGAGUAAACUCCUUAUACAAGUCAUACACACCCUUAAAUGUUACCCGGGAUAACCCUUAACACUUAAUCAAAGUGUUUUUCGCACUUUAGCAUGCGUAUACUUUUUUAAUUAGUAUUAUAUGUACUAAUUGUAUGUGAACAUAUUUUACCAUAUGUUAAUAGGUCACUAAGUGUGUUCAAGUCUUUACUUGACACCGAGCACCCAACCGGCACCUUCUUCGGAUCCACUUACAUCAGGUGAUACUCCUACUUGGUUAAGAUACUACUGCUUCACUCCUACUUAGUCAAUGCUCCUACAUGAUGACACUUUUACUUCGUGAAACACUUCUACUUAGUAAUACGCUCCUACUUCAGUUAUACUUGAUACGCUCCUACUUCACUUAUACUUGAUAUGCUCCUACUUCACUUAUACUUGAUACGCUCCUACUUCACUUACACUUGAUACGCUCCUACUUCACUUUUACUUGAUACGCUCCUACUUCACUUAUACUUGAUACGCUCCUACUUCACUGAUACUUGAUAAAGCUUUUACUUCACGAUACGCUUCUACUUCACGAUAAGUUUCCACUUAUUUAAAUGCAUGCCUAUGCUUGUAUAGUAAUAUAAAUAAUGUUUAAAGGACUUAGGAAGGCUAUUCACCCUAUUUCCUUUUCCUCGUUUGGAUGUGGUCUGGUGGGAUCGAGUAUCCGUCCGAAGGUCGUUUAAUCAUUUAUUAUAUAUCAUAUAUACAUGAAUAGACAUGGAGGUUUACGUCGGUCAGUUUAGUUAUGAGUCUCUACUACUAGUCCAACACUUUCAUCAGAUUUCAGUAUUUGGGAUGCAUCUUCCGAACACGGCCUUCUCCGUUGUCUAGCUGGUAACCAGAGUCUCUUGUAGGGAGCGCGGACAUUGUGUGUAUACAUCUAUAUGGGAUUGACACCCCCGCACCCUGACUGCUAGCUACAGUCCACGACCUACCAAGCCAAGGGUUGACAAAUGUCAUAUUUUACACAGACGCUUGCAGGGCGUCAAAUACUCUAGUGUCGGUUAGUAUGGUUACGAGCAUCUCAGGUUACCUUAUAAUUCAGAGUCUUAAGGUAAUGGUAUUUAACACUGUAUGCUGGGAAUACACUCUUAGAGUUACACUGUUUUAGACCUUACUAUCUGUAACUUUCUUUUGAUACUGUCUUGGGUCUGUAUUCUCCGUUUUAGACCUUACUAGCUAUAUCUUUCAUUUGAUACUGUCUGGGGUCUGUAUUCAAUGUUUUUAGACCUUACUAGAUAUAUCUUUCAUUUGAUACCGUCUAGGUUCUGUAUCCUGUUGUUAGACUGAUCCAGGCGUGUCGUUCAUUCGAUACUCUCCUGGAGUCUAUGAUUCCUUCUGCCUUAGUCAGCAGUCUUCACUGCUGAGGCAUAUGUUAUUUUCCCUGUUAUUCUCCUACUGUCUUUAAUAAUCAAAUUCUGGAUUUUGAUAAUGAUAGUGUUUAAUGGAAAACUGCUUUUUACAACAUAACUCCGUCCAGUCUUAGUAGAAGACUGCAUUUAAUAAAGAAAAUAUAAGAUUUUCUGGAAAGGACUCUAAUUCAAUGGAUAUUCUAAAACUACUACUUUUAUAAAGUUAUUUGGAUAAAAUGACACAAAAUACUUAUGAACUCACCAGCAUUUGUAAAAAUGCUGAUACUCGCUUUUCAAAUAACUUGUAUUCUCAGGUCAGCAUUAGAUAUGUACAUCCCCGAGAGCUUUUGAUGAAGACAGUUUAGUACCAGGCUGCAUCUAUAUUAUUACUUGUAUUACUUUAAUGUUCCAUGUAAUGUAAACCAUGUAAAAUUAUUACCACUAACGCAAUGGUUGUUGAACUUUGAUUUACUAUACUACAUAUGUUGUGAUACUUGACAUGACGUCAUCCACCCCAGAACGUUUCCGCCAUUCCGGUUUUGGGGUGUGACAUGAUUCCUUAAGAUAAUCCUUAGGAAUGAAUGAACGAGAAAUAGCUGAUUCUUAGGGUAGAUCCUUAAGAGUAAAGAUGAUAAUGGGCAUGGGUAACUGGGUUUAAUUGCUUGAUUGUUUAAACAUAAUAAUUAUAUUAUUGUGGGUUGAAAACCCUAUGUACUCACCAGGUUUCCCAACCUGACCCACUCAGUUUAUUUAUAUCACAGGUGUUGAUAUGAAGUCACAUUACACUGAGAGAUUAAAGAGAUGUAGAUCACUAGUGUAAAUAAAUGUAGGCUCUGUUUAUGCUUAUGUUUCUGUAAUGACAAUGACAUCCCAAAUGUUUUAAAAUGAAUAAAAUACGCCUCUUCGAAAAUGUUUUAAUAACGUAUUUAUCGUGUUUUUCUGGGAACAAACUCCGCAACAUUUUUAUGAAAAGAAGUACUCUGACUUUUAUAAAGCAUAAACAAAAUCGGUCAUUUCUGGCCGUGAAAAUGGGGAUGUCGUAGUUGGUAUCAGAGCAUUAGUUUAAGCGAACUAGGAAUUUGUAGGAAAUUUCUAGACUUAAACUUAGAAUGCUAAGCAAUGAUUGUGAGAUGAGUGUCUGCUCUAUUUUAGAAACAAGAACUAGUUUAUUUUAGGAAAGAUGGCUAAAAUGUUUUAUGUGCUAAAUGAUUUAUGAUGCCUUAUUUGCUAUUAUUUGUUCGGAUCUAUGGUCUGUUGCCGACCGGAUCUGGAAAUUUUAUGUGUUAAGAUUUCUAAACGUUUGAUUACAGUAUUAGAACUGGCAUAUAACUUUUUAGCGUGACAAGGAGAUCUAUACGUCUAUCGUAAAUAAUUUUUUUUCCUUUCUUAAAAUUUUCGCCUCGGUACACCGAACGUCUGCUUCGGUGUACAAAGCGUCAUGGUGAAGACAGACUAGGGAAUAUCCGAGAAAGAUGACAACCUGAGCCUAAGAAUGUGAUGGGUCAUGCAUCGGUCGUUGCGCCUGCACUCGAACCUAUCACAAUGGUAGAAGUUCAGGAAGUGAUGCGAACCAUGAUAGACUGGGAAAAUAGAGGAAAUGAGAUGGCUUACGAUAUUGAAUGAUACGUAUCAGAAGAUAUCAUAAGAGAGGCAUCUUGCCUUUAGAAUACGUCUGAUAAAAUAGCAGUACGUCUAGAGAAGUACGGUACAUCUGAAUGUACACAUUUUAUUGGUGGGAUGAUAGAACAAUUCUAAAAUUUUCAUAUCAUCUGGAAUUUCCAUCACUAACCAAGUUGAAUCAGAAUUGAUGAUUGAAGAUACGCAUGGAAGAAGUCCUAGUAGAGUCUAGGGAAAUUUUUAUGAUUAUUUGGACACACUCGUAUGUGUUAAAUUGUUUUGUGAUUUUAGGACUUGGGGUCUGCGAGACAAUACUUGGGACAAGUAUGAGUAGGUGUGAAAGGUAGUAGAUGCAUAUACUACCGGAAACACAGGACUCACGCUUGGAUCAGGGAAAGUCACAAAGUUACCAAGAAGCUAGUAACUGAUUUUGUUUUAUUCAAGUAUGUCAUUACCAUCGUUUCGGUAAUAACUAAAAAGACUGCUGAUAUUCUGAACCUAGUGGUCAUAUCAAAAGGAGUCCGGCUACGAUGAAUAUGUUACAUGGUUCAGAGAACCAAGCUGGAUGUAGCACCAUCUCAAGCCAGAAGAAUUAAUCAAAACAACCAAUAGAGGUAUCACGAAAAGUUACUUGUAGCUAGAAAUGCUACAUUUUAAAAAAAUGUGAUUAUAUCACAUUAGAACAUGAAGGAAGGUAUAGCCUGUUUUGGAAUUUAACUCUAAGAGACCUAAGUCUAAACUAGCAUCACAUGACGAUAGGUUAUGAUUUGGAGUCUAACCUGAGAUAGAAAGCAGAUGCACAAUCAAGUACUACUUACAAUCAAUAAGUCUAAGAGAUAGACUUGAAGGAAUAUGGAAGGUAUAGUUAUUACCUAGGAUGAAGAGAUGAUGUAUGGAGUCAUUAUACGAGCCCUGUUUUGUUGAUGAUUCCGGGACGUAAUCAUCCUAAGGGGGAGAUAAUUCUAACGCCCGCAAAUCCAGGCUAGUCAAAUUAGAGGCAAUAAGUGUCGAAAACAACUUUUCGACAGAAGCUUAUAAAUAAUUUGAACCAAGUUGUCGUAUACGUCACUAGGUUUCCGUACAUAUAAAAAACGCCGAAAUCCGAGUUAUAGCAAAGAAGUUAUGACACGUCGAAGUUUCGCGACGGAACUGGCUCGAUACCGGGAGGCGUAAAUAGUGAAUUUACGAUAGAGGGAGAUUUAGCCUUGGCGCUCUAAACAAAAGUCGUAGAAUAUGUUAAACUAAGAACCUCGACAAAACGAAUGCCCAAAUCUGACUUCAUAUGAAGAAGUUAUCAUUUUUCGAAGUUUCAGAUUAGGAGUGUACAACCCAAAAUUCGAAUAUUAGAUCGAGCGAUUUUUAGCCGACACGACCUGAACAAGAAUCGAAGAUCUCAUUAAGAGUAGCAUAACGAGAAAAAGAUGGGCGAAAACGGGCGUCGGAUGAAGAAGUUAUGAGGAUUUAACGGACCAAUCCUGUCCCGGCCUAUUAAAAAUAUAACUUUAAAAAUAAAGUCAAAAUUAGCCGACAGAGUCUAAACGAAAGUUGUAAAGUACGUCUCCACCUACGCGUGAAUAUAAUGAACGUCAAAAACGGAGUUCGUAUGAACGAGUUACAAAUUAUAAUAGCGUAUUUACAUAUUAAAAUAAAGUAUAAAUCAUAUAUACGUACACACACACACACACACACACANNNNNNNNNNNNNNNNNNNNNNNNNNNNNNNNNNNNNNNNNNNNNNNNNNNNNNNNNNNNNNNNNNNNNNNNNNNNNNNNNNNNNNNNNNNNNNNNNNNNNNNNNNNNNNNNNNNNNNNNNNNNNNNNNNNNNNNNNNNNNNNNNNNNNNNNNNNNNNNNNNNNNNNNNNNNNNNNNNNNNNNNNNNNNNNNNNNNNNNNNNNNNNNNNNNNNNNNNNNNNNNNNNNNNNNNNNNNNNNNNNNNNNNNNNNNNNNNNNNNNNNNNNNNNNNNNNNNNNNNNNNNNNNNNNNNNNNNNNNNNNNNNNNNNNNNNNNNNNNNNNNNNNNNNNNNNNNNNNNNNNNNNNNNNNNNNNNNNNNNNNNNNNNNNNNNNNNNNNNNNNNNNNNNNNNNNNNNNNNNNNNNNNNNNNNNNNNNNNNNNNNNNNNNNNNNNNNNNNNNNNNNNNNNNNNNNNNNNNNNNNNNNNNNNNNNNNNNNNNNNNNNNNNNNNNNNNNNNNNNNNNNNNNNNNNNNNNNNNNNNNNNNNNNNNNNNNNNNNNNNNNNNNNNNNNNNNNNNNNNNNNNNNNNNNNNNNNNNNNNNNNNNNNNNNNNNNNNNNNNNNNNNNNNNNNNNUAAUAAUAAUAAUAUUAAUAAUAAUAAUAAUAAUAAUAAUAAUAAUAAUAAUAAUAAUAAUAAGACUAAUAAUUAGUCAUGGUAAAUAUUAGUCUAAAAUCGAGUCGUAAUAAUACUAGGUUUCGUCGAAGGAAAUUAUUUUAAAGUAAACGAAGCGUUGUCCGAGUACCGAGUCACUACCUUCUCAGGUGAGUGCAUAGUCCCUUUCAUCUUACACAUAGAUAUGAAGUAUUUUAAUAUAAAUUAUGAGUUGUGUGUGCAUAUUGUCUGAAUACUUGCUGUCUAUGCUGGGUGAAAGAUUUUUAUACAUGUUUUAAAUGAUUUAAACUAUAUAUGUAUUUUGUGUCUACAAAAUGUGUUGGGUAAAACAUGAGUAGAUGAAAUAGGUGUUUUGUGAUAACACGAUGGGAGACAUCAAUGUUGUCAGUGAUCCUGUCAUCUAGGGGAGUAUAGAUGAUGACCAUGGGUGAUACUAGACGGUCCAGUGGAACGCUAGUAAGCUCGUAACCUGUAGGUGUUUUUGAACUAGGUGUUCAUUAGGUAUUUUUAACUGAGUGUGUUCACUACGUAUCUUUGAACUGAGUGUGUUCACUAGGUAUUUUGAACUAAGUGUGCUCACUAGUUACUUUUGAACUAAGUGUUUACCAAAUGUUUUGGACUACGUGUUCACCAAUUGUAAUCUAUAAGCUUUGGUAAUGAUGGACUUCGUGCCGAUUCCUUAGGAUAAUCGUUAGGAAUGAAUGAACGAGAAAUAGCUGAUUCUUAGGAUAGAUCCUUAAGAGUAAAGAAGAUAAUGGGGAUGGUUAGUUGGGUUUAAUUGCUAGAUUUUUUAAUCAUAAUAAUUAUAUUAUUGUGGGUUGAAAACCCUAUGUACUCACAAGGUUUCCCAACCUGAACCACUCAUUUUAUUUAUAUCACAAGUGUUGAUAUGAAGUCACAUUACACUAAGAGAUUAAAGAGAUGUAGAUCACUAGUGUAAAUAAAUAUAAGUUCUAUUUAUGCUUAUGUUUAUGUAUUGACAAUGACAUCCCAAAUGUUUUAAAAUGAAUAAAAUACGUCUCUUCGAAAAAGUUUUAAUAACGUAUUUAUCGUGUUUUUCUAGGAACAAAUUCUGCAACAUUUUUAUGAAAAGAAGUACUCUGAAUUUUAUAAAGCAUAAACAAUAUCGGUCUUUUCUGGCCAUGAAAAUGGGGAUGUCACAUUAUCAAAGCACUUCCAAAGAAAAAUAUUUUUAUUCAUUUAAAACAUUUGGGAUGUCAUCGUGAAUACAGAAAACAUAAGCAUAAACAGAACUUACAUUCAUUGUCAUUAGUGAUUUUUAUUUCCUUAAUCUGUCAGUGUAAUGUGACUUCAUAUCAACACCUGUGAUAUAAACAAACUGAGUGGGUCAGGUUAGGAAACCUGGUGAGUACAUAGGGAUUUCAAUCCCAUAAUGUUAUACAUAUAUAUACUUUAAAACUCACAAAAUAUACAAUUUCACCAUAUAUAUAAACAACUCUUAUCCCGCCCCGUCGAUCAUCACAAUGAGACUAUCCAUACUCUCGUACCUAAGAUUAGCCGGUUUACCUAAUCCAUACUCCCGGAUCAGAAAUGAAAGACUUUGCCUAAUCCAUACUCUCGGACUAGGGACAAAUGACUAAUCCAUACUCUCGAAUUAAUGAUGAAUGAUUAUGCCUAAUCCAUACUCUCAGACUAGGGACAAUAACUAUGUCUAAUCCAUGGUCCCGGAUCAAUGACAUAUACUAAGGUUUUAUUCUCUGAGUAUAAUUCAAUCGUUCUCGUAAGAAAACACUACCUAAUAUUUCUCAUAAUUAAUUUAGGUUUACUCUUUAUUCUAAAUAAGCAUAUAUAAUCAGGUAUGCUCUUUAACAAGUAUCUCAGGCAACAUCAAAUAAUUCACACAUAAAUAUAUAUUUAAUACUUCAAUCGAUACUUGUAUUAAAAUCAUGUUCAUGAAAGGGACUAUGCACUCACACAUAAACUCUUGAAAAAAUAUUUAACUCUUUAACAUAUAUUUAAUAAAUGAAUUAAUACUUGUAUUAAAAUCAUGUUCAUGAAAGGGGCUAUGCACUCGCAACACGUAAUUUAUAUUAAAUACUUCAUACAUAUGUGUAAGAUGAAAGGGACCAUGCACUCACUUGAAAAGGUGGUGAUUCCGAACUCAGACAGCGCUUCGCUUCUUAAAUAUAAUUUCCUUCGACGAAACCUAGUAUUAUUACCACUAGAUUUUUGUCUAUUAUUUGCGAGACUAAUUAAUAGUCUAGCUAUUAUUACUAUAAUAUAAGCAUUAAACAAUACUUAUAUAACCCAUAAUAAUAGCCCAAGUACUUAUGAUAAGUUCCUAAUAAUGUUACUAUAAUUAAAUAAAACCUAUAUUAAAAAUAGCGUAGGCGUAACUCACUUACAACGGGUUUUAUAGAAAACCGGGCUUUGCUUGGAGUAGCGUUCCCAAGCCGAAACACUCUUAUUCUCGGAGCCGUCGAGCACUCCGGGGCUUCCGCCUCGUGCUAGAGAGGUUCCCUAGCCUUUUCGGGGCUAGAGAGAGAGUUUCUAGAGAGAGAGUAAAGAGAAGAAAGAAUGAGAAAGGUGUGAACAAAAUGAGGGUGGGAGAGGUUCUAUUUAUAGGGUGAAAAUGGCUGAACUUGGUGCCACAUUUCACCAUCUAGUGGCAAGACUUGGGGAGAAAGUAAUGGCCAAGAUUGUGCCACAUCACCCAUUUUUGCACAACACACCUCCGACUUCUAAAAUCUGUAACUUUCACAUAUGACCUCCGUUUUUGAUGUUCUUUAUAUCCACGCCUAGGUAAAAAUAAGAUCUACAACUUUCAUUUUGACUGCGUCGGCUAAUUCUCGUCCGAUCCUAAAUUUAACAGUACGAGGAGAUUAUACUGAUAAAUGUCCGCGUAAAAAUCAUAACUUCUACAUACUGACUAUGUUUUCGUCUGUCUUUUUACCGUUGAGUUCCUAUUAAUGAGAUCAUUAAUUCUCAUUUAAGUCGUGUAGGCCAAAAACCGCUCGAACUAAAAUUCAAGUUUCAGGUCGUGCAUUGCUAUGCCAAAUCUUAGAAAAUUCAUAACUUCCUCAUACGAAGUCAGAUUUGGGCGUUCUUUUUUUUUUAUGUUCUCGGUUUAACAUAUACUACAACUUUUAUUUGGAUCAAUGAGGCUAAAAGUUCCUAUAUCAAAAAUUCACUAUUUAUGUCUUCCGGUGUCGUGCCGCUUUUGCCAUAAAACUUCAACGAGCCAUAACUUCUUCGUUAUAACUCGGAUUUCGACGUUCUUUAUAUGUACGGAACCCUUGAGACAUAUUAUAAAAUUUGGUUAAUAUUAUUUAUUCUAAAUAAUAUUUUGUCAAAAAGUCAUUUUCGACCCCUAUUAUCUCUAUAUUAACUAGCCUGGAUCUACGGGCGUUACAAUUAUCUCCCCCUUAGGAUGAUUACGUCCCGGAAUCAUGACGAAAUAGGCUCACAUGAUGAAUCCAUACGUUGUCUCUUCAUCCUAAGUAAUAACCGUAACUUUGAUGUUUCUUCGAACGAAUAUCUAACUCUAAGACUUCCUGAUUGCAGGCCGUGCUCGAUCUUGCACUUCUUCCCUAUCUCACGUUAGACUCCAAAUUAUGUCCUUCAAGUCAUAAUCUUGAUCCUUACUAGAGACUGCUUCUUCUUCUUAACAAACUUAAGAUAUGUUAUUUUAUUACUAAAAUAGACCGAUGUGUCAUAUUCUAAUGACUUAUCAUCGUAUGUUACCACGCUUAGACUCAGGUCUCUUAGAGUCUUCCAGAACAGACUAUACUUUCGUUCAUGUUCCAAUCUCAUAUUAAAAGGUAGCAUUUCUAGCUACAAGCAACUAUCGCGAUACCUCUACUGAUCACUUUGAUUGUUUUUCUCUUCAAGCUUUCAGCUUAAGUCAGUUGCUACAUCGGACAUGAUUCUCUGAACUAUUUAUCAUGCUUAUCAUAGUUGGACUCAAUUUGAUAUGAAUGCUAGGGUUAGUAUAACAAUCACCAUCUUAGUCAUUACCGAAAUGAUGGUAACGAUAUUCUUGAAUAAAACGGUACUAAUUACUAGUUUCUUGGUAACCUUGUGACCUUCCCUGAUCCAAGUGCGAGUCAUGUGCUUCCGGUAGUAUAGGCCUCUACUACCAUUCACACCUACUCAUACUCGUCCGAAGUAUUGUCUCGCUGUUUUCCCAAGUCACCAUAAAAUAAAAUCACAAGACAACUUAACACAUUGGAUAGAAAAACAAAGGUUUUUAUAUUAUUCUUUGAAACGAUUACAUAGGUAUUCAAGUUCACCCUAGAUUAUGCCUAUAACAGGCUACAUUAUACGAUAUGAUGGCUACUGCAUAACUCGAUCUUCGGAUAUGAAGUCCUCAUCCUUGAUUCCUCGCGUUAUCAUCUGCUUCGUCAAGGAUCAUCUGAGAUGCUCUUGCCUUCGGUUUUGGCGGUAUAUUCGGCUUUAUAGCUUCUUCUUUCCUUGGGCAGUCUUGCUUGAAGUGUCCCUCUUCACCACACUGAAAAGCAGACUUUUCUCUUGGUUGUGCAUUCACCGGCGUAAUGACCAGUCUUCCCGCAUUUAAAGCAGGUCAUCUCUUUAGAGCAUUUCCCAAUGUGCUUCUUUAUGCACUUGUCACACCAUUGCGUUCCUUCUUCGAACUUCUUUGAACCAGUCAUCAAGAAUUUUUUCUUCUCGUUAGACCUUAAGGAUCCUUCAAACUUUCUCUUCUCGCCAACCUCCAUCUUGCUGGCGGCUCUUCCCUUGAUCAUAUCUUCUAUAGACUAGGCAGCCCAGAUAGUUGCCUCCAGAGUAGGUGCCUGACAUACUGGCACCACAUACUCCCAUGGAAGUCCCUUUACGUACUUGUCAAUUUUUGUCAGCUCGUCCGGGACAAGGCGCAAAGCAAACUCCAUCUAGUCUGUGAAGUUGUUGGCGUAUUCAUCGAUGGUCAUGCUUCCUUUCUUCAAGGUUAGGAAUUGGUUCUAUAGCUCGAGCAAGUUUUGGGCUAAACAGUACUUAAGUUUGAAUUGCACCACAAACUCUGCCCAAGUCAAUUGAAGGGGCUCAUUGGGGCUUAGAGUCUUCCCUAGGGUAUUCCACCAGCGUACAACGCCUCCUCGGAACUGAUGCACUGCAAAGGUGGUUUGCAGCUUGCCUCUGCAACCGCUCGUCAUAAAAGCUAACUCCAUUUCUGAGAACCAAUCCAUGACUCCGAUCGGUCUUCCUUGCCAGUGAAAGUCGAUGGCUUGGAUGUUAAAAAAUCUUUGUACUUGCAUCCGUUUCUCUCGACUACAUCAUCUUGGCUGUUUCUCCUAUUAACUGGCGGAUCAGCUUGGACCACUGACCUACUGUAGUUUCCUUCCUCCGAUUGUUCAGGAAUCGGCUCCUGUUGCAAAAUGGGUAUGGUGGCUUCGUCCCUAUUCUCUUGCAUCAUACGCAUCAUUUCUUCCCUUUGUUCCGCUAACAUGGCCCGCAUCAUGCCUUGUACUCCCGCCAUGGUGAUUGGCUCAGGUGCGACUUCUACUACGACUGGUAUUUGCAGUAUCACUGGGGGUUGAUCUCGGUUCCCAUUUGCAUUCACGUUUCCGCUAUUGGUCCUAGCCAUCUUCAUCUACACACCAAAUAAGGUGAAUAUAGAUCUUUGUUUAGGACUAACGCUUAUAUCAUCCUUAUCUCUCCGAAACGUUUAUAUGCAAGUUCUAAUAUCGUAGACGUACGUUUAGAAUUCUAAACACAUAAGGUUUCCAGAUCCGGUCGGCAACAGAACAUAGAUCCGAACAAAUAACAGCAUAUCAGACACAAAGCAUUUAGCACAUAAAAGCAUUUUAGGCAUAAUUCCUAAAAUAAGCUACUGCUCAUAUCUCACAAUCAUCGCUUAGCAUUUUAAGUUUAAGUCAAGAAAUCCUACAAAUUCCUAGUUCGCUUUAAUUAAUGCUCAGAUACCAACUAUGACAUCCCCAUUUUCACGGCCACAAAAGACCAAUUUUGUUUAUGCUUUAUAAAAUCAAAGUACCUCUUUUGAUAAAAAUGUUGUGGAAUUUGUUCCAGUAAAACAUGAUAAAUACGUUAUCAAAGCACUUCCAAAGAAAAGUAUUUUUAUUCAUUUUAAAACAUUUGGGAUAUCAUCGUCAAUACAGAAGACAUAAGCAUAAACAGAACUUACAUUCAUUAUCACUAGUGAUUUAUAUCUCCUUAAUCUCUAAUGUGACUUCAUAUCAACACUUGUGAUAUAAAUAAACCGAGUGGGUUAGGUUGGGAAACCUAGUGAGUACAUAGUGAUUUCAAUCCCAUAAUGUUAUACCAUAUAUAUAGUUUAAAACUCACAAAAUAUACAAUUUCACCAUAUAUAUAAACAACUCUUAUCCCAUCCCGUCGAUCCUCACAACGAGACUAUCCAUACUCUCGAACCUAAGAUUAGCCAUUUUACCGAAACCAUAUCCCGUAUCAGAAAUGAACGACUUUACCUAAUCUAUACUCUCGGACUAGGGACGAAUGACUAAUCCAUACUCUCGGAUUAAUGAUGAAUGAUUAUGCCUAAUCCAUACUCUCAGGCUAGGGACAAUGACUAUAUCUAAUCCAUGCUCCCGGAUCAAUGACAUAUACUAAGGUUUUAUUCUUUCAGUAUAAUUCCCUCAUUUUGGUAAGAAAACACUACCUAAUAUUCCUCAUAAUUAAUUUAGGUUUACUCUUUAUCCUAAAUCAGCAUAUAUAAUCAGGUAUGUUCUUUAACAAGUGUCUCAGGCAACAUCAAAUAAUUCGCACAUAAAUAUAUAUUUAAUACUUCAAUCGAUACUUGUAUUAAAAUCAUGAUCAUGAAAGGGACUAUGAACUCACACAUAAACUCUUCAACAAAUAUUUAACUCUUUAACAUAUAUUUAAUACUUUAAUUAAUACUUGUAUUAAAAUGAUGUUCAUGAAAGGGACUACGCACUCAAAACACGUAAUUUAUAUUAAAUACUUGGCAUAUAUGUGUAAGAUGAAAGAGACCAUGCGCUCACUUGAAAAGGUGGUGAUUCCGAACUCAGACAGCGCUUCGUUUCUUCAAAAAAAUAUCUUUCGACAAAACCUAGUAUUAUUACCACUAGAGUUUAGUCUAUUAUUUGUCGAGACUAAUUAAUAGUCUAGCUAUUAUUAUUAUUAUAUAAGCAUUAAACAAUACUUAUAUAACCCAUAAUAAUAGCCCAAGUACAUAUUAUAUGUUCCUAAUAACGAUAUUAUAAUUAAAUAAAAACCAUAUUAAAAAUAGCGUAGGCGUAGCUCACUUACAAUGGGUUUUAUAAAAAACCGGGAUUUGCUUGGAGCAGCACUCCAAAGCCGAAAAGAUAUUCUUCUCUGAGCUGUCGAGCACUCCGGGGCUUCCGCCUCGUGCUAGGGAGGUUCCCUAGCCUUUUCGAGGCUUGAGAGAGAGGUUCUAGAGAGAGAUUAAAGAGAAGAAAGAAUGGGAAAGGUGUGAAGAAAAUAAGGGUGGGAGAUGUCCUAUUUAUAGGGUGAAAAUGCCUGAACUUGGUGCGACAUGUCACCAUCUAGUGGCAAGACUUGGGGAGAAAGCAAUGGCCAAGAUUGUGUCACAUCACCCAUUUUUGUACAACACACUUCCGACUUAUAAAAUCCGUAACUUUCACAUACGACCUCCGUUUUUUAUGUUCUUUAUAUCCACGCGUAGGGAAAAACAACAUCUACAACUUUCAUUUGGAAUGUGACGGCUAAUUCACUACCGAUCCUAAAUUAAACAGUACGAGGAAAUUAUAUUGUUAAAUGUCCGCGUAAAAUUCAUAACUUCUACAUACGGACUCUGUUUUCAUCUUUCGUUUUUCCGUUGAGUUCCUAUUAAUGAGAUAUUCAAUUCUCAUUUAGGUCGUGUAGGCCAAAAACCGCUCGAACUAAAAUUCGAGUUUCGGGCCGUGCAGUAAUAUGCCAAAUCUUAGAAAAUUCAUAACUUCCUCAUACGAAAUCAGAUUUGGGGGUUCUUUUUUUGUAUGUUCUCGGUUUAACAUAUGCUACAACUUUUAUUUGAAUCGAUAAGGCUAAAAAGUCCUUUAUCAAAAAUUCGUUAUUUACGUCUUCCGGUGUCGUGCCGAUUUUGCCAUAAAACUUCAACGGGCCAUAACUUCUUCGUUAUAACUCGGAUUUUGGCUUCGUAAGAAGAAGUUAUGAUUUUUCGAAGUUUCAGAUUAGCAGAGUAUAGCCCGAUAUUCGAAUAUUAGAUCGAGCGAUUUUUAGCCGACACGAACUGAACAAGAAUCGAAGAUCUCGUUAAAAGUAGUAUAACAAGAAAAAAUUGGGCGAAAACGGACGUCGGAUGAAGAAGUUAUGAGGAUUUAACGGACCAAUCCUGUCCCGGCCUAUUAAAAAUAUAACUUUAAAAAUAAAGUCAAAAUUAGCCGACAGAGUCUAAACGAAAGUUGUAGAGUACGUCUCCACCUACGCAUGGAUAUAAUGAACGUCAAAAUCGGAGUUCGUAUGAACGAGUUACAAAUUAUAAUAGCGUAUUUACGUAUUAAAAUAAAGUAUAAAUCAUAUAUACGUACAUAUAUAUAUACAUAUGUAUAUAUCAUUAGAAAGGUAUCGACGAUGCGGUCAUUAUAAGACUAAUGUUGAGUUCUUUCGACAUUAGUUUAGUGCAAAUAUCAUUAAAUCUAUUUAAAAUAGUAUUAUAAAGGGGUGUUUAGUUGUUUAUAUAACUAUAAGGUCAUUAAGUAAUUAUGGAGGGUAGUUUUUGUAAAUUCAAUUACUAUAAAUAAGAGGCUUGGGCUCUCAUAUUUCUUGCACCCUUCUCUUGAUUCAAGUGUCUUUCUCUCCUUAUCCCCCAAACAUUUCGGUCCCUCGUGAUUCGACUUCUCUUUAUGUAGUUUUAGUAUAGUAAGCUGAGCACUAAAGCGUUGCACGAAUCUUUCUUAGAAAGAUUCAGCGACGAACUUCUGCCCCUACAGAGCCCGACUACUAGCUAAAAUCCCCUUUGUAAGUAAGUUAUACUUACCGUAUUUUAAAUAUAGUUUAUAUUUAAAAUUAGUAUUGCUAUUAUAAAUUUAUAAUAAAUGUUUGAGCUAUUAUUAUGACUUAUAUAAGUGUUGUUAUAAUAUCUUUUUAAUUACUCGCGGUACGGGGAAUCUGGUUUAAAGAGCCGCAUAGGGUUGUUGAAUUUCAGACGUGCUAUAUGCCAAAAUGGUCCUGCCUUCCGGUGUUUUAUGUUUGGCCCCUGUCUGUACAUAGUGGUUGGAAAGUAUUGUUUAAACGCUUAUAUAAUAAUAAUAAAAAUAAGACUAAUUAUUAGUCACGGUAAAUAUUAGUCUAAAAUCGAGUGGUAAUAAUACUAGGUUUCGUCGAAGGAAAUUAUUUUAAUGUAAACGAAGCGUUGUCCGAGUACCGAGUCACUACCUUCUCAGCUGAGUGCAUAGUCCCUUUCAUCUUACACAUAGAUAUGAAGUAUUUUAAUAUAAAUUAUGAGUUGUGUGUGCAUAUUGUCUGAAUACUUGCUGUCUAUGCUGGGUGAAAGAUUUUUAUACAUGUUUUAAAUGAUUUAAACUAUAUAUGUAUUUUAUAUCUACAAAAUGUGUUGGGUAAAACAUGAGUAGAUGAAAUAGUUGUUUUGUGAUAACACGAUGGGAGACAUCAAUGUUGUCAGUGAUCCAGUCAUCUAGUGGAUUAUAGAUGAUGACCAUGGGCGAUACUAGAUGGUCCGGUGGAACGCUAGUAAGCUCGUAACUUGUAGGUGUUUUUAAACUCGGUGCUCAUUAGGUAUUUUGAACUAUCACAACUAGAAAUUUUGUGUCUUGUAAUCACUAUACUUAAGUAAAAGGUUGAAUCAAAAACUUAAGAGCAUGUGAGAUACCUAUUAUUAUGACAUCAAAAACUUCAAUCAAAUACAUCAUACAAAUACAACAAAUAGUCAUCAAGCAAUUGGAAACCCUAGAAGUUCUUGUUUAGGUCCAUUUUGGACUAGGACUUCCUUAUUGGACUCAAUGGACCAACAAGCUUCCAAUUUGACUAUCAUGGGCUUAGAACCCUUAAAUGGGCUCUAAUUGGACCCACAUUAAUUUAUUUCAACAUUUUGGGCCAUAUUGGCCCUAGAAUGAAAUAAAUUGAAAGUUUUGAACCAUGAUUAACCUAAACUAGCCCAACAAAGUGUUAAAAUCAUGUUAUAUUUCUUUUAGGUCAAAAAUCAUCCAACUUAACUUCUAUAUGGGCUUGAGGGCAUUAAAGCCCAAAUCUUUCCUUUUCCAUCCAAAUUCUCGGCGCAAGGCCCAAAUCCAAGAAGAAAAGAGGAAGGGUUGACUUAAUGCAUGCCACCUCAUUAUUAUAUGGUGGUUAUCCAAGGUAAUAUUCCUCAAACAUCCAUGCUAAUCUCAUUUCUCCAUGCAACUCUCUCUCUCCUUCUCUCUUCUUGUUUCGGUCAUGAGUAACACACACACACACCUCACAAAACUCUCUCCAUUCAAAAAUCUCGAAACUUUGCUUGUGCAUCAAGAGGAUUUCAAGAAAAUAUCAUCACUUCUUGGUAAGCUACAUAUAUCUAAGGAUUUUAUAACUCUUUUCCCAUGAUUAGAUGCUUUCUCUUAAACAUUUGUGGUAAUCAUGCUCCUAGAAUCAUCUCAAAGUCGAGAUCAUCAUCAAAGGGUUGCUAAGGACGAAAAUCACCAAACUUUCUUCCAUCUUUUCUUCAAAAACCAAAACCACACCCUAAGGUGAGCUUCAUACCCCCCUUAUUUUCGGUUUUUAUAAGUUUUGUGGGGGGAGAAUACAAGCAAAUGUGUAGAUCUAUCAUUAUGUGUAUGCCUUGUAUGAUUUUUAAGCUUAUAUGUGUGUUUAUGUGUGAUUAUGAUGUUGGAUCUAGUUAUAAACCCCUAAAAAUCGAGAUAUACCUUAUGUUAAAUGAUACUGGCAUAAAUUAUAUUUCUACAUACAAAGCAUUCCAAGAAAAAUAGCUAAGUGGUUUAAUAACAACUUCAUUGGGCUAAAAACUCAUUUUUGGACAUAAAAUGUUAAGAAUAUAAAGUUAAAGGGGCCAAAAUGACAUAUUACGAAUUCUGAUGGGUGAGAUGAGUCAAAACAGUUCCAAUAAUGUAUUUUCUGAAAAUAUACUCUUUUGAAGGGUUAAAAACAUAAAUUUCAAGCUUAAUGGGCUAAAAAUGACAUUUUCGGCCCAAUAGGGCCCAUUAUGCGAAUUUUUCCAAUUUGAGGGGCUGAAACUAUGUUUUUCUGUAAAACAGUGGACUAUUAGUGUCCUAAGUCCUUUUCAAAGGUCAAAAAUGCUUUUCGUAAUUAAAAAGGACCAGAGUUGCAAAAAUUUUCCAAUUUGGGCCAAAAGUGUAAAAAUUGCGAAAAAGAAAGGUUGCAGCCAAGAAAAGUGCAUUUUGAGGGACUAAAACUGUUUUCAAUUAAAAAUGUGCUGAAAAAUAUCAAUUUCAAUAAGUUUUGAUGUUAAAAUGCCAAGAAAAAUGGAUUGAGGACUAAACCGGAAAUUAAUUUACUUAAAUGGGUGAAAAAGUAAAUUUACAAAAUAAAGAGGGGUUGUAAACAGAAAAUUUUCAAUGUGAAUUCAAUACAUUCAUUGUGAUUAAAUACUGACACUGCGACUACCGAACAAAUUACAAUACACAAUAAUACCAACAAUCGUUAUCAAACGAAUUGAUUCGGUCUCGAAUCAAUAACAAAUUCGAAACUACUAACAUUACGACACUCAAUACACACAUGGAACUCUCAGAAACUCUAUACACUCGUGGAAAUACGCUAUAUGUCGACGCUCUGUCCUUGGGCCCAAAAGUUUCAAAUCAUGCUUGUUGGGCCUAGCUAGCCCAAUGACAUGAUCUUUAGGCCCAAAGGAAAUUUACUUACAUGUAGUCGGGUCUAAUACGACCUAACUUCGUGUAAAAAGACUUUCAAUGGCAAACGUGCUGCUGGUCCCCAAUGGUCCUUCGAUACUGCUAGCAAAGUCGAGAACUCUCUAGUGCGAGUUGGGCUAAGGGCCCUUCGCAUUCACUAUGGCCUUGAACGACGUAGGGAAAUACCGAGGGCUUCGCACCUUCUUUUUCCCCUCAGUCGUGGGGCUACAUGAGUCCGGGGGGUNGGUUACGUGAAUAAGUGCAAGUGACGCUUAAGGGAUCGUUUGUACGGUUGUCAACUGGGCGUUUUCAUUAAUGUGCGUUACAACAAUUCACCAACUACUAUAAUUCAACGCCUCCGGAGCUUAACUAAUACCUCUAUCGUAACGAAAUAACAAUACAUAAACUAACUAAAACAAAGUGAUAAGAAAACGUCGGGUUUUCCUACGGUUUUCAACUAUUACACCUACGAACUACAUACCGAGUCUUACAAACCGUACGCUUACACCUAUAGAAAACAAUCAAGCAUACUUAUGGAUCUUCACACUUUUUACACUAUACUAUUUUCAGAAAAUAGCGGAUUUUCUGGUGAUUUUCAAAACAUUAUAACCCGUUGGAUUUCAAACAUUACUUAUGAACUCAACAACAUUUCAUAUGUUGACGUUUUUCAAAAUACUUGUAUUCUCAGGUAACAGGUAAAGUGAAGGAAGAAUUGUACUCUAUGAUGUUUUGCGGUUGUUUAAUUAACAACGAACAAUUUAUUUUUGGGCAUGUAAUAUUUUGGAACAAUGUAAUGGAUGUAAACACUAUCAGUUGUAAUAUUCAAAUGCUUGGUAAUGAAUGAUGUUAUGUUUCAUGUAUAUUCAUUGUGAUGGUAUUCAAUUGAGUCACAACAGCCCCCGGACGUUUCCGCCGUCUGGUUCGGAGGUGUGACAGGUUGGUAUCAGAGCUUUGUUUAUAGUGAACUGGCAUAUCUAACCAUCCAUUGAUAUGCAACUAUAAACCAAAAGAGGGACUAACAUAACUCUAAACAAAAUAAGUAAAAUACAAUAAUAAAACACCUUUUCCUGCAUUAGGAACAAGGGACAUAACACCGAACCAAACAAGAUAAUGCUAGUAUCUCAGUUAAAUCAGGACUGUUCUUAGGGAUACCAAGGAGUGGAUGUAGCCUGAUCAACUAGAUUCUCUCCAAGGUAUGGCUAACACACGUUCUGAUGAGAUCGUGAUAGCUAGGGAACCUAAAACUAUACCCCUAUAUCACCAAAAAGAGAGCGUCUAGUUAGCAUAAAUCAUAGUCAGGAGAGUGACGAUAGUUUAUAUUUUUGCCCCCAGUCGUCAUGGAGGAAGAGCAGCAGGGUAUCCAGUUCCAUCAAGUCCUAGUGGCUCAUGGGAUGCUCGAGGAUGACUAGAAGGGAAUCCGGAGGGAGCACAUGACGCUGAACAUGACGAAUACAUAGACACCGACUACGAGUUUGGAGAUACCGACGAUGAUGUCGAGGAAGGGCAAGACCGAGACAAGGAUCACGCCACGUCCUGUGUGGAUGAGGCGCAACCAGACCACCCCGCUCCACCCAUGAACCCCCCAAGGGAGAACCGUUCCCCCGAAGCUGAGAUCGCCGCACUGCGACAACAGCUGUAUGCUAUGGAAGCUCGGGCAGUGCGAGUUGAGCAUGAGAGGGAUGAGGUUAUUGGAGACAUGACGGAGAUGGCUCAGUUACUGGCACAACAUUUCGGCAUAUGACCCCGUCACUACGUAGGACGCAGCUCAUCGCGGUUAGGGAUAGACUUAUCUUAGUAAGUCGUUAGGAACUAUGCCAUGUACCCCGACUCUAUGUUUAAGUGACUACACUACUCAUAGAGCCGUUAUGCUGACGAACUGGUGUCACUCAUGUAUGCUCUUACGAGCAAAAUUUUCUUGUAUCAAAUGCGGAUAAUAUUAAUAAACUUUUACGUGCUGUGCUAUGAUAUUACGAAUUUCUAUGUGUUGAGAAUCUAUGAUUGUAUGCUAAAUGAUAAGAGUGUUUAAGUUCGCAUCAUGCACUUAGUCAGUACGGUCGUAACCUUCCAGAAACCACAUACACUCAACAUCUUUCCGUUUCGUGACAGAAAGAUGCCUCUCCGACCUACUCGCAGGAACCCCGAACCAAUCCCACCCGAAGUUGACUCAGCCGCGUUCCAGGCAGCUGUAUCUGCUGCGGUCACUGCAGCGAUUGCACAAAUUCAUCAAGGGAACAAUGGAGGAGUCAAUGGGCAAGGAGCCGGGAGUUCGAACAACGGAAUGAAUCAAGGACCCACCAAAACAUGUACCUACAAGGACUUCACAAACGCCAAACCACGAACUUUUAACGGCACUGGAGGGGUGAUCACCCUGAAGCGAUGGAUCGAGAAGGUGGAGUCGGUAUUCGAGAUAUGCGAUUGUCCUGAGCAGAUGAAAGUGAAGUUCGCGGCCUGCACUUUUGUCGAUCAAGCGCUCACCUUGUGGAACGGACAUGUAGAAGCCAUGACACUCCCUGUAGCCAACUCUAUGCCGUGGGCGGAGAUGAAAGAAAUGUUAAUGGCUGAAUACUGUCCGUGCGGUGAAAUACAGAAGAUGGAGCAGGAGCUAUGGAACCUCACUGUGCAGAAUGCGAAUAUCGAUGUUUACAUAUCGAGAUUUAGUGAACUAUCUCUGUUGUGCCCGGGUAUGAUCACCUUGGAAGGAAAGAAGAUUGAGCGAUUCAUUUGGGGACUAACAUCACCAAUCCAGGUAAACGUGAUAGCUGCAAACCCGGAAACAUUUGACAGUGCGAAGAGAUUGGUGAAGAAGUUGUAUGACCAUAACAACAAGAAGGGCGAGAAGCUAGAGGAGGCUGAGGGAAAGAAGGAAGGUGAUGGCAAGAAGGGGAAGAACAAUAAGAGGAAGGGGCGCCAGGGCCCCGAGCCCUCUAAAAGGCAGCAGACAGUGGCGGUUAACGCUGUCACCGCACCGAUUCCAGCUGCACUACAUGCUCCAGCCUCAGCUGCUUGAAAUGCUUCCAGACCUUAUUCUGGUAAUCUUCCCAAAUGCAACAAGUGCGGUUUCCAUCACCAUGGAGAAUGCAAGGAGUUUCAGUGCACCAGUUGUAAUCGAAAGGGACACACAUCGAGGAACUGUAGGGCUUACCCUCCCCAGAACCAACAACAAGGAAACAACAACAACAACAACAUCAAUACCGGCGGCAAUAAUGCAGGGCCUAGCCACACCUGCUUCGGGUGUGGGAGGACUGGACACUUCCGCUGAGAAUGCCCUAACAACAACAUUCCCGGGAACGGAAGAAUAGGAAGGAUGCUGGCCAUGGGUCAAGGAGAGGCGGUUCAGGACCCCACAGUUGUGACCGGUACGUUUCUCCUAAACCACACCUAUGCAUGCAUCCUGUUUGACACCGAAGCGGAACGAAGCUUCGUAAGUAAUAAGUUUAAGCAUCUAUUAAGACAACCACCCCAGAAGCUCAAUGAAACCUUUACGGUGGAAAUGGCCAAUGGGAAAACCGAAUCCACUGGGGAAAUCUACAUCGGAUGUACCCUAACCCUAAAUCAACAAGUCUUUCGGAUAGACUUAAUGCCCGUGUCAAUUAGGAGUUUCGAUGUAAUUACUGGCAUAGAUUGGUUAAGCCCCCACCAUGCUGAAAUUAUGUGUCACGAGAAGGUCGUUCGCCUUCGCCUCCCCAAUCAUGAAACCCUAGUAAUUUACAGAGACAAACCUAGCAUGAACCUCUGCCUCAUCUCGUGCAUCAAGGCACAAAAAUAUCUACGAAAGGACAAUUUGGCGUUCCUUGCUCACAUAGUGGAUAAAACCAAGGAGGAGGUUAACCUUCAAGACAUUCCCAUAACAUGUGAAUUUCCAGACGUGUUUCCUGAGGAUCUUCCUGGAGUACCCACGGAGAGACAAGUGGAGUUUCGAAUUGACCUCGUUCUAGGAGCAACUCCUCUCGCUAAAUCACCCUAUAGGCUAGCUCCUGCCGAAAUGCAGGAAUUGUCUAGCUAACUCAGCGAACUCUUGGACAAGGGAUUCAUCUGCCCUAGUUACUCACCGUGGGGAGCUCCAGUCCUCUUUGUCAAAAAGAAGGACGGAUCCUUUAGGAUGUGCAUCGAUUACAGAGAGUUAAAUAAACUCACUGUCAAGAAUCGCUACCCACUCCCACGAAUCGAUAAUCUAUUCGACCAGAUCGAAGGAGCUAGUUAUUUUUCUAAAAUAGAUCUACGGUCCGGAUACCACCAACUCAAAGUCCGGGAAGAGGAUAUUCCAAAAACCGCUUUCUGAACCCACUACGGACAUUAUGAAUUUGUUGUAAUGCCCUUCGGUCUGACAAAUGCCCCUGCAGCAUUUAUGGACCUAAUGAAUCGAAUCUAUCGACCAUUCCUCGACAACUUUGUCAUUGUUUUUAUCGAUGACAUCCUCGUCUAUUCUCGAAGCAAAGAAGAGCGUGGCCAACUUCUCCGACAAGUCCUAGAAACUCUGCGAUCGGAAAAGCUAUACGCCAAACUCUCCAAGUGUGAGUUCUGGCUCCGGAGUGUGAACUUCCUAGGACAUGUAGUCAGCCAAGAUGGAAUCCAUGUGGAUCGAUCUAAAGUCAAAGUUGUUGAAGGAUGGGCAAUCCCGACAACACCUACGGAAAUCCGUCAGUUCUUGGGUCUAGCAGGCUACUAUAGGAGAUUCAUUCAAAACUUCUCUAAGAUCGCCAAGCCACUUACCUCACUUACACAAAAGGGCGUACCAUUCAAAUGGACGGACAAAAAAGAAACCGCAUUCCGAACCCUGAAACAAGCUCUCUGUAGCGCCCUGGUAUUAUCGCUACCGGAAGGAACGGAAGAUUUCGUGGUCUACUGUGACGCGUCAAAUCGGGGCUUAGGUUGCGUUCUCAUGCAACGUGUGAUGGGUUUUGAGCAUUCUAACACUUCCUAAGUGUACAAGCAACCCUAAUAACCUUGGAUCUAUGUUUGUCUAAUUAUCAUGCAAAGUUGAAUUCCAAGGUUAUAUUCCUAUCUAGCAUACAUGGGGAACAAUUUUAACUUGAAUGAAAGAUAGAAUAACUUACCUUGUUGUUGUUUAUGUUCCUAGCACCCCAAGUGUGAUACCUCAAAUGCUUCACACAACACCAAAUGCUCUUGGAAAGACCUUUGAGAGAAUACACACUUCUUGAAAUCGGCCUAGCCCUCUAGUUUCUUAUGUGUAGCCUUGUUUUGGUGGAGAAUGGGAUCCUUAUAUAGUGUUGACACAAUCAACCCAUAUAUUUAAUUCGUUAUCCUUUGAUCACUUAAUUAAUUCUAAAUUAAUUCUUGAUCAAACUAAUCAAAUAAUAUUAUUAAUAUAUUAGAACUUAUAAUAUAUUAAUAAUCUCCAAGUGUUAUUUCUCUCAUUUAGUCUAUCCAAUUGCAUGGUGCCAUGCAACCCAAAUGGACCAUGUCGGGUCGGGUCAAGUACUGACCCGAAAUAGUUAUGGACUUAGACACCUUAUCCAACAGUCUCCCACUCUGAUAAGUCUAAUAACUAUAGCUGUAGUACUUCAGGAACCGACCGGCAAUGGUAGCACUUUCAAGGUCUCUCGGAACUGAGAAGAUGAUGGUACGCCAUUUAAGAUAAGGGAUCAUAUAAUCCUCUGUUCUAGAUAUCAGUCGGACAAAUACAUGGAACAAUGUCUUACUUAUUGUCUAGCAAUUUUNGUUUGACAUAGAACUUAAUUGAACACAUCAACUUAGUUCUGACCGGGCCCGGUACAUGGGUCAAAACAAAAUCAUCGAGGGGCCCAGAUAUCAGCUUCUAAUCCAAGAAGGAACAGAUAAACUUCGACUCAUAUGUUUGUUCUACCACUCAUUGAAUUACACACAAAAGCACGUUUCAUAACAUCAAGUUACCAAUGCGUUUUCGUACAAUCAAUGCAUAACCAACUUGUAAGUAACAAAUCAUAUCUCUAGGUUUGAAGACUUAUAUGAUAUUACCGUCUCACGAUCACUCGAGAUAGAAUUCCAUGAAGUGAUUCCAGUGAGCGUGGGUUGAGUCCAAUGCUCAGAACUUAUGAGCACUCAUGAUUGUUGUAGCCUUGUCCAACACCUUAGACCUCUACAACCCAUCAUGACAGUCUUGAUUCAUACCUACUUCCGACAUAUGACCGACUGUGGAGGUUUGAAUAAUAUGUUACACCAAACAAAAUUAUUCUGGAAGUCAAAACAUGCAAAAGAAAUAUAGUAAACGAUUGACAAGAGAUAGCAACACUUUACUCAUAAAUAAAACACCUUUUAUUCAUCAUCAAAUGUCAAUUACACUUUACAAAUUUCUGGGUUAUCUAACUACUAAAACUUAUAUCAUCCUUCAGCCCUAUGCUCCGAGCAUGCUGGAGAUGCUUAACCCUACUCAGUCCCUUCGUGAGGGGAUCUGCUGGGUUCUCAUCCGAUGAUACCCUCUUUGCCACGAGGAGUCCUUCUUCGAUCCGAUGUCUAAUGAAAUGGUAUUUUCUGUCGAUGUGUCUGGAUCUCCCAUGAUCCCUUGGUUCCUUGGCUAAGGCAACAGCACUUUCACUAUCACAGAAAAUUUCCAUUGGCUCUUUAAUAGCUGGUACAACUCCAAGGUCUCCAAUGAAGUUCUUCAGCCAUAUCGCCUCCUUUGCUGCUUCGCUAGCUGCAAUAUACUCUGAUUCACAAGUAGAAUCUGCCACUGUCUCUUGCUUGGAACUCUUCCAAGAAAUUGCUCCUCCGUUUAGGGUAAAGACCCAGCCCGACUGAGAGCGGAAAUUAUCCCUAUCAGUCUGGAAGCUAGCAUCACUAUACCCUACAACUCUCAAGUCAUCACUCCCACCGAGGGUAAGGACCCAGUCCUUAGUCCUCCGUAGGUACUUGAGGAUAUUCUUUACCGCAGUCCAGUGUGCCUUGCCAGGGUUCGCCUGAUACCUGCUAACCAUGCUCAAGGCAAAAGCUACAUCGGGUCGAGUACACGUCAUAGCAUACAUGAUCGAUCCUACAGCCGAAGCGUAAGGUGUUCGACUCAUUUCUGCUAUCUCAGCCUCAGUGCUAGGGCUUUGUGUCUUACUCAAUCUGGUGUUACUCUGGAUGGGUAACUCUCCUUUCUUGGAAUCCUGCAUGCUGAAUCUCUUCAGCACCUUAUCCAAGUAGGUACUCUGACUAAGUCCAAUUAGUCUUUUACUCCGAUCUCUCAAGAUUCUUAUCCCUAGAAUAUAGGCAGCUUCACCAAGGUCCUUCAUAGCGAAACACUUCCCAAGCCAGGACUUUACUUCCUGCAGGGUUGGAAUGUCGUUUCCUAUGAGUAGUAUGUCAUCCACAUACAAUACCAAAAAGCUAACUAUACUCCCACUAGCCUUGACAUACACACAAGAUUCAUCUUCACUCCUAGAAAAGCCAAAUUCCUUGACCUUUUCAUCAAAGCAAAGAUUCCAUCUGCGAGGUGCUUGCUUCAAUCCAUAAAUGGAUUUCUCAAGCUUACACACUCUAUUAGGGUACUCGUUGCUGACAAAACCCUCUGGCUGACUCAUGUAAACAUCUUCAGCCAACUUUCCAUUAAGGAAAGCGGUUUUGACAUCCAUCUGCCAUAUUUCAUAAUCAUGAAAUGCAGCUAUGGCUAACAGAACCCGAAUAGACUUAAUCUUGGCUACUGGAGAAAAGGUCUCAUCAUAGUCCACUCCAGGAAUUUGAGAGAAGCCCUUUGCAACCAGUCUAGCCUUAUAAGUGUGUACUUUACCAUCCAUGUCGGUCUUCUUCUUGAAGACCCAUUUGCACCCUACUGUCUUACGACCUGGUACAUUCUCAACCAAGUUCCAAACUUGAUUGUCAUACAUGGACUGUAUUUCGCUGUCCGUUGCCUCUUUCCACUUGGCUGACUCAGGGCCUGCCAUGGCUUCAGCAUAAUUGUUUGGUUCAUCCAGACCUAUCAGUGUCACUGAUAAGUGUAUCUCCUUCUGCAGUAAUAUGGAAUCCAUAGUAAUGCUCAGGAGCAUUCCUAACCCUUGUGGAACGCCUCAGAGGUACAGACUUGUCAAUUGGCUCAACAGGAGUUUCCUCCUCAAGUUGAGUGCUAGGGUUUGAAGUUCCUUCACCGCUUGACUCUUGAAUUUCUUCAAGAUCAACUUGCCUCCCACUGUUUCCUUGGCUUAUGAACUCUCUCUCUCUCUCUAAAGAAAGCCCUCCUAGCUACAAAGACCACAUUUUCACUAGGUCUGUAGAAGAGGUAACCAAAGGAUUGCUGUGGGUAGCCGAUGAAAAUACACCUCUCGCUUCGGGGUUCGAGCUUAUCAUGAGUCUCGCGUCUCACGAAAGCCUCGCAACCCCAAAUCUUGAUGUGGUCUAGUUUGGGUACUUUACCAGUCCACAUCUCGUGAGGAGUUUUCGCAACUUUCUUUGAAGGGACUAGAUUAAGGAUAUGGACGGUAGUCUCUAAGGCAUACCCCCAGAAUGAGAUUGGUAGCGAAGCUCGACUCAUCAUGGAACGAACCAUAUCCAACAAGGUUCGAUUACGCCUCUCAGCCACACCAUUCAACUGUGGUGUCCUGGGAGGUGUCAAUUGUGAGACUAUCCCACAUUCCCUUAGAUAGUCAAGGAACUCUGAACUAAGAUACUCACCACCACGAUCGGAUCGAAGCAUCUUAAUGUUCCUGCCCAAUUGAUUCUCGACUUCCUGUUUAAAUUCCUUAAACCUNNNNNNNNNNNNNNNNNNNNNNNNNNNNNNNNNNNNNNNNNNNNNNNNNNNNNNNNNNNNNNNNNNNNNNNNNNNNNNNNNNNNNNNNNNNNNNNNNNNNNNNNNNNNNNNNNNNNNNNNNNNNNNNNNNNNNNNNNNNNNNNNNNNNNNNNNNNNNNNNNNNNNNNNNNNNNNNNNNNNNNNNNNNNNNNNNNNNNNNNNNNNNNNNNNNNNNNNNNNNNNNNNNNNNNNNNNNNNNNNNNNNNNNNNNNNNNNNNNNNNNNNNNNNNNNNNNNNNNNNNNNNNNNNNNNNNNNNNNNNNNNNNNNNNNNNNNNNNNNNNNNNNNNNNNNNNNNNNNNNNNNNNNNNNNNNNNNNNNNNNNNNNNNNNNNNNNNNNNNNNNNNNNNNNNNNNNNNNNNNNNNNNNNNNNNNNNNNNNNNNNNNNNNNNNNNNNNNNNNNNNNNNNNNNNNNNNNNNNNNNNNNNNNNNNNNNNNNNNNNNNNNNNNNNNNNNNNNNNNNNNNNNNNNNNNNNNNNNNNNNNNNNNNNNNNNNNNNNNNNNNNNNNNNNNNNNNNNNNNNNNNNNNNNNNNNNNNNNNNNNNNNNNNNNNNNNNNNNNNNNNNNNNNNNNNNNNNNNNNNNNNNNNNNNNNNNNNNNNNNNNNNNNNNNNNNNNNNNNNNNNNNNNNNNNNNNNNNNNNNNNNNNNNNNNNNNNNNNNNNNNNNNNNNNNNNNNNNNNNNNNNNNNNNNNNNNNNNNNNNNNNNNNNNNNNNNNNNNNNNNNNNNNNNNNNNNNNNNNNNNNNNNNNNNNNNNNNNNNNNNNNNNNNNNNNNNNNNNNNNNNNNNNNNNNNNNNNNNNNNNNNNNNNNNNNNNNNNNNNNNNNNNNNNNNNNNNNNNNNNNNNNNNNNNNNNNNNNNNNNNNNNNNNNNNNNNNNNNNNNNNNNNNNNNNNNNNNNNNNNNNNNNNNNNNNNNNNNNNNNNNNNNNNNNNNNNNNNNNNNNNNNNNNNNNNNNNNNNNNNNNNNNNNNNNNNNNNNNNNNNNNNNNNNNNNNNNNNNNNNNNNNNNNNNNNNNNNNNNNNNNNNNNNNNNNNNNNNNNNNNNNNNNNNNNNNNNNNNNNNNNNNNNNNNNNNNNNNNNNNNNNNNNNNNNNNNNNNNNNNNNNNNNNNNNNNNNNNNNNNNNNNNNNNNNNNNNNNNNNNNNNNNNNNNNNNNNNNNNNNNNNNNNNNNNNNNNNNNNNNNNNNNNNNNNNNNNNNNNNNNNNNNNNNNNNNNNNNNNNNNNNNNNNNNNNNNNNNNNNNNNNNNNNNNNNNNNNNNNNNNNNNNNNNNNNNNNNNNNNNNNNNNNNNNNNNNNNNNNNNNNNNNNNNNNNNNNNNNNNNNNNNNNNNNNNNNNNNNNNNNNNNNNNNNNNNNNNNNNNNNNNNNNNNNNNNNNNNNNNNNNNNNNNNNNNNNNNNNNNNNNNNNNNNNNNNNNNNNNNNNNNNNNNNNNNNNNNNNNNNNNNNNNNNNNNNNNNNNNNNNNNNNNNNNNNNNNNNNNNNNNNNNNNNNNNNNNNNNNNNNNNNNNNNNNCAUCUAUAGAACCAACUUCAUUAUUAAAUGAAAAGGUAAACCCUUGUUUGUACAAAGCAUGAAAGGAAAUAAUAUUUCUUGCCAUUCCUGGCGAAUAACAACACUUAUUCAAAUCUAAACUAAACCCACUACUUAGCGAUAAAGUAUAAACUCCAAUCUUGGUAACAGGUAUAGCUUUCCUAUUCCCCAUGAUCAAGUUUAUCCUUCCUUGCUCCACAUCCUCACUUCUUCUUAGUCCCUGCAAGUCACAACAAAUAUGAAUACCACACCCGGUAUCAAGGACCCAAGAAUUAGAAUGGGGUGAGUUAUUAGAAAUGAUAGUGUAAAUACCUGCAUGGUUGGGUUUAACUUUCCCAUCCUUCACAUCUUGCUGGUAUUUUGGGCAGUUCCGCUUCCAAUGUGAUUUUUCAUGGAAAUAGAAGCAUUUGGCCUCUAUUGGAUCAGAAGAAGGAGUGGUGAAAACUUUCUUGGUUCCACUUGAAGAAGAGCCAUCAAGGGUCCGAACCUUGGUACCCUUAGAAGAGCUCUUUCUCUUCCUCCCUCGACUUUUCCCGAUUGCCAAAACCGGAGUAGAGUUUUGAGUAGGAGUGAUAGCAACCGACUUCCCCUUAAGACCUGAUUCUGCGGUCUUGAGAAGUCCCUGAAGUUUGCUGAGGGUGACUUCUUCCUUGUUCAUGUGAUAUGUCAUGCGGAAUUGAUCAUAGCACGAUGGUAAGGAAUGCAAAAUAAUAUCUAUUGCAAGAUCCUCCGGGAAGUUCACAUUAAGCUUCAGCAAACGAUCCACAUACCUUUGCAUUUUCUGCAUGUGGCUCGUGACGGAUUCCCCGUCCUUCAUCAUGGUUGUUAUCAUGGAGCAGAUGAUUUCAUACCUCUCUUGUCUUGCACUUUGAUGGUAUCUUUCCAUCAAAUCUUGGUGCAUUUCAUAAGGGUAGAAAUCCUCAUAAGACUUUUGGAGUUCCGCUGUCAUCGUGGCCAUCAUGAUGCAAGCCACUUUCGUAGCAUCCCUUUCAUGUGCCCGAAAUUCAGCGAUCUCCUGAGGAGUUGCAGUGGACUCAUCAAUCUCCUUAAGCUCCUUGUCAAGGACAUAUUCUUUGUCCUCGUAGCGGGUAAUCAUCCUGAUGUUUCUGAUCCACUCAUUGAAGUUGGAUCCAUCAAAGGUGACUUUCCCACACAAGUUCAUAAGGGUAAAGGAGCCAUUAGGAUUAGAGCCAGAAGCAUUGUUGAAAGACAUCUGAAGGAAAGAGGACAAGAUUAGUUUAGAUAUAAGAGAGUCCUUAAUAAAACACCCAAAUGUAAUAUUAAGGCUAGGAUCCAAUCACAAUAUAAUAUAACUUAGAAGAGGUAUGCCGUAAUCUAAGCUAUAUCAUAUUUGAAAGGUAGGUGAAUGACGAUUCACCAAUUUCCACCACGAAAACCGCAAUAUUUUAGUAUUAGGUUUUUGAAUGGUUCUUAGAAAUUCCUAGAUUCUUUGAGAUUCAAUGAACUUUUCAAAGGCAUGUUUCAAUCUCGAGUGUGCCCUCCAAGUUUUGUGACUGGGAUACCGAGGAUCACAAAACGAGGUGUGAAGUAACCAUGCAAAUCACUUGGUACCCUUAAAGUUUAUCACUCAAUCGAUGUGCCGGUUAACCACACACGCUCCAUCGAUACUAUAAUAAACCCUAAGUCACCCUUUACCUACCUUGUUAAGUCCAAGUUAGUGUGCCGGUUAACCACACACGCUCCACCAACGACUUAAUCAAAGUGUAAAGUGUAAUUUCAUGGAAUAGCACCUUAUUCACAUUUUUCCUAAAGUAACUAAGAUUGGGAAUUUAAUAAAACAUUUAGUUACUUUAUAAUAUUCAUCAUACUUUGAAUGAGAAUUAAUAAGUCCUUGUCUUACCCGUUCGGCUAACGACCCUCCACCGAUCAAGCAAGCGGUGGGUGAGAGUGGACACCCAUUAAGUCACCAUUUUAUAGGCAACAACCUUAUACCCACCUUAUAGACCGGCUUCGUGAAUGAGGCGUACUAGCGGUAAGACGACUUUGUUCUUAUACAUAUAUAUAUAAUUAUUAAAUCAUAAUAAUAUAAGUAUAAGGGUUGAAUUUUAACUUUUAAAAUUCUAGGGGUUGGAACUAAAGUUUUAACUUAACUUUACUUGUUCCAAAACUUGAGGGCAAGUUUUGUAAACUUUCAAAACUUUUCAUUUCUUGUAACUUAUGAGUUUAAUAGAGUAAUAAAAUGAGGACUUUUCAUUUUUCCUAACUCUUGUGUUCUUUUAAUGUUUUUUAAUCCAAGAGACUUUUGGUUUUCCAUAACUUGAGGACAAGUUAUGGACUCCAUUAAAACACAUUAUGAUCAUGAAUUAAUCUACCACAUAGGUUACAAAUAAUUCCUAUGAUCAUCUAAACAUCAUAAGAACAAGAAUAUGAAUAUGAACACUUUCAAGAAUCAAAAUCACAUUUAAUCUUUGUAAUUUUGAUAACUAGUUGUUGUAAAUGAGUUAGAAAAGACAUUACACCUUCUAAAAUAAGUUUUCAAGUACCAAAACAUUUUAGGGUAAUGAUUCUAAUCCAUUUCCAGCAACACAAGUCGAAAUUCUGCACUCUGUCGACCCUACUCGCCGAGUGCAUAAACCUACUCGCCGAGUAGGUUGAAGAUACACAUGAACUCGUCGAGUCCUCCCCAUGGACUCGCCGAGUCCAUCAGUCAGACAGCAAGAUUUUCGACUUUCUUCAACUUUUAAGCACAAAUAACAAACAAACAAGCCUAGGCUCUGAUACCACUGAUGGGUUUUGAGCAUUCUAACACUUCCUAAGUGUACAUGCAACCCUAAUAACCUUGGAUCUAUGUUUGUCUAAUUAUCAUGCAAAGUUGAAUUCCAAGGUUAUAUUCCUAUCUAGCAUACAUGGGGAACAAUUUUAACUUGAAUGAAAGAUAGAAUAACUUACCUUGUUGUUGCUUAUGUUCCUUGAAACCUUGUGAGCCUAGCACCCCAAGUGUGAUGCCUCAAAUGCUUCACACAACACCAAAUGCUCUUGGAAAGACUUUUGAGAGAAUACACACUUCUUGAAAUCGGCCUAGCCCUCUUGUUUCAUAUGUGUAGCCGAUUUUUGUGGAGAAUGGGAUUCUUAUAUAGUGUUGACACAUCUAGGGUUACACCAUGUAAACCCUAAUGUGUCAUGACUCUUCAUUUCCAUGACCCAUGGGUUUGUAACUCCCAUGGAGCAUCCAUGGAGCAUCCUAUGGGUGGAACCCAACUUGAUAAUCCAUGGAGCCUCUUAGCCCACUAUACAAGAUAUGAAUGAUUUACAUAAUCAACCCAUAUAUUUAAUUAGUUAUCCUUUGAUCACUUAAUUAAUUCUAAAUUAAUUCUUGAUCAAACUAAUCAAAUAAUAUUAUUAAUAUAUUAGAACUUAUAAUAUAUUAAUAAUCUCCAAGUUUUAUUGCUCUCAUUUAGUCUAUCCAAUUGCAUGGUGUCAUGCAACCCAAAUGGAACAUGCCGGGUCAGGUCAAGUACUGACCCGAAAUAGUUAUAGACUUAGACACCUUAUCCAACAACAUGGAAGGGUGAUAGCAUACGCAUCCCGCCAACUAAAGACGCACGAAGUAACUUAUCCGACCCAUGACCUAGAAUUGGGAGCUGUAGUUUUUGCCCUAAAGAUUUAGAGGCAUUACCUUUACGGUAUGAAGUGCACCGUCUUCACAGAUCACAAGAGUCUCCAACACAUACUGAACCAGAAGGGGCUGAACAUGAGGCAACGAAGAUGGGUUGAAUUGCUAAACGAUUAUGAGUGUGAGAUCAAGUACCACCCAGGCAAGGCCAACGUGGUAGCUGACGCAUUAAGUCAGAAGGAGUACUCUAAUCAUCGUGCGAAAACUCUCUCAAUAACCAUUCAAUCUCAUCUGGCCACCCAAAUUGCAGCAGUCCAGUCAGAGGCCAUGAAGACGGAAAAUAGAGCAAGCGAAGCAUUACGCGGGAUGGAGAAGAACCUAGAGGCAAGGGAGAAUGGAGUAUACUACUUCAUGAACCGAAUUUGGGUCCCUAAAAUCGGAGGAUUUAGGGAGGUUGUUAUGAAGGAAGCCCACAAGUCACGAUACUCCAUUCAUCCCGGUUCAGACAAGAUGUAUUUGGAUAUUAAACAACACUAUUAGUGGCCUAACAUGAAGGCGGAAAUUGCGACCUAUGUUAGUAAGUGCCUUACGUGCGCCAAGGUAAAGGUGGAGUACCAGAAACCCUCAGGAUUAUUACAGCAACCGGUAAUCCCUGAGUGGAAGUGGGAGGGGAUUUCUAUGGACUUCGUGACCAAGCUACCCAAGACGUCGGACGGACUGGACACCAUAUGGAUAAUAGUCGACCGACUGACGAAGUAUGCCCAUUUCCUGCCUAUAAAAGAAUCCUACAAGAUGGAAAGAUUGACACGUUUGUACAUUCGAGAGAUCGUGAGACUCCACGGAGUACCAAUGUCUAUUAUCUCGGAAAGGGAUAGUAGAUUCACUUCGCCUUUUUGGCAAUCUCUCCAUAAGGCACUAGGAACUCAUCUUGACAUGAGCAUCGCAUAUCAUCCACAAACAAACGGUCAAAGUGAACGAACCAUUCAAACGCUUGAAGACAUGCUUCGUGCAUGUGUGAUAGACUUUGGGAAGUCAUGGGAUACCCAUUUACCUUUAGUCGAAUUCUCGUAUAACAACAAUUAUCAUUCAAGCAUUAAGGUCGCUCCUUUCGAAGCACUGUACGGGCGUAAGUGUAGAUCACUGUUAUGUUGGGCUGAAGUAGGUGACACCCAGCUAGCAAAAGCACUCAUGUUGGAUCAGGCGCUAACGGGACUAGAAAUCUUUCGUGAAACCACAAAAAAGAUUAUUCAAAUCAGAGCUCGACUGCAAGCAUCGCACGACUGACAAAAGAGCUAUGCCGAUAAACGGCGAAAGCCCUUAGAAUUUCAAGUCGGAGAUCGAGUACUGUUAAAAGUCUUGCCCUAGAAAGGAGUUAUUCGUUUUGGGAAGCGGGGAAAAUUGAACCCACGAUACAUUGGACCUUUCAAAAUCGUCGCUCGAAUAGGUCCGGUAGCAUACAGACUGCAACUACCCACAGAGCUAAACAGUGUACACCUCGUGUUCCAUGUCUCUAAUCUGAAGAAGUGCCUAUCAGAUGAAACACUCGUCAUUCCUCUUGACGAAAUCGAAAUCAACGAGAAUCUCCUGUUCGUUGAAGAACCAAUUGAAAUCAUGGACAGGGAGGUGAAGCGUACCAUGCAAAGUCGCAUCCCGAUCGUGAAAGUACGGUGGAACGCAAAGCGUGGGCCAGAAUUCACGUGGGAACGCGAAGACCAAAUGAAGAAAAAGUACCCUCACCUAUUCUAGCAUUCUCAAAUCUAGCUUUCAAACAGAAUUUUGGGACGAAAUUCCCUCUAACGGGGGGAUGAUGUCACAACUAGAAAUUUUGUGUCUUGUAAUCACUAUACUUAAGUAAAAGGUUGAAUCAAAAACAUAAGAGCAUGUGAGAUACCUAUUAUUAUGACAUCAAAAACUGCAAUCAAAUACAUCAUACAAAUACUACAAAUAGUCAUCAAGCAAUUGGAAACCCUAGAAGUUCUUGUUUAGGUCCAUUUUGGACUAGGACUUGCUUAUUGGACUCAAUGGACCAAUAAGCUUCCAAUUUGACUAUCAGGGGCUUAGAACCCUUAAAUGGGCUCUAAUUGCACCCACAUUAAUUUAUUUCAACAUUUUGGGCCAUAUUGGGCCAAGAAUGAAAUAAAUUGAAAGUUUUGAACCAUGAUUAACCUAAACUAGCCCAACAAAGUGUAAAAAUCAUGUUAUAUUUCUUUUAGGUCAAAAAUCAUCCAACUUAACUUCUAUAUGGGCUUGAGGGCUUUAAAGCCCAAAUCUUUCCUUUUCCAUCCAAAUUUUCGGCCCAAGGCCCAAAUCCAAGAAGAAAAGAGGAAGGGUUGACUUAAUGCGUGCCACCUCAUUAUUAUAUGGUGGUUAUCCAAGCUAAUAUUCCUCAAACAUCCAUGCGAAUCUCAUUUCUCCAUGCAACUCUCUCUCUCCUUCUCUCUUCUUGUUUUGGCCGUGAGUAACACACAUACACACACCUCACAAAACUCUCUCUAGAUUACUCAACAAAUCAUCCUUCCUCUCCAUUCAAAAAUCUCGAAACUUUGCUUGUGCAUCAAGAGGAUUUCAAGAAAAUAUCAUCACUUCUUUGUAAGCUACAUAUAUCUAAGGAUUUUAUAACUCUUUUCUCAUGAUUAGAUCCUUUCUCUUAAACAUUUGUGGUAAUCAUGCUCCUAGAAUCUUCUCAAAGUCGAGAUCAUCACCAAAGGGUUGCUAAGGCCGAAAAUGACCAAACUUUCUUCCAUCGUUUCUUCAAAAACCGAAACCACACCCUAAGGUGAGCUUGAUACCCCCCCUUAUUUUCGUUUUUUAUAAGUUUUGUGGGGGGAGAAUACAAGCAAAUGUGUAGAUCUAUCAUUAUGUGUAUGCCUUGUAUGAUUUCUAUGCUUAUAUGUGUGUUUAUGUGUGAUUAUGAUGUUGGAUCUAGUUAUAAACCCCUAAAAAUCGGGAUAUACCUUAUGUUAAAUGAUACUAGCAUAAAUUAUAUUUCUACAUACAAAGCAUUCCAAGAAAAAUAGCUAAGAGGUUUAAUAACAACUUCAUUGGGCUAAAAACUCAUUUUAUGACAUAAAAUGUUAAAAAUAUAAAGUUAAAGGGGCCAAAAUGACAUAUUACGAAUUCUGAUGGGUGAGAUGAGUCAAAACAGUUCCAAUAAUGUAUUUUCUGAAAAUAUACUCUUUUGAAGGGUUAAAAACAUAAAUUUCAAGCUUAAUGGGCUAAAAAUGACAUUUGCGGUGCAAUAGGGCCCAUUAUGCGAAUUUUUCCAAUUUGAGGGACUGAAACCGUGUUUUUCUAUAAAACAGUGGACUGUUAGUGUCCUAAGUCCUUUUCAAAGGUCAAAAAUGCUAUUCAUAAUUAAAAAGGACCAAAGUUGCAAAAAAUUUCCAAUUUGGGCCAAAAGUGUAAAAAUUGCGAAAAAGAAAGGUUGCAGCCGAGAAAAGUGCAUUUUAAGGGACUAAAACUGUUUUCAAUUAAAAAUGUGAUGAAAAAUAUCAAUUUCAAUAAGUUUUGAUGUUAAAAUGCCAAGAAAAAUGGUUUGAGGACUAAACCGGAAAGUUAAUUUACUUUAGAGGACUAAACCGGAAAUUAAUUUACUUAAAGGGGUGAAAAAGUAAAUUUACAAAAUAAAGAGGGGUUGUAAACAGAAAAAUUUCAAUGUUAAUUCAAUACAUUCGUUGUGAUCAAAUACUGACACUGUGACUACCGACGAAUUACAAUACACAAUAAUACCAACAAUCGUUAUCAAACGAAUUAAUUCGGUCUCGAAUCAAAAACAAAUCCGAAACUACUAACACUGCGACACUCAAUACACACAUGGAACUCUCAGAAACUCUAUACACUCGUGGAAAUACGCUAUACGUCGACGCUGUGUCCUUGGGCCCAAAAGUUUCAAAUCAUGCUUGUUGGGCCUAGCUAGCCCAAUGACAUGAUCUUUAGGCCCAAAGGAAAUUUACUUACAUGUAGUCGGGUCUAAUACGACCUAACUUCGUGUAAAAAGACUUUCAAUGGCAAACAUGCUGCUGGUCCCCAAUGGUCCUUCGGUACUGCUAGCAAAGUCGAGAACUCUCUAGUGCGAGUUGGGCUAAGGGCCCUUCGCAUUCACUAUGGCCUUGAACGACAUAAGGAAAUACCGAGGGCUUCGCACCUUCUUUUCCCCUCGGUCGUGGGGCUACACGAGUCCGGGGAGUUGGGUUACGUGAAUAAGUGCAAGCGACGCCUAAGGGAUUGUUUGUACGGUUGUCAACUGGGCGUUUUCAUUAAUGUACGUUACAACAAUUCACCAACUACUAUAAUUCAACGCCUCUGGAGCUCAACUAAUACCUCUAUCGUAUCGAAAUAACAAUACAUAAACUAACUAAAGCAAAGUGAUAGGAAAACGUCGGGUUUUCCUAGGCUUUUCAACUAUUACACCUACGAACUACAUACCGAGCUUUACAAACCGUACGCUUACACCUAUAGAAAACAAACAAGCAUACUUAUGGAUCUUCACACUUUUUACACCAUACUAUUUUCAGAAAAUAUCGGAUUUUCUGGUGGUUUUCAAGACAUUAUAACCCGUUGGAUUUCAAACAUUACUUAUGAACUCACCAACAUUUCAUAUGUUGACGUUUUUCAAAAUACUUGUAUUCUCAGGUAACAGGUAAAGUGAAGGAAGAAUUGUACUCUAUGAUGUUUUGUGGUUGUUUAAUUAACAACGAACAAUUUAUUUUUGGGCAUGUAAUAUUUUGGAACAAUGUAAUGGAUGUAAACACUAUCAGUUGUAAUAUUCAAAUGCUUGGUAAUGAAUGAUGUUAUGUUUCAUGUAUAUUCAUUGUGAUGGUAUUCAAUUGAGUCACAACAGCCCCCGGACGUUUCCGCCGUCUGGUUCGGGGGUGUGACAUGAACUGAGUGUGUUCACUACGUAUCUUUGAACGGAGUGUGUUCACUAGGUAUUUUGAACUAAGUGUGUUCACCAGUUACUUUUGAACUAAGUCUUUACCAGAUGUUUUGGACUACGUGUUCACCAGUUUUAAUCUAUAAGCUUUGGUAAUGAUGGACUUCGUGCCGAUUCCUUAGGAUAAUCGUUAGGAAUGAAUGAACGAGAAAUAGCUGAUUCUUAGGGUAUAUCCUUAAGAGUAAAGAAGAUAAUGGGGAUGGUUAAUUGGGUUUAAUAGCUAGAUUUUUUAAGCAUAAUAAUUAUAUUAUUGUGGGUUGAAAACCCUAUGUACUCACCAGGUUUCCCAACCUGACCCACUCAUUUUAUUUAUAUCACAGGUGUUGAUAUAAAGUCACAUUACACUGAGAGAUUAAAGAGAUGUAGAUCACUAGUGUAAAUAAAUGUAAGUUCUAUUUAUGCUUAUGUUCCUGUAUUGACAAUGACAUCCCAAAUGUUUUAAAAUGAAUAAAAUACGUCUCUUCAAAAAUGUUUUAAUAACAUAUUUAUCGUGUUUUUCUAGGAACAAAUUCCGCAACAUUUUUAUGAAAAGAAGUACUCUGAACUUUAUAAAGCAUAAACAAAAUUGGUCUUUUCUGGCCGUGAAAAUGGGGAUGUCACAUUAUCAAAGCACUUCCAGAGAAAGAUAUUUUUAUUCAUUUAAAACAUUUGGGAUGUCAUCGUCAAUACAGAAGACAUAAGCAUAAACAGAACUUACAAUCAUUGUCAUUAGUGAUUUUUAUCUCCUUAAUCUCUCAGUGUAAUGUGACUUCAUAUCAACACAUGUGAUAUAAAUAAACUGAGUGGGUCAGGUUAGGAAACGUGGUGAGUACAUAGGGAUUUCAAUCCCAUAAUGUUAUCCAUAUAUAUACUUUAAAACUCACAAAAUAUACAAUUUCACCAUAUAUAUAAACAACUUUUAUCCCGCCCCGUCGAUCCUCACAACGAGACUAUCCAUACUCUCGUACCUAAGAUUAGCCGGUUUACCUAAUCCAUACUCCCGGAUCAGAAAUGAACGACUUUGCCUAAUCCAUACUCUCGGACUAGGGACAAAUGACUAAUCUAUACUCUCGGAUUAAUGAUGAAUGAUUAUGCGUAAUCCAUACUCUCAGACUAAAGACAAUGACUAUGUCUAAUCCAUGCUCCCGGAUCAAUGACAUAUACUAAGGUUUUAUUCUCUGAGUAUAAUUCACUCGUUCUCGUAAGAAAACACUACCCAAUAUUUCUCAUAAUUAAUUUAGGUUUACACUUUAUUCUAAAUAAGCAUAUAUAAUCAGGUAUCCUCUUUAACAAGUAUCUCAUGCAACAUCAAAUAAUUCGCACAUAAACAUAUAUUUAAUACUUCAAUCGAUAAUUGUAUUAAAAUCAUGUUCAUGAAAGGGACUAUGCACUCACACAUAAACUCUUCAACAAAUAUUUAACUCUUUAACAUAUAUUUAAUAAUUGAAUUAAUACUUGUAUUAAAAUCAUGUUCAUGAAAGGGACUAUGCACUCACAACACGUAAUUUAUAUUAAAUACUUCAUAUAUUUGUGUAAGAUGAAAGAGACCAUGCACUCACUUGAAAAGGUGGUGAUUCCGAACUCAGACAGCGCUUCGCUUCUUAAAUAUAAUUUCUUUCGACGAGACCUAGUAUUAUUACCACUAGAUUUUUGUCUAUUAUUUGUCGAGACUAAUUAAUAGUCUAGCUAUUAUUACUAUUAUAUAAGCAUUAAACAAUACUUAUAUAACCCAUAGUAAUAGCCCAAGUACUUAUUAUAAGUUCCUAAUAACGUUACUAUAAUUAGAAAAAAAAAACAAAAAAAAAACCUAUAUUAAAAAUAGCGUAGGCGUAACUCAGUUACAACGGGUUUUAUACAAAACCGGGCUUUUCUUGGGAUAGCGUUCCCAAGCCGAAACGCUCUUAUUCUCAGAGCCGUCGAGCACUACGAGGCUUCCGCCUCGUGCUAAAGAGGUUCCCUAGCCUUUUCGGGGCUAGAGAGAGAGCUUCUAGAGAGAAAGUAAAGAGAAGAAAGAAUGAGAAAGGUGUGAACAAAAUGAGGGUGUGAGAGGUUCUAUUUAUAGGGUGAAAAUGGCUGAACUUGGUGCCACAUUUCACCAUCUAGUGGCAAGACUUAGGGAGAAAGCAAUGGCCAAGAUUGUGUCACAUCACCCAUUUUUGCAUAACACACCUCCGACUUCUAAAAUCCGUAACUUUCACAUAUGACCUCCGAUUUUGAUGUUCUUUAUAUCCACACCUAGGUAAAAAUAAGAUGUACAACUUUCAUUUUGACUGCGUCGGCUAAUUCUCGACCGAUCCUAAAUUUAACAGUACGAGGGGAUUAUACUGAUAAAUGUCCGCGUAAAAUUCAUAACUUCUACAUACGGACUUUGUUUUUGUCUGUCUUUUUACCGUUGAGUUCCUAUUAAUGAGUUCUUCAAUUCUCAUUUAAGUCAUUCAGGCCAAAAACCGCUCGAACUAAAAUUCGAGUUUCGGGUCGUGCACUGCUAUGCCAAAUCUUAGAAAAUUCAUAACUUCCUCAUACGAUGUCAGAUUUGGGCGUUCUUUUUUUGUAUGUUCUCGGUUUAACAUAUACUUCAACUUUUGUUUGGAUCAAUAAGGCUAAAUGUUCCUAUAUCAAAAGUUCACUAUUUAUGUCUCCCGGCGUCGUGCCGGUUUUGCCGUAAAACUUCAACGAGCCAUAACUUCUUCGUUAUAACUCGGAUUUCAACGUUCUUUAUAUGUACGGAACCCUUGAGACAUAUUAUAAAUUUUUGUUAAGAUUAUUUAUUCUAAAUAAUAUUUUGUCAAAAAGUCAUUUUCGACCCCUAUUAUCUCUAUAUUGACUAGCCUGGAUCUACGGGCGUUACAAUUAUCUCCCCCUUAGGAUGAUUACGUCCCGGAAUCAUGAACGAAAUAGGCUCACAUGAUGAAUCCAUACAUUGUCUCUUCAUCCUAAGUAAUAACCGUAACUUUGAUGUUUCUUCGAACGAAUAUUUAACUCUAAGACUUCCUGAUUGCAGGCCGUGCUCGAUCUUGCACUUGCUCCCUCUCUCACGUUAGACUCCAAAUUAUGACCUUCAAGUCACAAUCUUGAUCCUUACUAGAGACUUCUUCUUCUUCUUAACAAACUUAAGAUAUGUUAUUUUAUUACUAAAAUAGACCGAUGUGUCAUAUUCUAAUGACUUAUCAUCGUAUGUUCCCACGCUUAGACUCAGGUCUCUUAGAGUCUUCCAGAACAAACUAUACUUUCGUUCAUGUUCCAAUCUCAUAUUAAAAGGUAGCAUUUCUAGCUACAAGCAACUAUCGCGAUACCUCUACUGAUCACUUUGAUUGUUUUUCUCUUCAAGCUUUUAGCUUAAGUCAGUUGCUACAUCAGACUUGAUUCUCUGAACUAUUUAUCAUACUUAUCGUAGUCGAACUCAAUUUGAUAUGAACGCUAGGGUUAGUAUAACAAUCACCAUCUUAGUCAUUACCGAAACGAUGGUAACGAUAUUCUUGAAUAAAAUGGUACUAUUUACUAGUUUCUUGGUAACCUUGUGACCUUCCCUGAUCCAAGUGCGAGUCACGUGCUUCCGGUAGUAUAAGCCUCUACUACCAUUCACACCUACUCAUACUCGUCUCAAGUAUUGUCUCGCAGUUUUCCCAAGUCACCAUCAAAUAAAAUCACAUGAAAACUUAACACAUUGGAUAGAAAAACAAAGGUUUUUAUAUUAUUCGUUGAAACGAUUACAUAGGUGUUCAAGUUCACCCUAGACUAUGCCUCUAAUAGGCUACAUUAUACGAUAUUAUGGCUACUGCAUAACUCGAUCUUCAGAUAUGAAGUCCUCAUCCUUGAUUCCUCGCGUUAUCAUCUGCUUCGUGAAGGAUCAUCUGAGAUGCUCUUGCCUUUGGUUUUGGCGGUAUAUUCGGCUUUGUAGCUUCUUCUUUCCUUGGGAAGUCUUGCUUGAAGUGUCCCUCUUCACCACACUUAAAAGCAGAGUUUUCUCUUGGUUGUGCAUUCACCGACGUAAUGGCCAGUCUUCCCGCAUUUAAAGCAGGUCAUCUCUUUAGAGAAUUCCCCAAUGUGCUUCUUUCUACACUUGUCACACCAUUGCAUUCCUUCUUCGAACUUCUUUGAACCAGUCAUCAAGAAUUUUCUAUUCUCGUCAGACCUUAAGGAUCCUUCAAACUUUCUCUUCUCGCCAACCUCCAUCUUGCUGGCAGCUCUUCCCUUGAUCAUAUCUUCAACAGACUUGGCAGCCCAGAUAUUUGCCUCCAGAGUAGACGCCUGACAUACUGGCACCGCAUACUCCCAAGGAAGACCCUUUGCGUACUUGUCAAUUUUUGUCAGCUCGUCCGGGACAAGACGCAAAGCAAACUACAUCUUGUCUGUGAAGUUGUUGGUGUAUUCAUCGAUGGUCAUGCUUCCUUUCUUCAAGGUUAGGAAUUGGUUCUAUAGCUCGAGCAGGUUUUGGGCUAAACAGUACUUACGUUUGAAUUGCACCAAAAACUCUGUCCAAGUCAAUUGCAGGGGCUCAUUGGGGCUUAGAGUCUUCCCUAGGGUAUUCCACCAGCGCACAGCGCCUCCUCGGAACUGACGCACUGCAAAGGUGGUUUGCAGCUUGCCUCUACAACCGCACGUCAUAAAAGCUAACUCCAUUUCUGAGAUCCAAUCCAUGACUUCGAUCGGUCUUCCUUUCCAGUGAAAGUCGAUGACUUGCAAGUCAAAAAAUCUUUGUACUUGCAUCUGUUUCUCUUGACUACAUCAUCUUGACCGUUUCUCCUAUUAACUGGCGGAUCAGCUUAGCCCACUGACCUACUGUAGUUUCCUUCCUCCGAUUGUUCGGGAAUCGGCUCCUUUUGCACAAUGGGCAUGGUGGCUUCGUCCUUGUUUCUCUUGCAUCAUCCGCAUCAUUUCUUCCCUUUGUUCCGCUAACAUAGCCCUCUUCAUGGCUUGUACUCCCGCCAUGGUGAUUGGCUCAGGUGCGACUUCUAUUACGACUACUAUUUGCAGUAUCACUGGGGGUUGAUCUCAGUUCCCAUUUGCAUUCACGUUUCCGCUAUGGGUCCUAGCCAUCUUGAUCUACACACCGAAUAAGGUGAAUAUAGAUCUUUCUUUAGGACUGACGCUUAUAUCAUCCUUAUCUCUCCGAAACGUUUAUAUGCGAGUUCUAAUAUCGUAGUCGUACGUUUUGAAUCCUAAACACAUAAGGUUUCCAGAUCCGGUCGGCAACAGAACAUAGAUCCGAACAAAUAACGGCAUAUCAGACAGAAAGCAUUUAGCACAUAAAAGCAUUUUAGGCAUCAUUCCUAAAAUAAGCUACUGCUCAUAUCUCACAAUCAUCGCUUAGCAUUUUAAGUUUAAGUCAAGAAAUCCUACAAAUUCCUAGUUCGCUUUAAUAAAUGCUCAGAUACCAACUAUGACAUCCCCAUUUUCACGGCCACAAAAGACCAAUUUUGUUUAUGCUUUAUAAAAUCAAAGUACCUCUUUUGAUAAAAAUGUUGUGGAAUUUGUUCCAGUAAAACAUGAUAAAUACGUUAUCAAAGCACUUCCAAAGAAAAGUAUUUUUAUUCAUUUUAAAACAUUUGGGAUAUCAUCGUCAAUACAGAAGACAUAAGCAUAAACAGAACUUACAUUCAUUAUCACUAGUGAUUUAUAUCUCCUUAAUCUCUAAUGUGACUUCAUAUCAACACUUGUGAUAUAAAUAAACUGAGUGGGUCAGGUUGGGAAACCUGGUGAGUACAUAGUGAUUUCAAUCCCAUAAUGUUAUACCAUAUAUAUAUAUAUAUAGUUUAAAACUCACAAAAUAUACAAUUUCACCAUAUAUAUAAACAACUCUUAUCCCACCCCGUCGAUCCUCACAACGAGACUAUCCAUACUCUCGGACCUAAGAUUAGCCAUUUUACCUAAUCCAUAUCCCAGAUCAGAAAUGAACGACUUUACCUAAUAUAUACUCUCGGACUAGGGACGAAUGACUAAUCCAUACUCUCGGAUUCAUGAUGAAUGAUUAUGCCUAAUCCAUACUCUCAGACUAGGGACAAUGACUAUGUCUAAUCCAUGCUCCCGGAUCAAUGACAUAUACUAAGGUUUUAUUCUCUCAGUAUAAUUCCCUUAUUUUGGUAAGAAAACACUAUCUAAUAUUCCUCAUAAUUAGUUUUGGUUUACUCUUUAUCCUAAACCAGCAUAUAUAAUCAGGUAUGUUCUUUAACAAGUGUCUCAGGCAACAUCAAAUAAUUCGCACAUAAAUAUAUAUAUUUAAUACUUCAAUCGAUACUUGUAUUAAAAUCAUGUUCAUGAAAGGGACUAUGCGCUCACACAAAAACUCUUCAACAAAUAUUUAACUCUUUAACAUAUAUUUAAUACUUUAAUUAAUACUUGUAUUAAAAUGAUGUUCAUGAAAGGGACUACACACUCACAACACGUAAUUUAUAUUAAAUACUUGACAUAUAUGUGUAAGAUGAAAGAGACCAUGCACUCACUUGAAAAGGUGGUGAUUCCGAACUCAGACAGCGCUUCCCUUCUUAAAAAUAAUAUCCUUCGAAAAAACCUAGUAUUAUUACCUCAAGAGUUUAGUCUAUUAUUUGUCGAGACUAAUUAAUAGUCUAGCUAUUAUUACUAUUAUAUAAGCAUUAAACAAUACUUAUAUAACCCAUAAUAAUAGCCCAAGUACUUAUUAUAAGUUCCUAAUAACGUUAUUAUAAUUAAAUAAAAACCAUAUUAAAAAUAGCGUAAGCGUAGCUCACUUACAAUGGUUUUAUAAAAAACCGGGAUUUGCUUGGAGCAGCACUCCCAAGGCGAAAAGAUCUUCUUCUCGGAGCUGUCGAGCAUUCCGGGGCUUCCGCCUCAUGCUAGGGAGGUUCCCUAGCCUUUUCAAGGCUUGAGAGAGAGGUUCUAGAGAGAGAGUAAAGAGAAGAAAGAAUGGAAAGGUGUGAAGAAAAUAAGGGUGGGAGAGGUCCUAUUUAUAGGGUGAAAAUGCCUGAACUUGGUGCCACAUGUCACCAUCUGGUGACAAGACUUGGGGAGAAUGCAAUGGCCAAGAUUGUGUCACAUCACCCAUUUUUGUACAGCACACUUCCGACUUCUAAAAUUCGUAACUUUCACAUACGACCUCCGUUUUUUAUGUUCUUUAUAUCCACGCGUAGGGAAAAGUAAGAUCUACAACUUUCAUUUGGACUGCGACGGCUAAUUCACUACUGAUCCUAAAUUAAAUAGUGCGAGGAAAUUAUAUUGUUAAAUGUCCGCGUAAAAUUCAUAACUUCUACAUACGGACUCUAUUUUCAUCUUUCUUUUUACCGUUGAGUUCCUAUUAAUGAGAUCUUCAAUUCUCAUUUAGGUCGUGUAGUCCAAAAACCGCUCGAACUAAAAUUCGAGUUUCGGGCCGUACAGUACUAUGCCAAAUCUUAGAAAAUUCAUAACUUCCUCAUAUGAAAUCAGAUUUGGGGGUUCUUUUUUUGUAUGUUCUCGGUUUAACAUAUACUACAACUUUUAUUUGGAUCGAUAAGGCUAAAAAGUCCAUUAUCAAAAAUUCGCUAUUUACGUCUUCCGGUGCCAUGCCGAUUUUGCCAUAAAACUUCGACAGGCCAUAACUUCUUCGUUAUAACUCGGAUUUUGGCAUAUUAUAAAACUUGGUUAAGAUUAUUUAUUCUAAAUAAUGUUUUGUCGAAAAGUCGUUUUCGACCCCUAUUAUCUCUAAAUUGACUAGCCCGGAUCUACGUGUGUUACAUUUAAUAUCAAUGAUGUUGAUAGUCAGCUAAUGCCGGUAGAAAUCUAUGUCCAAAUACUUUCAUCCUCCUAUCAUUAGAGCUCUACCUAAAUCCCAUACUGGUCAAAUCGUUGAACAAUGGAAAUUUAGUCCGUGGAUCACUUUCAAUUCUUUUUGAAAGUUGGGACAUGUUAUCCUCCAACCAAAGAUAGCUUAGUUCGGAUGAAAAUCGUCUUAUAACCAUUCUAUAAACAUAAUUCUACUCUAUACCAGGACUACAUCAUAAAUAUGUAUGUCGGAACAUAGAGGGCCAUUGAACAGCGAUAACAANNNNNNNNNNNNNNNNNNNNNNNNNNNNNNNNNNNNNNNNNNNNNNNNNNNNNNNNNNNNNNNNNNNNNNNNNNNUAUAUAUAUAUGUUGAAUGCAGUUUGUAACGAUCAUAGUUAUUAACAAACUCACUUCACGUUUUGGGACAGAAUCAUGUCGUCACCAAGAAAUAUCCAGCCAACCGACAAAACCCCGAUCCUUCAUAUAGACUCUGCAACAUUCCAAUAUGUCGUAAUGGCUGUUGUGACCACUGUCAUGGCGCAAUUCCAUUCUAACAACCCAAACAAACGUACAAACAGCAUCAAAACUUUGGACCGAAGGAACAACAAAGGAAACCAACGAGCGCCAACCCAUGAGGGAACCCUAACCCAGAAACCGAACAAUAAGAAGAGAAUAUUUUGGGAUAAAAAGAAGUGCAAAUCAUCCCAAAGAACGACAAAGAGACAGCAACCUAUGGCGGCUUUUGCGGCCACGACAUUUUUGCCCUUACUACCAUUCCGACUAAUAUCCCGGUGACCCGAAUACCAGCAAAGAAGUAUGUUAGAAGUCUACCCGAGUACACAAAGUGUAGUUUCCACCACCUGGGUGUUUACCGAAAGUUGCAUUGCAAGGACUGCAACAUGACCGGACACACUACACAUUUCUACAGAACCUGAAUCUAGCGCCUCACAUCAACCACAGAUGUUGGAGCAAGUCUAAUAUGUCACCUUUGUGGUGAAAUUGGACAUUUAAAAAGGGAUUGUCCAACCGAGAAGAAUAAUGGAGGAUCAGGAGGUGUGUGACCCUAGCAUAUCAAAGGGCAUAAAAGGAUCCUGUUUCAGUUUUGGUACGCUUCCAAACCCUAGUAAUUAAUUAUAAUUAACCUUUCGUUCGGAUUGAAUCUCAGCACUUGUAUAAAACUAGGAACUCUAUCUGGUAAGCUAUAAUGGUUUAGCGUAUACAUUAGGGUCAUUUAUACUUAAGAUUCAUAGACUUAAAAUGAGUGGUUCCCCCUUAUUCUCUUUUCCUUGUCUAGAUGUGGGUUUAGGGCAGAGUCACUCAGUCAAUCAUUUUUCCAAUCUUAAUUAUACGUGACCCGUAUACACCCAAAGGUUAUAGCAAAACCAAGUAGGGGACAUAUCAUGCAAGUUCAUUAUUUCAAAUUAUUCAAAAUCCUCGUAUAAUGAGUACUCAUCUAAUUCAGGUCAAAAUAUUCGUGGUAAAAAUACGAAGAUUAAUUAUUCUUCCUAGUAAUCAUUCCUUCUUCUAGAUCAUCAUGACAUUUAAGUCAUCAAAAAGUUCUGACAUCUUCGUCCAAUAGAGUUUGGCUUAGUCUUCACUAUGCAAAAACUUGUGUCCUAGAUAAAGAAACUCUCCCCAUAAUAAACCGUCAGAUGAAACUCUUCUGAUCCAAAACGCGUAACCCUUAUAUCAUCUCUCACUUUAGAACUUCAGAAGUACCCAUGCAGGGGUACUGCACCUUUCUAACUUAGCUAAUAGGUUUUACACUUGAAACGAAGUGCACCACAUAACACCUCCAAAGUAAACAACUUUCUAGACAUCUUUCCAAACGAACGAUCAGGAACACCACCGUAAUGUUAAGUCGAGUUCUGAAUCGACUUAAAUCCCAAGAGCUACCCCAGUAGUUAAGUCGCCUCACAAUCUAGCUCCAGCAGAGAUGUGGGAACUUUCCAGUCAGCUUAACGAACUUCCUGGAGAGGGAUUUAUGGACCAAACUUCUCACCAUGGUAUGCCCCGGCCUUAUUCGUAAGGGAGAAAGAUGGAUCGUUUCGCAUGUGCAUCGACUAGCAAAAAUUGAACAAACUAACUGUUAAAAAUCGUUACCCCCCUCGCAUCAACGACUUAUUAAUCAAUUACAAGGAGAGAACUACUUUUCGAAGAUUAACAUAUGAUCCGGGCACCAUCAGUUACGAGUGUUGAGGAGGAUGUUCCCAAGACAACCUUCUAAACUCGUUAUGGACACUACAAGUUGUAGUGAUGUCAUUCGGAUUUACCAACGCACCAGCCAUAUUCAUGAAUUUAAUGAUUUAGGUGUGUCGUCCUUACUUGGAUCAGUUUUCCGUUGUAUUCAUCGAUGACGUACUUAUGUACUCUCGUAGUAAGGAGGAACAGAGUCAACACCUACGUCAGAUUCUAGAAUCACUUCGUACAAAGAAAAUUUACACACAGUUUCUUGACAAUGAAUUGAGGAGUCAAGGAGUCGAAUUCUUGGGGCACGUGGUUAGUAAUGAGAGUAUUCAUGUGGACCUUUCCAAAGAUCAAGGCCAUCGAGAACUAGAAAGCACUAAGCGAGGACUUGAAAUCACAUAGGGAGCGCGAGGAUCAAAUUUAAAAUGACAUAUCCUCAUCUUUUCACUUGGUUAUCUAUUGCUAAACUCUAAUUUCGAGACUAAAUUCUGUCUAAUAGGGGGAUGAUGUGACAACCCGAAAUUUCUUCCUUGUACAAGCAUCCAAUUCAAUAAAAGUCGGACUCCUUUCUGCUAUCUUUUAGCACUGUUUAAGGUCUAUUUGAGGGUUCUAAGCAUAGUACAAUCAAGGCUUAAGCUUAGGAUUGAGUUAGCUUAAUUCAUAACAAGUCAAUUGGGCUAAACACUCCUUUAAGAGGAGUGUACUAUCGUACACAUGGGUGUGCGGCCGUACAACCCCCCCCCCCUCAUGGACGUACACCAACUGUCAAUUGUUUGAUAGUUGUACUUUGGGCUGUAAAUACCUUAUGUAUAUGGGUGGAGGAUUUCUAGGGCUUAGGAUAGGCUUAGAAUUCGUCCAAGGCUUAUCAUGAAGGGGAUUGGAUUGCUUAGGGCUUAAGUUAUCCAAUUAGGGUUUAAGGGUGAAACCCUAGGAGCCUUGCAAGUAUAAAUAUACCCUUAGGGGCAAGGGAAAUCGGCACUUGUGUCUUAGGAAAGAAACCUUGGCCGAUUUUCUUCCAUCUCCUCUCUCUCAAAUCAUCCUCCUUGCUAGUUGGUGUUUGUAAGCCAUUAGAGGAGUGAUAAUUGUGACUCUAAAGCUCCAACGACAAGAAGAUCAAGCAAGUGAUUCAAGGUAAACUUCUAACUCUGAUUUUGUAUUGUUAUUAUACUCUAUUAGCCAUUAGAAGUCUUGGAUUCAAUGCAUGUUAAUUAUAGAAAGCUAGAUCCAAGCAUUAGGGUUUGCAUGUGCACAUAGGAAUGUUCAUAUGGCCAAAACCCAUCAGUGGUAUCGGAGCCUAGAUUGGUUUCUAUUGAAUUGAUGCAUUAGUUGUUUGUUUGAUGCCUUCAAAAUUCGAUUUUUAUGGUUCUGAUUGAUGGACUCGGCGAGUCCCAUAGUGGACUCGGCGACUAGGCUUGACUCGGCGAGUCCAUUUGGGUACUUAACGAGUCUGAGCGUCAGGAAGAGCAAAUAUCGGGAUUUCUUGCUGUUUAUCCUUAAGGUACUUGCCUUUAUCAUAUUAGAUCAAUAUAAAUCCGAUUUUUUGAUAUAUAUGAAUAUAUUCUUGAUCUAAUUGAAGAUAUUUAUCAAUUAAUAAAAUAUUUAUUUCCUUAUGUGAUAAUUGAUUAAUUAUUUUAAUUAAAUUGGUAAAUUGUUUUGCAAGAACUAAUUAAAUAAAUCAAAUAUGGAUAAUUAUGUGAUUAAUUGUUAAUUUAGAUUAUUUGUUAUUUGAUCCUCUAUGUUUUGAAAAGUUGAAAACUUGCCCUCAUGUUUUGAACUUUUUGUUUUGUAAUUAGAAGUUUAAUUUAGACAAUUUUAAAUUUCAAACCCUAGAAUUUUACAAGUUUAAAAUUCAACCCUAUACUAAUAUAAUAUUACAAGAUUAAUAUGUAUAUAUGUAUAAUUAAAAUGCUAGUCUUACCGUUAGUAGACCUCAUUCACGAAGCCGGUCUAUAAGGUGGGUAUAAGGUUACGGCCUAUAAAAUGGCGCUUAAUGGGUGUACACUCACACCCACCGCUAGCUUGAUCGGUGGAGGGUCGUUAGCCGAACGGGUAGGAUAGGGCAACCUCAUCCUCUCAUUAAAAGUAUAAUAUGAAAUACAAAGUAACUACAUGUUUUUCAAAAUUUUCCAAUCCUAGUUACUUUAGGAAAAGUGAAUUGAUGCAAUCCCAUGAAAUUACACUUUGCACCAUUGCUAAGAAGUUAGUGGAGUGUGUGUGGUUUACCGGCACACUAAUUGGUUCUAAGCAAAGGUGGCAAAGGGUGAUUCAUUGUUUAUGAUAGUUCGAUGGAGCGUGUGUGGUUUACCGGCACAUCGAAUAGGUGAUCGUUACAAUGAAGGCUCCAUGUGAAUUUGUAUGCUAAUUCACACCCACUUUGUGAUCCUCGGUAUCCCAGUCACAAACGAGAGGGACAUAUCAAGAUUUAAACAUGCCAUUGAAAAGUUUCAAUGAAUCUCAUCCAAACCUAGGAAUUCUAAAUGCAUUUAGAACUUAAAGUUAUGUUUUCAUGAUGGAGAAUUAGUGAAUCGUCAUUCACUUACCUUCAAAUUGUUUGCAUGUUAGAUUACGGCAUCCCUUUUCUAAUAUGUAAAUAUUGUUGUUGGAUCCUAGCCCUAAUUUUUCUUAUUGGGAGAUAAUUAGGGAUUCAAAUUCUAAUCUAUCUUUGUCCUUUCUAUUUGUAGAUGUCGAGCACGAACAACGCUGCUGCUAGCUCAUUCACAUUGAUGAGCCUUUGUCAAAAGGUGACUUUCAAUGGGACAAACUUUAGCCAAUGGGUAAGAUACAGUCGCACAAUUUCUCGCUAGGAGGAUAAGGAGUAUGUCCUCGAUGAGAAGCUCGAGAAGAUUAACCCAGAAAUCGCAACUCCGGCUAAAUGACUACUUUCGAGACUCAUGAACGUGAUGCAACGAAGGUUCAUUGCAUCAUAAUAGCCACUAUGAACUCCGAAUUCCAAAAGUCCUAUGAGGACAUGUACCCGUACGAGAUGCACCAAGACUUGUUGGAGAGAUACCACCAAAGCGCGAGGCAAGAGCGUUACGAAAUUUUCACUAACAUGAUUUCCGCUAAAAUGGGUCAUGGAGAGUCUCUUACCGUGCACCUGCAAAAGAUGCAAAGGUAUGUCGACCGUCUUCGCAAGUUGAAUGUUGACUUUGGGGAAGACUUGGCGAUCGACAUGGUGCUUCACUCUUUGCCUCCGUGUUACAAUCAAUUUAGGAUGACCUACCACAUGAACAAGGAAGAGGUCACCCUAAGCAAGCUCCAAGGUCUCUUUAGGGUUGCUGAAAGCAACCUCAAGGAAAAGGUUGUUGCACCAACUCCCAAUCCACCCGCUGCUCCUGUUUUGGCUAUUGGACAAGGAAGGGGAAAUAAGAGGAAGACUUCGUCUAAGAACCACCACAAGGUUAAGUCCCGAGAUGGUGACUCUUCUAGUGGGACCAAAGUUUAUCCUUCUAAACCCUGCCCUAACCCAAAGGAGGCAGAGUGCCACCCCUGCCACAAAAUAGGACAUUGGAAGAGAAGCUGCCCAAAGUACCUGCAAGCCAUCAAGGAAGGAAAGAUCAAGUUGUCUUUCGUAGGUAUAUACACAAUUAAAUAUAACAAUUUAUCUCAUGCUAUUUCUUGGGUCCUUGAUACCGGUUGUGGUUACCACAUUUGUUCUGAAUUGCAGGGACUAAGAAGAAAUAGGGAUGUGGAGCAUGGAAGAAUAAAUCUAAUCAUGGGGAACAGAAGAUCGUCGCCUGUGACCAAGAUUGGAGUGUAUUCUUUAGUGCUUAGGAAUGGUUUAUGUUUAGAUUUGAAAAAUUGUUGUUAUUCGCCCGAAAUGGCUAGAAACAUCAUUUCAUUUCAUCGUUUGUUUAGACAAGGUUUUAGAUUUUCUUUUAAUAAUGAGAAUGGUUCUAUUCCUUCUUAUCUAAAUGGUGUCUUUUAUUUUGAAGCAAUACCGUGUAAUGGAAUUUAUGNAGAUUCUUCCACUAGUAUGGAUAAAGCAUCCUUGUGGCAUUGUCGUCUUGGACAUGUCAACAAGAAACGCAUAGCCCAACUCCAAAAGGAUUGAGUGUUGGAGUCAUUCGACCUUAGGGAAUAUGACACAUGCGAGUCUUGUUUGCUUGGAAAGAUGACUAAGUCACCCUUCACUAGUGUGUGUGAAAAGGGUGAGGGUCUAUUGGACCUCAUACUUACCGAUGUAUGUGGACCGUUUAGAUCAACCACGAAGGAUGGGAACCGCUUCUAUGUGACUUUUACCGAUGACUAUAGUAGAUAUGGGUAUAUCUAUUUAAUCAAGCAAAAGUCAGAAACCUUUGAAAAGUUCAAAGAGUUCAAGAAUGAAGUGGAGAAUCAAUUGGGCAGGAAAAUCAAGAUGCUUCGAUCCGAUCGAGGAGGAGAGUACCUAAGUCUUGAAUUCCACGAUUAUCUCAAGGAGUGUGGAAUAGUUUCGCAAUUGACGCCUCCUAGGACACCGCAGUUGAAUGGUGUGGCAGAAAGGCGUAAUCGAACCUUAUUGGAUAUGGUUCGCUCUAUGAUGAGUCGUGCUUCAAUCUCAUACUCUUUUUGGGGGUAUGCCUUAGAGACUGCCGCCCAUAUCCUUAACCGAGUCCUUACUAAGAAGGUUGCCAAAACACCUCACGAGAUGUGGACACGGAAAGAUCCCUCGUUAGCACAUAUCAAGGUUUGGGGUUGCGAGGCUUUCGUCAGACGAGAUACUCACGACAAACUCGAACCUCAUAGUGUGCGAUGUAUUUUCAUCGGCUACUCGCAUAAAUCCAUUGGAUAUCUCUUCUAUAGACCAAAGGACAAUGUUUUCUUUGUUGCACGGAGAGGAGUUUUCCGAGAGCAAGAACUCAUAAGCCAAGGAGACAGUGGGAGGCAAAUCGAGCUUGAAGAGAUUCAAGAGUCGAUAGAUGAAGGAACCUCUACCGCUGGCACUCAACCCGAGGAGGAAACUCCGGUUGAACCGAUUGACGAAUCCUUACCUCUUAGACGUUCCGAUAGAGUUAGAGUUCAACCCCAGUUUUAUGGUUUUCAUAUUACUACCGAAGGGGACACGUAUAUUAGUGAUGGUACACUAAUAAAUCUUGAUGAACCUAAUAGCUAUAAGGAAGCCAUGGCAGGCCCGGAGUCUGCGAAAUGGAAAGAGGCAAUGGAUAGCGAGAUCCAAUCCAUGUAUGAUAACCAAGUUUGGAAUUUGGUUGAUUAUGUGCCCGGACGUAAGACCGUUGGGUGCAAAUGGAUCUUCAAGAAGAAGACCGACGUGGAUGGAAACGUACACACAUAUAAGGCGCGAUUGGUUGCGAAGGGCUUUACUCAAACUCCCGGAGUUGACUAUGAUGAGACCUUCUCACCAGUUGCGAAGAUAAAAUCUAUUAGAGUGAUGCUAGCGAUUGCCGCAUUUCAUGAUUAUGAGAUUUGGCAAAUGGAUGUCAAGACCGCUUUCCUUAAUGGAAAGUUGGUUGAGGAUGUUUACAUGGCUCAGCCAGAGGGGUUUGUGGAUCCGAAGCAUCCGAAUAGAGUGUGUAAGCUUGAGAAGUCCAUUUAUGGACUUAAGCAAGCGUCUCACAGAUGGAAUCUUUGCUUCGAUGAGAAAGUCAAAGAGUUUGGAUUUGUACGAAGCGAAGAUGAAUCUUGUGUAUAUGUCAAAGCCAGUGGGAGUAUAGUAAGCUUCCUCGUUCUAUAUGUCGAUGACAUAUUACUCAUAGGAAACGACAUCCCGACUCUGCAGGAGGUUAAGUCCUGGCUCGGGAAGUGCUUCGCUAUGAAGGACCUCGGAGAGGCUUCUUAUAUUUUGGUAAUAAGGAUAGUAAGAGAGAGAAGUAAGAGAGUAAUAGGACUUAGUCAGAACACUUACUUAGAAAAGGUACUAAAACGCUUUAGUAUUGAAAACUCGAAGAAGGGAAAAUUACCGAUACAAAGUAAUGCCAAAUUGAGUAAGACUCAAAGUCCGAGUACCGAAGUUGAAAUAGUAGAAAUGAGCCGAGUUCCAUACUCUUCCGCAGUUGGCUUAAUCAUGUAUGCUAUGACUUGUACUCGCCCUGAUGUAGCCUUUGCUUUGAGCAUGGUUAGUAGAUAUCAAGGGAACCCUGGCAGAGCCCAUUGGAUUGCGGUUAAGAAUAUCCUUAAGUACCUUCGGAGGACAAAGGAAUGGUUCUUAGUCCUCGAAGGGAGUGAUGACUUGAAGGUGCGAAGGUAUAGUGAUGCCAGUUCUCAGGCCGACAGGGACAACUACCGUUCGCAGUCGGGAGUGGGUCUUUACCCUGAAUGGAGGAGCAGUAACUUGGAAAAGUUCCAAGCAGGAAACCGUAGCUGAUUCAACAUGCGAAUCAGAGUACAUUGCAGCGAGCGAAGCGUCGAAGGAGGCAAUAUGGUUGAAGAACUUCAUCAGUGAUCUUGGAGUUGUACCUGCCAUAAAGGAGCCCAUGGAGAUUUUCUGUGAUAAUGAAGGAGCGAUUGCUUUGACCAAGGAACCGAGGGAUGAUGGUAGAUAUCAACAUAUCGACAAAAAAUACCACUUCAUUAGACAUCGUGUAGAAGAAGGACAACUCGUAGUGAAGAGGAUAUCAUCAGAAGAUAACCCGGCAGAUCCGCUUAUGAAGGGACUGAGUAUGGUUAACCACUUGCAACAUGCUAGGAGUAUUGGGCUGAAGGAUGCUAUUAGUAUAGAUUAGAUAGUGUUAGAAACGUGUAAUAGAUAAAUGUAAUUAACAUUUGAUGAUUAAAUAAAAGAGUAUUAUUUAUGAGUAAUGUUACUGUCUUAUGUUAAUUGUUUAACUAUUGUUUCACUUUGCAUGUUUUGACUUCCAGAAUAAUUGAGUUUAUUAAGAAUAAUCGAAUUAUUCAAAUUGUCCACAAUCGUUCAUAUGUUGGAAGUAGAUAUGAAUGAAGAUUGUCAUGAAUUGGUGUGCAGACUGUCUAAAUGGUAUUAGACAUAGCAAAAGGAUUGCUGCAACAUUCAUGAGUGCUUAUGAACUAGUUUUGAUCAUUGGAACAAACCCGUGCUGGCUGGAAUCACCUUAUGGAAUGUGAUAUAAAAGGGUGAUCGCAAGACGAUAAUAUCAUAUAGUCUUAAAACCUAGAUAUAUGGUUUGUUAUUUGUUAAUUGAUUGUACAUUGAUAAUGCGAUACCGCAUCAAUAACUCGGUGUUAUAAAACGCAUUGUUGUGUAUAGUUGAUUAAUGAAUAAGUAAAUGCAUAUAAGUCGAAGUUUAUCUGUAACUUUUAUCCUAAGAGGGUAAAAGCGAUAUCUCGGCCGCUCGAUGAUUUGAUUUGACUUAUGUGUCGGGCCCGGUCAGAACUGAAUUGAUGUGUUCGAUUAAGUUCUAUGUCAAAUAAAUCGGAGAUCGAGAAACCAAAUGCUAGACUAAUUAUUCCAUAGAAUUGUCAGCAUGAUAUCUAACAGAGGACUGUACGAUCCCUUAUCUAAAGGACAAGAUUGAUUAGAUCAGAGUUUGACAGCGUCUUUGAGAGCUACGAUUGCAAAUCGAAUUGUACUUGUGCAUAUAGUUACUAGACUUAUCCAAGUGGGAGACUGUUGGAAUAGUGUCUAAGGCUGCAACUAUAUUAGGCAAGUAUUUGACCCGGUUGUGCAUGGUCCUUUUGGGUUGCCUUCACCAUAGCAACUUGACAGGAUGAUUUAUUAUGAGAGAAAGAAUAUUAUUAAUAUAUUAUAAGAAUAAUAUAAGGAAUAAUAAUAUUAUUAUUUGAUUAAUAUAAGUCAUAAAUUAAAUAGGAAUUAAUUUGGUGACUUAAAGAGAUUAAUUAAAUAAAGGGGCAUAAACUGUCAAUUGUUUGAUAGUUGUACUUUGGGCUUUAAAUACCUUAUGUAUAAGGGUGGACGAUUUCUAGGGCUUAGGAUAGGCUUAGAAUUCGUCCAAGGCUUAUCAUGAAGUGGAUUGGAUUGCUUAGGGCUUAAGUUAUCCGAUUAGGGUUUAAGGGUGAAACCCUAGGAGCCUUGCAAGUAUAAAUAGACCCUUAGGGGCAAGGGAAAUCGGCACUUGUGUCUUAGGAAAGAAACCCUGGCUGAUUUUCUUCCAUCUCCUCUCUCUUAAAUCAUCCUCCUUGCUAGUUGGUGUUUGUAAGCCAUUAGAGGAGUGACAAUUGUGACUCUAAAGCUCCAAGGACAAGAAGAUCAAGCAAGUGAUUCAAGGUAAACUUCUAACUCUGAUUUUGUAUUGUUAUUAUACUCUAUUAGCCAUUAGAAGUCUUGGAUUCAAUGCAUGUUUAAUUAGAGAAACCUAGAUCCAAGCAUUAGGGUUUGCAUGUGCACAUAAGAAUGUUCAUAUGGCCAAAACCCAUCACUUAUAUCGAUCUUACAUUCCCACCACUCACUACAGGUGAGUUCAUACCCCUUAAUAUACCUUUUAAAUAGUUUUAAAUGCUUUUAUGGGGGGUGGGGAUACAAGUUGAAAACAUUAUAGUUAUUAUAUCAAUCACUUGUGAUUAAUAACUAUCAAUCAAGUGGAUUUCAUAUACUUUAAAACUGUUUAUUAAGCAAACUCUUUAAAACAUUUUAUAAAUAGACAUCAAGUUAUCUAUUAAUAUUCAAAUGUUUAAAACUCCUUUUUAUGUUCAACUCUUUUAUGCUAAAACUCGUUAUUAAACUCUUUUAUGCUUGAAAACGUUAUUAAACUCUUUUAAACUUAUAUAUUGUCAAAAUCAUGUCUAUAUAGGUAUAGUUAUCUAAGUAAGGUUUAAAGGACUUAGGACUGAUAACUCGCUUUAAUUCUUGUUCCUCGUUUGGUUGUGGACAUAGAGUAUUCAGUUAUUUUUCCGAGUGUCGUUUGAACCUUAGUUAUAUAUUAUGUAUAUGUAUAUAGAUAUAAAAGCUUUUAUCUCAGUUCAACACCUUUGGGUAGCAAAGGUGUACAAACACACUCAGUCAUUUAAACAACCUUACUAGUAAACUAUAAUACGUAUUGUUUAGGAGAUUACUACUCACUAUUUCUAUGUACAAUGAAACAUACAAUAGUCGAUUCAUUCAUGAGUCAAUACAAACUUACGAUAAUGAGAAACAGAAAGAACAUAAUAUGAUGAGAAUUUACGAGAACAUACACUACAUUAUACAAGAGAACAUACUAUACACUAUAGCAGAGAGAACACACAAUACACUAGAACAUACUAUACAAAUACUAGAAUACUAUAACCUUAAUGUGAGUCUACUUCAUGGAAUAUGGUAGAACAAAGUUCUAUCAGGAUCGAUUAAUUCUAAGUACGCAAACAAGAAAGAACGUAAAGUGAAAGAGAAUAUGGCUUGAAUAUGUCGUAUGAUUAAUGCUUCAACACCUCAGAAGAGCUCGAUAAAGAACUUCGACUGUAGAGGUGUUUAGGGUUACAAAGCUCAAUCGUAAAUAAUAAGACAUGUAAAAUAUAAUGCAUACAUGCAUGAAUAUAUAUACUUUAACCCUAAGAGAUAAUCACGGAUGGACAGGCCCAAUCCGGAUAUAUACAAAAAAUCCUAAGACGCAACAUAAUAAGCUCGACAAUCUCCCCCUUUGCGUCUUUGGGACUGAGACUUCAACUCUUAGGAACCGAGGGCUUUUUAACCAUCUUGAACACUUUCGAUAUGAUAACUAACAUAUGGUACCGAAAGGUGAUGUACCACCGAAGCAUAUCAGUAAAAUUCUUCUUAUCAGCAUCUGAGUUCUGCUUGCACCGAUGUAUCAAAUUAAUGAUGUGCUCCAAGCAGUCAGUAGAAAAAUAUGUUUAUCUACCAAAGCAAACAAAACCUAUGAGCAUCACCCUUCGUAAACAUGGCCGUCAAAUGGGUUGAGUCAAUUUGCCCGAUCUUCAUCUUAUUCACAUCACCGGGCUUUUGGGUCGGCUUGACUGUCGGCUUUUUAUUCAUAACCCUUGCAAUCUCCUGAUCCAUUGUUGUGGCUUCGUGGAUAUAGGAUCCUAACAUUCUUUUUAGAUGUUCUAUAAUGGGUUCAUACUCCUUGGAAUGAUCGAGCAAAAUAUUGACAAGCAAAAUCCAAUCGUGUGGAUUAAGAUUGGGAAGAUCAGCAAGCGAUAUCAAUGAGACAGAGUUUGCAGUCCCUCGUGUUACUUUGAAAUGGACAUUUACAAACUUGCCAGCUGAAGUCGGCUUAAAAACUUUGACAGUUGUAAUCUUUUGAGCACUCAAUGUAAGAUAUUGAGAUUGAGCAUACUUCAAGUACCAUUCAAUAAGCUCUCGGUUAACCUUUGGACUUGGAAACGGAACCUCAACAGUUGAAUCGAAACAAUGAAAAGUAAAUGCCUUUCGUGUAAUAGGCAUGUCAAACUGUGAGUCCUUGGAAUUGUCAUGGUCAAAUGAAGCAAUCAGUUCUAACCAGUAGAAACUUGGUGAUUCAAUUGUCUGACUGAUCAACACAUCCCUAGUCCAUUCAGGAAAAAGAGCUUUCUUACAUUGUAGGAUAUCUUCUAUAUCUUUGUUUCUUCGCUCAGUUUCCUCAGCCUCUUUAGUGAUCUUCAAAUUCUCAUCCAACUCUUUAUCUCUUUUCUUUCUUUGUAGAGCCUCGUUAAUAGUUUCAUUAGUGUCACUAUCGCUGUCAUGAAAAAUCUGUUUCAACUUUUCUUUCGGGCCAAAACUUGAAGCUACAUUAACCUUUAGUUCUUUGAUAAUAACUUCUUUCUGGGAUUCCUCUCCCCCUUGUUUUGGAGUGACGAAAGGCUCCGAAACACCUUUCAUCUCGUGUAGAAUAGCAAGGGUGGGAAGCAAUUUGGUGGUGAGAUGAUUGCGAAUAGUAAGAGUUAGAAUCGGAUCAUUAGCACCAAGGAUGAUGGUCAACAUGUCCUUUACAUCGUUUGCACAGCUUCGAAAGACAUCUCUUUCGGCUUUUAACAAAGAAAUAUCCUUCUCUGCCUGAGUAAGCUGAUCUUUCUGGACUACAAUGGUAGAGGCUUGUUUGGCAAUUUCAUCUUUUAAAGCACCCUCUUUGGCUAUGUCAGCAUGCGUAGAGUCCAGUUUGGAAGAAACCGAACUUAUGAGAGAGGCAUUGUCGGUUUUCAUUGAGGAACGAACUUCUUCAAAUUUCGUUUGUUUUCCUUUAAAUCUUGAGAAAGAGAAUCAACCGAGGCCCGAAUAUUAGCUGCAUUUGUAUUUUCAUGCCCUUUCAAAGAAUCAAGAAAGAUCUGUGUUGUGCAAACAACUUCAGUAACAUCAGCUGUAGCUUUCUUGCAAAGCGAAGUUGAUUCUUUGACAACAGAAGUGGAUUUAUCCAUUGCUUUUGUAUAUUGCUCUAUGGCGGUUUCCACAACGGAUUUUAGAAUAACUCUGCCAUAAGCUUUCGUAUCAGCAAGUAACUUAUCCAGCUUCUCGUGAAUACUGUCCAAGUGUUGUCGGUUGAGUGGAGCUUCAGUAUCCUCAUCCGACUGCAACCGAUAGCGACUAAAGUAUGUGGAGUCAUACUCACCAUUAUCACCUCCAAUUGUAGCACCCGAAUCAGUUUAUUUGGUUGGUGAGGGAGGGAUAGUGAUGACUGGAGUUUCGGAUACAGUAGGUGCCCCCGUAUGAGAUACGUUAACCCUUCUUGUUUCCUCAGGUUUGGUUGUGGUUGUGGUAAUUGGGGUAAUGAGUGGAGUGGUUAAAGGAUUGGUGGAAAUAUAAUUAGAAGAUAUUGGUGGAGGUGGUAGAGAGGUUACGGUUGUAGAACUUGAAACAACCGAAACUAGUACUUUUGGUGUCGGUGUUGGAGUUGGCUAUUUUGGCGGUGUUUGUUUUGGUGAAGGUGGUGGAUUUGGAAUUUUAACUUCUUCUGGUUUAGGAGGGGAGUGUUUAGGGGAUGGAGGUGGAGUUGGAAUCUUGUCUUCUUGAGUUGGAGAAGGAGAGCGUGGUGGAGUAUUACCUCUUGGAGACAUAUGAGGAGAUUCGGCUUCUUGAUCGUCUUCAUCGUCAGAUAGUGUUGGAAAUGGACCCUUAGGCUUUCGGGCCAUUUGCUUGAUCUUCUUUGGCUUUGAAGAACUUUUGGUCUUGGUUUUUCGCUUCUUGCUCUUUGAAGGCAUAGAAGGUUUAGUCUCGGUUGUCUCCUUCUUGAUAGUAACGCGUUUGCCUCGACUACUCGGUUUAUCAAGAGCGUCGAGAGCAACUUGUUGUUCUGGUGUGAGAACUCUCGGCUCUGUGGGAUGCAACUUGCUGUAGUCCGCCAUCACUUGUUUUGCUGAGUAACACUUCGGUACAUCGUCUCCGGUAUUGAACCAUAAUGACGAAAUUUGACCGGGUCUGAGAUGAUGAUCUUCUUCGUAUGGAAGGUGGAAAUUAACGCAAUGAGAGCAUCCUUCAUUAACGGAAUCUCCAAAGUAUCAAUAGCCCUUUGAGUGAUGAUUGUCCAGAACCUCCCACAAGAAAUUUCAGAUUGACGAGUAGAUGUGUUCAGACUCUGCACGACCUGAGACCAGAUGAUUGACCCAUAAUCCAGGUUCAAAUCAUUGUACAAGUCGUAAAGAAUAGCCAAAAACCCCUUACUAGUGCCAUCAGAUCCAGCACUCUUUUCCAUUAAGCCCUUUAUCAACAGAGUAAGAAGACCAUUGCACAGAGAGAAUAGACUGUACUUCUCGACUUUGGCAAUGGUGGUCAAGACAUCAAUGUAGCCCAUCUCAUACAUCAUUGAGAAUAGUUGUGCAGUGGUGAUGAAAUCAGGAGAAACCACCGACGAAUCCACUACAAGAUGCAAUAAGGAACAAAACCUCCCUUUUGAAAUUGAAGCCUUCUUUUUUGUGGAUUUGGAAAUAGAUGUGUUCCUUAUUCUUGUCGUAUGAUGCAGAUGAGUAAACUUGCGAUAAUAAGGACAUUGGAACCGCCUCGUACCGGGUUAGGGCAACCACCAGCGGAGAAUACUUCAAACACUCCAUAACAUGCAGCAUAUAAGAAUCGUACAUGAAGGGAGUAAGUUCGAUAAUAAUUUUUUGGUUAGGCUUAAUGGUGAGAAAAGCAGAUGAAGCGGUUUGAUCUUGUGCAGAAGAAGAAGUCGCCAUUGUUGAUGAAAGGAAGAAGAUGAACAGUUGAAAACGCCGUUACAGCUUAGAAUUCUUGGAAGCAGUAGAAGACAAUGAAGCGUGCAACCCCUUUAUAUACCAUUGGUAGGAGAGAGAAAUUCGUGAAGAUUGUGACGUUAUCUUCUAAAAAGUAGCCUGAAAAAGCGCGAUUUGACAGGUCGGAUGUUCCUAGGUAGGCGUCAGCACGCGUGCGGAUGGCGACCGUUCAAAUUCACGCGCCCAAAAGAUUUCAUCAAUCUUCAUUUGAAUUAGAAUUUACCACCAAAACCUGAAUUGCCCUUGAGUCACUAAAUGACAAAUAUACGCAAAUAUAUCAUCAACAGAAUGGGGAAAAUUAAAAAUUUCCGUGCAUGAGAGUGACAAACGAUAAAGUAAUAAAGCAAAUGUGUUUGGGUUGUGAGUGAUGUCUGACAAUUAGACGAAAAGCAGAGGAUUCCGGGCAAGAAUCGCUUCAUUUGAAGUCAAGAGAGACUCAAAGUGCUUGUGUGGAUUCCCGAGAAUACGAUCAAGUGUUUGUUAAUAAACAUUGAAAGGCUUCUUUCCUAAUAUAGGCUUAGGGUGGCUUAUCUUCAACCGAACAUCGAUACUUAAAAUAAGACCGAGUGUCGGAAGAAGUACUUGUGAGACCGAUGUGAUCUGUUAAACAAGUAGGCAGAUGUUAUUUUGUGAUGACAAGAGAGUUUAUAGAAAUCUUAAAAAAAUAAAAUUGGAUCUUUAUGGGAAGAAUAGUCUUGGUAUUAGACAUAUUCAUAAAAUACCUCACAAAAUAAAAAAGAUUUCAUUCGGUACAAAGUAAGAUCUUGAAUAUAGAAAUUCACCGUUAAUUCAUUAUGGGUGUUGAAUUUUGGGUUUCACUUAGCACGUGGUAUACGUAUCUAAGAUCAUAAACACAGAUGUUGUGCAACCAUAAACCUUAGUGGUAAAAACCGAGAGUCUCGAGGGUUACAAUAGUGAACCGAUAGUAGAUGGAGAAUAAUUUGUGGAUGUUGAAAGAAACGAAGGUACCUUCUUUUGUAUAAAAGGACAAAACAGAGAAACUCUUAACUCAUGUGAGAAGAGUAAGGUCGCUCUAGAUCGAGUAAAGAUGAAUUGUCUGAUUGGGAAGAAACGAUAGGUUAAAUCGAAUCAUUAAGGCCUUACUCUAGGUCGUAGAGGCUUGAGUCAACAUGCAGUAGCAUGCUUCUAGGGACCCUUAACUAGUUCAGAAAAUAUACUUAACACCUAUACCAGCUCCAUUUUCUGUUCUUCUUGUAUCCUUGUGUAACAUACACUUUACUAACCUUGUUUAAUUAUCAUGUUUCAUAUGAUUGUUAGUUUAAAAAUGAAUAUUAUAAGAUAUUAUAUUGUUUUAAACAUUUAAAGUAGGUAGUUAUAGUAAAAUAGAAUUUUAAGCGUUAAAAAGAAUAUUAUAAUUUUUCGGUAUGGUUUUAAGCGUUGAUUUCUAAUGAAAUAGUUUUAUAAUAUUUGAAGUUAAACUAAGUUUAGAAUCAUUUGAAAGGUAUUGGAAGUGAUAGGGAAGUCUUAUGUGAUUCCGAUCAAAAAGUCAACUAUCAGAAUUAAUGAAAGUAUAACGUCUAAGUUGGAAAUAAGUAAAUCUGAUUUUAUUGGAAAAUCUUUUCAAGGAUAUUUUUAUUGGAAGCUGUAAAUUAUCUUGUUAGAAACGUAUAGGCGAAAACCUCAUCGAAAACACAGUUUCGAGCGGAAAGUUAUGCAAUUUUUAGUAUUUAGGGGUAAAAUGCGUACCCAAAACGGGUCAAACCCGACCCAACUCGGGUUUUUACCCAUUGAAACACGAUUUUGAGUCAUUUUUCUGCCAUUUUUAGUUCCUCACCAUCCGUAUGGGAGAUUUUCACAUACAUGAUCAAUCUUAAUCAAGUUUUGAUGAUUAAAUCAAGAUUUUGAGUGUUCUUGAAGUAUCAAGUCUAGUAAUCAAGGUAUGAACUCUUAAUUUUUUUGAUUAACCCUUGUAAUUAGUGAGUUAUUAAGAGACUAGUGUUUGAUCAAAGUGGGUUUACCACUGUUUUAAUGAAAUUAGGCAUGAUUUUAUGUUAUUAACCUAGAAUCUUAAAUGGAAAUCAAGUAACACAUGUAAACUUGAGAAUUAAUCAUAUGGUUUAAGAGUAAUUAGUGAAAAUUAGUAAUGAACCCAUGGUUUAUACUUGAAUUAUAAUGGAUUACUAAUAUAUUCAGUGUUAUUAUUGUAAAAGAAGAGCUUGGUGAUAUUGAUCAUGAGGUUUGAUCAUGUAAAGGGUAAAAUGAAAUUAUAAAGGUUAUAAUUGUCCUGUUUUUGUAAAAAUCACCAAAAAUUGUAAAAAAAUCGUAUGGAGAUGUGCUAUAUAUCCCUGCAAAAGCUGAGAGUGUCUACUUUGAUUUUUGUUUUAAUACAAAAAUCUAAUUCCGGACUUAAGAUGGGUGAAAACAGCUAUAUGUUCAGUGCAGUCAGGCUGAAUUUUGACAGCUUUGGGACAUUUUGACAGCUUUAGGAUGCUGUUUUGUAAAAUUCAUAGUAAAUUAUAGAAAAAUCAUAAAAGUGUGAGGUCAGUGGCAUUAGAAAGAUAUAAGAGUCUAUUUUGUUAAUAUUUAUAAUUUAUUAGUUAUUUUGACAUUUAAGAAGGGUAAAUCAGAUUUGCAAGUGAAAGCUAUACAAAGAACAAAAACCAAAAUUCCUAAAUUGAAAACAACAUAACUUGAGAGUAGUUGAGUAAUUGCUUAUGAAAUUUGAAAUAUGAACUCCAGGGGUAUAAUUGAAGGUUUUAGAGGCCUGAGGAUGGUGUAAUUUCAUUAGAAAAAAGAGGAAUUUUAUCGCAACAUUCCGUUACAGCACAGUGAGUUCAAUAUAGUGACAAUUGUAUGUUAUGUGUUAUAUGUGCAAUGUGCUUUCUUGUGUUAUUGAUCUAAGUGGUUAUUACUUGAUAUUGAUUUUGAUGCCUUUGACCAUGUAGAGCAUGACUCGUAUCACUUUGGUAUUGGCUUUGUGCCUUUAACCAUGUAGAGCAUGACUCAUAUCACUUUGGUAUUGGCUUCGGGCUAGGUAGGGCAGAAAACCUGUAUAUUCUAGCAACAUGAUUAAAGUUAAAAGGGAUCGUGUUUUAUGUGCCUCUUGGGCUGGAAUUUAUGAUGUUUAUAAUCCUAAAUUAUUGUGUCUCAUUGAUUGUAAUCCGUUGAAUCUAACUGUUUAGUGAUUUGGAAAGCCCUUCAUUUGAUACACAUAUAAGCCUUUGUUGUCCUUUGUUUCUUUUUGUUCCUGUCAUAUUGUUAUGUAUAUGGCAUAGUGUUAUAUUGUAUCUAUUUUUUGAACUCACUAAGCGACGCCCUCUUAUCCCUUUCAGUGUUUAACUAUUUCAGGUGAUACACAUGCAUAGUAAGCAGGCUUUGUUGGAGGACUUAGAGUAGUUCACACUACUACGUUUUUUACUUGGUAUACAUAUAUGUAGAUGGGUUAUAAAUUCCUGCGUAGUUACGUGUUUAUACAACUAGUUAUGAAACUUUGUAAAAACCCUUUUAGUUGGUUUGUAUCUAUGCUUUUGUAGACCACUAGUGUGAAUUAUAAUUAUGAUAUGCAUGUAGCAUGUUUGCCUUUAUGGUAAUUUUAGUGAAUGGGGUCUUACAAUCAUGGUAUCAGAGCACUAGUUUAAGUGAACUAAAUACCACGAACUGGUAUUUAGAUUUAAACUGUUGGAAGUUCAAUAUAUGAACAUAUUCAUUGUCCGUAGAUGGAUACUAACCAUAGGAAAGUCUUAAGUGGGGUGUUGGGUAAUGAUAAAUCCUUAUAUUCUUACGUGUUAUGUUACUCUAAAUUUUUCAGAGCAAUGGUUGAGCAGGAGGGUAGUCAUACACCAGAUGUGGGUGGAGAUCUUCAUCUUAAUGAGGGAGAUACUCCAAUAUCCCCUCGUGAGGCAUAACUUUUGGUAAAACUUACUGGUGUUUUUCGACAAACUCUCAAACAAUACAAAAGGGAUAGUGAUAAGGGUAAAGAGAAAGCCACCGGAGAGUCUUCAAGAGAGAAAGUGAAACGUCCCUCAUUCAAAACUUUCAAGAGUAGUGGUGCUACAGAGUUUUCAGGUGUCCUUGAUCUCAUUGUUGUUCUUACCUGGAUCCAGAACACAGAAAAAGUAUUUCGUAUCUCCUAUGUGGUUAAUGAAGACAAGGUUAACUAUGCUUCUGCAAUGCUCAUUGGAGAAGCCAUAGUUUGGUGGGAAGCGACAUUUGAAGCUCUUAACGAGUAUGACCAGGAGAAUUUAUAUUGGGAGAUGUUUAAAAUCCGCUUUCUAGGAAAAUAUUGUCCUCUAGAUAUGAGGAGAAGACUGGAGAAGGAGUUCCUCGAACUUAAGCAGGGAGGAAUGACGGUGACCGAAUAUGAAAUUCAAUUCAAUCAAAGGGCACGGUUUGUUGCGAAGUAUAUCCCGACUGAAGACGAUAAAAUUCAGUUAUUCAUCGAAGGGUUACGGUAUGAAAUCUUUGUUUUCGUGAUCAACCGGGAUAUUUCUAUCAUUCGAUAAAGCUGUUGAGUAUGCCCGAAAGCGCGAGCAUGACUUAGAGAUACGUGGUGCCACUCUUUCUGUCCUGAAGCAUUCACGUGUUGAUCGAACUAUUUCUGUUUCAACUAUUACAUCGGCUCGAUCUGAUCCUAGCACAAAAGUACAAUCUUAAAGCACCUUUGGUGGUCGCAGUCGGCCACAAUCUUUUUCUGUUUCGUCGAGAGCUCCACCAUCGUGCCAGAAAUGUGGAAAGAGCCACCAAGGUUAAUGCAAGAUAGGAAAAGGACCGUUGAUUUGCUAUGGAUGCGGAGAAAUAGGUCAUAUGAAGCCUGUUUGCCCGAUGAAGAAUGUUACAUGUUAUGCUUGCAGUGUUACUGGCCACAGAAAGCGUUUCUGCCCAACUCUUACCAGCCAAAUGGUAGGAAGUCAAGCUUCCGUUCAACAACCGUUGGGUACUUCAACCCAAAAGGAGGAGAUGACAAAGGCUAAAGGCUGUGAAUUCCAGAUUACCCCAGAGGAGGCACGCGAGGACCUGAAUGUUGUGACUGGUACAUUUCUCGUCAAUUCUAGACCUGCUCACAUCUAAUUUGAUUCUGGUGCCUCAGAUUCUUUUGUGUCUCGUGAAUUUGCACAUUCUUUUCAAAUUGCUUGCUAUGCACUCGCCCAACCCAUUCAUGUAGAUACCGUGAGAAGUGUAUCAUUACUUGUUGAUAAACUCUAUAGAGAUUGUGUCAUAGAAGUUGAAGGUUAUAAUUUUCUUGCCAAUUUGAUUCCUAUCUCCCUACCCAACUUUGAUAUCAUUCUCGGCAUGGACUGGUUGUCAAAGAACCAUGUAGAACUCUUGUGCUAUGAAACGAUAGUACGCAUUCCUAUUGAAGGGGAAAAUCCUAUAUAUGUCUACGGUGAACAAAGAAUCUUAAAAAUAAUCUCUUUCCUUAAAGCUCGUAAAUUCAUAUCGAAUGGGUGUUUUAUCUAUCUGGCCUACUCAGUUGAUGUAUCAAAAAAGGAGAAGAAAAUAGUAAAUGAUGUUCCCGUUGUUAACGAAUAUCCUGAUGUUUUCCCCGAUGACUUGCCUAGCAUUCCUCCGGAUAGGCAAGUAGAAUUCCGAAUUGACCUUGUGCCUGGUGCUGCUCCGAUUGCAAAGACUCAUUAUCAUCUCGCGCCAACAGAGAUGAAAGAAAUGAUGAUCCAACUGCAGGAAUUACUUGACAAAGGCUUUAUCCGACCGAGUACCUCUCCCUGGGGUGCUCCGGUAUUGUUUGUCAAGAAGAAACAUGGAUUGAUGCGGAUGUGCAUUGAUUAUUGUGAGCUGAAUAAGGUGACUAUCAAAAACAAGUACCCACUACCUCGCAUUGAUGAUUUAUUUGAUCAAUUUCAGGGUGUUAGCUAUUUUCUCGAAGAUUGAUUUAAGAUCUGGCUAUCAUCAGUUGAAAGUUUACGAGCAGGAUGUACCGAAGACUGCUUUUCUUACUCGAUAUGGGCAUUAUUACUUCCUUGUUAUGUUGUUUGGUUUAACAAAUGCUCCUGCUGUAUUCAUGGAUAUGAUAAAUCAGGUAUGUCGCCCAAUGCUCGAUAAAUCAGUCAUCGUAUUCAUUGACGAUAUUAUAAUCUAUUCUAAGUCUGAAGUUGAUCAUGCCAUUCAUAUUCGUACGGUAUUAGAAUUUCUUCGGAAGGAGAAACUAUAUGCUAAAUUCUCGAAAUGUGAAUUCUGGCUUCUCAAAGUUCAAUUUCUUGGCCAUGUUAUUUCUAGUGAUGGUGUAUCUGUAGAUCCUAUCAAAAUCGAAGCCAUUAAAGACUUUUAUCAUAUAGUCGUACCUCUCACGAGUCUUACAAGGAAGGAAGUAAAGUUCAAAUGGGGUGAAGCCCAAGAAAAAGCCCUCUCAACUAUAAAAGAUCUUUUGACUCAUGCUCCGAUCUUAUCACUCCCAGAAGGUGAUGAUGAUUUCUCCGUAUACAGCGAUGCUUCAAGAUUGGAACUUGGUUGUGUGUUGAUGCAACAUGGCAAAGUGAUAGCCUAUGCCUCAAGACAACUAAAAGAUUAUGAAAAGAAUUAUCCCACUCAUGAUCUCGAACUCGCUGCAGUGGUAUUUUCCCUAAAACGUUGGAGGCAUUAUCUUUUUGGUACAAAAUGCCAAUUAUUUACCGACCACAAAAGUCUCAAGUACAUAUUCAGUCAGCAAACUUUGAAUAUGAGACAACAACGAGCCAUGGAGCUGAUCAAAGAUUAUGACUGUGAAAUCCUAUAUCAUCCUGAAAAAGCUAACGUAGUUUCCGAUGCACUUAGCAGAAAAGUUUAUCGUAAUAAUAUGUGUUAUGCUAUUACUCAUACCACAGUAAAAUUCACUAUUCUAGAUGAACUAGAGAAAUGGAAAGAAGAGGCCCUAAAGCCAGAAAAUGUGAAGAAAAAAGGGAUGAUACAUUAUAAUAAUGCUUUACUUGAUGAUUCGUGAGGAUUAAAAGUAUUCAAGAAUCGGCUAUGGAUUCCAAAGAUUGGUGGAUUCAGACAGAAGAUUUUAGAUGAAGCCCAUAAAUCUAAACUUUCAAUACAUCCUGGUACAAGUAAAAUGUACUAUGAUGUAAGAGCUGAUUAUUGGUGGCCUGGAUUAAAGAGAGACAUUGGAAGAUAUGUACAGGAAUGCUUAGUAUGCUUACAAGUCAAAGCAGAGCACCAAAAGCCUUAUGGAACCCUAGAAAGUCUUAGUGUUCCUGUAUGGAAAUGGGAAGAACUGUCCAUGUAUUUUAUUACAAAAUUGCCAAAGACUGCUAGACAGAAUAAUAGCAUUUGGGUAAUUGUCGACCGCCUGACUAAAAGCGCUCAUUUUCUUGCCAUGCGUGAAAUGGCUCCAAUGGAGAAAUACGCACAAGUAUACUUGGAUGAAAUUGUUGCAAGACAUGGUGUGCCACUAAAGAUCAUUUUUGAUCGUGAUACUCGCUUCACUUCUCACUUUUGGGCAAGUAUGCAACGUGAAAUGGGAUCUCGAGUUGCUCUCAGCACAGCUUAUCAUCCCCAGACAGAUGGUCAGACGGAGAGAACAAUCCAAACCGUAGAAGAUAUGCUUCGUGCAUGUGUCUUGGAGUUUGGUGGUAACUGGGAUAAAUACUUACCUCUUGUCGAAUUUUCGUAUAAUAACAGUUACCAUGCUUCAAUAAAAUGCCACCAUAUGAAGCAUUAUAUGGUCGCAAAUCCCAUACGCCAUUGUGUUGGCGAGACGUAGGACAAAAAAUCCUUGGAGGCCCUGAAAUGAUUCAAGACACCACCGACAAGAUUCAAAUUGUACGAAAAGAGGAGACGACCCAUAGAUUUCCAGGUGGGUGAUUUCGUAAUGCUAAAAGUAUCCCCGUGGAAAGGCAUUAUGCGAUUUAGGAAUAAAGGAAAACUAAGCCCUAGAUUUGUUGGUCCAUUCAAAAUCAUCCAGAGAGUUGGUAAACAAGCAUACCACUUGGAAUUGCCAGAAGAUUUGGCAGGUAUUCAUGAUGUGUUUCAUGUGACCUAUCUACGUAAAUGCUUGAGCAUCUAUGAUGCGACAGUUCCAUUAUCUGAGGUGAAAUUGGAUAAUAAGUUAAGAUAUUUGAAGAACCAGAAAAGAUUAUAAAUGAGAGAACAGUUGAUUUGCGUAAUAAAGAAGUAGAGUUAGUGCUUGUCAAGUGGAAACAUCAUCGAGGCCCAAAUUAUACUUGGGAAAAUAAGAAUGAGAUAAGAGAAAAAUAUCCCCGCUUGUUUAAAUCGUCGUGAUUUCGAGGACGAAAUCCUCAAAAGGAGGAGGUAUUUGUAACAUACACUUUACUAACCUUGUUUAAUUAUCAUGUUUCAUAUGAUUGUUAGUUUAAAAAUGAAUAUUAUUAGAUAUUAUGUUGUUUUAAACAUUUAAAGUAGGUUGUUAUAGUAAAAUAGAAUUGUAAGCGUUAAAAAAUAUAUUAUUAUUUUUCGGUAUGGUUUUAAGCGUUGAUUUCUAAUGAAAUAGUUUAAUAAUAUUUGAAGUUAAACUAAGUUUAGAAUCAUUUGAAAGGUAUUGGAAAUGAUAGGGAAGUCUUAUGUGAUUCCAAUCAAAAAGUCAACUAUCGGAAUUAACGAAAGUAUAACGUCUAAGUUGGAAAUAAGUAAAUCUGAUUUUAUUGGAAGAUCUUUUCUGGGAUAUUUUCAUUGGAUGUUGUAAAUUAGCUCGUUACAAAUGUGUAGGCGAAAACCUCAUCGAAAACGGAGUCUCGAGCGAAAAGUUAUGCAAUUUUUAGUAUUUAGGGGUAAAAUAAGUACCAAAAUCGGGUCAAACCAGACCCAACUCGGGUUUUUACCCAUUGAAACAUGAUUUUGAGUCGUUUUUCUGACAUUUUUAGUUCCUCACCAUCCCUAUGGGAGAUUUUCACAUACAUUAUCAAUCUUGAUCAAGUUUUGAAGAUUAAAUCAAGAUUUUGAGUGUUCUUGAAGUAUCAAGUCUAGUAAUCAAGGUAUGAACUCUUAAUUUUUUUGAUUAACCCUUGUUAGUAGUGAGUUAUUAAGAGAUUAGGGUUUGAUCAAAGUGGGUUUACCACUGAUUUAAUGAAAUUAGGCAUGAGUUUAUGUUAUUAACCUAGAAUCUUAAAUGGAAAUCAAGUAACACAUGUAAACUUGACAAUUAAUCAUAUGGUUUAAGUGUAAUUAGUGAAGGGUGAAAUGAAAUUAUAAAGGGUAUAAUUGUCCUGUUUUUGUAAAAAUCACCAAAAAUUGUAGAAAAAUCGUAUGGAGAUGUGCUAUAUAUACUUGGAAAGCUGAGAAUGUCUACUUUGAUUUUUGUUUUAAUACCAAAAUCUAAUUCCAGACUUAAGAUGGGUGAAAACAGCUAUAUGUUCAAUGCAGUAAGGCUAAAUUUUGACAGCUUUGGGACAUUUUGACAGCUUUAGGAUGCUGUUUUGUGAAAUUCAUAGUAAAUUAUAGAAAAAACACAAAAAUAUGAGGUCAGUGGAAUUAGGAAUAUAUAAGAGUCUAUUUUGUUAAUAUUUAUAAUUUAUUAGUUAUUUUGACAUUUAAGAAGGAUAAAAUACAUCUGCAAGUGACAACUAUACAAAGUACAAAAACUAAAAUUCCUAAAUUGAAAACAACAUAACUUGAGAGUAGUUGAGUAAUUGCUUAUGAAGUUUGAAAUAUGACCUUCAGGGGUAUAAUUGAAGGUUUUAAAGGCCUGAGGAUGGUGUAAUUUUAUCAGAAAAAAGAGGAAUUUUAUCGCAACAUUCGGUUACAACACAAUGAGUUCAAUAUAGUGACAAUUGUAUGUUAUGUGUUAUAUGUGCAAUGUGCUUUCUUGUGUUAUUGAUCUAAGUGGUUAUUACUUGAUAUUGAUUUUGAUGCCUUUGACCAUGUAGAGCAUGACUCGUAUCACUUUGGUAUUGGCUUCGGGCUAGGUAGGGCAGAAAGCCUGUAUAUUCUAGCAACAUGAUUAAAAUUAAAAGGGAUCGUGUUUUAUGUGCCUCUUGGGCUGGAAUUUAUGAUGUUUAUGAUCCUAAAUUAUUGUGUCUCAUUGAUUGUAAUCUGUUGAAUCUAACUGUUUAGUGAUUUGGAAAGCCCUUCAUUUGAUACACAUAUAAGCCUUUGUUGUCCUUUGUUUCUUUUUGUUCCUAUCAUAUUGUUAUGUAUAUGGCAUAGCGUUAUAUUGUAUCUAUUUUUUGAACUCACUAAGCGACGCCCGCUUAUCCCUUUCAGUGUUUAACUAUUUCAGGUGAUACGCAUCCAUAGUAAGCAGGCUUUGUUGGAGGACUUAGAGUAGUUGACACUACUACGUUUUUUACUUGGUAUACAUAUAUGUAGAUGGAUUAUAAAUUCCUGGGUAGUUACGUGUUUAUACAACUAGUUAUGAAACUUUGUAAAAACCCUUUUAGUUGGUUUGUAUCUAUGCUUUUGUAGACCACUAGUGUGAAUUAUAAUUAUGAUAUGCAUGUAGCAUGUUUGCCUUUAUGGUAAUUUUAGAAAAUGGGGUCUUACACCUUGGGACCGAAAUAAGACAAAACAAACCAAUAUACCACACAAAAAAAAUAAAUGAAAAUAUUUUUAAGAUUUUAAAUUUUUCUGAAAAUGAAUAAAAACAGAAAAAGAAAAUAUUUUUUGGUUUUUUGAGAUUUUCUGAAAAAGAAUAAAAAUAGAAAAAGAAAAUAUUUUUGCAUUUUUGAGAUUUUCUGAAAAAGAAUAAAAACAGAAAAAUAAAAUAAGCAUUUAAAGAAACAUAAUCAAUUUUCAACCGAAACCUUAUCUUAGUUGAAUGAAGAGAGAUAGACCGAGCGGUCGGUUCAUUUCGGUUCUCAAAAAUUUGAGGAGCCGAAUAGACCGAGCGGUCGGUGCAUUUCGGUUCCCAAAAUUUAAGGAGCCGAAAUAGACCGAGCGGUCGCUCCAUUUCGCUUGUCUAAUUUUUAGUAAGAGGAUUAAGGAUUCGGUAACGACUCUGUUUCCAUCAUACCAAGGCCUUGUAAGAUUCUGUUAAAGAGUACUUCAGGUAAUGCCUUAGUGAAUAUGUCGGCCAGUUGAUCAUUAGAUCGAACAAAGUGUACUUCUACGUUCCCAUCUUCAGCAUGAUCUUUAAUGAAGUGGUAUCGAAGUGCAAUAUGCAUACUCUUUGAAUGUUGCACUGGAUUGUGACAAAUCCUUAUCACACUUUCUGAGUCACAAUAAAGAGGUAUCUUCUUCAUGCUUAGCCCAUAGUCUCUCAGUUGACUUUGAAUCCAGAUGACUUGAGAAGUACAAGAGGCUGCAGCAAUAUAGUCAGCUUCGGCUACGGAUAACGACACGCAAGUUUGCUUUUUGGACUGCCACCUACAAUUUUUCCAUCGAGAAAUUGGCAUCCACCUGUGGUACUCUUUCUGUCCAGUCUGCAUCCUCCAAGAUCGGCAUCAGAAUAAGAUUGAAUGAAAAAUCCAGAUCUUGCAGGGUUCCAGAGACCGAGAGAAGAAGUUCGCUUUAGGUAACGGAAUAUGUUCUUCACUGCAACCAUGUGCGGUUCUCUUGGAUUUUCUUGAAACCUGGCACAAUAACACACAGAAAACAUAAUGUCUGGUCUACUAGCCAUUAAAUACAUAAGUGAACCUAUCAUUUGACGAUAUUUUGUUACGUCAACAGCUAGUUUUUCCAGAGAUGGUGUUAGUUUAGUGCCAAAUGCCAUUGGAACCUUUACUUUUGAGUCACCCGUCAUACUGAAUUUUGUCAGUAAGGUUUUUGAAUAAGCCUCUUGGUUGAUGAAAAUACCUUUUGUUCCCUGUCUAAUGUUUAAACCAAGAAAGAAAUUAAUUGGACCCAUUGGGCUCAUUUCAAAUUUAGUCUCCAUCAACUUAUUGAAUUCAGCUGUUAAGCUAGGAUUCGUAGAGCCGAAGAUGAUAUCUUCAACAUAAAUUUGAACGAUCAUUAAAUGUUCGCCUGCUUUCUUUCGAAAGAAGGUAGAGUCAACCAAACCUUGCUUAAAUUUUGACAUUUUUAGAAAACGAGUUAAGGUUUCAUACCAGGCUCUCGGUGCUUGCUUUAAUCCAUAUACUGCUUUAUCUAGCACAUAGCAAUGAUCAGGGAAUUUCUCGUUUACAAACCCAGGCGGUUGUUCCACGUAGACUGUUUCUUCUAAUUCUCCAUUCAAGAAGGCACAUUUGACAUCCAUUUGGAAAACUUUGAAGUUUUUAUGAGCUGCAUAUGCCAAGAAGAUCCUUAUUGAUUCCAUCCUAGCUACCGGAGCGAUUGUUUCUUCAUAAUCUAUCCCUUCUUCUUGACAGUAUCCUUUCACAACCAACCGAGCCUUGUUGCGAAUGACAUUCCCUUCUUUAUCCAAGUUAUUUCGAAAAACCCACUUCAAUCCAACUACAGAGGCAUCCUUUGGUGUAGGUAUCAACCUCCAAACUCGGUUUCGUUCAAAUUCAUCAAGUUCAUCUUUCAUUGCCUGGACCCAAUCUGAAUGAUCAAGUGCAGCAUUUACCGGCUUUGGUUCGAUCUUUAAAACAAAUGAAUUAAACAUACAGAAUUCAACUUUAGAGAAUAAUGCAGUUUGUUUCUCCUUUAUUUGAGACCGAAUGAGAACGUUUUCAGAUGUUUCACCAAUUAUUUGUUCUUUGGGAUGGUCUCUGGUCCAUUUCACCAACGGAGGAUAAUUUAGGUCAUAUUCUGGAUCCAAUUCGGCAUUCACUUCUACUUCGGCUUCAGAUAGAUCACCUUCACCUUCCUCAUUUGUGCUUUCGGUCUCUUUCUCCCCCUCGACUGGUGAAGUAUAACAUGUGUCUUCACUCAAGGUUGCAUUCGCUAUGGGAGUAGAGUUCUCCCCUUCGGUUGAACUACCAAUAGGUGGACUUUGAGCUGAACUUUCCUCCUUUUCUGAGACUUUAAGAGAUGGAGACGAAGCUGAAUCCUCCCCCUCGAAAAAUGCUUUACUUGUUUCUGUUGGAGUUGAACUUUCCCCUUGUAAUGAUGGAUUACUUUUAGCAGUUAGAGGUUCGCUUUCCAUCUGUUUAGCAGCUUCAUCGAUAAUUUUCUGAAGAUUUUCAACUUUUUAUCUGUGGCUUUCACUUCUGAGGUUGCUGCUUUUUCUGGUUCAUCAAACAGCCGCAUGUAUUCUUCAAACAAGUUGGCUAUAGGAACCGAGACUUGUCCUGAUUCUGGAAAAAUGUCUCCUAUAUCACUUUCUUUCCUUUGGAAUUUCUUCAUAUAGCUGUCGUUGAAGGUGAUAUAGUAAGUUUCUUCAAUUCGUUUUGAACGUUUGUUCAAUACUCUAUACGCUUUCGACGUUAGUGAGUAUCCCAGAAAGAUUCCUUCAUCAGCUUUGACAUCAAACUUGUUUCGGUUUUCUUUCGAGUUGAAAAUGAAACACCUUGAACCGAAAAUGUGAAAGAAUUUGACAUUCGGCUUUCUGUUGUUCAGUAUCUCAUACAGAGUUAAUGAGAAUCUCUUGUUCAGUAGGGACCGAUUUUGAAUGUAGCACGUGGUUGCAACAGCAUCAGCCCAUAAGUAUAAUAGAAGUGAAGCAAAACUUAGCAUAGUUCCGGCUGCUUCACACAAAGAACAGUUUCAUCUUUCAACAAUGCCAUUCUGUUGUGGUGUAUAAGGUGACAAAAAGUUAUAAGUUAUUCCCUUAUCAGCCAAAAAACCAUCAAAAUCAUUAUUCUUGAAUUCCAUACCAUUGUCGCUUCUGAUAUUCCUCACUGUUUUCCUCAGCUACACUUCUAUUUGCUUAAUGAAUGUUUUCAUCUUGGGAGUUGCAUCUGAUUUCUGUUUAAGAAAGAAAACCCAGGUGAAGCGUGAAAAGUCAUCUACAAUUACAAGAAUAUACUUACUUCCACCAAAGCUUUCAAUAGCCGAAGGUCCACAUAAGUCGAUGUGCAAGAGUUCAAGAGCUUCAGUUAUGUUUGUGUUGAUCUAUGUAGGGUGGCUCUUUCUGCUUUGUUUCCCCGUUUCACAUGCUGCACACAGAUGGUCCUUAUCGAAUUUGAGAAGAGGAAGUCCACGUACAUGAUCACCGAGCACCAACUUAUUAAUGUCUUUAAAGUUUAGGUGCAAAAGUCGUCUAUGCCACAACCAGCUAUCAUCCGUAUUUGCUAUUGUUAGCAAGCAUAUUGUCGGUUUUCCUCGUAUGGUAUUGAGAUUUAAUGGGUUCAUCUCUCCCUUACGUUCAGAUUUCAACAGAACCUCCUUGGAUUGUUUCUCAAUUAUCUCUGAACAUUCAUCAUUGAAUGAUACUUUUUAACCUGUGCCCACAACUAAUUGUGACACACUAAUGAGGUUGUGUUGUAAUCCAUCUACGUAAGCCACUUUUCGAAUUGUGAAGUCACCAUUUGUUAUCAUGUCGUAUCCCUUGAUUUUUCCAAAAGAGUUAUUCCUAUAUUUCACACAGCCACCGUUUUUCAACGAACGAAAUUCUCUAAGUUCUUCCUUCCUCCCUGUCAUGUGACGUGAGCAGUCACUGUCUAUGUACCAUUCUUCGUCGAACUGCUCGUCACUCAUUACAUGCGAAAUUAAAUAGGUUUAGGAAGCCAAAGUUGCUUGGGUCCUUGUGAGUUUUUCAGAAAGAAAGGAAUAGCAGUAGAAAUAUCAACCAAGUAUUUUCUUUUUAUUAAUGUGGUUUGAUCUUUUAUUUUAAUUGUAUAUACUUUAAUUUUUGUAAUAUCUUGUUUAAAUUUAAGUUUGUUGGUUAGUUUGCUUGAUGGACUUUGACUCCUAGGAUUAGUUGAUGAUUGCUUAUUGUUGCUCCUAGUAUCAGCAAUUAGUUUUUCUUUUCCUUUGAAAGAUGCUUUGCUUUGCGGUUUGCUAUAGCCGAAACUAGAUUGAUGACCGAAACUGGGUUUGCUUUUGUUAGGGGGACCAAAACUCGACUUAGGACCGAAAAAGGGUCGAGGACCAAGAGUGGAUUUUCGGUUCUCAGACUUGGAAUUGUAGGAACUUUGACUGAAUUUGUCUGUAACUUUUGUGACAACCGUUAAUUUCCGGUCAAGUCAAAUUCAACUGAAGUCAACAAGUCAAACCGUUCUUCCUAAGUUGCCCAUGGGUACUAGAGUUUACGUUAUGUAAAUUCUAAACAACUCGUUAUUCUAAUGAGAGAUCAUAAAUCGAAAAGUGCGUACAUCUAGAUCUCCUUAACCUAAAAAUGAGGUACGUGGCGAGCCAAACCAUAAAACAAUGUUGCAUACUCAUCGAGAGUGUGUAAAAUCCUUAAAAAAGGCUUAACAGGGUUUACGGACCUUGCAUUGCGAAGCCGGACACCCAAAAAGGUCACAAGUGAAAUCUCUCUUUGUAUGUGAAAUCUCUCUAAUUAUGUGAAAUCUCUCUCAAAUCUCUCUUUGUAUGAGAAAUCUCACCAAGUAUGUGAAAUCUCUCUCAAAUCUCUCUUUGUAUGAGAAAUCUCACCAAGUAUGUGAAAUCUCUCUCAAAUCUCUCUUUGUAUGAGAAAUCUCUCCAAGUAUGUGAAAUCUCUCUCAAAUCUCUCUUUGUAUGAGAAACCUCUCCAAGUAUGUGAAAUCUAUCAAAUCUCUCUUUGUAUGAGAAAUCUCUCCAAGUAUGUGAAAUCUAUCUCAAAUCUCUCUUUGUAUGAGAAAUCUCUCCAAGUAUGUGAAAUCUCUCUCAAAUCUCUCUUUGAAUGAUAAAUCUCUCCAAGUAUGUGAAAUCUCUCUCAAAUCUCUCUUUCCGUAACCGGGUCAAAAACGAGCAAAAACGGCUUCAACGAGGUAAAAACAAGUCAAAAACGGCUUCAACGAGGUAAAAACGAGCAAAAUAGGCUUAAGGGCCCGAAACCCCUCUUAGGGUCGAAAGUCCUCUUAGGACCGAAACCCUAAGCAGCCGAGACUCAGCAGUCGAAUCCGAAGCCUCUCAGUCCGAAACUAGGAAGAGAAGCCUCUCGGACCGAAUCUGGGAAGAGAAGCCUCUCGGGCCGAAACUGAGAGGGAAGCCUCUCGGGCCGAAACUCGGAAGUGAGACCUCUCGGGCCGAAACUCGCGAGACCGAGCCUCUCCUCUCGGUUCCUCCUACUUCGCACUCUCGGUCCCUUCCAUUGCACUCUCGGUCUCUUCCCUCCUCCUCUCGGUCUUCACUUCUAGUCUCGGUUCCAAGCAUCAGAGGCCGAGACUUCGGCCAGACUUCGGAAAUUCAACACUUUUCACCCAUUUUUGAUAUUUUUAACAUUUUAAGCCCGUUUCUAAUUAUUUUAACGCGGGAUUUUCACCCAAAAACAUAUUUUAACAUAAUAAACCCUAGAUAUUCAUAAUUUAAUCAUAUUUUCAUGAAAAUCCUUAUUUAAAUAAUAAAAUCUAGUGGGUGAAUAAUUAAGGUGGAGUGUUGACUUUGCUUUACCUCAUGACACAAACAACCACUCCCAUACCCACUCCAUUUCACUAUUCACCAUCAGCCCAUACCUAGUCAUUUCAUGGUACUUUCCCUACCAUUUUUCAGCCACACACUUGGUCAAGGGUUAGAAAAUCCUCCUCUCUCCUCUCAUAUAUUUCAUUUCCUUUCAUUCUUCCUUCAAGAACAAACUUCAUUUUCUCUCAUCUUCUCUCUCUAAAAUUCGAGAUUCAAGGAUAUUCUCCAAGCCUCUCCUCUACUAUUGGUAAGUAUUAACAUCCUCCAUAUGAUUAUUUCACUUCCUUUUACACAAAUCAUAGAUAUCUUACACAAACUUCAUCAUAAUUGUGUUAGAUCUUCGAAUCUUCAAGCAAUCUCCCAAAGUGUUAUUGAGUUGAACACUUCUUUUCUCCAUCAUCCAUCUACUUAAAUCACACACGGUGAGUUCAUACCCCUCUAUUAUCAUGUUUUCUUAAGUUUUAAGGGGAAGAAUACAAGUUAAAACACCAAGAACAUAACUAAAAUUUUCUUACAGCUUUCAUCAGAAAAGUUGGACUCCAUUCACGGACUGUUUUGGUAAACUUAAACAUUUUUGUUUUUAAAACUGUUUUAGGGGAAUGUAGCUCAAGUUUUUAGAUUUAAAAUGAAUACUUGCACAUCUCCUUACGAUUUUUCUACAAUUUAUGGUGAUUUUUACAAAACUGUCUAUCAUUUCAAACAUAAUCCGGACCNACCUGUCUGUGAUUAUGGACUUGUUCACACAAGUUAAAGGUCACUAAAAAUCAUGGAAAAAUUUAUGAACAAACUAGACUCAUUUUCCAAACUCCCGGAAUUUAUGGGUUCUGAUUUGGACCUGUUAAGAAGUUUUUAUAAAUGUUCUAAUAACAACGAUCGAAACUAGCAAUAACAGAAAAAUGUUAACAAUUUCUUUUCACCUUGUAACACGUUGAGCAAGGUGUAUAUCUUUAUGUGAAUGUGUGUUAUUGCAAAUAAAUGACAUUUUGUCUUAGUUUAUAAACAUGCAUCGAUUAAUAAAUGGAUUUGAUACAUUGAAAUACACAUCAAAUAUAAAGGAUAACACAUUUGUUUUAAAUCAAAGUACAUCCAUUUUACUCAAACAAUUGAAUAAACUACAUUGAAUAUAGUUACGUACAUCACCAUUACAAACGUUUUGAAUAAACUAUAACAGGUAUGGUUUAUGUUUCCAUUAACGCCACAAAUAUAUUUCGGAAGGUUUUAUUCCCAUAGAAAAAGGUUUUACACUCACGCACACCACACGUAAACUUGUUAACCUAAAUUGUGAGACAUUCUCUUUCCGUACGUCCGAGUGCGGGAUUUAAAUUCCUGAUAGUUAUAAUCAGAGUCUCUUGUAGGGAGAACAUGAUAGUUGUGUAUAGAUCUAUAUUGGGUUUGACACCCCACACCUUGCUGCUAGCUACAGUGGGACCUGCAUGUCUACGGGUGACAAAUGUCAUAUCAGUUUUGCGACGCCUAAGAAACGUCGUGGCAGGUUCAUUAGUCAUAGUAUGAUUAUAGCGCUCACAUAGGGAUUUAACAAGACAUAAAGUUUACAGGAUUUUUUUUGUCGAUUUAAAAUCACUUUCUAUAUCAAUAAUUACAGAUAUUAUGAUAUACUUUCGGUCUUGGUAUUUAAGACUACACAUCAUUCAUUACGUGUUUUUCUCAAAUUUAGAAGGUUUUUACGCCAAUUUAAAACCACUUUAUAUCUUUAAGUAUGACAAAUACUUGUUCAUUUCCGGUCCCGGUAUUUAGGACUACAUAACUUUUAUAAGGAAAAUAUUGGAUUUUCUUGGUAACAUACUUCGCUUUACAAAGAUGAAUUUUCAAACUCUUACCAUCAAAAGCUUAUGAACUCACCAACCUUUGUGUUGAAACUUUUUCAAAACUACUUGUAUUCUCAGGAAAUCAUUAAACAAGUAACCAAGUGCUUUUGAGGAUGGGACGUUAAGGCGUCAAACAUUUCAUACUUAUUGUCUACAUAUUGUAACUGAUUUAGAACAUGUAANUAUAUAUAUAUAUAUAUGAUUGGUUGUAUUUACUUGAGCACUAUUAUACUCGUUGUUGUGAUACUAUACAUGAAGUCCUCCACCCCCGGACGUUUCCGCCAUCCUUGGUUUGGGGGUGUGACAGAAUGGUAUCAGAGCAUUGUUUAUAGUGAACUCAGUAUAUCAAACCACAUAAGAUAUACAAACUAUAAAUGCAUUGAGACUAAAGUCUCUGAUUUAAAGUUUUCAAAACAACUAUACUUUUAGGAAUAAAUAGUUUCUUAUUAAAAGUAUACACGCAUGCAUACAUACUAAGGUCAGCUUCAUUCUAGAACAAAACAAAAGUAAUGAUUAUUGAAUAUCACAGGUACGCUCAGGGAUGUAUGGUCAGUCUUGGGAGUGGCAUAGCCUGAUCAACUAUGCUGGUCCGAAGAGUGAUUAGGACAUGCCCAAGAAUGUUUGUGAUAUGGCGAAAAGUCUAAAAACUUACCGACACUACCAUAAUGAGAACAUUAGAACAGAACAUGAGUUUAAAAUACUAUCGGAGUAUUUUGUAUUACUAUAAUUGCUUACAUGAGAACUAAACAAGUCUAUAUCAAGUAGGUCAAUAGUUGUUAAGUGGAUACGCUCAGGUUAUAUGAAAUUUAGGCAUUAUAGACUCAGAAUCUGUGACCGUUACUUUACUUCCUGUUCUUGUUUGAUUGUGGAUUUGAAGUUACAGUCACCUAUUCGAAAGACUAUCCUGCCUUGAUUUCAUAUAACUAGUACACACUACCCAAGUAUUGAUAUAACUGAUAAAGAUCAUCUAAUAAUUAUCUACAUAGUUGUCCAAUAAUUAUCUUCUUACUCCUAUUCUCUCGCGUACAACAUAGUAAGAUCCUACUUACCGGACAACCUCUACUUUCGCGUUCAGAGAAAUGGUGGAUGGUUAUGAGGAGAAUCAGAAGCGGAACCGGAGAUAAUCAAUCCUCCAUGCAUAGCAAGCGUUUCCGCGAACCAUUUCGACUACAUCGAACCUGUGCCCCGUUGGGCAAUCGUGAUCGAGGGUUGAAUGUCGAUAGCAAUGAUAACAACCACCAUGUGGAGACCAACGAGGGUGCUAUGACCUCAACCACGGGGGACGACUGACAGAGCCCUCCCGGCAAAGACCCGGCGGAUCGCGAACAUCGGGGAUUAAAACAAGGAGACUACAACCUGAGUUAGAAAAAUUGCACGCUACUAUGAACCCCACCGUCUCACUUACCCGAAACUCAGAAUUAGACUAGUAUUCCCGAGACCAACUCUCUUUUUAAGACCUUAUCGCCGCUCGUAAAGAGGAAAAAUAGUGACAUAGCAGACACACGACAUUCAAAGAGAGGAUGAUCGCAGCCAAGCAUCAAUUGGCAGGGCUGUUAGGUGCAUCGACUUUGCCUCAGACAUCACAAGGGACGGACCGUCGUAAAUGAAUCCAUACCACUCACGAUACCUUGUAAAUAAAGAUCAUGAAUACACGUUGGUGCUACCCUAUUCUAGGUGUUGGCACAACACUGCGAUUUAAGAAGUUAUACAAAUCAAGAGAUCUAGUUACUAUCUGAACUUUUCCUUGCAUGGAUGUGAGGUAGCCCUGCGUCGAGAUCAAAUGCUUUCGCUGAAACCAUAAUUACUAGAAUCAUAUUAACGAGAUGGGCUCAGGACAUACCUAACAGACUCGAAGGUUUAACUAGCCUUAACUAAUAUAACAAAGCAUACAUCAUUUGGCCACCAUAAGAGCCUCGCUUGGAACAAAUUACAAGGUUCCACUUGAAUACAGAACUACUAAAAAUUCAUGAGUUUACCAUUUAUAGGCUCUCGUUAUGAAAUGUUUUCAUAACACCAUAAAACAACCGAAACACACAACAAAAUGAAAUAAGAUAAAAUUUGUUAGAAAGCUCGCGACGUAUAGUCAUCCUAAAAACUCAUUUCCGUCUUACUUUAAAACACCUUAGUUGAGAGGUGCUUUCUUCAUAGACCUAUGGAGUGCGAUCAUGCCAGCACUAAUACACCGGGUCCCAUCAAAACUCCUCAGCCAAGCGUGUUCGGACAAACAUGAUUCUAAGAUGAGGAAAGCUUAACGCCCAUAUGAAACCUACUCCUACUCACUACUAAAACUCCAACUCAGGAUCGUUAGCGGAAACACUAGGAAUAGUACAGUAAUGUGCAAAAUUUAUGUGUAAAUAUAAAUCGUAAGGAUGCACUUAAGAUGAUCAAUUCUACUAACGAAGUCGUUUUUCAUCGUGAAACAGAGCUAUGUAUUCACCAAGAGGCAACCAACCAACUAGUAAGGCGCCAACUCUGCAGAUAGACGCUGCUACUUUUCAGGCUGCAGUCAUGGCAGCCGUGNNNNNNNAGCCGUAGCAGCCAUCAUGGCGCAGCUCAACGCUAACCCCGUCAGCAUGCGUGGAAAUGGUGUCAGAAAUGCUAACUGCGAUAAGAAUCAAGAACAUCAGUGGGCGACUAUCACCAAAAAUUCCUCAGGCCACAAACCUACGAAGAAGAAGCGAAAAUUUUGGAACAAGAAGGAGCGCAACCAAUCUCAAAAACUCACAAAAAGACAGCAAUCGGGGGUUGCUCCUACUAUGAUGACAAUAGUCACAACUCAUGCUCCGAUGCUAGCCACAUCGUCUGCCACCCCAGCACUGGUCAGACAGUAUAUGGGAACACUUCCGAAGUGUAACAAGUGUAACUACCAUCACACAGGAGCUUGCCGAGAGAUGUACUAUAAAAACUGCAACAGGAAAGGGCACACUGUUCAUUUCUGUAGGGUCCCGACCCAGCAUCUCCCUUCAAUCACCAGCACCAGGUUAAACCCAGUAUGCUACUUAUGCGGUGAAACAGGACACUUCAAGAGAGAGUGCCCAACCGAGAAGAAGGACGAAGGAGCCGGAGGAGUGUGACAAACGAACCAGCGAGGGUAACAGGGAACCAUAUUAGGACUUUUGUAAUGUCCCAACGACAAAAACGUUUAAGUAUCAUAUGUUUGUAAUGAAAUUUUAUAUGCUUGCUAAAAUCCAUGUCUUUCUAAAAGUAGUUAAAAUGCUCCCUCGUUCAAAUCAAACCAAAGUCAUUCAUAUAUGAUCUUAGGAUCAUUACCUAUAAGAUGUGAUGACUUUGUACAUACAUCGGGGUUAAUUAUAAUCAAAUUACUGAAGUCAUGAAACAAAUAAUCCCAUCCUGAUUCCUAUUUCAUGUCUAGCAGUAAGAAUUAAGCGGGGCCACCCACUCGAUGAUUUCACCAACAUCAACUCACAUACGACGUUGAUAUACCGUUCGAUCAUAGGGGAGACCUGUCAGGGAUCACGAUGUUAAGUAUCAUUACUGAUUAUCGAAACACACCCACUACCAGUGCUAUACACUGUGUUAUAAAUCAUCUACAGUAACAAUAACAUUAAACAAAACAGAACACGGAAAAGAAACACUAGAUACUCCAUCACUUUAGUGAUUUCUCCUUAUGAGAACAACUUAACUCAUGUUAUCUAAUAAAAGUGUCGAUUGUCACCAUUCAGUUUCAAUUAGAAUUAAUCCUCAUCUUCCCGAUUUAACGACUACAAAAGGGGUCUUCACCUAACCCUCCGAAUAUCGUAACCUUCGACUCUCAUAAAAACCCAGCACGGACCUCCGGGUCAUCUCUCGUGAUGAGACCCCAAAACACGCACCAGAGGAGUGUUAUACUUCCUGAAAACCUACCACAAGUAUUUACAGGAGACUUUCGGGAAUGUCAUCCAUGUAGCAGACAAGGUUCAAGCACGGAAGCUUGGGACAUAUACGGUUAGUCCACCACUACUACGUGUAUACGCGAGGAUAAUGUAUAAUUAAGAUUCUACAGACAUUGGAUGUGUGCUUCCACCCUAUUUCCUGUUCCAUGUUUGGUUGUGGAUUUGGGGCAGAGCCACCCAUCCAACUAUCUUGCCAACCUUAAACACAUACGACCUAUAUGCGCAAGUUAAUGAUUGAUGGACCGGGUACGAGUCCUACCUUGAACUUCAGGCCAAGGUUUCCUAGAGGGACGAGUAAAUUUCCUACCAUCCGAAAAGGCCUAGUCGCAUAAACCAAACCCACAUGCCUCCAACCGAGCUACAAGAACUGUCAGGUCAAACCUGUCGAGCUACUCAACAAUGAAAUUAAAGAACCAAGCUUCUCACCCUGGAAGGCUCUGGUCUUAUUCUUCAAAUAGAAAGGCAAAUUGCUCGUAGUUCCAUUGACGUCAGAGGCCCCGACAAUAUCUCCAAUAGAAACCUUUACUAUCUACCUCGCAUAGACGAAUAGGCCGACCAACCGCAAGGAACGAGGUACCCUUCAGAAAUUGGACCUGAGGUCUGAAUAUCACCAGUCGCGAGUGUUGGAGAAGGAUGUCCGAGGACAACCCUCCAAAUUCGAUACAGACACCGCAAGUCCGUAGUGAUAUCACUCGGAUAGGAACAACCCGCUCGCAGUACUCAUGAACUUCAUGAAUAGGAAAUGCCAUUCUUACUAAGAUCAGUUCGUCAUUGUCAUUAUAAAUGACUUUCUUAUCUACCCUCGUAGUAAGAAGGAAACCAAGGAGAACAGCUGCAACGAACCGCAGAAACAAUAUGAUCAAAGAAACCUUACCUGAAGUUCUCUAUAUACGAGUUUUGGAAUUUAGGGGUCAAAUUCCUAAGGCAGAUCAUUAAUAAUGUGGAAAUUCUUAAGGACCCUUACAAUUGAUCAAAAACCGUUGAGAAACAGUCAGCACCAAAGACGUCAGCAGGAAUACGCCAAAAUUUUGGGUCUCGCUGACCUGCCGUCGUAGCUCCCUUAGAAUUCCUCAUAAAUUUCGGAGUCCCCCCUUACGACCUUGACCCUGAAGGGAGAAAACCUUGACGGGAAGAGAAGCAAGAGGGAGAAACCUUUAGAACGCCAGAAUAAGAGACCAAAUUCCUCUAGGCAUGCUUAGUACGCUCCGGAAGGCGUGGAAAGCCAAAACCCAGAUAUUUAUGCCUUUCCAGAUGCUUGUAAGAUUCAGCACUUUAAUCGCAACUUUAAUCUACUCCCGCGAGCUUGGUAAAGUACAUUCUACCCGACACGUCCCGAACUUGCAGAAGUACCUAUCCGACGAGACUCUUGUAAUCCCCCUCCACGAGAUCGAGUUCCACAAGAGCCUCACCUUUGUGAAAGAAUCGCAGUGACCAUGGACCGAAAGGUCGAGCGAACGCUGCAACACCGCUUCCAUUUGUGAAGGAGCGCUAGAAUACUAACCAGGGACCUGGAGUCACUUGGGAGCGAGAGAAAUCAUUCGAUUAGGAAGUAUCCCCACAUCUUGGCUCGAUUAUUCAUGCCUACUCCUUGCCUAAAUUCAAAUUUCGGCACGAAAUUCCCUCUAACGGGGGGACGAUGUGACAACGGUCAAUUUCCGGUCAAGUAAAAGUCAACAAGUCAAACCGUUCGACCCAAGUUGCCCAUGGGUACUAGAGUUUACGUUAUGUAAAUUCUAAACAACUCGCUAUUCUAAUGAGAGAUCAUAAAUCGAAAAGUGCAUACAUCUAGAUCUCCUUAACCUAAAAUUGUGGUACGUGGUGAGCCAAAUUGAUAAAACAAUGUUACAUACUCAUCGGGAGUGUGUAAGAUCCUUAAACAAGGCUUAACAGGGUUUACGGACCUUGCAUUGCGAAGCCAGACACUCAAAAAGGUCACAAGUGAAAUCUCUCUCAAAUCUCUCUUUGUAUGUGAAAUCUCUCCAAGUAUGUGAAAUCUCUCUUUGUAUGAGAAAUCUCUCCAAGUAUGUGAAAUCUCUCCCAAAUCUCUCUUUGUAUUACAAAUCUCUCCAAGUAUGUGAAAUCUCUCUCAAAUCUCUCUUUGUAUGAGAAAUCACUCAAAGUAUGUAAAAUCUCUCUCAAAUCUCUCUUUGUAUGAGAAAUCACUCAAAGUAUGUAAAAUCUCUCUCAAAUCUCUCUUUGUAUGAGAAAUCUCUCCAAUAUGUGAAAUCUCUCUCAAAUCUCUCUUUGUAUGACAAAUCUCUCCAAGUAUGUGAAAUCUCUCCCAAAUCUCUCUCAAAAGUUUCCGUAACUUUUUUGAGUCAUUCGGGUCAUUCCGACCUUUAACCGGGUCAAAAACGGCUUGAAACGGGGUAAAAACGAGCAAAAUAGGCUUAAGGGCCCGAAACCCCUCUUAGGGCCGAAAGUCCUCUUAGGACCGAAACCCUAAGCAGCCGAGACUCAGCAGCCGAAUCAGAAGCCUCUCGGGCCGAAACUAGGAAGAGAAGCCUCUCAGACCGAAUCUGGGAAGAGAAGCCUCUUGGGCCGAAACUAAGAAGGGAAGCCUCUCGGGCCGAAACUCGGAAGCGAGACCUCUCGGGCCGAAACUCGCGAGGCCGAGCCUCUCCUCUCAGUUCCUCCUACUUCGCACUCUCGGUCCCUUCCAUCGCCCUCUCUGUCUCCUCCCUCCUCCUCUCGGUCUUCAUUUCUAGUCUCGGUUCCAAGCAUCAGAGGCCGAGACUUCGGCCAGACUUCGGAAAUUCGACACUUUUCACCCAUUUUUGAUAUUUUUUUACAUUUUAAGCCCGUUUUUAAUUAUUUUAACGCAAGAUUUUCACCCAAAAUCAUAUUUUCAGAUAAUAAACCCUAUAUAUUCAUAAUUUAAUCAUAUUUUCAUGAAAAUUCUUAUUUUAAUAAUAAAAUCUAGUGGGUGAAUAAUUAAGGUGGAGUGUUGACUUUGCUUUACCUCAUGACACAAGCAACCACUCCCAUACCCACUUCAUGUCACUAUUCACCAUCAGCCCAUACCUAGUCAUUUCAUGGUACUUUUCCUACCAUUUUUCAGCCACACACAUGGUCAAGGGUUAGAAAACCCUCAUCUCUCCUCUCAUUUCUUUCAUUUCCUCUCAUUCUUCCUUCAAGAACAAGCUUCAUUUUCUCUCAUCUCCUCUCUUUAAAAUUCGAGAUUCAAGGCUAUUCUCCAAGCCUCUCCUCUAUUAUUGGUAAGUAUUAACAUCCUCCAUAUGAUUAUUUCACUUCCUUUUACUCAAAUCAUAGAUAUCUUACAAAAACUUCAUCAUAAUUGUGUUAGAUCUUCGAAUCUUCAAGCAAUCUCCCAAAGUGUUCUUGAGUUGAACACUUCUUUUCUCCAUCAUCCAUGUACUUAAAUCACAUACGGUGAGUCCAUACCCCUCUAUUAUCACGUUUUCUUAAGUUUUAAGGGGAAGAAUACAAGUUAAAACACCAAGAACAUAACUAAAAUUUUCUAACAACUUUCAUCAGAAAAGUUGGACUCCAUUCAUAGACUAUUUUGGUCAACUUAAAUAUUUUUGUUUUUAAAACUAUUUUAGUUACAUGUAGUUCAAGUUUUUAGAUUUAAAAUGACUACUUGCACAUCUCCAUAAGAUUUUUCUACAAUUUAUGGUGAUUUUUACAAAACUGUCUAUCAUUUCAAACAUCAAUCCGGACCAGUCUGUGAUUAUGGACUUGUUCACACAAGUUAAAAGUCACUAAAAUCAUGUAAAAAUUUAUGAAUAAACUAGACUCAUUUACCAGACUCUCGGAAUUUACGGAUUCUGAUUUGGACCUGUUAAGAAGUUUUUAUAAAUGUUCUAAUAACAACGAUCAAAACUAGCAAUAACAGAAAAAUGCUAAGAAUUUCUUUUCACCUUGUAACACGUUGAGCAAAGUGUAUAUCUUUAUGUGAAUGUGUGUUAUUUCAAAUAAAUGACAUUUUGUCUUAGUUUACAAACAUGCAUCAGUUAAUAAAUGGAUUUGAUACAUUGAAAUACACAUGAAAUAUAAAGGAUAACACAUUUAUUUUAAAUCGAAGUACAUCCAUUUUACUCAAACAAUUGAAUAAACUACAUUGAAUAUAGUUACGUACAUCGCCAUUACAAACGUUUUGAAUAAACUAUAAUAGGUAUGGUUUAUGUUUCCAUUAACGCAACAAAUACAUUUCGGAAGGUUUUAUUCCCAUAGAAAAAGGUUUUACACUCACGCACACCACACGUAAACUUGUUAACCUAAAUUGUGAGACAUUCUCUUUCCGUACGUCCGAGUGUGGGAUUUAAGUUCCUGGUAGUUAUAAUCAGAGUCUCUUGUAGGGAGAACAUGAUAGUUGUGUAUAGAUCUAUAUUGGGAAUGACGCCCCACACCUUGCUGCUAGCUACAGUGGGACCUGCAGGUCUACAGGUGACAAAUGUCAUAUCAGUUUUGCGACGCCUGAGAAACGUCGUGGCAGGUUCAUUAGUCAUAGUAUGAUUAUAGCGCUCACAUAGGGAGUUAACAACACAUAAAGUUUAUGGGAUUUUUUUUGUAUAGAUCAAAAAGGGAUUUUAUGUCGAUUUAAAAUCACUUUCUGUAUCAAUAAUUAUAGAUAUUAUGGUAUACUUUCGGUCUUGGUAUUUAAGACUACACAUCAUUCAUUACGUGUUUUUCUCAAAUUUAGAAGGGUUUUUACACCAAUUUAAAACCACUUUAUAUCUUUAAGUAUGACAAAUACUUGUUCAUUUCCGGUCCCGGUACUUAGGACUACAUAACUUUUAUAAGGAAAAUAUUGGAUUUUCUUGGUAACAUACUUCGCUUUACAAAGAUGAAUUUUCAAACUCUUACCAUCAAAAGCUUAUGAACUCACCAACAUUUGUGUUGACACUUUUUCAAAACUACUUGUAUUCUCAGGAAAUCAUUAAACAAGUAACCAAGUGCUUUUGAGGAUGGGACGUUAAGGCGUCAAACAGUUCAUACUUAUUGUCUACAUAUUGUAACUGAUUUAGAACAUGUAAUUCAUACAAUGACGUAANUAUAUAUAUAUAUAUAUAUAUAUAUAUAUGAUUGGUUGUAUUUACUUGAUCACUAUUAUACUCGUUUUUGUGAUACUAUGCAUGAAGUCCUCCACCCCCGGACGUUUCUGCCAUCCUUGGUUUGGGGGUGUGACAACCUUUUCCUUUCCUUUGCCCUCUGAGCUCUUCUUUAGAGGAAUAUAGUUGGAAUUUUGUGAAUUCCAAUAACUCUUUCCCUCAUUUAUGUUCUUUGCAUACCUUUGAUUUCUUAAGCGUUUUUGCUCAGCUAGUUCCUUCUGCGAUUUAUGCAUGUUGAAGCUUGCCUUUUGCUUCUCUCUUUGGUUUUCGGUUGUUUUGACUGGAGCAUUCGGUUCUACGCUUUGCUCUAUAGGAAUGUCCUUGGUUCCACUCGUGCUUGGUUUGUCAGAACCUGUGGGUUUAUUUAAGGGUUCAGCCACAUAUCUUCCUUUAACUUUCCAGGAGGUCUGCUCAGAUAAGCCUACAGUUUCGUCUGCAUUAUCUAUGGGAGCCGACCAGAAGAACUCUUAGCAUACUUCAGCAUUAUCUGCUUCUACCAAGACUCUUAGUUCUUCUGUUUGUCUAUGAGUAACUCCUUCAGUUGCAUAUACUUGAUUCGGCACGUUUUGAACCUUUUGAUAAACCAUAGCUUUUUCUUUAAGCUUCUUUUCCUUAUCCUUUGCUAGACGAGCAAAUUCAAUCGAGUUUUCUGAGAUUAAUGGUUUAUCAUUCUCAGUUUUGCUCUUCGUAAACUCAAAGCAAUCAACUACAUCUUCUACAGAUAUCUCACUCAUCUCAUCAAAUUCAGAUGCGUUGUCUAAGUCUAUUUUAUUUUCAGAAGUUAGUUUGGCACUUGAUUGUUCAAAUGAAUGAAUAGUUUCCGAUUUGAUUUUCAAUUUAUCAUUUUCAUCCAAAAUGUAUUUUAACAUACAUUUGUGUUCUUUUGAAUCUAUGAAUGUUUCUAUUUUGUCUAGACUGAUUUUGUAUGACAUGGAUGUCUCUUCUGAUGACACUACUGAUUCGCAUUCUGCUAUUACCUCAUCUUCUUUAAAUUCAAGAAAUGGGAAAAUCAUCUUAUGAAUUUUCUUACCUAUCUCAUAGUUUAAAUGCAAAUGGGCUAUAUUAGUGUAAACACUUAGCAAUUAAACAAAAAACAUUUCACUGUUUCAAGAAUUUCAAAUUGUCUUUUUGUAAAUAAAAACUUUCGUCCCUAGCUUUCACUAAUUCCACCUCCUACAACUUGAUCCACAACCUUCUCCCCUCACUCUUUGAACAUACCCUGCUGAGUUGGUCAGUUAGGUUAGAAUUCGCUAAGCGACUUUGCAUGAGACUACCACUUAAGUUAGAGAAUUUAAAUUUUAAUUCAUUUAAUUCUUCUUCAUAAUUAGUUAAUGGAAUUUUAAGUGAUUCGAGGAUGGUUUGUACCUUUUUGAUCAACUGAUCGCAGUCGUUGAUCUGCUCACUGACAGGCUUUGCCGCGAAGCAUUUGUCUUCAUUCAGGUUCGGUUCUUUAUCUGCACUUUCGGUUGAUGAUCCAGCGGUGACCAUCAAGCACUUCCUGACUGAACCUGCUUCCUUUGCCACAUAAGCCCUUCCAUGAGUGGGCUUUCUUACUUCUUCAUCCUCGAAUUCGGUUGACCACACUUCCACGCCACCGAACUCAUCUUCAUCACCCUUUUCCUGCACAAUUAAAGCAUUCAUCAUACCUUUUGUGUCGUUAUUUGUCUUCUUAUUCUUGAUCUCUUCCAGCUUUCGCAUGUAAUAUGCCUCAUCAUCUUCCCCGUCUGUCUUCUCAGCCAAUUUCCUUAACAUGCAAUCCUGGCAAAGUGGUUAUUGCCAUGACAGUAGUUGCAGUCGUAUCCCGAGUCUGCAUCAAGUUUGUUCUCGCUCUUGUCUUCAGUCUUUUGAGAGGCGAUCUUCGCUUCAUCCUUCGCCUUCUCGGAACUAUAGCUUCCUUGCCAGUUUCGGUUCUUGUUGACAGGAAAUUUUCUUCUAGCAAACUUCUUUGCAUUGGUGAGAAUCAUAGCAUAUUCUUCGCUUGAGAGGUCAUAUUCAGAUGUAUCCGACUCUUCUUCUUCUUCUGCAACACCCUUUCCUUUUGAUAUAAGAGCCAGUGAUCCCAUACCAGAGACUACUUUCGCUUCUUUGGUUACUUCGCUUUCAUGGGACUUAAGGAUUCUCACAAGUUUUGCAAGCGAGUAAGAUUUGAACUGCUCAUGCGCUUUUACUAUAGAGACCACAUCCAUCCAUUCGGUUCUUAGUCCGGUCAUGAAGGUCACCUUUUGCUCAAUUACCUUUCUUUCUAUUCCAUGCUUGACCAUUCUGUUGAGAAAAUGAUUGAACCGAUCGAACGUCUGUACGAGUUUCUCUUUUGGUUUCUAUUUUAAUGCUCCAAACUCAGACAACAACAAGGUUUGAGUUGAGUGUUCCAGAUCUUCAUCAGUCGAAUAGAGUUCUUUCAAUCUGUCCCAUAUUUGUUUAGCAGUCGUGCAUGAACCAACUAAUCGAAAGGUAUCAGACUGCAAGGAGAAUCUUAUCAUUCGCAUGGAUUUCACAUUACAUAGCAAUUUGUCUCUCUCAUCCUGUGGAAUCAUUUGUUCGUCUGCCACCAGCUUGUUGUACUCCUGCUGAGUCAUGACAGUAGUGUUCGUUCCCGAAUGAACAAACGGUCCAAGAGUGAUGGCUUCCCAGAUGAGAUAACCAUGAUCUUCAAAACCUAUCACGUAGUCUUCAAAGUGAAGUGCCCAUACUUCAUAGUCUUGAGUAUAUUGUAUGGGUAUCCUAGUUGUAGAUCCGAUGCUGUUAGAGAUGUUAAUGGGAUUUGUUUGCGAAUCAUCGUGAGACAUGUUGAGUUUUUAGAAUCAGACUUUUAAACUCGAGAUUAGGGUUUUAUCUAAAACAAAGUUUCCUACUAAACGAAGAAGACGACUUGUUAUAUAUUCGAUAAAAGCGGAAACCCUAAAGAAUUCUGAAUACAGAAGGAAUGUGUAUUGAUCACACAAACUCCUGCUCUAAUACCAAUUGUUAGAGCAAAGUUCUAUCAGCAUCGAUUAAUUCUAAGUACGCAAACAAGAAAGAACGUAAAGUGAACGAGAAUAUGGCUUGAAUAUGUCAUAUGAUUAAUGCUUCAACAUCUCAGAAGAGCUUAAUUAAGAACUUCGAGUGUAGAGGAGUUUAGGGUUACAAAGCUCAAUCGUAAAUAAUAAGACGUGUAAAAUAUAAUGCAUACAUGCAUGCAUAUAUAUACUCUAACCCUAAGAUAUAAUCACGGAUGGAAAGGCCCAAUCCGGAUAUAUACAAAAAAUCCUAAGACGCAACAUAAUAAGCCCAACAGCAUAGUAACAAAUUUGUUGUGUCACGUUUGGUAACCAGAGUCUCCUGGAGGGAGAGCGGACAUUGUGUGUAUAGAUCUAUUCGGGAUUGACAAGCCUGCAUCCCGACUGUUUGCUACAGUUGGCCGAAAGGCCAGGGGUGACAAAUGUCACAUUUACUUUUCGGCGCCAUUAGGUCGUCGUGUUAUCUACAUGUUGAUUUAGCAUGGUUGCUACCACAUCACAUCCAAACCUUAAAUUAACAAAUUGGCUUAAGGUAGUUAGUAUAUUGGUAGUUACUCACAUACAAUACUACAGUACUUUAUUAUUUUCCCAUUGCAUUCACAUUGUGAUCUUCUCACAUAAACGGUAAUGUAAAAACUAUAUUUUUGGUAAUGAUAGUCAUAAUUGGGAAAGAUACAGACUUUUACAAAUAAACAGCAUGCAGAACAUUUGGGUCUAGCUAGAAAGCUACUUUUUGGUAGAAAAUAUAGGAUUUUCGAGGAGAUGCAAACAUUUACUACAAACACUUACCAACUUUUACAUCAAGCAUUUUCAUACAAACAAUGACACUACAAUAAUUAUGAACUCACCAGCUUAAAUGUUGAUCCUCUCUUUCAAAAUAACUUGUAUUCUCAGGUCAUUAGUAGAUAGGUACCGAUGACAGGUUUUGAGAAGACGGAGCUUUCAAGACUCAUCCAUAUUUUGAUUAUUCUUUUUUUGUGUCGUAUUAUUAUAGAGAACACACUUGUAUUAAAUUAUACUAUUAAUGCAGUGGAUGAUGUUGUUGCUUGUUUACUAUUAUGUAUUGUUGUGAUACUACACAUGACGUCCUCCGCCCCCGAAUGUUUCUGCCAAUUCGGUUUUGGGGUGUGACAGGUAUGGACCAAAACCAUAAAAAAAUGUUAACCAUGGGGACCAAUAAGUAUAUUUAUAUGUUCAGAGGUCGUCUUACAUUAAUUAAGUCAGUUCUUGGAAGUUUGGGGAGUUAUCUGAUAGCAAGUUUUAUGGUUCCGUCUUGUGUUUUUAAUUCUUUGGAGUCUCUUCGUUCUAGAUUUUUUUGGGGUGCCAAUUUACAGGAUAGUUGUAUGCAUUGGGUACAUUGGGAUAGAGCUUUGGCUGGUAAAAACAGGGCGGUCUUGGAAUUGGAAGUAUGUUCUCUUUUAAUCGGGCUCUUCUUUUUCGUUGGUGGUGGAGAUUCUUCCAUAACCCAGAUCUGAUUUGGGUUAGGAUGGUGAAAUCUUUACAUGGCCUUGAUGGGGGUUGUUAUUCCUUGUCGUUGAGAAGAGGGUGGACAGGUCCUUGGAGUGGGAUUAUAAGGAUGCUAAAGCAGCUUAGAGAUCGGGGCAUGGAUUUGUUUUCUUUAUGUCCGAUUAGAGUUAGAGAUGGGAGUAACACUUCUUUUUGGCAUGAUGUUUGGAAAGGUUAUCAGCCUCUUGCGGUGUCUUUCCCUAGAAUUUAUGCAGUGGAUAUUCAUUGAGUGUUUCUAUUCGUGAUAGGGUUAUAGUUGGUUGGAGUGUUGAUUCUCUCAGAAGAAUUCCUAGGGGUGGAAUGUAGCAUACCCAGUGUGAUGAGUUGAUUGAGUUGGUGUGUGAUCUCCAAGUUACUUCUUUUCCUGAUCGGUUGGGUUGGUCUAUUGAUGUUUCUAAUUCUUUUUCAGUUUCAUCUGCUAGAUUUUUUAUUGAUAGUGCUUUGUUGGGGACAUGUGGUAGUGAGACUAGAUGAAAUAAUUGGGUGCCUGUUAAAUUGAAUAUUUGUAUUUGGAGGUUGCGGUUGCAGAGUGUGCCAACUAGAGAAAGGUUGUUGCAUCGUGGAAUUACGCUUGACUUGUUUAUGUGCCCUAUCUGUUAUAUUACUGUUUAGUCUAUUGAUCACCUAAUUGCUGAGUGUAUUCAAUUAAGGGAUAUUUGGUCUCGUGUGGCUAUUUGGUGGGAUGUUCAGAUUCUUUCUCAGUAAUCAAUUGAUUCUAUUCUUUUAUGGUCUCAGUCGUCUGGUUUGAGAGGUGGUCGAAGAAAAGCUUUUGAGGCGGUUAUUUUUACGGCUUUAUGGUGCGUUUGGAAUUUUCGAAAUGCUACUAUCUUUGGAACGGUGGUGCGUUUGGAAUUUUCGAAAUGCCACUAUCUUUGGAAUUUUCGAAAUGCUACUAUCUUUGGAAUGGUGGUUGAAAAAUGUUUUUUUGGAUUUCUAAUAGGUGUACUAAAGCUAAGAUAUGGUGGUCUUUUUGGCUCAAUAAUCCUUCUAUUGCAUGUAAUAUGUUGUAAUGUUUCUUUUUCUAGCUUUUUGCUAGUUUUUUAAUAAAAUCUCUGUCAUUCUAUAAAAUAAAUAAAUAAAUAAAAAACCUUAGUAAACUCAAAAAUAUUUCUCAAAAUAGUUUUUCCAUUAGCUUUAAUAACAAGAUUUUCAAAGGCAUAUCAAAUUUGAUUUUUUUUAACUUCUUUUAGGUUUUUAAAACACAAUAGCUUAAAAAAAUGAGAUUUUAUGGAGAUUGUAAACAAAGCAUGUUUUAAUUUAUCAACGUUUUCCCACUAUAAAAAUUAAUCUAAUAUUUAAAAUAAAUAACUAAUUUGCGACCCCCACAAAUAAGAAAAAAAACAUUCUUGCUCGAAAACAGAUUUUAAGUUCAAGAAACAAUUUCAAACACCCUUUUAAUAACAUGCUGUUAUUUUUAUUAAAAAGAUACUGACACAAAAACCCUUAAGUUUAGCAACUAUUAACGGUUUCACUUUAAUCGGUGUCGACGAACUAAAUUCUGAAAUGAAACUAAUCGUGUGCUGAAUAUGGGGUGUUGCUGAAUACUCCCUUAAUAAGUAUAUAAUACUCCCUUAAUAAGUAUAUAUCCCUAUCAUACAUUACAUAUUCUUUUGAAAAUAACAUACUUAUGAAUGAACACUAAUCAACGUAUGAGACUUUUUGUCGUAAAAGACUCUCCAAUGCCCGUUGAAAGGAAAAUAUUAAUUACCAUGUAUUUGACGUUUGUUGCAUCCAAGUAUCUCAUAUGUUAUACUCUAGGUGUAACACUCGUAUAUUAUACGAGUUGAUUAAAUAUUAAAAUUUUAAAAAUAAGUAUUUUUAAAAUAAAAUUUUAAAAUAAUAAAUAAACAAGUAUAAUAAUUUCAAUUUACUAUCAUAUUUAUUACAUUUAGUACUUUACAUAUAUAAGUAAAAAGUAUUAUGUGAUUUUUAUUGAAAAAAACCAUAAAUUGACAAGUGGAUAUUAUUUAUUUAAAAAAUAUCAUAAAAUGACAAGUGUCAAAAUUGACGAGAGAUUUACAAAUGACAAAAUUAUUUUCAUUUAUUAGAUAGGAUUAAACGUAUUUAGAGUAUCUCAUGUGUUAUGCUUUAACUUUAGAGAAACUAAGGUGCUAUUUGUUUUUUCGAAGCGAAAAUUCAUUAAGUCUACGGACCACCUCUGCAAUUCUCUGUAGCAGAAGAGGUGGAACAAACGGCUGCAGCCUAUAAUAAGAAGCAUGUUUGUUUUUUAACAUCUGCAGAUUGUUGCAGUAAAGUGAAAUUUAAAUAAACUGAAAAUAGUUAUCAACACCAAAAUUUCAUAAUUCUAGUCUUAAAACGUUAAAAUAAUAAUAAAAAGAGCAUGUAAAAAAACAAAAAUAUAGAACUUUUUUUAAAAAAAAACUUAAAAAAAUGUAAAAUACGCUAAUAGUUUUAUUCUAGAAAAAAAAAAUUAAUUUUAAAAAACAUUAAAAAAGAAAAUAAUAAAAAAAAAAUUAAGAAAGUAUUGCAAAUGUUGUCUACAAAGUUUGUAAAAAAUUACACACGUUAAAAAAGAUGCAACUGAAAUUGAAAAUAUUAUUAAUAAAACGGUUAAAAAAAAAUAUAAAAAAUAAUGUUAAAAAAAUCGUGGAAAUUAUAAAAAUAAAUUGUAUCACAUCCGUAAUGAAAAAUUUAAGAAAAUCAAAGUUUUAAAAAAAAUAAAAAAAAAAAGUUAUACAAAAAUUCUUAAAAAAACACUUAGAAAAAAUGAAAAUUGAAGAGGUUAGAAGAUGCAAGUCAAGUGUUACGUCACGCAGCACACACACAGAGGUUUUGUAGUCUGAAGUUUUCCAAAAAACAAACUGUUACGAGAGGAAAAGUGUUGCGCGUGUGAUGCGUCACGCAGCAAUAAGUGGUUUGAAUAUGUUUUUAUAGAAAAACAAACCGCACCUAAAAAUUCUUCAAAGGAGAAGUAAAUAGUUAUGGUAAUUGGAGGUUGGCCUCGCCAUGAUUGGUGAAUCCCAAAUGAGUUCAUGUCGAGACAAAGGACAACGCUACAACCCCAAAUGAGUUAAUGUUAACAUAAAGGACAACUCACUACCAUUUUUAUGUUUUUCUAUGGUUUUUCUAACAUAUAAUCAUGCUUAGCCGAUUAUUAUAGGAUCUUGAAAAUUCUAGCUCAGUUGAGCUUGAGGUUGAGUUAAGUUUCGACACUCGGGUUUUGUAUUUAAGUAAAGCUCAAAUUUUGCAUCGUAUUCACUCAAAUAUACUUAACUACACCCUUAUACGAGUCGAGUCCAAGUUGACACAUAAAAUGGUUAUAAUUUUUUACUUUUAAGAAAUAACAAAAGUUUAAUUUUAUUUUUAACCAACAUACUUUUAUUUCAAAAAUAAUACAACUAAAUAUAUUUAUUUUUAACCAAUACAGCAACUCAUUUUUAUUUUUAGCCUAAAAAACAACAUGCUUAUAUUUUAAAUGAAAAUAUAAAUUCACAUUUAUUUUUAACCAAAAAUAACUAAAUACUUAUAUUUUUAACACAAAACUUAAAUUAGUAUUAUUUUUACCUAAAAACCAAAACGUAUUAUUCAUUUUUUUUAACUCCGAAUGAAAAUAUGUAUGUAUUUUUUUUCUCAAAACAACCCAUUAAAAAUUUAAUCGCUCUUCAAANNNNNNNNNNNNNNNNNNNNNNNNNNNNNNNNNNNNNNNNNNNNNNNNNNNNNNNNNNNNNNNNNNNNNNNNNNNNNNNNNNNNNNNNNNNNNNNNNNNNNNNNNNNNNNNNNNNNNNNNNNNNNNNNNNNNNNNNNNNNNNNNCAAGGAUAUAAUAGUAAUUGUUUAUUUAAUUCAUAUUAAAACAAAUUAGAUUUAAAUCUUAAAUUCCUAAAAUUUAGCAAUAUUUAUUACAUUUACUUAAAAAAAGAUUAACUGAUUUUUGAAUGAUAAAAGUAAUGUGUAUUCAUUUUUUUGUCAAAUAAAAAAAUUGAUUUUUUUCAAAAUUUUAAUUCAUCAAAAGAUUUUCAAAUAUGUAGGAAUAAAACAUAAUUAUAUUUAUAAAAAUAUAGGAUUGUAAUCGUAAAUGAAUACAACACAAUUUAAAGAUAAAAUUUUUCAUUUUUAAUUGAAUAAAAAAGUAACUACUAAAUAUACACGAAUAUACUGACAAAAAAAAAAUCAAUACAUUAAUAAAUCAUCAUCAAACAUUAUUAUAUUAUUAAAUACAUCUUCAAAAGAUUGAGUUUACACGUUUUUAUAUUUAUACUCAUAAAUGAAUAUGUCAAAACUAGUUUUAAAUAUUUAUACAUAAUGACAAUACUAUGUAAAUACUAUAAUAUGAUAAAAAAAAAUAUUAAAAUGUAUGAGUGGUAGCAAAAUUAUAUGGUGUUAUAAUUAAGAUAAUUAUAACUAAUGAUCUAAUCGUUUAUGUUGCCAAUAGUUAUAAUCAUCAAUAAUUAUCAUCAGUGUCUUGUAAGCAUAUGGACAACAAUAUUUAUAAUCAUAAAUGAUUAUAACGAACAUAACCAACAUUUUUUUUUAUUAAACAAUUAUCACAUGUAAAACCACCCUACAAUAAAUGGGUUCAUCUUUAGCAGAUUCUAUGUAUUGAAAUCAUCAAAUGUAAUUAACAAGCAAACAAAAAAUUGACAAAAACUUACAAAAAAAAAAAAAAACUUCAAUCUAGUGAAGCAUUUGCGGCAGCUAUUUAUUAUGCAUCUAAAAACAGAAACUGCAUCAUGCCGAAUCACAUUGUUGUCAUGUCUUAACCACUCAGAAAUGAACAAUUAACACCGGUGAUUAGCCAAAUCGGAUACAAACACACAAAUCUAUAACACCAAUAGAUGUCGGUAGUUUACCUUAAAGAAACCGAAAUUAAAAGGGAACUUCUUCGACAAGGCGACAAUAGUAGAAACAACAUCAUCGAUGUUAGCAGACUUAACCAAAAACACUAUCUUACAUUGAAUUGCAUCUUCGUCAACAGGAGCAACAGAUAAAAAAAAUAUUAACUUAAAUCGAUGACGAAUCUGGCGACUAGAGUGCGGGAAACAUCGACGAAAAUUGGUGUUGGAUGGUCGGUUGAAGAGAAGGAAGAAAAGGGAACCGAAUUGAUAGAGGAAGGUGGUUUAUUAUGAAACACUGUAGAGAGAGAGAGAGAGUGUGUGUGUGUGUGUGUGUGUGUGUGAGAGAGAGAGAGAGAGAGAGAGAGUGUGUGUGUGUGUGUGUGUGAGGGGUAUAAAGAUACCAGAAUAUGAAAGGAGAGAGAGAGAGAGAGAGAGGGAGAGAGAGAGAGAGAUUGUAGAAAAUAGGUAAAUUUACAAUUCUUAUCAUGUCCUUUUGACAAUUUAAAAGUUACAUUUUAAUGGCAAUAGUUUUACAAUUUUUCAUAAAUCGUCCGUUUAAUAAUAACAUUUGAUCUAAGUAUUUAAAUGGUCUAUAAGUAUUCUUACGUUCUCAACAUUUUAGGUGUUCUCAAAGAUCUCGUAUGUAUCAUAUAUCAUUCAAAUGAUUAUUAUAUAUAUUUGUCUUAUGUGCAUGAUAUCAUAUGUAUCAUAUAUCAUUCCAUAAUUAACUACUUUAUAGGUACAUUAUUUUAUAUACAAACACAUGGAAAUUCUAACCAUAAAGAAUAUAUUUUAUAAAACAUUCAUGGUUUAUCUAAUCUUGGACCUCAAAGGAAACUUGAACACAAUUGUUAUCAGAUAAACAAACAGUCAUUUCUAUUGGCGUGUUUGAAAGUAUUGUAUCCGCAAUUUCGAUUAAAAAAUCCGAAAUAAAAUUAUCCGAAGUUUUAGACGUCCAGAUAUCAAAAAUAAAUAAAAAUAAAAAUAAGAAAUAAAAAAAUUACUAUUUUACAUUCUAUAUUAUUUUAAAAUAGAAAUGAAGAAAUCGCUACUAAUAUUACAUAACCUUAAAUCAAUAAAUUAGAGCUUUGUCUCAUAAAUUUGGAACCAUUAAAAUUACAAUAAGUACUUAAUUUUUGGAGGAAAUGAUUAAUUGAAAGCCCGUAUACUAGAUUAUUUGUUUCUUUCUUUAUCAAUAUGUUUAAAUGGCAUUUCGUGUUAGACCUUUUAUUUUGUGGUCAUUUUGCCUCAAAUAAUAUGUCAAUGGAUAGCAGGAUAGCACAUAUGUAUCUAUUUCCCCCUCAAUAUAGCAAUUGUUUUUUGCAAUAUAUCAAUGGAUAGCAUGAUAACACAUAUGUAUCUAUUUUCCUCUCAAUAUAUCAAUUGUUUUCGAUAACUUAAUUUAAAGUUUGGGUGAACCAAAACUGCACCGCAACUAAAAUUAAACGCAAAAAUUACAUAAACUGCAACCGCAAUAAAAACUGAUGGUGAGACUUUCUGUUUUUCAAAAACCACAAAUUUGCGGCGUGGUGCAGUGCGGUUAUUAGUUUUUAAAACCCGCAAAAAAACCACACAGCACCGCAUAUAUUAUAUAAAAGAUUUUUAUUAAUUAUUAAUAUAUUAAAUAUUAAAAGUAAGACAAGUAAUAUAGAUAAAAGAUGGAUAAAAUAUUAGAAGAACAAAAAUGUUGGUCUUUUUUGUUAUGUUUAACUUUCAAAAAUGGUGAAAUUAAACAAAUUUAAGAUAUUUUUUUUAGUUACUAUUGAUUUGACAUUUUGAAGAUAUUAGUUGUUUGUGAUAUAAGUUAAUUGUCUUAUAGCUUAUGGUUUUUUAUCAUUACAAGUAAUAUGUUUGAACUCUUAAAACCGUUUGAGCCUAAACUGUGGUUAAAACCAUACAAAAUAACUGCACAAAUCCAUGCGGUUAAUAACCGCAAUACAAAAAAAAAACAACAAAACUACACCGCAAAAACAAUCGUCUAAUCGCACAGCAAAAAUAACCGCACCGAGCAGUUGUGAAAAUGGAUUAACUGCAUUUGCGGUUAGUAGUGAGGUUUUGGCUAAUAACUGCAUUGAACGGCACCACGCUCACCCCUAUUUUAAGGUUUAUUAUUUCAUACUAACCAUAUGAUUACUAAUGCAAGCAUAUACUUACUUCAAUAACUUAACUCUCUCUCUCUCUCUCUCUCAAACUUCAUUAAUAUUGUUUACUUCAUCAUAAAACUCAAAGUGUAUGUGACAACCGUCAAAUUCUGGACAAAUCAAGUUAGCCAAAGUCAACGGGUCAAACCGCUAAACUCAAUGAGUGCUUGUACGAUAGGGUUUAUUCCAUGUUUUCUAAUGUACAACUUUCUAUCAUAAUGCAAAGUUUCACUCAGAAGUUUCAAAUGUUCAUAAAUUCUAAACCUUAACUAGGGAGAGUGAGGUAACGACUGAAUAAAGCACUAUUAUGUACCCUUCGGAGGCGUAAAACACUCAUAACAAGGCAUAAUGGGGUUUACGAACCUUGCAUUAUAGGGUCAAACACUAAUAAGGGCCACCGGUCAAAUUUCUCCAAAUCUCUCGCAUUCCAUCUUUACCACUCCCAAAUCUCUCCCAAAAAUCUCUCUCAAAACACUUGGUAGUAAGAAUCACAUUUUCCAACGUUUAUAUGAACAUCCAUGCCGUCUCGGACUUUCCCUUGGUCAAAAACAACUUAAAACGGAAGAAAGAAGUGAAAGACAAGGUUGAAGGUUCGCAGGGAACUAUUUACAAGCAAACCUUCGUUUGUGUAACAACCCGAAGUUGUUCAUUGCCGAAAACCUAUUCUACCCGUAUAACUCGCCGUAUAUCGGUUCGUUCCGAUGUUGGUUUUCGGCCGAAUAAAUUAAACUUAUAUGUUUGAUUGAUACUAAUGAGUGUCCAAACCUGUUAGGAACUCACGAAAUGAACCCAAAUUGCUUAUUCCAAAAAAUUUAGAAACAUUCCUGCCGAGUUACGGAAACUUAAUCGGGUGCGACCAAAAGCCCCGUUUGGUGCCGGUAUCGGGUAGAAUUCCACCGUGUCCAAAAUUUUCGACCUAUAUAAAUGCGUUUAACCUUUCAUUUGAAGCUUUUGCUUCCUCUCUCCACUCUCUCUCUAACCUCUCUCCUAAAUCCAAGUUAAGGGUCCAAAUCAUCAAUUUUAGGCACCAAAUCUUCGAGGUAUCUUCCCUAACUUGUUAUGUAACCUCCCUAGCCUUCAAAUUCGAGUUCAACACAUGGAAUAGGACCAUGAAAGGUCAAGCCUUGAAAUAUGAUAAUGUUUAAAACAGACUCAGCGUCAGCACGUAUCUCAGAAUCAGCAUCAGCACUUCAGCAAUUCAGUUUGUAAUAGUUUUGUCUAUUCAGUUCGUUGUAACAAAUCUUAUACUUAUACUGUUUCCUUAAUUAUCUUGAUGUAUUAGCUAGCAUAUCCCUGAAUUGUAGGGAUUAUCUAGAAUAACAGUAUAUAUUGUUUUGUAUAGGUUUGUGAAAUACAACGUUUUUCACAAACCCUAAUUGUCGCUUUGUGCACACGAUAAUCUCUUUGUGAGAUUAUUUUUCUUAGUGAAAGUUUUUCUUCGUGAAUCUCUCUUGUGCUUAUUUGUGGUCAUUGUUUGAUAUUUCGAUUGAUCUAAAGGCCUCUUCAAUUGGUAUCAGAGCAGGUUUCUUUUAUCAAACAAAUGGCUUCAUCAACUUCUUCAUCAAACUCGUCAAAUCAUCCUUCUGCUAAAAUCCCUCCUUUCGAUGAAACUAACUUUGCUAUGUGGAAAAUAAAGGCUCUAUAUGCCUUGGAAUCUGUUGAUGAAGACAUGCUGGACAUCGUUGAAAAAGGUCCUUAUGUUCCAAUGUAUCAGCCUCUUAAAAACAAUGUUCCUGAUGGCACUAUGAAGAAAACUCCAAGAGAAAACUGGACGGCAGACGACAAGAGAAAACAUGGUUUGGAUGUUCGUGCUCGUGCCGCUAUUAGCUACUCAUUGCCAUACAACAUCUUUGGGCUGGUUCAAAAUUGCAUCUCAGCAAAAGAGAUGAUGGAUACGCUGACUGUAUCUUUUGAAGGAACUGAAGAAGUCAAGGCUACUCAAAUAAAUGAUCUUAACCGAAGGUAUGAACAUUUUUUUGCUAAGAAAGGUGAAACCUUGACUCAAACCUUUAACAGAUUCAAUACUCUUGUUAACGAUCUUCGGAGACUAGAUCAGUUGAAGCAUAGAACUGUUCUAGUGCAAAAGUUUUUGGAUUCUCUAGGUGCAGGUUGGGAGAAUCAUGUUGAUGUGCUGAAAAACAGCGAGAAGAUCAACUCUAUGGACUUACAAAGUCUCUAUGGAAAUCUUCGAUACUAUGAAGAAUCCAAGCUUCAAAGAAAGGAACUGAUGAAGGAUUCUCAGCGUGAAUCUUCUGUAGCUUUGUUCUCCAACAAAAAGCUUGUGGCAGACUCAGACACUGAAAGUGAUUCAGACACUGAUUCAUCUAAAACUGACACUGAUGAUAUUGAAAAGGUUGUAGCUAGUGCAGCCUUGAUUGUGAAGACCUUUGAAAAAUCAGGUCGAAACUUCUCAAAGUUUCAAAAGAAGAUUGGUGGAAAGUUCUCAAAAGGGUCAGGAGCUGAUAAAAGGCAUGGUGCUGAUAAGAAAGAGAAGGCUCAGUGCUUUAACUGUGGGAGCACUGAUCAUUUUGCAAAGGAUUGUAAACAAAAGAAACAAGGCACAGAUGAAUACUGGAAGCAGAAGUACAACAAGCUGAUUGAGAAGCUGAAAGCUGAAAACUUGGAACAUAAAGUGCUUGUAGCUGAAGAAGAAAAAUGGAAAACUGAUGAAGAGUCAUCAGAUGAUGAAGUCAAGUGUCUCAUGGUCAAAAUAGAGGACCCGGAUAUUCCCGAUAAAGACAAAAGUACUUUUGACACUGAUAUGUCUGAUGCUGAAAAUUCCAGGAAGCACAACAUUGACUCUUCUUCAAUGUACCAGGUUAAAAACUUUGUUUCCUAUUCAAUGAAUGAAAAAAUCAAAAUGUUUGAGUAUUUGGGUGUCAUUAAUUCUAAGAAGAAUCAAACCAUAAGAAAUUUGCAAAAUCAAAUUGAUCUUCUUGAAACUGAUAUAUCCAUAAAAAAUAGCAUUAUUGAGUCCACUCAGGAAAAUCUUAGAAUUACCAGUUUGUCAAAUUCAUCCUUGUCUGCUGAAAUUGACGAUGUUAAAAAUCUUUUGAUUAAAGAACAAACUGUGCUCCACACUUGGGCAAAAUCUCAUAAGAAUGCCAAUUAUAUUAUCUCAGCUCAAAUUCCUCAUUCUUGUGAAAAAAUUCUUGGGGGUAAUUUUGCAGAAGCUGAAAAAGUUUUUAAAUCACAAGAAAAGGAAUCUGAGGUCUAUUCCAUGAAUGAGAUGAAAAAUAAUUUCAAAAAUAAGUUUGUCAGUAACUCUUUUAUUAAUCAAAGUUUAAUUGAUGAAUAUUGUACUAUUAAUUCUGAUGGUAUUACUGAGUGUAAUGUUGAAAUUACCGGAAUUGAUCCUACCUCUUAUCCUGCACAUCUUGUUAGACCAACCCCUCUAACUGAGAAUAUUAUUGCUUUUCCUAUCUCUAAUGGAGUGUUUCAUGCUGUUCAUGAACAACUCAAGCACUUCCCUGAUUGCAAUCCAUCUGUGAAUGAGUCAAAAUCAGAUACUGAUAUUUCAUCCUCUAACACUGAUCAAAUUCAUUCUGACACUGAACUCAGUCGUGACUCAGUGAUAAACAAAAGGACUCAAAGCUCUAUUGGUGAAUCUUUCAUAUCAAAAUGUGUUAAAUUAAAAAAUUUGCUCACCAAGAAGAACUUUGGAACUAGAAUUUGUUACAGAUGUGGUGAUUCCUCUCACAAGAUCAGUGAAUGUUCUUUUGAUAAAUCAUCCUCAAGAGCUGAAAAUAUUGAAGUUAGGAAUGAAAAAUGGACUCUUAAGUCAAACUCUUUGUGAAUGAUUAUCGAAUGGGUCAGUGUGUUCUAACUAGUUUCUUAGCACUGCAGGGUUAGGAGCAUCUUUGGUACUUAGACAGUGGUUGCUCAAGGCAUAUGACAGGAUCAAAGUCUCUCCUGGAAGAUUAUGUUAAGAAAACUGGUCCUGCAGUUACUUAUGGAGACAAUGGAAAGGGGUUCACUAAGGGAUAUGGAAACAUCAAAUGCAAUAACGUGGUUUUUCAAAACGUUUCAUAUGUUAAGGGUCUCAAACACAACCUUAUUUCUAUCAGUCAAUUGUGUGAUGCUGACUAUGAAGUUCACUUUACAAAGAAGGAAGGAAGAGUUGUAAACACUGACAAGAACAUCGUACUCUCAGCAAGUAGAAAAGAUGAUAUAUAUGUUCUUGACAUGUUCUCAAGUAACAAGGCACUGAUGCAUUGCUUCUUUACAAAGUCUCAGACGAAUCUUAGCUGGAUUUAGCACAAAAGGUUCUCUCAUCUGAACUUCAAGAAUCUAUCCAAGAUAUCCAAUCAAGACCUAGUUAGAGGGCUCCCAAAAUUCAACAUUAUGAAAGACAAGAUGUGUUCAGCGUGUGAACAAGGAAAACAAACCAAGUCCUCUUUCAAACCCAAGUCAUGUUCCAGUAUAUCAGUCCCUCUUCAUCUACUCCACAUGGACCUGUUUGGACCUAUUCCUGUUCGUUCACUAGGUGGAAAUAAGUAUACUCUAGUGGUCGUUGAUGAGUUCACUCGAUUUACUUGGGUAGUUUUCUUGAAGAAGAAAAGUCAUGCUGCACAGGAAAUUAUCUCACUGAUUUGUAAAAAUGAGACACUAACAGGUCUUAAAGUCAAGCAAAUAAGAAGUGAUCAUGGUACUGAGUUCCGAACCUCAACUCUUGAAGAAUUUUGUAAUCAUAAAGGAAUUGGACAAAACUUCUCAGCUCCUCGUACUCCUCAGCAAAAUGGUGUUGCUGAACGAAGAAAUAGAACACUGAUUGAGGCAGGAAGAACCUUGAUGAUUCAUGCUGGUCUUCCUAUGUCGUUUUGGGCUGAAGCUGUCAAUACAGCAUGUUUUACUCAGAAUCGAUCUCUAAUUCACAGGAUUCACAAGAAGACUCCAUAUGAAAUGCUGAAAGAUCGAAAACCAGAUGUAUCCUUUUUUCAUGUGUUCGGAUGCAUUUGUUAUAUUCUAAAUCAGCGUGACCCAAGAUCCAAGUUUGAACCUAAAGCUGAUAAAGGUAUUUUUGUUGGGUACUCAUCUAUUUCAAAGGCUUUUCGUGUUUUUCAUGUGAACAGGCAAUGUGUUGAAGAAUCCAUUCAUGUGAAGUUUGAUGAGGAAUCAUACACUGAUGAAAAAGUCACUCAUUCUCCUUGUAUCUUUCAAGAGCUCCUCUCUUGUCCUUUUAAUGAAGCUCCUUCUGCUGAAGAUAAGAUUGAUUCCUCUGAUCCUAUCAUUCCAGUUCCAUGUUCCUUGAAUCAAGACAUUGCAACCACAUCAGCAGAUGAUUCAUUAGGUGCUGAUGAAACCCUUGAAGCUGAAGAUUCUCCUGAAACUGAUAAUGUGUCAGUGUCUAUCCCUCCGGAAUNGCCACAUCAGCAGAUAACCCAUUAGAUGCUGAUGACUCCCUUGAAGCUGAAGAUUCUCCUGAAACUGAUAAUGUGUCAGUGUCUAUCCCUCCGGAAUCAGCAUCAGUCAUUGUACAUCGGGAUCAUCCUGUUGAUCGAAUUAUAGGGAAUAUUCAUGAUGGUGUCCGAACCAGAUCUAGUGUACUUAAUAACUUUUGCAUGUAUGUUAACUUUGUUUCAAUGAUCUUACCUGAUAAGGUACACACAGCUCUUCAAGAUGCUGAUUGGAUCAAGGCCAUGCAAGAAGAACUGAAUGAGUUUGAAAGGCACAAAGUUUGGACUCUUGUCCCAAGACCAUCUGGAAAGACUAUCACUGGAACUCGCUGGGUCUAUCGUAACAAGGUUGAUAAAGAUGGAAUCAUUACUCGAAACAAGGCAAGGCUUGUGGCUCAAGGGUUUACUCAAAUUGAAUCCAUCGACUAUGGGGAAACUUUUGCCCCAGUUGCUCGCAUUGAAGCUAUCAGACUGUUUCUCGCAUACGCAUCCUACAUGAACUUCAUUGUCUAUCAGAUGGAUGUGAAAACAGCAUUCCUUCAUGGUGUGUUAGAAGAAGAAGUUUUCCUAAAUCAGCCCCCAGGCUUUGUAGACAAAGAUCAUCCUGAUUACGUGUACCGGUUAGACAAAGCUGUUUAUGGACUGAAGCAAGCCCCUAGGGCUUGGUAUGAGACGCUGACAUCGUAUCUGCUUGAAAAUGGAUACAGACGAGGAGCAAUCGACAACACUCUCUUCAUCAAAAGCAAAGGCUCAGAUAUGGUUCUUGUUCAAAUUUAUGUCGAUGACAUUAUUUUUGGCUCUCCAAAUGAGACACUGAGCAAGGAAUUUGCUGAGAUCAUGUCUAAAAGGUUCGAAAUGAGCAUGAUGGGAAAGAUGACCUUUUUCUAAGGUCUUGAGGUUCAACAACAAAAGACAGGUAUUUCAAUUUGUCAAAAUAAAUAUAUCUCUGACCUGCUUGUUAAGUAUUCUCUCAGUGACUACAAACCAGCAUCUACCCCGGUAUCUAAGACUGAUAAAAUUCACGCUGAUCCAACUGGAACUGAUGUCAAUCACUCUCUGUAUCGAGGAAUGAUUGGAUCCCUCUUGUAUCUCACAGCAAGUCGUCCUGAUAUCAUGUUUGGAACCAUUCUCUGUGCUCGAUUCCAAGCUAAUCCCAAAGAAUCUCACCUCAUGGCUGUCAAACGUAUUUUUCGAUACUUAAAGGGAACUCAAAACCUUGCACUAUGGUAUCCUCGCGACUCAGCAUUUGAACUUUAUGGAUACACUGACUCAGAUUAUGCAGGAUGCAAUUUAGACAAAAAGAGUACAUCUGGUGGAUGUCACUUCCUUGGCAACCGUCUCAUCAGCUGGUCUAGCAAGAAGCAAACAUCAGUUGCCAUCUCAACUGCAGAAGCUGAGUAUGUUGCAACUGGGAGAUAUUGUGCUCAGCUCUUAUGGAUUCAAAAUCAACUUCUCGACUAUGGGUUCAAGUUUUCAAAGACCCCCAUCUAUUGUGACAACACCAGUGCCAUUCAGAUCACACAUAAUCCUGUUCAGCACUCAAAGACAAAGCAUAUCGAGAUCAGACAUCCCUUCAUCAGAGAUAAUGUUGAAAAGGGAAAAGUUGUUCUUGAACAUGUCAAGACUUCGGAGCAGCUUGCUGAUAUCUUCACAAAGGCACUGGAUUCUCAAACAACUGCUUACAUUAUCGGAGAACUGGGAAUGAUUUCCUUGUAAUUAAUUUUGAUGUUUAAUUAUGCUAAUGUUUGAUUUUGUCUUAUAAGUUGAUGUACAUUGUGCUGAUGAUGACAUAUUGAUGAUAUUUGCUACUGAGCACCUUGGUUUGAUUUCUUAUCUUUAUCUCUUCUUCAAGUCUUCUAAAUAAAAGUUGAAUGAUUCACUGUAUUAAACCAUACGCUGAUAACAACUUGAAACUGUUUGCCGAUGGUUAGAUCAAAACACCAAGAUCUAUCACACGCAACUAUCCCUUCUUACCAAUCUUCCACUGAUUCUGUGAUUCAGUGUGCCAAAACACACGCUGAUGAGAGUCUAAAAAUCUUUGCCGAUGGUUAGACCAAAACACCAAGGUUUAUCACACGCAACAAACCUUUCUCUACCUUCUUCUUAUUCAGUGUCUAAUGAUUCAGUAAGAUAAACCACUCACUGAUAAAGUCACAAUACUCUAUGCCGAUGGUUAGAUAAUGUAACUAGUAUCUAUCACACGCACCAAUCUCCUUGCUAGCCCCGAUUAAGCAAGCUGUACCUUGAAUUAACGGAGAAAUAUUUUUCAGCAUGAAACUUCUGUAACACUGAUCUCAGCGCUUCCGCAUACACUGACUGAUGUUUCAUCUUCAGUCAACGGCUCUUUUUCCCAACGACUAUUUUUUGAUUUGACAGGUUGUUACGCUACGCUGUUAUUUUUGCAAGAGAUAAUUAUUACCUUUUUAACGGAUCGUUUCAUUCCAUAUUUAAACCUAUUUCACCCUAUUUCAAAUUUUCCUUCCACAAUUCAAACUUUCCUUACUUACAUUCAAUAACCCUAGAACCCUAACAGACUCUCUAAUGGCGGCAUCCUUGUUCACUUUCUCCUCUACUUCACGAAGGGUUGUUCCUGCACCAAACUCUCAUCCUCUUCCCAUAUACAUCAAAGCCACCAACGUUGUUUUCAACCCUGAUAUUCCCGAUGUUCAUCGAGGUCUUGGACUCGAUGACUUUGUCAAUUUCUUAUCCUCCUGCCGCCUUCGAUAUGCUAUCAGUGACAUACCAUCAGAGUUCUUCCCUGAUCAAGUUUGUGAGUUUUACUAUACAACAACCGUCAAUGCAGAAAACAAUGUCAUCACCAGAACCAUUGGCCAUGGCAGACUCUCCGUCUUCAUCACCGCAUAACUUCUAAGUGCUGCUUUAAGGUUACCAAUUUUCGAACCCUUCUCUGAACCUCCUACUAUUGAAAGAUGUAAACGCAUGUUUGAUCAACUGGGCUAUGAUCAUUCAAAAGCUGGAACUCGCUCAGCUGUUAUUUUGCGUCAGUGCAUGACUCCAGGCUGGAAGUUCUUCACUGGUGCCUUAUGCAAGUGUGUGGGUCACAAGUCUCGCAGUGGUGACCAACUGAGCAAUUAUGAGCAACCAGUUGUCUGCUCCCUUCUUCUCAACAAAAGGCUGGAUUAUGGGGCACUAUUCUUUGAUCAGCUUGUUCAGCUUCUACGUGAAAAUGUGCGUGCUGAUCAUGUUCCCUUUCCACGUUGGAUUGCCCUGGUAUUCGACAAGUUCUUCGCUGCUGAAUACUUUUCUCACUCUGGGAAUCCAAUUCAAUGCCCUCGAAUGUCCGUUCGUAUGUAUCAGGAUGAUCCUUUGGAUACUGACAUUGGAAUCUCGGAUAGGAUGAGAGAAUGGAUUGCCAAUCCAUACACUGUGCCCUCUCUCACUGUUGACACUGAUGAAGGAGGUGCUGAUGGUAAUCAUAUGGAUCAUGCUGAUCAAGAGGUGGACCAUCUCGAUGGCGGACAUUUCUCCCCUCAACUUUCUCAUCACAUCAUCUCAGACACUGGCAAAGCCUCCUCAGCACCAAAGGACUCUAUGCCUCUGGGGGAGCAACAAUCUCAGGGGGAGCAUCCCUCUCAGGGGGAGUAUCAGUCUCAGGGGGAGCAUCCAUCUCCAGCAGCUCAUCACUUCUCUCCAAGGAUGCCUCCAAGCUCUCCAGUUGCCCCAGGUACCUCAAUGGUUCAAAUUUUCCGCUUCAGCAUUUUCUGAACUGAUGUCACUAACUCGGGACAUGAGUCAGCGUCUGCUUCAAAUUGAAACUGAUGUUCAACACAUCAAGGUGGUUCUCUUACUUACUCCUCUCUCUAGUCCCAAAACUGAUGAUGCUGAAAAAGGGGGAGAUACUGAUGAUGAUGCUAACGCUGAUGAUCAUGCUGAUGGUGAACCAAAUGAGAUAGACACAGAACCUGCUGACAACACUAUCAUUCAGCAUGAUUCAUCCAACCGUAUUCGUGAAUCUGAUUCUGCGGGGCCUAAUAGUCCAGCAGCUACUGAAAAGUUGUAUGAAGACAGUGAGCAUGAUGAAGAGCAUGAUGAACCUGAUGAUGAAUGUCAAAUUCUUGACAUGAACUUCAUUGAUCCUCUCAUUCCAGUUCAGCAAGAAAGCUCAGAUGAUCUUGCAGAAUCUCAUCCGAUACUAGCUGAUCCAAUCAUUCCGGUUCAAGGAGAGGAUUCGGACGUUGCAAGUGAAGAAUCUCAUCCGCUGUCUCGAAAGCGGAAGGCAGCCGAUACUGACUUGGAUCUUUCUCAAACUGAUAAUUCUUCGUCUGUGAAGAAACCCAAUUCCAUUAUCAGUAUUUCAAACCUUGCCACUGAAUGGAACAUGUCCCCUGACCAAGUCAAGCAAAUUCUUGAUGAAGCCAAUCGAGCUCAGCUUCUAAAGAACAUUGCUCAAGCUGAUGAAUCUCUUAUUCAGCACAAACUUUAGGCCAAGGGAUCGUUUGAAGCUCAGAUGCAGAAGUUCAUGGAAUUUCAGUCCAAGGCUCAGUCUUCUCAACCUCCUACUGGCUCUAGUAAGCCUAAGGCUGAUAGUGUUCUUGAUCGGAUUGAUCGAAAGAGAUUUGAAGUUGUUUUCAAUCGGCGAAUCUGUGAUGACAAGAUCAUCAAGGUCAAAGCUUCCAAACCUCCAAACGAGAAAAUCCUUAUGUUGCUGAUUAUUCGUCAAGGUCCUCAGCAUUCAUAUUCUGAAGUUGUCAAAAGAGAUGAGCUGAUCAGAUAUGGGUAUUCAGAAUGGAUGGAACUGCUCGAUCUAGCAUCCAAGCAAACCUCAGCUCAUUCUUCCGAACUGACUUGUGCUCUUCAUCUGCUGAUCAAAAAGGUUCAGCGUUUGGAUCUUGUUCCUAAAGAACGACCUCAGCAUCAAGGUCAAAGGUUGUCAGUUCCUAGAUCUCGAAGGAUCAAGUUUCAUGUUGAUGGUGAAGAUGUGUUGGUUCUAGACUUCGGUGUUGAUGUGAUUAAUAAUUCUCUUCCUCUCGGUGUUGAUCCGGUUCAGCAUCAAUUCAUCUCAGCUCCUGAACACGGGAUGUUCUACCUUGAUAAAAACAGGAGAAUGUGCUUUCAGUGCACUACUGAGAUCCUAAAAGCUCCAACUACUCACCUUAUUGGUUUAAGGCAAAUGUGCAUGAGUCCUCAAGAUCUAUCCGGAGAAUUUCACAUUCUUAUCGCCAUGGAGCUGCUGAACCGAAGACAGGAGUUGCUGGAAAGUCCUUACUGGCCAGUUAAAAUUGAAGCUGAAGCUGAGUAUGAAGAAUUCCUUUCCAGGGGUGUCUUAAUUUAGUUUGUUUUGAACAUCAUCAUAUUGGGGGAGAUUGAAAGGUCAAGCCUUGAAAUAUGAUAAUGUUUAAAACAGACUCAGCGUCAGCACGUAUCUCAGAAUCAGCAUCAGCACUUCAGCAGUUCAGUUUGUAAUAGUUUUGUCUAUUCAGUUUGUUGUAACAAAUCUUGUACUUAUACUGUUUCCUUAGUUAUCUUGAUGUAUUAGCUAACAUAUCCCUGAAUUGUAGGGAUUAUCUAGAAUAGUAGUAUAUAUUGUUUUGUAUAGGUUUGUGAAACACAACGUUUUUCACAAACCCUAAUUGCCGCUUUGUGCAAACGAUAAUCUCUUUGUGAGAUUAUUUUUCUUAGUGAAAGUUUUUCUUCAUGAAUCUCUCUUGUUCUUAUUUGUGGUCAUUGUUUGAUAUUUCGAUUGAUCUAAAGGCCUCUUCAGAACACAUUCAUGAGUUUACGGCCCUGGAACAGUCCUAGGCCGUGAACUCAUAUGAAAUGAGUUUUGGAGCAAUAAAACCCUUCCAAACCACAAUUGGACCUUAGAUAUGGCUAAAUGACUUCAUGGAAUGGACUUAAAACAUUUGAGACAUGGAUUUUGAAGGAUUUGAAGGAGUUUACGGCCAAGGCACAUGCUUGGGCCGUAAACUCAUAUAUAUGCGGUUUUUAUGACCUUAAACCCUUCCAAAUUACUAAUAAGGCUUAGAUACGAAUUUUAGAAUAUUGGUUUUAGCAUUUGAACAUAUUAAACAUAUUAUUUGAGGGACAAUUGAGAGUUUACGGCCAAUACUUAUUCUUGGGCCGUAAACCCUUCAUUUUGGGGUGUAAACUCAUCUAAAGGUGUUAGAAUGCCACCUAAACACCCCUAAAGCCUUUGAGUGAAUUUUAGAAGUCCUUACAAACAAGCUUUUGGCCUUAAAACAUCAUGAAACACCCCUUAGAAGAGUUUACGGCCAUGAGGGGGGUCUCAUGGGCCGUAAACUCCAAAAACACCCCAAAUGUUGCAUAAAAAUUCAUGUAAGGCCUUGAAAUAAUUUUAGCAAUCACAUGUGAUUUGUUUGGAAUCAAAAACACAAUUUUUCAUGGGUUUAUAGGAGUUUACGGCCAAGGGUCCUAUGCUAGGCCGUAAACUCCCUUAAUGUGUCCAUUUGGUGUUUAAAAUUAUUCCAAGUCCUUAAACCAAAGUCUAGCAUUUAUCCCUAAGUGUUUGAAGUCAUUUUGCACCAUAAACCACCCCACCAUGAGUUUACGACCGUAAACUCAUGGGGAAUGGGUGUUUUAGACCAAAAACUCUUGUAUAAGUUUAUUCAUGGGGAGUAAACUCAAGUUCCAAGUCCCUAGUGCCAUUACACGUCCUUAAACGCCACCCGGGUCCUUCCAAACACUUGAAAUGAGGUGUUUUCGCGACUAGAAGUAAUUGUCCCUAACAAUCGAAUAAUCUAAGUCCUAAUUAGAUACAAAUAUGUAUCUUCUCAUUAUACAUAGGAACCUCGUGCAUUUGCAAGUCCCGAACCGUUGCUUGACGUCCGAAAUCGUCACGUUUCUCGUCCGGUGAGUUCAUACCCCAACCAUUUUUCACUGUUUUCAAUGUUUUAAGGGGGGGGGGGGGAAUACAAGCAAAAGUACAAGUGUAUCUUGUACUUAAACUGAUUUUCAAAUUAAUGAUUUCAGUUUCUAAAUGUCUUGAUUUCCAAAGAUUGGGAUAACUAAUGUUUCGAAUUGCAGGUUAAAUACAGAUUUCUUUUGAAAAGUGUUUUGAUCUAUAUUACUUUUAUAAAGAAAUCAUACUAAUACGAAUAAUACGAAUCCGAAAUCGAAUACGAAUACGAAUACGACUACAAAUACGAAUACGAAUAUGAAUACGAAUACGAAUACGAAUACGAAUACGAAUACGACUACGAAUACGAAUGCGAAUGCGAAUAAGAACACGUCUACGAAUGCGAAGUGACGCCUUUGGUUGACACUAAGAAUUCGAUUAUACAGUUGCUGUACCCUCUGAGUGUCACCAGAGUUCCAAAAACGAAUACGAAAAUACGCCUCUGGACCUCUACUGAGUUACAAAUAUAUCCGCCUCAGAAUGUCGACAGAGCUUCGAAUACACAACGAAAUGUACUCUUUUGGAACUUAACAGAAUUUCGAAAAUAUUGUAAUGUACGCUUCUGUGUGGUUCCAAAUAUUCGAAAAUACAACUAAGUUAGCAGAUAGUAGCCAUACGAAGGUAGAAUAACUAAGGGUUAGAAUACUUAGCUAAUACUAUACACAUGGUAACAAGUGGUAACAACUUAGAAACGAAUAGACAACUCAACAUAUAGGAAAAUAUGGGAUUUUCCUGGAGCGACAUAACCAACCAUUUUCGAAAUUGUACAAAGGAUAACCAAACUAUUUUCAUAAGAAAAUAUGGGAUUUUCUUGAACAACAACUUUUUCAGAAAGCAAAGGAACUCAUUCUUUCAAAACUAAACCGCUUAUGAACUCACCAUCUUUAUGCUGAUUUUCAAACUGCUUGUAUUCUCAGGUCAGCGAUAGACAGGUAUAUCGCAACCUUUUGGAGAAGACGGAGCAUCCUGAAGUCUCGUCUUUACUUUUGUUUAUAUUACAUAUGUAAAACGCUUGUGAAACUUUACUUUUGAACCGAUGUAAACAAUAUUAUGUAAUGUAAUGUUUUGUGAUUACUACUUUACUAUGUGCAUUGGAUUUGAUACUUAACGUGGAGUCAACCCCAGAAAUGUUUCCGCCUUUGGUUUUCGAGGUGUGACAGUUUGCCUUCGCAUCCCUUCCCUUGUCAGGUUCUCUUGUGAGUAGGGACUUCGUGUUUAGCCGGGAAAGUUCGCUCCCUAGUCCUCGAACGAAGCUUAAUCUCGCGUCGGGCGCUUUCACAUAGUAGAACCGAGAAGGUUCGCUUCUGGUUGAUGAUGCUUGCUUCUAACCACCCACGUCCGCUCUGGACCCCCUGCUUAGGAAACGAGCCUCGCCUUCGCCUUAGAGCCAACCCCUCGCACAAACCCUCGCUUCCCUUCGUGCCCAACCUUCUCACCCUCGUAGAUUCGCUUCUCAAGCCCAGUGUUUGACCAGUUUUGCAUUUUAAGCUCGUUUUUGAUGAUUUUAGCGUGGGAAUUUCACCAAAUUUGUAUAUUCAUCAUUUUAAACCCUCCAAGUUCAUAUUUUGUUCCCAUAUUGAGGAUUUAUGGUCUAUAAAUCAUAUCUUUUGUUCAAGAUCACACACAAAGGGUUAUUGCUUUUCCCAUAAAAGUUAUGACACAAGUAAUCCCUACAUCAACUUUAUGUCACUAUUCCCACACUACUUAGUCAAAUCAAUAUACAUAUUCAACACUUCAUCAGAUUUCUUUUGACCAAAUUCAUUCAUUAGAUUCUCAAAACUUCACCUAUAAAAUAGCACAGAACCUCCAAAGAAACACUCUUUAUAUCUCUCUCUCUCUCUCUCUCUCUCACUCACUCUCUAGAAGACUGGAACUCAACUUUCCCCAGGAAGUCUCGAACUCUUUCCCCCACUCUUGGUAAGUUCUUCAUUAUUAAUCCUAAAUAUCCUAUGUUCCUUCACACAAGUCAUGAUUUUUACACAAAUAUUCACUUAUUUGUUCUUAGGAUCUUCAAAUCUUCAAACAUUCAGCAAGUGUUCUUGACUUGAAACUCUUCACUCUCAACCUUCUAAUCUUCAAGAAUCACAGAAGGUGAUUUGAUACCCCCAUGUUUUCUUAUUUUCUUCUAGUUUUAAGGGGGAGAAUACAAGUUACAACACCAAAAACAUACUCAAACUCAAAUAAAAACUUUCAACAGAAAAGUUAUGGCCCAAUCACAGACUGUUUUGACAAUUUAAACUCAAUAUUUUUCAAAACUAUUUAAUAUACAAAUAGUUUAGGUUUACACCUUUCUAAUGACUACUUGUACAUGUUCAUACGAUUUUUCUAAAAUUUAUGGCGAUUUUUACAAAACUGCCUAUCACUAUAGAAAUGAUUUUGGACCAGUCAGUGAAGAUGACCCUUUUCACACUGGUUAGAGACCAUUAAAAAUUAUAAACAAACUAUGCACAAUUUCUAAACUUCCAGUGUUUACGGAUUUAAUUUUUGACUUCCGGUGAUUUUUCUGUAAUUUUUACAAAAGCAGUGAUAGAAACAUUAAAACUAGUUAACAACAAUUUACAAGUUUAUCAAAACUUUGUAAUUUGUUGAGCAAAGUGUAUAACAAUGAUGAAAACAUAUUGAAUUGUGUUUCCUGUUAAGUUUACCUUCAUGAAACAUAAAUACUUAUUCAUCAUAAGGAUUUUCAUUCACUACAAACAUACAUGAUAAGCUAUAUUAGAUAUAGUUUAUGUUACGAUUAACUCUAUGAACUUACUAUGGAAGGUUAUAUUCCUACUACAAGAAGGAUUUUCAGUUACACUACACAUAAACUUGUUAAAUAUGAUUGUGAGACACUACUUCAUUGUACUCUUAGAGUACUGGUUAAAAAUCCUAUAGUUAUUGUUGGAUUAGUGUCUAAGUCCAUAACUAUUUUGGUAUGUACUUGACCCGAUGGUGCAUGUUCCUUUUGGGUUGCCUUCACCAAAGCAACUUGAUAGGAUGAAUUAUGGAGAGAGAGAGGAUUAAUUAUGAUUUAUUAAUAUAUUAUGAGAAUAAUAUACUAAAGGAGAAAUCAUAUUGUUUAAUUAAUAUUAGUCAAGAAUUAAUUGAUAAUUAAUUUUGUGGCUAAAAGUGAUUAAUUAAACUUAAGGGACUGGAACUGUAUUUAUGAGAUAAUUGCAAUUGGGCUAAGGAUUACUUAAUAAUAUAUAGGCUGGACAAAUUCUAUGGGGAAGCCCAUUAGAAAUCGUCCAGGGGAUAUACCAAAGGAAUCCAUGGGCUGCAUAGGGCUUAAGCUGUCAGAUUAGGGUUUCCUAGUUGAAAACCCUAAUAGCCUACAAGUAUAUAUAGUGCCCUUAAGCCCCAAAAACGUGGCUAAGAGUUCCUCUAGGGUUUUACAUGUUUUUGGGCAGCCUCCACUCUUCUCAUUCUUCAUCCUCUUGCUCUUGGUGUUUGUAAGCCAUUAGAGGAGUGACACUUGUGACUCUAAGCUUUCUAAAGUCAUUACAAGGAGGAUUUGAGAGUGUUAUUGCUACAUAACAAUCAAGGUAAGAUCUAAACCCCAUUCAUAAGUUAAUUUGAUUAAUUGUAUGCUAGAUCUAGGGGUUGAAGUCUUGGAUGAAUUGCAUGUACAAUAGAGAAACCUAGAUCAAACAUUAGGGUUUGCAUGAGCACAUAGGAUGUUCUUAUGGCCAAAACUCGUCAGUGGUAUCAGAUCCUUGAUUGGUUUCUAUUGUAUUGAUGCCUAGCAUAUUCAUCCUUGUUGGAAACUCGUUUUUUUGGCUCCCUGACUGCUGAACUCGGCGAGUUCCAAUGUCGACUCGGCGAGUUGGCUCCAACUCGGCGAGUCCAUAGAGGAACUCGGCGAGUUCGAGCGUCAGUUAGAGCAUAUUUCGGGAUUUCUUGCUUUUUUACUUGAGGAUACUUGCCUUAACUAUUUUGGGACUUUAAUAUUCGAAUUUUAUCUUAUAUUUGAGUAUAUCCUUGAUUAAACAAAAGAUAGUUACCAUUUGAUUAGAUAAUAACUUCCUUAUAUGAUUAAAGAUUGAUUAUUUGUAUUAAUUGGGUAACUUAUCUUGCAAGAAAUUGAAAUUAGGUCAAAUAUAGAUAAUGACAAAAUUAAUUGUUUAAUUUAUAUUAUUUGUUAUUUAAUCCUUGUGUUGUGAAAAAGUUUCAAUUUCCCCCCUUUAGGUUUUAUAGUUUAAAUUUGAACACAAAAGUUUUUGUUUUGAAAUUUAAAUAGUUGAAACCCUAAUGUUUUGAAAUGUUUCAAAACUUGCCCUCAAGUUUUUGAAUUUAAAACUUGAUUAAAAUUUAAUUUAGAAAUGUUUAAUUCUAAAACCCUAGUAUUGCUUUGAAAAGUUCAAAUCACACCCUUAUGGUUUUAUUAAUUAAUUAAAGUGUAUAAUUAAAAGAGAUUUAAUAAAUCAAUAAACGUUUUGGUUUACAAUUUAAUUGAAUUAAAAGUAUAAUUAUUAAAUUUGACCACACAGUAUUUUAAAAGUGUAAAAUACACCCUAUACUUUAUAUAACAUUAAAAGUCUAACAUUAUAUAUAUGUAUGAGUAAAAAGUUAGUCUUCCCGUCAGUAGGACUCAUUCACGAAGCUGGUCUAUAAGGGGUGUUUAAGGAAAUUGCCUAUAAAAUGGCGAUUGAAUGGGUAUCCACUCUUACCCACCACACUCUUGACUAGUGGAGGGUCGUCAGCGAAUGGGUAGGAUAGGACAGAAACCUUCCAUUAUAAGUAUAAUGAAGUACAAAAGUAACUAAAUGUUUUUACAAAUUCCCAAUCUUAGUUACUUUAGGCAAAAGUGAAUUGAUGCAAUUCCAUGAAAUUACACAUUUUACCCUUGUGAAGACGUUAGUGGAGCGUGUGUGGUUAACCGAUACACUAAGUGGUUCUAAGCAAAGGUAGCAAAGGGUCACUCAAUGUUUGUCAUAGUUUGGUGGAGCGUUCGUGGUUAGCCGACACAUCAAAUAGGUGACUGUAACAUGUGGGGGCACCAUGUAAGUUUGCAUGGUUAUUCACACCCGCUUUGUGAUCCUCGGUAUCCUAGUCACAACCUAGAGGGGCAUAUCGAGAUUUAAACAUGCCAUUGAAGAGUUCAAUGAAUAUCAAAGGAUCUAGGAAUUUUCAAAGCAUUUAAAACUUAAUCGGUUUUUCGUUUUUCAUGGUGGAAUAUUAGUGAAUCGUCAUUCACUUACCUUCAAAUAUUAUGCAACUAGAUUACGGCAUCCCUUUUCUAGGUUGUAGCGUAUUGUGUUGCGUCCUAGCCUUAAUAUCUCAGUUGGGUGAUAUAUUAAGGACUCAAUCAAUCAACUAACUUGAAUUUGUUUUCUCCCAUUUUGUAGAUGUCAAAGUAUGAAAACUAUGGUAUUCCCAUAUCCCGUGGAACAAGCUUUCAACAUGAAGAUGAUAUUCCACGAUUCGAUCGAUGAACAAGAGGUCAUGCUUCACUUCCUCAACCUCCUCCAAAUAUUCUCCCUAACCCACAAGUUUGAAAGCUUGAAAAUUUCAAGCUCACUCAAGCCCUUUUGGCAAGUAAACAUGUAGAAGGAAAGUCGGUGUGUGCACACGUCCUAGAGAUGAAGUCACACAUUGAUAGGUUAAGAAUGUUGGGAUCUGUUGUCUGUGAGGAGCUGGCUGUCGACUGGGUUCUUCAGUCGCUUCCUAACUCAUAUAGUGAGUUCUUAAGAGAGUACUAUAUGAUGAACCAUGACGUGAACCUUAUAGAUCUCACCUAUAUGCUUAUUGCUGCUGAAUCAGCAAUGGUUUGGCGCAAUGGAAAAGCAAAGUUGAUUGGUGAAUCUACCUUCCAGACCUCUAUGGAUAUAGGCAAUGGCAACUAAAGGCAUGCCAUGAUCGAAAAGUUUGAUCAUAAAAGAGAGGCAAUGUCUGAAGUAGUUCCAUGUGCUGUUCCAAAAGAGUCAAUUUGAUUUUAUUGCGAAGAAAAUAGGCAUUGGAGACGAAGCUGCCCUAUUUACCUAAGAGAUCUAAGAGAUGGCAGAGUCAAAACGUAUGGCUCUACUUUAGGUAAAAUCCAUUAACUAACUCUUUUAAGUUCCUAUUCUAGAUUCUUAAUACAUGAUGUGAUAAGAUUACAUUUCGAUGUUUUGUAGAAUCGAAGAAAAUAGAGGAAGCUUAAGGGAAGAAUUGAGUGGAAUUUAAUCAUGAAGAAAUGGAUUUCGAUCGCAUUCUUGAAGAUUAGAUUUUUGAGCUACUACUUAGAGUUAGAAUAAGAUUGCUAAGAAAUAUGUAUAAGCAUAGUUUUUCAAUGAAUUGCAUUGUAAGGACAAAUUUUUCCGCAAUAAAAUAAAUUUUGAUUUUAUAUUAUUUAUUUAUCCUUGCAAUGGCAUGCAUGAAAAUUGAUGUUUGAAGGUUUCUAGCAAUAAUGGAUUUGAUUCUUAAUUAUGUUGUUUGUGGAAAUGUCAAGAAUUUACAAAAUAGGGAGAGUUUCUCAUCGCCCAAGUUUCAAUUGGACAGAAACUUGNNNNNNNNNNNNNNNNNNNNNNNNNNNNNNNNNNNNNNNNNNNNNNNNNNNNNNNNNNNNNNNNNNNNNNNNNNNNNNNNNNNNNNNNNNNNNNNNNNNNNNNNNNNNNNNNNNNNNNNNNNNNNNNNNNNNNNNNNNNNNNNNNNNNNNNNNNNNNNNNNNNNNNNNNNNNNNNNNNNNNNNNNNNNNNNNNNNNNNNNNNNNNNNNNNNNNNNNNNNNNNNNNNNNNNNNNNNNNNNNNNNNNNNNNNNNNNNNNNNNNNNNNNNNNNNNNNNNNNNNNNNNNNNNNNNNNNNNNNNNNNNNNNNNNNAUCAAUAGCAGAACGAAUAAGAAGAAUCAAGUAGGCAGAAAGAUAAAAGGUUUCUCUAUUCUAAGAAGAAGGGAGAGUACCUUUUAUUAUGUUUUAUGAUUGGUCUUAAUGAUUAAGAACCAUAUCUCAAUUGAUCCUCUAUGUGAGUCUUAGUACAAUUGUAUGUCUGAGAAGAGGAAUCAAGAAUUGAAGAAAUGGUUAAAUCAAGAAGUCAGUCAUACUUCGUUCCAAAACAAGUCUUAGAGUUAAAAUUGUGACAUUGAGUGACAAGUAUUAGGAAGGUUUAUAACAUUCAUCAAAUGUGGAAAGUUGUGAUGUCUUGGAUAAGACAAAGACCAACUAGGACCAAUUUAUGAAGUGUUUUGUCUUGAUAAAAGCUACACUAACUCUUGAAUAUUUGUUUGUCAAGAAAUGUUUAUUGACAAGAUAAUCUCAUAUGUCAAGGAGUUAGUGGGAGUCUUAAUGGUCUUGAAAGGUUUCAAGAACAAAUCAAAAUAAACCUUAUCGAACAUCACUAGCAGAACGAAUAAGAAGAAUCAAGUAGGCAGAAAGAUAAAAGGUUUCUCUAUUCUAAGAAGAAGGGAGAGUACCUUUUAUUAUGUUUUAUGAUUGGUCUUAAUGAUUAAGAACCAUAUCUCAAUUGAUCCUCUAUGUGAGUCUUAGUACAAUUGUAUGUCUGAGAAGAGGAAUCAAGAAUUGAAGAAAUGGUUAAAUCAAGAAGUCAGUCAUACUUCGUUCCAAAACAAGUCUUAGAGUUAAAAUUGUGACAUUGAGUGACAAGUAUUAGGAAGGUUUAUAACAUUCAUCAAAUGUGGAAAGUUGUGAUGUCUUGGAUAAGACAAAGACCAACUAGGACCAAUUUAUGAAGUGUUUUGUCUUGAUAAAAGCUACACUAACUCUUGAAUAUUUGUUUGUCAAGAAAUGUUUAUUGACAAGAUAAUCUCAUAUGUCAAGGAGUUAGUGGGAGUCUUAAUGGUCUUGAAAGGUUUCAAGAACAAAUCAAAAUAAACCUUAUCGAACAUCACUAGCACACGACUUGAGGUUUACAUCCUAUCGUGUUGACACUAUCUUGUUUCUAUGCCGUUCCAAUCGAGUUAAUUAUGCAUGUGAUUUCUAUGAGUUCUCAUUUGAAUGCAUAAAAUGCAAGCACCUUGAUCAAUCGAAAGUACAUUGAUGGGAAAGGGUGAGCUGCUUAACUACUUGGAAGACAUGGUGGUCACUGGUGUUACCAUAAGGCAAGAAAUCAAGAUUUAGAAAGUUCGGUCCAUAUGUGUUUCGAUUUGUCGCAAACUUUGGUUUUGACAAAUUCACAUGGAUUGGAACACAUACACCAUUAAAAUCUAAGUGUCAUAAGAUUCCUUCCAUCAUGAAAAUGACUGUGAGGAAAUGCUUUCACUAAGAGAGAUUUUUAGAAGAUAGUGAUUGUAAAAUUGGAUUCUCGAAUUCAAUUAUGGUUACGGUAUCCCUUUCCAUGAUUCUAAUUGAGAGAUUUGGCAAUUAGUCUUAAUUGUUUAGACACACAUAUGAGCUAUCUAAGGCAAAGGUGUAUAAGCUUAGAUAAAGGAUUAUCAAAGCAUUAGGUAUUAGAAACAUGAACUUAAAAAAUUCAAUAGCUAUUGUUUUUCUGAAAGUUAAGCUGGUUUCUGAAUACAUGUCAAAGCUAGGCUUCGGUUGUGGAAUGUUAAUAAAUUUAGUGAAGGAUACAUAGUACGUUCUCAAAUUUCGAUUAUGAUUAUGGAAUUCCUCUUCAUAAAUCGAAUUGUGAGAUUGUGACACAUAAAAUAUUAUGGCAGAAGAUUGAUAAAGUAUCAGAUCUUUAUGUAAGACAUUAUGCAUCAUCUCUCAUACGUUUCGGGUAUAGGAACGAUUGAAAGUGCUAUAAUAUUUAACCAUUCUAAAAUUUUCCAAAUGUCUAGCGCAUUUAGAGGGAAAAAGGAAAAGAAUCGGUUUUGACUAAAAUAAUUAAACAACUAUCAAAGGACGAUCCAAAGCUUGCUGAGGAUUGGUCGCUUAUGAGUAGUUGGAAGUAUAGUAUUGGAUGGACCAUAUCGACAUUAUUAUGAAUAGAAAAGAUUCUAUUAAGAAUGAGUUGUCAUAUGGAAAAUAUGGAAAUGUUUCCAUAUUGGAAGUUGGAUAAUGAGAGUGUAUGUCUAGAUUAGAACAUUUUAUGCAAAAGGAUAUUCAAAGGAAUGUACUCUGAGUGAGAGACAUCACGUCUAUGGAAUUGUAUUGUAACAAUCUCAGAUAGAGGACUUUGUAAUUUCAUUGGCAAUAGUCAUAGUGACUUUUGUGCUAUGACAUUACGAAAGGAUCAUUGCAUAAAAUGUUAGAAUCUAACAUAUUCUAUAAGUGGCAAGAAUUUGAUAUUCUUUCACUUGUGAAAAGGAUUGGGAGUUGUGAAAUGAGUAUGAUUGGAAAUGUGUUCAUUUGAUCUAAUUUACAAAGUAAGAACCAUAGGUAAACAUUGUGUGCAUGCUAAGAGCAUGGGACAAGUGUUGUAAUAAUUCAAGUAAAAGGUUGAUUACCCGAAAAAACAAAUAAUGAGUAAUCGAUAUAUUGAUAAAUAAAAGGUGUUUUAUUUAUACUCAAAGGUUUGAGGCCAUAUGGGAUUAGUAUUAUUCUUGUGUUUCACUUUGCAUGUUUUGACUUCCUGAAUAUCUUAAUUGGUUGAGAACAGUCAAAUUAUUCGAACGGGCCACAGUCGUUCAUAUAUUGGAAGUAGGUAUGAAUGAAGACUGUCAUGAAUUGGGGUGUGGAUUGUCUAAAGUGUAUUAGACAUGAGCAAAUGUUUGCUGCAACGUUCAUGAGUGCUUAUGAAUAUGAUUUGAGCGUUGGAUUAAACCCACGCUCACUUGAAACCGAGAUGUGCGAGUUGUAUCUUGCGAGUCGGUUGCACAUUGAUAAUAUGUAAAUGCACCAGUAACUUGUUAUAAAACAUAUUGUUGUGUGUGAUUCGGUAAGUAAGUGCAAGCGAGAAUUGAGUCAAAGUUUAUCCGUUUCUUUUAUCCAAAAGUAGGAUAAAAUUGAUAUAUUUUGGCCCCUCGAUGAUUUAGUGAUGGCACCUAAGCACUUGGCCAAGCCGGGACUAAUUUGAUGUGAUCAAUUGUAGUCUGUUGUCAGUCGUCAUAAAUCGGAAGUUGGGAAAUAGUAUAGAGAGAAUGAUUAGAAUUCAUGUCUUAUAUCUAUACGAUAUCUAGAAUGGAGGAAUAUAUGAUCCCUUAUCUAAAGGACACGCGUAUUUGAUAAGAUCANCGGCUUUGGAAAGCUACGAUUGCAGAUCAGGAUCUGAAGUCAUACGCAAAAUAGUUAUUAGACUUAUCCAAGUGGGAGACUGUUGGAUUAGUGUCUAAGUCCAUAACUAUUUUGGUAUGUACUUGACCCGAUGGUGCAUGGUCCUUUUGGGUUGCCUUCACCAAAGAAACUUGAUAGGAUGAAUUAUGGAGAGAAAGAGGAUUAAUUAUGAUUUAUUAUUAUAUUAUGAGAAUAAUAUACUAAAGGAUAAAUCAUAUUGUUUAAUUAAUAUUAGUCAAGAAUUAAUUGAUAAUUAAUUUUUUGGCUAAAAGAGAUUAAUUAAACUUAAGGGACUGGAACUGUAAUUAUGAGAUAAUUGCAAUUGGGCUAUGGAUUACUUAAUAAUAUAUAGGUUGGACAAAUUCUAUGGGGAAGCCCAUUAGAAAUCGUCAAAGGGAUAUACCAAAGGAAUCCAUGGGUUGUUUAGGGCUUAAGCCGUCAGAUUAGGGUUUCCGAGUUGAAAACCCUAAUAGCCUAUAAGUAUAUAUAGUGCCCUUAAUCCCCAAAAACGUGUCUAAGAGUUCCUGUAGGAUUUUACACGUUUUUGGGCAGCCUCCACUCUUCUCAUUCUUCAUCCUCUUGCUCUUGGUGUUUGUAAGCCAUUAGAGGAGUGACACUUGUGACUCUAAGCUUUCUAAAGUCAUUAGAAGGAGGAUUGAUGAUUGUUAUUGCUACAUAACAAUCAAGGUAUGAUCUAAACCCCAUUCAUAAGUUAAUUUGAUUAAUUGUAUGCUAGAUCUAGGGUUUGAGGUCUUGGAUGAAUUGCAUGUACAAUAGAGAAACCUAGAUCUAAGCAUUAGCGUUUGCAUGAGCACAUAGGAUGUUCUUAUGGCCAAAAAUCAUCAGUUAUAACUAGACUCUUUUAUAGGGAGAGGGUGAUACUUGUAUAUAGAUCUAUAUUGGGAUUGACAACCCAUACCUUAACUGCAUGCAACAGCUAGACCGGCAGGUAUUGGGUGACAAAUGGCAUAACAUUCCGAUGCCUGAAGAACGUUGUAGCAGGUUACUAUGUCAACAAUAUGGUUAUAAUAACUCAUGUAACCCCCUGUUUAUUUAAAUAAAUUAAUAAAUGUGAGUCCCAGACUAAUUUGUGAAGAAUUUUGAUAGUUGGGGUUGUUUCGUAAGUUACAGAGUUGAUUUGAGAAGGAUAUUAGAACUAAGGGUAUGUUUGGUAAUUAUUGGGACUUAAUAUGAAAGGGAUUUUCGAAGUCAGGGCCUGUCUGAUAUAUACUGGAUUAAAGUUGAGAAGAUUUUAUGGGUCAGGUGCUAAGGUGUAAGUGUUGGAUUUAAUUUGAAAAUAAAAUGUGGAGGAGGGGCUGUUUAGUAACUAUUGGCCUUAUUCUGAAAAGAAAUUUAAGAGUCAGGGUCUAAAGGGUAACUAAUGGAGCAAAAGUGGAAUAAUUUCAUGAGGGAGGGGCACUACUGCCAUUAUGGAGGACUGUUUUGUGGGUAUCAGGUAUUUAAUCAAACCCUUAACCCUAACCCUAGCGGAUGUUAGAGUCGCCAACCUUAUGUCUCCCCGACGCCACCAUCCUCCCUCUGCCAUCGCACAGCCACCAUUAAGGUCGGGAACUGCCAUAGCGCUUCCUUUCGUCAUCAUUAGGAGAGUGAGGCAGUCAGAAGUCGUUGAUGUGAACUGCCAAGGUCCAGCCGCCAUGCGUGAAGACAGCCGUCAUCACCUCCCAUCGUUCGCUUCUCCAACCAGUCGAGAUAACCCUCUGCCGCUGCUUGUUGCCUCGCUGCUGUCGUUGCAUUCAUUCGGACGACAAAACGAGCCGGCCGAUAGUUUUCGCUGCUGAAGAUUAGGACGCAGCGCCUCCUACAGCCGUCUCUGCCGUACCUCCUCUCCACCGUGUAGCUGUUGUGACCGUUGGUGUUGCUGUUGUCGUCGCUGCCUUAUCUCGUCACCACCGGCCACCAUGGGAGGUGGCUGUGGGUUUGUUUUGGUGUGCGUUUCUACUUCAAGUUCGUGUGCUGUGUUGGUGCGUGAUUGGAAGCCAAAAGAUACCAUUGCCACCACUGUGAGGUGGUGGUUGCCAUGGCAGUGUGCCACCAGGUGUGCUGUGUUGGUGCCUUUGAUCAAGACCAUGUAGAGACUUGGGCCCAAUUGGGAAAAUUGGGCCAUAGAUGGGCCAUAAUUGAGCCUUGGUCCAUUAUUAGACUUUUGGGCCUUGGGCUGGAGUCAAGCUAAGAUAGGGGUAAAGUAGUCUUUUACCCAUGUAUGGACUUAUGGUUAUUAGUUGGAACCCAAUUAUUAAUUGGGCGUUAUUUUGGUGGUGACAGUUCGAGAAUCUGUCAUCCAGUAGCUGGGGUUGAAUCUGCGGGAUUUCAACAGUAUAGGAUUGUGUCUACGGGACUUCAACAAUGUGAGGUGAGUUUUCAUUCCAGUAGGAACAGGUCUACGGCCACAAUGCCGACUCUUUUAGUUAGCAGCGGUUCCAGACCUCGGUCUGAUGCAGUAGUUAGAGUGUUUGAUGUCUUUGGGAAUAAAGCGUGUUUUGUGUUAUGUGUUCCGGACCAUGGUCCGAUGCAGUAUGCAGUAUAUGUGUUCAUGGUAGUUGAUAUGUUUAUGCUAUGCUAUGUUCAAUUAGUUUCCAGACUUCGGUCCGAUGUAGGGGACAAGGUCCCAGUCAGUUUCGGACUUCGGUCUGAUGCAGUUAGUUCCGGACCUCGGUCCGAUGCAGGGGAUAAGGUCCCAGUCAGUUUUGGACUUCGGUCCGAUGCAGUUAGUUCCGGACUUCGGUCUGAUGCAUGGGACGGGGUCCCAGUCAGUUCCGGACUUUGGUCCGAUGCAGUUUCCGGACUACGAUCCGAUGCAGAGGGCAAGGCCCUGGUUAGUUCCGAACUUCGGUCCGAUGCAGUUUCAGGACUUCGGUCCGAUGUAGUGGGCAAGGCCCAAUAUGUGUUUAAAUGUUAUUGUAUGGUAUGUGGUAGUUUGGGGGAGCUCACUAAGCCUUGUGCUUACAGUUUUAAGUUUUGAUUUCAAGUACCCAAUUUUCAAAAUAGGAGCUCGGGAAGAUUGUAGUGCACACACCAUUUGUUCAACCUAGGAUGUUUUUACUCUAAUAUACUUUCCAGUUGUUAUAAUAGUUUGAGAUACAUUGCUUAUGAUUUUUAUAUUAGUAUUAUCGACUAUGGUUUUUAAUAUUAAAUCAAACGAAAAAUUUCACACUGUGCUUUUGGGAUGUUACAACUCACAUGGGGAAAUAACGACAUACAUAGUUUAGGGGGAUUUCUACAAUCAAAUGGGUUUUAUUUAUAUAAAACUGCAUACACUAUUAUAAGUAUGGAAAAACACUUGUACAUUUUGGUCUUUGGAUCUUAAGACUGCAACUCAUUUUAUAAGGAAAAUAUUGGAUUUUUCUUGUGCUACACUACAUUUACAAAGAAAGUUUGUAAGAAUCCCUCGAUAGUGGAUUUGCAAUUGUAAUGGUAUUAUGAAGCAAUUUCACUUGUUUUUUUUAUCUGAGAGAUGAAAAAACAUUUGAAUGUACUUAAUUUUCAUUCUCAUGAGAAUAUUAGAUUUGCAAUUGUAAACUAUCUUCAUCCUUAAGAAUGAUUAAUUUUUAUUUUUGAAUUUUAGGUUCUCAUUUUAUUUAUUGUCUUAUUCUUCAAGAACAUUUUGUUAUUAUUUUUAAAAUUUUGGUUAUACAUAUGAAAAUAAUGACUUAUUCUUCAAGAAUUUUAAAAUAUUCUUUGAGAAUAUCAGUUAUGAGAACUAAUUAAUAUCUUAUUCUACAAGAAUGUCUUAUGAGAAUAUCAUUAUUUAUCAUUCUUAUUAUCAUGCAUGAACAUUUAAUUAACAAAAUUGAUUCUUAACCAUUUUGAUGAUAUAUAAGACACUUUACUUUAUUUAAAAGAAAAAAAUGGUUAAUAAUGUUGUAUCAACCCUGAGAAUUCUUAAAAGAUUGUAACUCUUAAACAUAUGAAUUGCAUAAAAUAAAUCACGUGAUUAAAAAAAAUCAAAUAUUAUUGGUGGUGAAAUAAUAAAUCAUAAUCUACUCUAAUAAAUGAAGGGUUUUUUGCCACUUGUCACCUAUCAUUCAAUUUCUCAAAUGUCAUUUUGUGGUUAUUUUGAAUUAAUUUUUGUUCCACAUGUCAUUUUAUGAUUUUUAUAUUUUAUUAAAUUCCACAUAGUAUUUAAAUACAAUAGUAAAUGCAUAUUAAUUUCCUCAAUGAACUUACAUUUUAAUUCCAAAAUUACUAAAGUAAAGGUUCAUUCAUUUCCUUUAUUUAUUUAUCUAAAUUAUUUGUUUAAAUUAUUGUAAAAAAACAUUUUAAUUUUUAUAAUUUAGUAUUAUUCAUAUUUUUUGUAGAAAUUCAAACUUCUCAAAUGUUUAGAAUUUUAUAUGUAGUUUUGUCUUUUAAAUAAACUCAUAUAAUACAUAAGUUUCAUACCUAAUUCUUAAAGGAUGAUAUAUGUUUCAUAUUUUUUAAGUACCGUCUAAAAAAGGAUUACAGAACGUAAAUGGAAUUUAAAUUGACAUCUCAUGAAAAUCUUACCUUCGAUAAAUACUUAUUUUAACCAUUCUUACAAUUAAUUAAUUGAAAUUAUAUAGUAAAUGUUACCACAUGUUAACAGUAUGUAUAUUCAUAUUUCAACCCUUCAUUCUUUUAAUCAACUUGAUAGGAAUGGGUCAUACAUUCAUCCAGUAUGUGUAGUUCAUAUUUGAUCCUAACUAUAUAUAUAUAUAUAUAUANNNNNNNNNNAUAUAAUUGUGGGAAAUGUGUUAAGAAGAAAAAAGAAUGAAUUUUGGCCUUUAAAAGUGAUUUAAGGUUUAAAGGUUAUUUGAACGGUGCAGAUGCUAUCCAUGCAUGUUAAAGAAAAUAGCCAAUCAAAAUAUAAAUAUAUAUUUAAAUUCAUAACAAUACCCUUUCAUUAUUUAAACCCCGUAUUCUCAUUUUAUUCUCUCUCACACACAUUUAAAAACCCUAAAUACACAGUUUCUCGGAUGCCUCCACCGAUGUCACCAUUUUUCUCCAUAAUCGUCUUCAUCAUAGUAUAUGUCAACUUGUAUACUCAUAUCUCCUGUAUCCAGCCCUAUAACCAUCCUUUUAUUUCUCCUUCUCUGAAAGUUUAUGAUUCCAAACCACCACCACAACAGCAUCGUACACUCUCUACGAAUGUUGGUUAAUACGAUCUUCUCACUUAUAACCAAACCACUCACCAGCACCACUAUUGAACUCCGUGACCACUGACUUUCCCUGCCCUUGAAAAUAUUUUCUGAUAUGGGGCCAUUUUUGUAGUUGGAUGGGUCUAGAUCUGUGUAUUUAUAGUCUAAUAUGUUUAUAUGUGCGAUUUUUGUAGUCAAAUGUACGUAAAUGUGUGUUUUUGAUAUAAGUUUUGGUUUAAAAAUAUUUUUCAUAUCUAGUAUGUUUUUGUUUCAAGAUCUGGUGCAAAAGUUUCCCAUAUGAACAUAUUCUUUAGUAUGUUUGAUGAACGGGGAAAUAGUUAUUGUGCGUCAUAAAAGGUAAAAAAAGCCUGAACUCUUUACCUUGAUUCAUUCAAAAUUUGACCGAGAAAUCAUUGAUGUGGGCUUUUUUUUUAGUAUGUUGUUCUUAAGUGAUGUCGGUAGUAUUUUUUUUAUCUUAAGCUCUGCUUUUUUGUUGCUUUUUGUUGUUAGGGAUGUGAAUAGAUUCCAAAUCAAAGUCUUCUUUCAUCAUUUUAACAUUUUUAGGUUUAUUCAUUCAACAAUGAUCAACUUUCUGGAUGUUUUUAGUGAAAGAAUCAGCAAAAAUAACAGCAUGCACGUCAAGCAGUAGGCAAAUUUGAAGCUUGACUCGCUUCCCCUUCCCCUUCCUCUCCCUCUUUCUUUCUUUCUUUCUUUCUUUUAAUUUCUUUAUAUUUGUCUACACUUCUUUGAGCUAAUGCUUUUCUUGAAGAAUAGAUCUCAGGAAUGUUGGUUAAAGGUUGACCUGGAAAUCUGGAAACAAUAAGGCACAUGGGAGUCAUGACCGUUUGAAAUUAAUUGUUGCUAGUUUUUCUCUUUUCUGUUUUAGCUUUUACUAUUUAAUAGAAGGAGCUUUGAUGCCAAUGUAAUCAGUCGAAAUUUCUCUUGUACAACAACUGUAAUCAUUCAAUUGUCUUUCUUCAUUCAAUAAAAGUAAUUAUUUGACAUCCUCAUCCAGUUGUUAUCUCUUGUUGUUUCAUUGUUUCAUUAGCUUGAUCACCAAUAUUUGGUAUCAGAGCUUGAGAUCCUGAUUAAUUGUAUGCCCAAGAUUCUUCGAUUCAACUACAUGAUAGUAGCAUCAUCAUCCAAUCCGCCCAAGGAUAGUCCGUUCACUCUUCAAUGCCCGAUGUUAACCUCGCUGAACUACAAUACAUUGUCAAUACAAAUGAAAGCAAUCAUGGAUGCCCAUGGUUUUAGGAUGCCUUAUUUGCUAAACUUCACAAAAAGGUAACUGGGCAGGUUCCAUUCGAAGACGGUCCUAAGGUUUAGAUCAAAGGAGAGGGUACUCUGCUGUUUGAUUAGAAGAAUGGUGAUCAAUUUGUCAUCCCAGAUGUGUAUUACAUCCGUGUCCUGCAUAGCAACAUAAUCAGUCUAGGAUAAAUGACUGAAGAAGGAUACAACAUAGGGAUGAUGAAAGAGUUUCUAAGAAUAUAUGAUGAGGCAUUUUUCCUAGUCAUAAAGGUGAAAUGGUCCAAAAACAGACUUUAUAAAUUAAGGCUCACACCUAGGAAGCCUGUAUGUAUGGCAAUGAGUAUAGAUAAUUACUCAUGGUUGUGACAUGCAUGUGUAGGGCACAUGAAUUUCAAAACACUUGGAGAGAUGACACGAAACAGAAUGGUGACAAGUUUUCCCUAGUUGGCCCACCCAUCUCAAGUCUGUGAAGGUUGUAUGGUAAGCAAGCAGGCAAGACAAAGCUUCCCAAAAGUGACCCAGUGGAGAGAAAAAGAACCACUCCAGCUGUUGCACGCAGACCUCUGUGGACCCAUUACACCUACAACAUGAUUAGAAUUGUUAUAGAGAUUAUGAAUGCAAUUAUGAAUUGAGUGAUUGAGUAAUAAGAACACGAAGAGUAAUUAUUAAUCAUAUCUUGUAUUGAGAAAGACUGAUUACACGAAAUAAGCAGAAGGAUAUUCGAGUUGCAAAAAGUUAUCCUCUACUUCUAACCUCAGUCCCUGUUUAUAGGGAACCUAAGUGAACAAAAAAUAUACUAAGACUAAACAUCUAAGCUUCGCAUAAAAAUGACUUAGUAAAAUAACUAAAAUGCGAAUAUUACAAAGACAUAGCCACUUCGACUUUUACAACAAAAUGACUCUACAAUCUCCCCCUUUGUAAACAGUCGAAGCUAUUCAGAUAGAAAGUCUCUGAAUAGCUGAGUGGAUAGCCUUUCGUACUUCGGAAUACCAGUUGAUCACCUUCUUCAGCUCCUUCUUGUCGCCUUCAUUGUUUCUCGUGCAAUUGUUCAUACGAACAAUGAAUUUCAUAUAUUGCGAAGAGGUAUAUCUUUCUAUCUCAGAGACCUUGAACAAAAACUUUUUAGGUUUGCCCUUUGUAUCCCUUCCUUAGAACACCAUGCCAAAAGGUUUAAGGCAUAUUUCCCCAUCAUCAUAUUUUGAUAAUACUGACUGGGUCAAUGUGGUUUCCCAGGGAACUGUCACCUUUCUCCCCAAGCUCGUAGCUAAUUCUUCAUCAGUCAAGGCUAAGUAAUCAUAAUAGUUAUCAAUGAAGACUUUGAUAUGUGCGAAGCCUAUUCUGAACACUUCUGUCUCUGAGCCCUUGAGCUUGUGAUCCUCCAUAUGCUUCAAAAGCAGUGCUGCUUGAAUUAGAUCGUAGCAAUUCAUCAAAGGAAAAUCAACAAUGGUGAAGUCGUAUUGUCUGUCAUCAACUCGCAUGACAAAAUAUCGAAAAUUUUGUAGCAUAUCUUCAAACAUUGCAUCUUUCUUGAUGGUUAGCACUUUCUUUAACUUCAUUAAAGACCACACUUCCUCCGGAUUCUUUGCCAACACAGCAUGAAAUCUGAUUUUCAUGUGUGUAUAAUCAUCAACAUUGUCAAACUUCUCAUUGAUCUUGUAUUGAGCAGUUAUUAAGAGCAUCUCAUUUAUCGGAAAAUCCAGUUGGCAUUUGUCCGAAUUAGCAAUAUCAUAGCUCACCUUAGGCUUCUUCUCGAAUUUGUACAUCUCUACCCCCACAACCUUUGAUUCGAUUGUUUCAUAUGAAUAAAGCUUUUCAGGAUCACCUUUGUUCAUUGUGGGGGGAUCACCAGCCCUGAGCCUCAUAAUGCUCUGUACCUUCCUCAUUCGCUCAAUCUCCACUUCAGCUUCGGCUUUCUUCUCCUCCUUAGACUUUUCGUAUGCAAUGCCCUUCCCUUUUCCCACGUCAUCAGUUGGAGGUUUCGAACUUGAACUCCCUCCUUCUUUUGACCCAAUAGAUAUACCUUUGGCUAUUGGUCUCGUGGUCAUAAUUAUCGAGGAAACAGGCAUUGUGAAUGUAGGAAGAGUUUUCUUGAGUUGGGUCGUAAUGACUUUCCCAACUAUCUUCGCAUCCUCUUUACCCUUCUCUCCCCCUUACAACCCUAUGAAAGCAGGCGGGGCAUUCUUUGGGAGUAAAGAGGUGAAAUUUGCGAUUGGUGCUAAAGCUUUCUGAAUUGCUUUCUCUGAAGUAUUAACCUUCAGAGACAAGAACUCAGGGGUAAGGAUUUGUUGUGGUGAAGAUUCUGAAACCACCUAUUUGAGCUCAGUUACCAUCUUAAGAAGUUGAUCAAAUUUCUCUUUGGUCUCUUUGUGGUUAGCUUCAAGAAUAGGGGCACUAAUAACAUUGUUGAGUUUAGUAGCCACCACAUCAACCCGCUUUUGAACUUCAAGAUGUUGAGAAUUUAUAUCCUUAAGCUCCUUUGCAAUCUCAUUCUUCAAUUCUUCAAUCUUGAAAUUUACAUCCUCCCUUACCUUCUUGACAUCUUGUACAAAAAGAACAUGUCGUUCUUUUGCAACAUUUUUUAAUUCCUUCACCACUCCCGAAAAUAUACUCCCCUGAGCUUGAAUGCAAAGCUCUGUAUUUUUGUCUAAUUGAUCAACUUUUUCAAGAAUAUACUUUUCAGCCUUCUUGAUCAAGUAUUCCACUUCAACCCCUGACAUAGAAGAUUUAGACCCAAAAUCCGCUUGAGAUUGGAUAAUCGCAUUCUACUUGCGAUUCAAUACCUUGAACUGUUUACCAGACAUAAGCAUAUGAUCUGGUAUCUCCUCCUCUUCUGAAUCAAAAUGUAAAGCCUCAAAAGUUCCUCCGAAACCUCCUCCUUCCGUUUCAUCAUCGGAUAUAUUCUGUGUAGGCUGAGGAGUUUCAGGUGAUUGCGAAGGGAAUAGAGUGGUGAAAGGAUGUUUCAAUGCAUGGUCAAAUAUCGAAGAUGAGGUGAGGGUAGGUGUUGGGAGUGAAAAAGGUUGUAAUGAGGUAGAAACGGUGAUUGUGGAAAUGGGAAAUGUGACUGGUAGGCUUAUGGGCAUAGUCGAAUCAACACUUGUGAUAGGUGCCCCCGUAUCAGAUACGUUGACAACUGUAUCAGAAAUAGGUACCUCCUCAGAAAUUGAUUCGGUAGUGACUAUUUCAAGUGGUUCUGUGAGUGGAGUUGUGGUAGAUAUUUGCGAAGUAGGUUGAACUGAGAUGAUGGGUAAGGAAACAUUUACCGUAGUAGUGAUCAGUGGAGUCUCAGGAACUACCAUUUCAUCAGAUGAUUCAUUGUGAACCACCAGCUUUCAUUUUUUCAAUAAAGUAUGUUGCAUGUUCUUCGCAAUGUCUUCAGCUCUUUUCCGUUUCUUUGUUGCAAAGAUCGGAGCUGGACCAAUUCGCAUCGUUUCCCCUUGACUACUAGCAUUAGGUUUGCGAACUGGUGAGGGUUUGCGAAUCUUUUUCAAUACCCCCGAUUUGGACGGUAUUGUUUCUUUCUUUGAUUUGGAUGAAGUCUCUUUGACAUGUACAUCUUCAUCCUGAGCUUUUUGGGAAGAAGAACCUUUCGCAUCCUUCUUUGUGGUCUUUUUCUUCUUCAACGGUACUGCCACAUCUAAUAAUACUCCUGUAGACACCGAUUAAUCAACUGUUUUCAAAUAUCUCACCAAAACCAUGUGAGUUUGAGAAACCUUGCGAAGCAUCGCAUCUGGAAUGCGAGCAACAUGAGAAAAGAUUUCUGCAUUAUCAUCCACUACCUUUGGAAAUUGAUAAAAAGAGAAUUCAGCAACUUCAACAUCCUCAAGGACAGGAAUCCCUUCUUUUUCAUACACUUUUUAAAGAAUCAAAUUCCAAUAACUCGCACACGAAAUCCCUUUUUCAGAAUUUGUGUUUUCUAGACUCUUGACAAAUUCCUUCCACAACUGGGUUGCAUAAUCGACACUUAUAUCGUAGUACAGGCCCAUAACCAUGGCAUAUACUUCCAUUCUUCCCCUAUCCAAACCAACUGUUCGUCCUGUUAGGCAUCUGAGAAAAAUACCAAACAAGAAAUUCCAUAUGCACGGUAACCCAGACUUUCAAAAGUCACUUAUCUUCUCAUGAUCUGGUUGAUGGCCCAUUUCAUUAAACAUAUGAAUGAUUUGAGAAUUAACGGGUUUGAAAAAUGGAGGGUUGUUGGGAAUUUCCAAAAACUCAACGAACAUCUUCUUCGUGAGUUUCACCCGUUUGUUGUUGAUGAGGUUGAAAGUUAUGACAUCGGUGGUGAAGUUGUGUGAAAUAGAAGAUGCAGCCAAUGACAACCAAGUCAUCGGAACUGAGAAAGAUUUGAACAUUGCAGUGGCCAGAAAGGAACUUUUCAGAGCAACGAUAAGCAUCUUCAGUCCUUCGGGAUACGAAGAGACAUUUGGAUCAACCAAAUAGUUUGUGCUUUGAAUUUUCAUCAGGGAUUGGGAAAGAACUUCUUCAGUGUUUGAUUGUGUUCCGACCAUUUCUAGGGUUUGAAAGAAAGGAUGAAGAUGAAGAAGUUUUGACGAAAUUUAGGAUUUUGAGAGUUUGUUCGUGUAACCGUAUACAAUGGUCUUGAACCCCCUUUUAUAGGUUACUCGAAACGAUUUGAAUUUGAAGCGGGAUGCAUUUAAUGAGAUCUGACGUGGCACCUUGAAAACCGGACUUUUCUGCAAAAGGUAGCCAUGCAUGCAAAAAAAAAAACAAUCACUUCUCCUUGAAAAUCGGAAAGAAUACAAUACGUCAUGAAUACACAGCCUGUCUAAUCCGCUUUAUCAAAUUGUAACCGUUAUGACCCUUCGCAUGGAGGCUAGGCUCUUUCGGUUUUGGGAUUAUAAGCGAACUCAUAUGCCAGAUGUUUAAAAUCAUCAGUCUAAGUUAAUAUUACUUAGAACCUCAAGGAUUUCGUGUGUGCAAGUGUGUCAAAGAAAUAAGAUAAGAAUCAAGAUAAAUUUUUUUUGGAUUUUUGUGAUGUCAAAAAUAAAUUUUGACACAAAAGCAAAUGAACCCCAGGCAAAGGUUGCUUAGUUAAACAUCAAGAGAGAUAUUUAACUGCUUGUACAGUUUCCCGUGAAAUACAAUCGAAUACUUGUUGAUAAGUAUCGAAGGGCUUCUUUUUCAAAGAUAAAUUUUGGGAUUGGGUUUUAAAUUUCAGUACGUAUCAACCUUAACAUAAGGUGAGAAAUUGUAACUGAAAUUACUUGUAUGUCCAGUGUAGUCAGUGACAAGUUGGCUGUUGAAAAUUUUAUGAUGACUAGGAAUGCGAAUGAAACUCUCACAUAAAUCAUAUAAAAAAAUUUAUUAUACUGGAGCUUGCUGGGUAAAAAACAUCCUAGGUUGUGAAUGUUUGAUCAAGACCACACAUGCGAAAUGAAUUAUGAUUUUGAGUUUCGAAUUGUGAGACAGAAACAAAAGUUUCAUCAAUCUCUUGAAUAAUGUUCCUUGUCAAUUCCUUAAAGAGUAAGAUUAUUGGAUUUCACUUUCAUCACGGACUCAUGAUUUCAGAUCAUAAACACAGAGGUUUUGUAUGUCUAAAUUUCGAUUGGUUUGAUCAGAAACCUCUUGGACAUACGUCUUUGUGUGUGAAUUGUGUAAAGAAUUUUAAAAUGACAAAGAUUGGUUUACCGAUCGAAUGUACCUCUGUUAUUUGUGGACCAAAUAGAAAACUCUUAACUCAUAUGAGAAGAGUAAGGUAACUCUGUUGACUUAUGCGAAUACAAGCCUUGUUGGGAAGAAAUUUUCAUGAGAUAAUUUCAUCAAGGCUUUCCUUUCUCACACAUUGAGUCAAAUGAGGCUUGAGUCAACAUGCAACAUCAUGCUUCUAGGGACAUCCUAACUAUUACAAAGUUUAUAGAAAUCAUACCUUCCCAUAGAAGACACAAACAUGAGCUCUUCGCAUUUAACUUUGGACUAACCUCACAACACACAAUGUUUUAAAAACAAAAAGAACAAAAAUAUUUUUGUGAUUUUUGAAUUUUUCAAAAAUAAAACAGAACAAAACAAAAUGUUUUUGGAUUUUUAAUUUUUCAAAAAUGAAAACUAAACCAAAUAAAAUCUUUUUGGAUUUUUUAGGUUUUUCGGAAGAAAAAAAAUUAAAAACGAAAUAUAACCUUAGUUGAGAUGUGUGUGAAUGCGAAGAAAAGUGAAUGCGAAGCCACUUAAAUGAACAUAAACUUCUUUGUUGUCUUGAGUGCGAAUGCAAGGAAAAGUGGAUGUGAAGCCAUGCGAAGCCGCUAAAUGAACAGUAACUUCUGAACAAUUUUGAUUCAGAGCGUCUAAACAAACAUUUCAUCAUUGACUGAUAGAUUUCGAUACUAAAUUCACAUCAAUCAUACCCAAACCUGCCAAAAUUCUAACAAAUGAUUUUUCAUCAAGAGGUUUAGUAAAAAUAUCAGCAAGUUAUUCAGUGGUUUUCACAAAAUGAAUUUCAAUAUUCCCAUCUUCCACAUGAUCUUUGAUAAAAUGAUAUCGAAGAGCUAUGUGUUUCUUCUUUGAGUGUUGUACUGGAUUAUGACAAAUACGAAUUGCACUUUGAGAAUCACAAUACAAAGGAAUCUUUUUCAUAUUUAUUGCAUAAUCACGAAGUUGACUCUGAAUCCAAAUGAUUUGCGAAGUGCAAGCAGCAGCAACAAUGUAUUUAGCCUCAACAGUUGAAAUUGCAACACAAAUUUGUUUCUUUGUUUGCCAACUUACCAACUUUCCAUCCAACAAUUGACAUCCACAACUAGUACUUUUCCUAUCCAAUGUACAUCCUCUUAGAUCAGAAUCUGAAAAAGCUUAAAUGAAAAAUCCAGAUUCGAAGGAUACCAAAGUCCUAACGAAAUUGUACCCUUAAGAUAGCGAAAAAUAUUUUUCACUGAAGUUAAAUGAGGUUCUCUGGGAUUAGCUUGAUAUCUAGCGUAAUUACAAACCGAAAACAUAAUAUCAGGUCUACUUUCAGUUAAGUACAAUAAAGACCGUAUCAUGCUUCGAUAUUGUGUUAAAUCAACAGCAGGAGCAUCUAACGAAGGAGUUAAUCUUGUUCCCACUGCCAUUGGUACUCUUAGUUUCGUGCUAUUUGUCAUUCCAAACUUUUCAAGCAAGUUCUUUGUAUAUUUUUCUUGAUUGAUUAAAAUUCCAUUCCUGUUCUGUGUUAUAUUCAAUCCAAGAAAAUUAUUAAUUUUUCCCAUCAUGCUCGUUUCAAAUUGACUUUUCGUUAUAUUUUCAAAUUCAAUUGACAAUGCUGGGUCAAUUGAGCCAAAAAUAAUAUCGUCAACAUAAAUUUGAACAAGUAUAAGAUGAUUCCUAAUUUUCUUUCGAAACAAAGUGGGGUCAACUGAUUCUUGUUUAAAUUUAGAUUGUUUCAACAAAUUUGUAAGAGUUGCGUACCAGGCUCUUGGUGCUUGUUUUAACCCAUAAACAACUUUGUGAAGAAUGUAGACAUGAUUAGGAUGUUCCUCGUUUAUGAUUCCUGGUAGUUGCUCAACAUACACUGUUUCUUCAAGUUCUCCAUUUAAGAAAGCACAUUUAACAUCCAUUUGAUAAACAUCAAAGUCUUUGUGUGCUGCAUAAGCUAAAAAACUGCUUUGAGUCUUGCAACAGGAGCAAAUGUUUCUUCAUAAUGUAUUCCUUCUUGUUGCGAAUAACCUUUAACCACUAGUCUAGCUUUAUUUCGAAUAAUAUUGCCAUCUUUGUCGGUCUUAUUUUAAAAAUGCAUUUUAAUCCGACAAUCGAAACAUCAGAAGGUUUAGGAAAUAAUCUCCAAACCUUGUUUCGUUCAAAUUCAACCAGUUCAGAUUGCAUAGAAACAACCCAAUCUGAGUGUUCCAUAGCAUCCGUUAUUGUCUUUGGCUCUAUUUUCGAAAUAAAGACAUUAAACAUACAUAGUUCUUGGUUUGCAUUCAGUAUUUCAUUUUUCGCACGUAUCUGAGCUCUUGUCAACACACCAUCUUGUUGAUUUCCUAUUACUUGUUCUUUGGGAUGAUUCUUUGUCCAUUUCUCAAGUAGAGGAAAAUCAGGAUCAAAUUCCAAUGGUGCAUCUUCAUACAUAUCUUCAUUUUCAGAUCCUGCAACAGAAAAAUUAUCAUUAAUUUCAUGCAAUUCAUCAUUUUCACCAAGAUAGUUUUUCUCUGUUGUAUCAUCCUCUUCCUCAAAAUGCAUUUCAUCUUGAUGCUCCCCCUUAAAAUGAUGUUCCUGUUGAUUUUGCGAAUGCUCCCCCUCAUCUUGAUAUUCUUGUUGAUUUUGUGAAUGCUCCCCCUCAACUUGAUGAUUCCUAUUUUCAUUCUCCCCCUCGAAAGUUGGCUGAUUGUCUGCAUUGUUGAUCGUAUGCUCCCUCUCCAUACGAACAUCAGACACACUAUCACAAGAUGUUGACGUUAUAGUAAUUGUCGAAUCGUCAGUAUGUUUUGAAGAUUCUGAUGUUUGAUUCUCUAAUACCAAUUGAUGAUUUUGGUUUCAAAAUUUGUUCUUUUUCAACUUUUGGCUUAUCAUUAGACACAACUUGCCAAAAAAUUGCUUUUCUUGCUUUUCUUUUUGAAACAUUAUUCUCUGUUGAAUAAUUUCCAACCAUCAAUUUAAAUUCAUGAGAAUUUAAGUUCACUUCAGCCUUUGAUGUCUCAACUUUUUCAAAAACAUUGUUUGCAUUUCACCUUUAACCACCCAUUUUUGUGAUGACUUUUUCUCUUGAAAAACAUAAGGAUUUUUCGUUAAAUUGUUUUCUUCGGUAUUUUGAUUUGAAAAGAACCCUGUGGCUGAUAACUUUUGAUUAUCAUUUUCAACCAUUUUGAUGAAUUCAGGUUUAAUGUUCUCAACAUUUCCAGUUGUGACAAAAACUUGAUUUGGAAAAAUGAUGUCAUCUGUACAUUUAAAAUUUGGAUAGACCACUGUGUUGGUUUUCAAAUAAUGUGCACCUUUUUCAUUAAGAAUUUUGUCAAAUUCUUUUGUAUUAUCAAACACUUGAUUCACAACAAAUCUUGGAAGUGUUUUAGGUGAAUCCUUCACACUUUCAUUGUUUUCAUCAUUUUCAUCAGUUUUCCAGCUUUCAACCUCCACAUUAUCAAAGUUACAAUGUUGCGAAGUAGAAGGUUUAUCAGUUUCAUCCUUAACUAUCGAAUCAACUAUUAUUUCUUUACCUUUGAUCUUAGAUGUGAUAUUAAUGAUUGACACUUUAGAACAAUCAACCUCUUCUUCUUCUUCUUCUUCAAUUUCACUAAUCUCACUCACAUUAUCUGACUUGUCAUUGACAUCAACAUAAUUGAGUUGAGAAUCAAGAGUUGAAUUUUCAGUUUUCUUUAGAAUUUUCACUUGUUCACUCUUUGUCAAACUUUCAUUGACAAUAUCAACCAACUCAUCAGCAUUCAAGAAUUCAUUAAUUUUGACAAUACCAUAUGCAUAUCUAUCAUCAGGUAUUUUGUUAAAUUGAGCAAUUGUACCUUCGCAAUCAUAAGAAACAACAUAAAAUUUUUCACGUUCAUAUUCAAGAAAAGGUAAAAGUUUCCUAUGUUGUUCUUUGCUAAUAUCUGAAGAAUGAUGUAAAGCAGUUAAUUUUGCAUACAAUCUUUUGGCAGAAUUACAAUAUAUGUUCCUUUGUGCAAGUAAUAACCUAACACCAUUUGUAAGAUUAUCCAUAUCACAAUUUACAUUUUUCAUCUGUAUUUCAAGUUUUUCUACUUUGCUCCUUUUUAUUUCUAACUCUCUUCGUGUCUCUCCUAGUUGCAAAUUUAAGUUUUGUUGAAGAUUAAUGUGUUGCGUCUUGGGCCCUUUUAUUUUACAACCGAAUUGGGCUUGUCAAUCCGUGUUUAUCUAGAUUAGCUUCCUUUUACUUAGAUAAACUGUUAGGGUUUCAAUAUAAAUAUAUGCAUGCAUGUAUGCGUAUAAAAGAUAGUUUUGGUCGAUCACGUUGAUUUCGGUAAACCCUAAAUCCUCUACAGUUGAAGUUCUUUAUCGAACUCUUGUGAGGAUUGUUUAUUAAUCAUUCGACAUCUUUUGAUCCAUUUGCUUGUUCUUACUGUUUAUUCGUUUAUUUCUCUACCUGUUUCAUAGAUCUAAUCGAUCUUCAAGUUUGUUUUAACUUAUCAAUUGGUAUCAGAGCAGGAGGCUGUGUAAUCGAUACACUUCUUUUCUGUGAAAAAGUUUCGAUUAGGGUUAUUCCGCAUUCAUUGAUAUUUAUUGAGCCGUCAUCUCAUAAUUAACGUAUCUUGAUAUUUAUUGUUUUGCCCUAAUUUGAUAUAUUACAAGUCUGAUCUUUGAACAGGUUAUUCGAUCAAUUAUGGACGAGUCGCAAUCCAAUCCCAUUAAUAUUUCGAACAGCAUUGGAUCAACAACGAAGAUUCCCAUCCUGUACACCCAUGAUUAUGAAGUCUGGGCGCAUCACUUUGAAGAUUAUGUCAUAGGAUCUGAGGAUAAUGGAUACCUCAUCUGGGAAGCAAUCAUUUCUGGACCUUUUUCUCAUUCAGCAACUUCAAGGAUUAUUAAAACUCAAAAGGAGUAUAAUGAUCUUCUGAAAGAUGUUAAAGAUAUUGCGCAAGACGAAAAAGAUAAAUUUCAGUGCAAUAUCAAAGCGUUAAGAUUGAUCAGAUUCGCUCUUCAAUCCGAUACUUUUAGGCUGGUAAGUUCAUGCACGACUGCAAAAGAGAUAUGGGACAGACUUCGUGAAUUGUACUCUACAGACGAAGAUCUUGAACACUCCAUUCAGACCUUACUCUUGUCUGAGUUUGGUGAAUUCAAGCAAGGAACCGAAGAAACUGUGACUCAAACGUUCGAUCGCUUCAAUCAUCUUCUUAGCAAGAUGAUCAAACACGACAUCGAAAGGAAGCUUAUUGAACAGAAGGUUACAUUUUUGAAUGGACUCAGAUUUGAGUGGAGAGUGGUUGUGUCCACAGUUAAAGCGCACGAGCAAUUCAAAUCCUAUUCUUUGGCGAAACUGGUGGGCAUCCUAAAAUCUCAAGAAAAGAUCGUGUUGCAGGAGAAAAAUGUGGUUUCAAGCCUAGGUUCGUUGGCCCUCCUGUCCAAAAGUAAAGCGGUGAUGGAGGACGAAGAUCUCAACUUGGAUGACUAUGACCUCACGUCUGAGGACUAUGCUAUGAUGGUGUCAAAUCCCAAGAGGUUCAUCAAGAAGAAAUUCCCCACUAACAGGAACCGAAACUGGCAAGGGAGUUACAGCUCUGAAAAGGUCAAAGAUGAACCGAAGUCUAAAGAGUCAAAGAAGGAACCGAAGGCUGAAGGAGAUUCGGGAGUGAGCUGCUAUUAUUGUGGAGGAAAGAACCACUAUGCAAAAGAUUGCGUCCUAAAAAAGAUGGCAGAAAAGGAUGAGGAAAAUGAUGAAGAAGCUCUAUUGCAGAAAAAGCUUGAUGAAUUAAGGAAGAAGAAAUCUGCUGCUAACCCUCCUAUGAAUGCUUUAAUUGUGCAGGGUUCUAGCUGAUGANGUUAAUUGUGCAGGGUUCGGUAGCUGAUGAUGAGUUCGGUGGCGUGGAGGUCUGGUCAACCGACUCCGAAGAUGAUGAAGUGAGGAAGCCUUCACAUGGAAAGGCUUAUGUGGCGAAAGAAGAGAGCAGUGGGGGAAGAUGCUUAAUGGUGUCCGACGUAUCUCAAAUGAGGGGAUACAACACGGAUGGUGGGAAUGAUGACACAAAGGAGAAACAGAACUUGUGCUUUAUUGCCAAACCGCUCAGCCUGCAGUUCAACGAACUUGAUGAACCGAUCAAGAAGGUACAAUCAGUUUUUGUCUCAUCUAAAGUCCCAAAAUGCUCAUAUGAAAAAGAAUUAAAAAAUUUUAAUUCAAGAAUCUCUCAUCUAGAUAGUAGUUUAACUCAAACUCGGGUCACCAAUUCUAACCUAACUGACCAAUUAAGCAGGGUGUCUUCGAAGAGUGAGGAACUGCGCAUGUGGAUCGAACUGAAGGAGUCGGAAUUAAUCAAAAUAAAAGAUGAAAACAUUUAUUUGCAAAGAGACAAUUUAAAGCUUUUGAAACAGCGAAAUGUUUUUUGUUUGAUUGCCAAACGUCUUUACACUAAUAUUACUCAGCUUCAUUUGGAUUGUGAAAUAGGACAAAAGAUUCAUCGCAUGAUUUUACCCUUCCUUGAGUUUAAGGAGGAUGAAAUUGAUGCUGAAGCGUAUAAUUGUGAGAGUGUUAUUUCAUCUGAGGAUGUUAAUCCAACGUAUAUGUAUGGACUGGACAAAAUAGAAUCUUUCAUUAAAUCCAAGGACCAUAAGGACAUGCUUAAAAACCUUUUGGAUGAAAAUGAUAAACUGAAACUGAGAACCGAAACCAUACAAAAAUUUGACUCAUUAAAUGCCAACUUAAGCUCAGGAAAUAAAAUUGAUGUUGAAAAUGCAUCUGAGCUUAAUGAGGACGACAAUAUGAGUGAAAUUUCUGUAGAGGACACGGUUGACUGUUCAGAAUUUGUCAAGAGUGAACCCGAGAACCACGAAAAUCUCAUUUCAGAAAAUUCAGUGGAGUUCGCUCGUAUGUCCCAACAAAAGUCCCCGAUCCUUGUAGAGAAGGCAGUCGUAUACCAAAAGGUUAGAACCACUCCAAAUUAGGUGUACAAGGUCACAGGUGUAACCGAACAUCAGAUUGCUGAACUCACAGCUAUUGUAAAUGAAGACAAUGCUGAUGGCCGUGACGAGUUCUUCUAGUCAGCUCCAAUUGACAAUGCUGAUGAAACGGUAGGUCUGUCUGAAAGAACUUCAUGGAAAAGCAAAGUCAGAUAUGUGCCAGAACCUUUGAAUAAACCUGAUAGCUUCAACGUGGCAAGUACCAGUGGUACGAAAGAUGUUCCUCAAGAGAAAGAAAUUCCUGCAAAAGAAGUCACAUCCCCAAGUGAAACUUCAUCAGUUCAGAGUGGACCGGCUAAAAAAAACCAAAAACCUAAAGCUAACAUCGAUCAUCAACCGAAGCAGAUGAGAAAUCAAAAACGAGAAAGGAAUCAGAGAUACAGGAAGAAUCUCUCUAAAAGAAAACAAUUUUGGCAGUCUCAAAAUGCCUAUUUCUCACAUCAAGACAGGAACUUAAAACAGAGAAAAAUCCUGUUGGAUCGACAGAGAGCAACAACAACCGAAAGCAGAGGUUCGGUUCGGAGCAAAACAUCAACUGAAAACAUAGGUUCGGUUCAGAAAAUGAUGCCAACCGAAAGCAAAGGCUCGGUUCAGAAAAUGAUUUCAUCCGAAAGCAAAGGUUUGGUUUGGAAAUCAAAAGAGAUCAAAACUCUAGGGUCGGUCCUACUGUUGAUCAAAAGCAAAAGGGUCAACUAGAAUCUUCAACCAAGAAGUCAUCUCAAUCUAAGCUAUCUCAUUCUAAUUCUUCUAAUUCUUCAAACUCUUCUAUCUCUUCUCCACCUCAUCCUAAAUUCCAUUCUGUUCCUUCUCAAAAAUCUCAAUCAUUAGCUGAACAAAAAGGAAAACAGAAGGUUUCAGUAGUUAAACCAGAGUCAAUACCGAAAGCAUCGAAUCCCGAUAAAAUUAAAGUUUUUACCAUCAAAAAGAAAGAUGAAACAACACUAAUAAAAAGAGCAUAUUUAGUUGACAUCUCUCUUACUAUUCCUGUUCCUGUGAAAGGCUCACGUGGACCCAAGAAACUUUGGGUUCCUAAAUCUGCUUAAUUUUUGCAGGUUAUCAGUGACGAGCAGUUUGACGAAGAAUGGUACAUUGAUAGUGGCUGCUCGCGUCACAUGACAGGAAGGAAGGAAGAGCUAAGGGAAUACAGGUCUCUUUCAGAUGGUGGAAACGUCAUGUUCGGGAACAACUCCUUCGACACCAUAAAAGGCUAUGGAAUGAUUACAAACGGUGAUUUCACGAUAAGGAAGGUUGCAUACGUGGAAGGAUUACAACAUAACCUCAUCAGUAUAUCUCAACUUGUUGGAGGUACCGGUCUCAAAGUCUCAUUCGAUGAUGAGGGUUCUGAAAUAAUUGAGAAGAAGACGAAAAGAGUUAUUCUCAAAUCGGAGCGUAAAGGCGAAAUGUUUCCGUUAAACCUCAAACCCAUCAAAGGAAACCCAGUCAUCUGCCUGUUAUCCAAAACACAAUCUGACGAAAGCUGGCUGUGGCACUGAAGACUCUCUCAUNCUUUAAAGAUAUCAACAAACUUGUUACUGGAGGUCAUGUUCGAGGUCUUCCAUUGCUCAAGUAUGAUAGAGAUCAUUUGUGUGCUGCAUGUGAAAUGGGGAAGCAGAGUCGUCAAAGUCAUCCAUCUAUAAUAAACACUACAGUUGUUGAACCACUAGAAUUACUUCAUAUUGAUUUGUGUGGUCCAUCAUCUAUCGAAAGCAUUGGUGGUAGCAAGUAUAUUCUUGUUAUUGUCGAUGACUUUUCGCGUUUUACAUGGGUGUUCUUUCUGAAGCUUACAUCUGAAGCGACUCACAAGCUAAAAGUGUUCAUCAAGUAGAUUGAAGUACAGCUGAAGAAGGUCGUCCGCAACAUCAGAAGCGACAAUGGAUUGGAGUUCAAAAAUAGAGAAUUCGAAGAAUUCCUGGAAGAAAAGGGACUCAGUCACAACUUCUCAGCUCCCUACACACCUCAACAGAACGGAAUUGUUGAAAGACGAAACCGAUCCCUAUGUGAAGCUGCCCGCACCAUGCUAAGUUUCGCUUCCUUACCUUUAUAUUUUUGGGCUGAUGCUAUUUUUGCUUCUUGUUUUACACAGGACAGGUCGUAUCUCAACAAGCGCUUCACUCUCACUCCUUAGGAGAUCAUCAACAGUAGGAAGCCAAAUGUGAAGUUUUUCCAUGUGUUCGGUUCCCGGUGUUUCAUUUUCAAUUCUAAAGAAGACCGCAACAAGUUCGAUGUCAAAGCCGACGAAGGGAUAUUUCUGGGCUAUUCUCUCACUUUUAAAGCGUAUAGGGUGUUAAAAAAGCAUUCGAGGAAAAUAGAAGAAACUUACUACGUGACUUUUGAUGAUAGCUAUGUCAAAAAGCUAAAGGUCAACGAAGACACAGCUGGAGAAAUCUUUCCUCAAACUGGCCAAGUCACAGCCUCGAUCGCUAAUCUAUUCGAGAAAUUCAUGGAGCUUUCUGAUGAACCAGAGAAGGCCACUCUUUCUGAAGCCAGUGCAGCAGACAACAGGGUAGAUCACUUGAAGCAACUUGUCGACGAUGCUGCAAGGAGAAUGAAUGAAGAAGAAUCAGGUUCUAAAGACCCUCCACAACACAAUGCGUCAGUCGAGGGGGAGGAUCCACCAUCAUCAUCCCAGCAAAGCUCAAAAGUUGAGGGGGAGCUGAGGUCUCAAACUCCAACCGAAAGCACAUUGCCAACCGAAAGCACUUUGCUAACCAAAAGCACUUUGCCAACCGAAAGUGUCUCCCCAACUGAAGGUGCAUCAACGCCCGAAAGCUCAGCACCACAAGAAACCACUAUAGCUCAAGAUUCUCAAGACAUUCCUGUAAGAUCAUUUGUCGAGGGAGAGCAUGCUGAUAUGUCUUAUGACUUUGACAGCCAUUCCGAACCAGAAGAAAUGAUAAACGCUGAAUUAGAUCCAACCUUUGAUCCAAGCUACCCUCCUCUCACCAAAUGGACCAGAGAUCAUCCUGUCUCUCAAGUUGUUGGUGAUGUAUCAGAUACAGUUCUGACUCGAUCACAACUCAGGGCAAAACAGACUUCCUUGUUCUCAAAAGUCGAGUUCCGCAUGUUUAACUCAUUCGUAUCAAAAGUUGAACCAAAGACAGUUAACACUACUCUUGAUCACUCCGAUUGGGUUCAAGCUAUGCAAGACGAACUGAAUGAAUUUGAAAGGAACAAAGUUUGGCGUCUUAUUCCAACUCCUCCAGGUGCCUCGGUUGUUGGUCUCAAAUGGGUCUUUAGGAACAAAAUUGACAAGGAAGGGAACGUUAUAAGAAACAAAGCACGUCUGGUCGUGAAAGGAUACUGUCAAGAGGAAGGCAUUGACUUUGAAGAGACUUUCGCUCCUGUAGCUAGGCUGGAAUCAGUGAGAAUAUUUCUUGCCUAUGCUGCCCACAAAAAACUUUGAGGUCUACCAAAUGGACGUCAAGUGUGCAUUUCUCAAUGGAGAACUCAAAGAAAUUGUGUAUGUGCAGCAACCUCCUGGAUUCAUGAAUGAAAAGUAUCCCAAUCAUUGUUACAUUUUGGAUAAAGCCGUGUAUGGACUGAAACAAGCACCGAGAGCCUGGUAUGAAACGCUGACUAAAUUUUUAAUGAUGUCCAAAUUCAAAUAAGGUUCGGUUGACCCAACCUUCUUUCAUAAAAAGGAAGGUAACCACCUUAUGAUCGUUCAAAUUUAUAUCGAUGAUAUCAUCUUUGGCUCAACGAAUCCUAGCGUAAUAGCUGAAUUCAGAAAGNGUCGUAUUAAUUUUUUCCUUGGUUUAAAUAUUAGACAGGGACCCGAAGGCAUCUUUAUCAACCAGGAAGCUUACACGAAGACUCUCUUAGCAAAAUUCGGCAUGAUGGGAGAUUCAAAGGUCAAAGUUCCAAUGGCAUUCGACACCAAGCUAACUCCAUCCCUAGAUAAACCGGCUGUUGAUCUUACGCUUUAUCGUCAAAUGAUAGGCUCUCUAAUGUAUCUUACUGCUAGCAGACCUGACAUAAUGUUUUCUGUUUGUUACUGUGCUAGGUUUCAGGCAAAUCCACGGGAGCCUCACAUGCUUGCAGUGAAGAACAUAUUACGUUAUCUCAAGAGAACUACCUAUUUAGGUCUGUGGUACCCUUCUAACUCAGGCUUCUUCGUUUAAGCCUACUCAGAUGCAGACCUUGGUGGAUGUGGCCUCGACAGGAAAAGCACCACUGGUGGCUGCCAAUUCCUCGAUGGGAAGUUGGUUAGCUGGCAGUCAAAGAAACAAACGUGCGUGUCUUUGUCUACAGCUGAAGCAGAAUACAUUGCCGCUGCCUCCUGUACCUCUCAAGUGAUUUGGAUCCAGAGUCAACUCCGAGACUAUGGACUCAAUAUGAAAAAGAUCCCACUAUAUUGUGACUCUGAAAGUGCAAUUAGGAUCUAUCAUAACCCAGUGCAACACUCCAAGACCAAGCACAUAGCACUGAGGUAUCACUUCAUCUAAGAUCACGUGGAAGAUGGAAACGUUGAAGUACACUUUGUUCGAACCACUGAUCAAUUGGCCGAUGUCUUUACCAAAGCUCUUCCUGAAGCGUCCUUCAACAAAAUUCUACAAGGCUUAGGUAUGAUGAUAGGAGAGUCGGUCCCGAAUCCUCAAAUCUCUCUCUAAAAAUCCGGAACCGAAACAGACAAACCGCUCGGUCUCUCUUUGGUCUAGAGAUAUAAUGGAACCGAAACAGACAGACCGCUCGGUCUCUCUCUGGUCUAGAGAUAUAAUGGAACCGAAAUAGACAGACCGCUCGGUCCCUCUCUGUUCUGGAGAUUUAAUGAAACCGAAAUAGACAGACCGCUCGGUCCCUCUCUGUUCUAGAUAGUUUAUGACACCGAAAUACACAGACUGCUCGGUCUCUCUCUGCUCCAUCAUUUUCGAUUAAUUUCUGUCGUAUAUUUUAUCUUUCUGUUUUAUUUCUUUUUCAGAAAAAUUUCAAAAUCACAAAAAUAUUUUAUCUUUCUGUUUUUAUUUCUUUUUCAGAAAAAUCUCAAAAUUACAAAUACAUUUUAUCUUUCAGUUUUAUUUCUUUUUCAGAAAAAUUUCAAAAUUACAAAAAUAUUUUAUCUUUCUGUUUUUAUUUCUUUUUCAGAAAAAUUUCAAAAAUACAAAAAUAUUUUAUCUUUCUGUUUUUAUUUCUUUUUCAGAAAAAUUUCAAAAUCACAAAAAUAUUUUAUCCCUCUGUUUUUAUUUCUUUUUCAAUAUCUUACUUAUUUCCACUGCUUGUUAGUUUUGGCUGGUGUAUGCUAUUCACAGAUAAAUACAAGUGUAACCUUCGAUAGAGUUCAAGCAGGUAUGUUUCAAUUUUCUCUCAAACUAGUUAUCAGUCCCUAGAAGCAUGCUGCUGUAUGUUGUCACAAGCCUCUAUGAUCUUGAGUGAGCCUUAAUGAUUCGAUUGAUACCCGUAGUUUCUUCCCAAUCAGGCUAUUUUACAUUACUCGGUCUAGAGCUACCUUACUCUUCUCGUUUGAGACAAGAGUUUCUCUGCUCUGUCACACUUAUCUAGCAGAAGGUACAUUCGGUUUCUUAACCACCUCAUAAAAUUCUACAUUUACCUUCGAUUCACUAAAGUAACCCUUGAUACUUUCGGUCUUUACCACUGAAGUUUAUGGUUACACAACAUCUGUGUUUAUGAUCUUGGAUACGAUUACCACGUUCUAAGUGAAACCCAAAAGCCAACACCUAAAAUGAAUUGAUGGUGAGUGAUAUACUCAAGUUGUAACUUGGAAAUCUCCUUUUAUUUUUGCGUGAUCUUUUAUGAAAUCGUCUAUAACUAAGACAUUUCUUCCCAAAGAGGUCCAGUUUAUAUUUCUUUUGAGAUUUCUGCUUAUCCAAUGCUAGUCACAAGAUAAAUCCCACCUACCUAUUCAACAGAUCAUCUCGGUCUCACAGGUACCUCUACCAACAAUCAGUUUUAUGUCGAGACUUGAUGUUUGGUUAGAGGACAGCCACCCAAUAGCCUAUGAUCAAAAGAAGCCUUUCAUUGUUUAUUGACAGACAAUUGAUCGUAUUUCUCGGGAAACCAGACAAGCACUUCAAGUCUCUCUUGGCUUUGAAGGAAGUGAUUCUUGCCCGGAAUCCUCUGCUUUAUGUCUUCUACAAAGACAUCACUCACAUCUCAAACACAUUUGGUUUAUUUCUUUAUCUUUCACACUCUUAUGCACGAAAAUUAAUUUUUUCCAACAUUCUAAUUGCUGUUUGGUAUGGGGUUUUAUGUUUCAGCUGUAUCCAAACAAGGGUAAAAGGAAUUUCAAACGGUACGAAGAUAAGAUUUGGGCGCGUUAAUUUGAUUCGUUUCACACCCACGUGUGCUGACGUUUUCCUGGGAUACACCAUAACAUCCAAUCGCGCUUUUUUAGGCGACGUUUUAGUUCCAUAAUCAUCACGAUUUUCUCUCUCCAUGGAACGGUAUAAAUAGGGUGAUCGUGUUCUUUGUCAUUUACCAAACACGUAUCUUCUCUCUCUGCAAAAGUUUCCACUGUUCAUCUUCUUCUUCGAUUCAACCAUGGCGACUUCUUCCUCUGCACACGAUCAAACUGCAACUUCAUCUUUGCUUUCCAUCAAACCUAAUCAGAAUAUGAUUAUAGAGAUGACUCCUUUUCUGUAUGAUGCGUACAUGCUCCAUGUGGUGGAAUGUCUGAAGUAUUCCCCAUUGCUGUUAGCCCUCACGCAGGUGGAAGCCGUUCCGAUGUCCUUGCUUUCUCAAGUUUAUACAUCAGCAAGUUACGACAAGAACAAAGAUCGUAUCUACUUUACCAUCCAUGACAAGAAAACCUCGAUUUCGAAAAACAUGUUUUGUUCCCUUUUAGGGCUUGCUGUUGACUCAUCCGUCAUCUCGCCUGAUUUUGUCUCGACUGCACAGCUUUUAUCGAUGAUGUACGAGAUGGGUUAUACUGAUGUUCUUACGAUGAUAGCGAAGGUCAAGAAGUCCUGUCUCCCUUCACAGUGGAAUGGCUUGCUUACCCUGUUGAUCAAGGGUUUAGCAGAACGAUGUGGCGGUUCUGAUACCACAAGCAAAGGAUUUCUCACCAUCCUCUAUGGUCUUUACAAUAGCAUCAACUUAGAUUAUGGCUCCAUAAUCUGGUCUCAAGUCGUUCAGAGUCUUAACACCACGACUCGGUACUCCGAGAUCUCCUGCGGGCGUUUCUGGACGCUCAUCACGAAGAAAGCCAUGGAUUCUAUGGAAAUCCCUGUGAUGAAGGAUGCUCUUCUUGCUUCAAUCGCCUCCUUCCAUACUAAGAAGAUCAUUGUCUCGGACCCUAGUAAGUUUCGUCAUUAUGGAUUAAUUCCUGAAUCCAUGUAUAGGUGUGUGACGCCACAUAGCCGGGUCAUGGCCGAUUACAGCACCAGAACUCCUUUGCCUCCAAGGGUUCUGACUGACGAACAACAAGCAGCCUUGGAUACUUUGGAUCAACCUGCUAACCGAGGCAAGAGGGUCGUGAAAAAGGAAAAAGACGAGAAGAAGGAAAAAGAAAAGAAAAAGGAGAGUAAGCCAAGAUCCUCUAAGCGAAAAUCAGGUGAAGAAGAAUCUUCUCAAUCUAAAUCAAAGAAGAUUAAGAAGAUGGCAAAAAGGGCCAAAGGAUCCUCUUCUCCUGGAUCUGAUCAACAUGAAACGCCAGAAGCAGAGACUGCAUCUCCUCAUGAUUCACCAAAAGAGCCAACUCUUGCUUAGUCUCCACAAAAACCAUCCUAAAGAUACUCAUAUUCCCUCUCCACCAACAUCUCCCAAAGUCACAAAACUACCCACUCCUCCACCUUCUCCUAAAAUUCCUACCCCACCCCCAUCACCGAAACAGAGGGUUUCACUUUUUGUUCCUAUCAUCAUCUCUGCAACUACAUGAGAACCAACUUCUUUACCCACUUCAACCAUUAUUUCCUCUGUUCCUCUCCCUACUACUUCAAUAUCCACUCCAAUCAUAACCGAAUCUGUUACUACCACCCCUUCCCAACCUCCAGUAAAAGUCAAUAUAUCUGAUACAGGGGCUACUACUGUGGUUGAAACCCCUGUAAUUCAAAUACCACCAUCACCUACCCCAUCCUCAACCUCUGGUGCUACUUUGGGUGGUGAUGAUGAAGAGUAUGAUUCUCUUUACUAUAGCCCAUACAGAAUUCCCACUGAUACUGAUGCAGAUGCUCCCAUUACCAGUCAACAACUUCAAGACAUUCAUGAUAAACUAGAUAGUCUGUUGGCUGAUAAUAAAGCCUAUGGGAGUGUGGUAUUGAAAUCCUUUAUCGAAUCUACUAUCAAGACGUAUACUGAUGCUAUGGAUCGCUCCACUGAUGCCAUUGACAAGUCAGCCGCUUCAUGCUACAAAGCCACAAAGGAAGUCUCUGAGGUUGUUCACACAACUCAGAUUUUUCUCGAUUAUCUUAAAGCGCAUGCUGAUGUUAAUGCGGCCAAGUAUCAAUCGUCUGUGGACUCCUUUUCGGCUACCCUUCAGGGGGAAACUUCCAAGUUUGAAGCUCUGCGUGCUGAUCUCAAAACUGAAUCCACCUCUUUUCUUCAAUCUUUGGAUUCACGUUUUGCUUCUCUUGCAGCAGAGAGUACCUUAAAGGAGGAUCUUGUCAAACACCAGGCAACUAUCGACCUUCAAAAGGUGCAACUGGCCCAGGCAGAACAAUAAAUUUCUUUGUUAAAGACUCAGCGGGCAGUUCUUCAAGGUUGUGCUGGUGAUGUCAAAAACAUGUUGACAAGUGUGCUUGAAACUCAUGAUCCUUUUCUCACCCUCACCAUCCGACAGCAUCUCCAGGCCAAACUCCUCCCUGCAAUCUCAAUUCUAAGCGAGAUGAAGGGUGUCUCGGAGCGAUUGAGUUUCCCUCGAUGUAUUGGUUGGAACCGAUUGCAUCUUUUGAGUGUGAGAAUACUAAAGACUCGCAGUUUGACAUGCCGAUCACUCGAAAGGCUUUUACGUUUCAUUACUUCGAUGUCACUGCUAAUGUCCCUCAUCCAAACUUAAAAGUUGACAAAGAAUUGAUAGAUUUCUAUUUGAAGUAUGGUCAACCACGGUACUUGACAUGGAGUGCACAGAAGAUAGUAAAGGUCAAGGUACUGAAACCAACACCGGCUGGGAAAUUUGUAAACGUUAAUUUCAAAGUCAAUAGAGGAACGGCCAACACAGAACAUUUUAUUUCUCUGGCAGAUCUUCCCAGUCUGAAUCCUCAUGGUUGGAUUUUGCUAUACAACAUUCUUCUCUCAAAUCAAAGGGAGUAUGAACCGAUUCUGAAACAUCUCAAAAGAAUGUUGGCUUCCUAUAUCCAUAAGCUUGCCACUAUGGAUCAGGAAAUAGCGAAGAUAAUGAACAAGGUUUAUUUCUCUACCCUUCAGGGUGAAACUUCCAAGUUUGAAACUCUGCAUGCUGAUCUCAAAACUGAAUCCACCUCUUUUCUUCAAUCUUUGGAUUCACGUUUUGCUUCUCUUGCAGCAGAGAGUACCUUAAAGGAGGAUCUUGUCAAACACCAGGCAACUAUCGACCUUCAAAAGGUGCAACUGGCCCAGGCAGAACAAUAAAUUUCUUUGUUAAAGACUCAGCGGGCAGUUCUUCAAGGUUGUGCUGGUGAUGUCAAAAACAUGUUGACAAGUGUGCUUGAAACUCAUGAUCCUUUUCUCACCCUCACCAUCCGACAACAUCUCCAGGCCAAACUCCUCCCUGCAAUCUCAAUUCUGAGCGAGAUGAAGGGUGUCUCGGAGAAGACUAUUCUUCCAAGACAAGGGGGAGAGGAGAGUGUAAUGAAGACAGACCCGAAGGUUAAUUUAGCUUCGGGUUCUGGAAAGCAAAUACUUGUUGAGAGCGAGUCAGACACCGAUGAAACUAUUGCUAAAGCUCUUCAACGGAAGAAUAGGGAUAAAGAGCUGGAUGAGACUCUGAAAAUCGCUCAAGAGGCAGAGGCCAAAGAAAGAAAAAUUAAGGAGGAUGAGGAUGCUUUAAUGACUAAGAAGACUCUGUUUCUAGAAUGGGACAGAGACACACUCAUUAAUCAAGCGAUUGAGUUUCCCUCCAUGUAUUGGUUGGAACCGAUUGCAUCUUUUGAGUGUGAGAAUACUAAAGACUCGCAGUUUGACAUGCCGAUCACACGAAAGGCUUUUACGUUUCAUUGCUUCGAUGUCACUGCUGAUGUCCCUCAUCCAAACUUAAAGGUUGACAAAGAAUUGAUAGAUUUCUAUUUGAAGUAUGGUCAACCACAAUACUUGACAUGGAGUGCACAGAAGAUAGUAAAGGUCAAGGUACUGAAACCAACACCGGCUGGGAAAUUUGUGAACGUUAAUUUCAAAGUCAACAGAGGAACGGCCAACACAGAAAAUUUUAUUUCUCUGGCAGAUCUUCCCAGUCUGAAUCCUCAUGAUUGGAUUCUGCUAUACAACAUUCUUCUCUUAAAUCAAAGGGAGUAUGAACCGAUUCUGAAACAUCUCAAAAGAAUGGUGGCUUCCUACAUCCAUGAGCUUUCCACUAUGGAUCAGGAAAUAGCAAAGAUAAUGAACAAGGUUUAUUUCUCUACCCUUCAGGGUGAAACUUCCAAGUUUGAAACUCUGCGUGCUGAUCUCAAAACUGAAUCCACCUCUUUUCUUCAAUCUUUGGAUUCACGUUUUGCUUCUCUUGCAGCAGAGAGUACCUUAAAGGAGGAUCUUGUCAAACACCAGGCAACUAUCGACCUUCAAAAGGUGCAACUGGCCCAGGCAGAACAAUAAAUUUCUUUGUUAAAGACUCAGCGGGCAGUUCUUCAAGGUUGUGCUGGUGAUGUCAAAAACAUGUUGACAAGUGUGCUUGAAACUCAUGAUCCUUUUCUCACCCUCACCAUCCGACAACAUCUCCAGGCCAAACUCCUCCCUGCAAUCUCAAUUCUGAGCGAGAUGAAGGGUGUCUCGGAGAAGACUAUUCUUCCAAGACAAGGGGGAGAGGAGAGUGUAAUGAAGACAGACCCGAAGGUUAAUUUAGCUUCGGGUUCUGGAAAGCAAAUACUUGUUGAGAGCGAGUCAGACACCGAUGAAACUAUUGCUAAAGCUCUUCAACGGAAGAAUAGGGAUAAAGAGCUGGAUGAGACUCUGAAAAUCGCUCAAGAGGCAGAGGCCAAAGAAAGAAAAAUUAAGGAGGAUGAGGAUGCUUUAAUGACUAAGAAGACUCUGUUUCUAGAAUGGGACAGAGACACACUCAUUAAUCAAGCGAUUGAGUUUCCCUCCAUGUAUUGGUUGGAACCGAUUGCAUCUUUUGAGUGUGAGAAUACUAAAGACUCGCAGUUUGACAUGCCGAUCACACGAAAGGCUUUUACGUUUCAUUGCUUCGAUGUCACUGCUGAUGUCCCUCAUCCAAACUUAAAGGUUGACAAAGAAUUGAUAGAUUUCUAUUUGAAGUAUGGUCAACCACAAUACUUGACAUGGAGUGCACAGAAGAUAGUAAAGGUCAAGGUACUGAAACCAACACCGGCUGGGAAAUUUGUGAACGUUAAUUUCAAAGUCAACAGAGGAACGGCCAACACAGAAAAUUUUAUUUCUCUGGCAGAUCUUCCCAGUCUGAAUCCUCAUGAUUGGAUUCUGCUAUACAACAUUCUUCUCUUAAAUCAAAGGGAGUAUGAACCGAUUCUGAAACAUCUCAAAAGAAUGGUGGCUUCCUACAUCCAUGAGCUUUCCACUAUGGAUCAGGAAAUAGCAAAGAUAAUGAACAAGGUUUAUUUCUCUACCCUUCAGGGUGAAACUUCCAAGUUUGAAACUCUGCGUGCUGAUCUCAAAACUGAAUCCACCUCUUUUCUUCAAUCUUUGGAUUCACGUUUUGCUUCUCUUGCAGCAGAGAGUACCUUAAAGGAGGAUCUUGUCAAACACCAGGCAACUAUCGACCUUCAAAAGGUGCAACUGGCCCAGGCAGAACAAUAAAUUUCUUUGUUAAAGACUCAGCGGGCAGUUCUUCAAGGUUGUGCUGGUGAUGUCAAAAACAUGUUGACAAGUGUGCUUGAAACUCAUGAUCCUUUUCUCACCCUCACCAUCCGACAACAUCUCCAGGCCAAACUCCUCCCUGCAAUCUCAAUUCUGAGCGAGAUGAAGGGUGUCUCGGAGAAGACUAUUCUUCCAAGACAAGGGGGAGAGGAGAGUGUAAUGAAGACAGACCCGAAGGUUAAUUUAGCUUCGGGUUCUGGAAAGCAAAUACUUGUUGAGAGCGAGUCAGACACCGAUGAAACUAUUGCUAAAGCUCUUCAACGGAAGAAUAGGGAUAAAGAGCUGGAUGAGACUCUGAAAAUCGCUCAAGAGGCAGAGGCCAAAGAAAGAAAAAUUAAGGAGGAUGAGGAUGCUUUAAUGACUAAGAAGACUCUGUUUCUAGAAUGGGACAGAGACACACUCAUUAAUCAAGCGAUUGAGUUUCCCUCCAUGUAUUGGUUGGAACCGAUUGCAUCUUUUGAGUGUGAGAAUACUAAAGACUCGCAGUUUGACAUGCCGAUCACACGAAAGGCUUUUACGUUUCAUUGCUUCGAUGUCACUGCUGAUGUCCCUCAUCCAAACUUAAAGGUUGACAAAGAAUUGAUAGAUUUCUAUUUGAAGUAUGGUCAACCACAAUACUUGACAUGGAGUGCACAGAAGAUAGUAAAGGUCAAGGUACUGAAACCAACACCGGCUGGGAAAUUUGUGAACGUUAAUUUCAAAGUCAACAGAGGAACGGCCAACACAGAAAAUUUUAUUUCUCUGGCAGAUCUUCCCAGUCUGAAUCCUCAUGAUUGGAUUCUGCUAUACAACAUUCUUCUCUUAAAUCAAAGGGAGUAUGAACCGAUUCUGAAACAUCUCAAAAGAAUGGUGGCUUCCUACAUCCAUGAGCUUUCCACUAUGGAUCAGGAAAUAGCAAAGAUAAUGAACAAGGUUUAUUUCUCUACCCUUCAAGGUGAAACUUCCAAGUUUGAAACUCUGCGUGCUGAUCUCAAAACUGAAUCCACCUCUUUUCUUCAAUCUUUGGAUUCACGUUUUGCUUCUCUUGCAGCAGAGAGUACCUUAAAGGAGGAUCUUGUCAAACACCAGGCAACUAUCGACCUUCAAAAGGUGCAACUGGCCCAGGCAGAACAAUAAAUUUCUUUGUUAAAGACUCAGCGGGCAGUUCUUCAAGGUUGUGCUGGUGAUGUCAAAAACAUGUUGACAAGUGUGCUUGAAACUCAUGAUCCUUUUCUCACCCUCACCAUCCGACAACAUCUCCAGGCCAAACUCCUCCCUGCAAUCUCAAUUCUGAGCGAGAUGAAGGGUGUCUCGGAGAAGACUAUUCUUCCAAGACAAGGGGGAGAGGAGAGUGUAAUGAAGACAGACCCGAAGGUUAAUUUAGCUUCGGGUUCUGGAAAGCAAAUACUUGUUGAGAGCGAGUCAGACACCGAUGAAACUAUUGCUGAAGCUCUUCAACGGAAGAAAAGGGAUAAAGAGCUGGAUGAGACUCUGAAAAUCGCUCAAGAGGGAGAGGCGAAAGAAUGAAAAAUUAAGGAGGAUGAGGAUGCUUUAAAGACUAAGAAGACUCUGUUUCUAGAAUGGGACAGAGACACACUCAUUAAUCAAGCGAUUGAGUUUCCCUCCAUGUAUUGGUUGGAACCGAUUGCAUCUUUUGAGUGUGAGAAUACUAAAGACUCGCAAUUUGACAUGCCGAUCACACGAAAGGCUUUUACGUUUCAUUGCUUCGAUGUCACUACUGAUGUCCCUCAUCCAAACUUAAAGGUUGACAAAGAAUUGAUAGAUUUCUAUUUGAAGUAUCGUCAACCACAGUACUUGACAUGGAGUGCACAGAAGAUAGUAAAGGUCAAGGUACUGAAACCAACACUGGCUGGGAAAUUUGUGAACGUUAAUUUCAAAGUGAACAGAGGAACGGCCAACACAGAACAUUUUAUUUCUCUGGCAGAUCUUCCCAGUCUGAAUCCUCAUGAUUGGAUUCUACUAUACAACAUUCUUCUCUCAAAUCAAAGGGAGUAUGAACCGAUUCUGAAACAUCUCAAAAGAAUGUUGGCUUCCUACAUCCAUGAGCUUGCCACUAUGGAUCAGGAAAUAGCAAAGAUAAUGAUAAAGAAACCGACCGUCAAGCCUACUUCCAAGACAGGAGAUGUGCAUAAAAUGAAGUUAGGGCAAAUUGACUCUACAAAUCUGACGGUUAUGUUCACAAAGGGCGACAAGCACAAGUUUCUGUUUGCUUUGGUAUACAAGCAUCUAUUUUCAACAUACUGUCUGGAGCAUAUCAUAAACAUUGUUCACCGAUGCAAGCAGAACUCAACAGCAGACAAGAAGAAUUUUACAGAUAUGCUUCGGUGGUAUAUUACUUUCAGGUAUCACAUUCUGGCCAUUAUACCGAGGAUAUUUGAAACGGUGAAGAAACCACCUGCUGUUAAAAGGGAAUGAAGCCUCUGUGCCAAAGACGCAAAGGGGGAGAUUGUUGAAGAUUAAUGUGUUGCGUCUUGGGCCCUUUUAUUUUACAACCGGAUUGGGCUUGUCAAUCCAUGUUUAUCUAGAUUAGCUUCCUUUUUCUUAGAUAAACUGUUAGGGUUUCAAUAUAAAUAUAUGCAUGCAUGUAUGCGUAUAAAAGAUAGUUUUGGUCGAUCACGUUGAUUUCGGUAAACCCUAAAUCCUCUACAGUUGAAGUUCUUUAUCGAGCUCUUCUGAGGAUUGUUUAUUAAUCAUUCGACAUCUUUUGAUCCAUUUGCUUAUUCUUACUGUUUAUUCGUUUAUUUCUCUACCUGUUUCAUAGAUCUAAUCGAUCUUCAAGUUUGUUUAACUUAUCAAGUUUUGUGCUGCAGUACUAGCAGACACAAUUACAGAAUCAAAAUAAGCCACAAUAUCAUCAAAUGAAGUGAGUUCAGCAUCAUAAGCAGAUAAAGGAAUAUUAAAAGAUUCAAGUAUAAGAGGUAUCUUGGUAGUCAUGGGUGAUUUGUCCGUGGAUUUGGAUACGAAGCACCUCCCUGAAAUUUCCUCUUCGCAAUCUUCAAAACUUGCGAACAUGGCUCCAUGUGUGGGAUGCCUUAUUUCUUUGUCAUCAGAUCCUGAAGACCAGAUCUGAUACGUUCCACUCUCUUCAUCAUCAGUUUCACCCUUCGCAACCAGAGACACUCCUUUUGUCUUAGCACGUAACUCUUCAAUCUUUUCAGAAUAGUAUGCUUCAUCUUUAACUUUUUCCUUUUUCUCUUCUUUCUUUCGCAACAUGCAAUCGGCUGCGAAGUGAUUCGCACCAUUGCAGUAGUGACAGUAAAUUCCCGAGUCAUCUUUCAGCUUCUUCACUUCUUUCGCAUCUUUUUGUUUUUCCUCAGCUUUCUCCAUUUUCUUCCUCUCAUCUCCUCCAAUUUUUGUGACUCCACUCUUCGCAUCAGUAGCCUUUCCUUUUGCAUUAAAAGGCUUCUUGAAAAAUUUCUUAACUCUAUUAUUUGAGUAGAAUGCCACAGCUUCAUCAUCCGAGUUCAUAAAAAAUCCUUCAUUAUCUGAAUCAUCUUUUUCAUUCACAUCAACUUCAGAUACUUUUGAAACUAGAGCCAAAGGUCCUCCAAUACUUUGUUUUGACUCUUCAUACAUUUCUGAAACUUCACACUCAUGAGUUUUUAGUUGAUUGUAUAGAUCAUUCAGACUUGUUGUAUCAAAACUCUGUAGGUUUUUAAUCAUCAUGCUCACACUUCGCCAUUCCUUACGAAGGCCCAUGAUAAAAGUUAAGUAGUACUCAAUGACUGAUCUCGUAAUCCCAUACCUAUUGCAACGAUAGACCAGUUCAUUCAGAAGAUCAUAGUAAGCUUCAAGAGAUUCAGUCUCCUUUUGUCUGAAUUCUUUCAGUUCAACAAGACAUUAUUUCACUGAAUUGAUCUUCGUUUUUUCGCUUCCUUGAUAUUUCUCCUUCAAAGUGAUCCAGAUUUCCUUUGUUGUUUUACAACUACGGAUGUAACUGUAAACAACAGGAGAUAAAGCAACUCUUAAUUCCCUCAUGCAUUGUUUUUCAUUCUUCUUCAUACGGUUUUGUCUUUCAAGUACUUCAGGAGUUGUAGUUGAUGCUCCGAUUGGUUGAACAUUAGCAGGAGCUUGAACUGUUCCAUCAAUACAGUUCCAAAGUUCUUCAUCUAUUGAAUUCAGGUAAUCCUCCAUUCUGUCCGCCCAUUGAUCAUAAUAUUCAAGAAUUAACAUAGGAAUUUUGGUUGAUGAUCCAAGUAAAUGAGAGAAGGAAGUUAUUGUGUUCGUGUUAAAAUUCGCCAUUGAUGAACACAAAAAUUUUAGAAAGCUUGAAAAACUCAAUGAAUUUGAAAAUUGAUUGACUGAAAUGAUCACAAAUUGCUAAUCGAUUACUCGAAUUAACAAUUCAAAAGCAGAAUCGAUUCAAAUCUGAAGAUCAAAAGAGAUUUUCAAAACCAGAAUGCGUGGAAAAUUUUGAGUAAAAUUACUACUCAAAAAGCAAAAUUAUUCUAACACAAAAAUCAGAUCGAAGCAGUUUAAAUCCUGCUCUGAUACCAAUUGAUGAGAAUUGUUAUAGAGAUUAUGAAUGCAAUUAUGAAUUGAGUGAUUGAGUAAUAAGAACACAAAGAGUAAAUAUUCAUAAGAUCUUGUAUUGAGAAAGACUGAUUACAAGAAAUAAGCAGAAGGAUAUUCGAGUUGCAAAAAGUUAUCCUUUACUUCUAACCUCAGUCCCGAUUUAUAAGGAACCUGAGUGAACAAAAAAUAUACUAAGACUAAACAUUUAAGCUUCACAUAAAAAUGACUUAGUAAAAUAACUAAAAUGCGAAUAUUACAAAGACAUAGCCACUUCGACUUUUACAACAAAAUGACUCUACACAACAAAAAGCGGUAAUCAAUACUUCCUGUUAAUUUUGGAUGACUACUCAUCAUAUAUGUGGGUGUAUCUAAUUAAAACCAAAAACGAAUCCUUGACCAUGUUCCAGAAAUUCAUGUUGGAUUAGUGUCUAAGCCGGUAACUAUAUUUUGUAUGUACUUAACCCGGUUGUGCAUGGUCCUUUUAGGUUGCCUUCACCAAAGCAACUUGACAAGGUAAUUUAAGGAUAGAGAGAGAAUAUUAUGGUUUAUUAAUAUAUUAUAAAAAUAACAUUUUAAAGGUGAAAUCAUAUUUAUUUAAUUAGUAUUAUUCAUAAAUUAAUUAGGAAUUAAUUUGCUGACUAAAAGUGAUUAAUUAAAAAAAGGGGCAUAAACUGUCCAAUGUGUGAUUGUUGAGUUUUGGGCUAGGAAGCCUAAUGGACUAAGGGGAGACGAAAUUAUGAUGAGGGAUCAUCAUAUUUUAAUUCAAGGCCUUAAUUCCAGAAGGUUCCUUGGGUUGCUUGGUAAAUAUAACCCCUAGGCUAUGGAAAUCUACUACACUUCAUUCCAAGGGAACCUUAGGGCCACCCUCUCUCAUAUUUCCUUCUUUCUUGUGCGGUUUGUAAACCAUUAGAGGAGUUACAUUUGUGACUCUAAGCUCAAGAUUAAGAAGACUACAAGGAUUUCAAGCCAUUUGAAAGAGGUAAAACACUUAGAUCUGUUUCUAUGAUGUUAAUUUCAAAUUAUGUAUGAUAGAUCUAGGGUUGCAAGUCUUGGAUUCAAAGCAUGUACAAUAGAUAAACCUGUUGGGUUUUGAGCAUUCUAACACUCCUAAGUGUACAUGCAACCCUAAAUACCUUGGAUCUAUGUUUUCUCUAUUAUACAUGCAAAUAAGAAUUUCCAAGGUAUUAUCCUAAUCUAGCAUACAAAACAAUGAAUGUAAUAAGAUAUAAUACAUACCUCUUUGAUGUAGAAAGUCUUCAUGAAGCUUGAGUGCCAAGUGCCCCAAGUGUGACACGUUCAAAUGGUCCACACAACACCAAAUACACAUGGAAUGACUUGACAGAAAAUCCACACUUCAUGAAAUCGGCUAGCCCUUCUACUUCACCCACUAGUGCCAAUUUUGGUGAAUAAUAUGAUGCUUAUAUAGUGUGUUACAAUUAGGGUUACACCAUGUAAACCCUAAUUGUCAUGACCUUUCAUUUCCAUGACCCAUGGGUUAUGUAACCUCCAUGGACCAUCCUAUGGGUUUAACCCAACUUGAUUAUCCAUGGAGCUUUGGCCCACUAUAUAAGUUAUGGAUGAUUUGCACAAUCAACCCAUAUAUUUAAUUAGUCUUCUUUUGAUCACUUAAUUAAUCUUAGAUUAAUUCUUGAUCAAUACUAAUUAAAUACUAUUAUUCUUAUUAUUAAUAUACUAGAACUUAUAAUAUAUUAAUAACCAUAAGUGUCUUAUUUCUCUCAUUUAGUCUAUCCAAGUGCAUGAUGCCAUGCAACCCAAAUGGACCAUGCCGGGUCGGGUCAAGUCUUACCAAUUAUAGUUAUGGACUUAGACAUUAAUCCAACAGUCUCCCACUUGGAUAAGUCUAAAACUAUUAUUGCGUAUGACUUCAGGAACCAACUGGCAAUCGUAGCUCUCAAAAGCUUCUGUCGAACUCUGACCUUGUAGAUGAACUCUGACCUUUGUCAGUGACUUGUCCAUUAGAUAAGGGAUCAUAUAUUCCUCCAUUCUAGAUAUCAUAUGGACUGAGACAUGGAUUAUAAUCAUUCUCUCUGUCCAUUUGUUGUUUCCCGAUUUCCGAUUUAUGACGACUGACUAAUUGAACAAAUCAAAUCAGUCCUGGCCCGGCCGAGCACUUCCAUUUGUCAUCAUCAAAUCAUCGAGGGGCCCACAGAUAUCGCUUUUAUCCCGAAGGUAAAAGGAACGGAUAAACUUCGACUCAUAUGGCUUGUUCUACUACUUGUUGAAUCAUACACAAAGGCACGUUUUAUAGCACCGAGUUACCAAAUGCGUUUUCGUGCUAUCAAUGUACUAUCAACUCAUAGUAACAACUCAUAUCUCUAGGUUUGAAGAAUAUAAGAUAUUAUCGUCUCAUGAUCACUCGUGAUAAAAUCCAUGAAGUGAUUCCAAUGAGCGCGGGUUGAAUCCAAUACUCAGAACUUANUGAUAGACAUUCGAAUGUAGGAUAACUAAGAGUUUAGAAUACUUAACUAAUACUACAAGUGGCCCGGCCGAGCACUUCCAUUUAUCAUCAUCAAAUCAUCGAGGGGCCCAAAAAUAUCUCUUUUAUCUCGAAGUUAAAAGGAAUGGAUAAAAUUCGAUUCAUAUGGCUUGUUCUACUACNNNNNNNNNNNNNNNNNNNNNNNNNNNNNNNNNNNNNNNNNNNNNNNNNNNNNNNNNNNNNNNNNNNNNNNNNNNNNNNNNNNNNNNNNNNNNNNNNNNNAAUGCCUUUUAAACUUAUACACCUUUGCCUUAGAUAGUUCAUAUGCGUGUCUUAACAAUUAAGACCACUUGCGAAACCUCACAAUUCGAAUCAUGGAAAGGGAUACCGUAACAAUAAUCGAAUUCGAGAAUGCAAUUUUACAAUCACUAUCUUCUUAAAAUCUUUCUUAGUGAAAGCGUUUCCUCACAAUCAUUUUCAUGAAUGAGGAAAUCUUAUGACACUUAGGUUUUAAACGGUGUAAAUGUUCCUAUCCAUGUGAUUUUGUCAAAACCAAUGUUUACGACAAAUUCAAACUCAUAUGGAUCGAACUUUCUUAAUCAUGAUUUCUUGCAUUAUGGUAGCACAGCGGCCCACCAUGUCUUCCAAGUAGUUAAGCAUCUCACCCUUUCCUAUCAAUGUACCUUUUAUUGAUUAAGGUGCCUUGCCUUUUUUGCAUUCAAGAUGAGAACUCAUAGAACUCACAUGCAUAAUUAACUCAAUUGGAACAGCACAGAAACAAAAUAAUGUCAACACGAUAGGUUGUAAACCUCAGCUCGUGUGCUAGUGAUGAUAGAUAAGGUUUAUUUGAUUUGUUCUUGAAACUAUUUAAGACCAUUAAGACUCCCACUAACUCCUUGACAUAUAAGAUUCUUUUGUCAAUAACCAUUUCUUGACAAACAAAUAUUCAAGAGUUAGUGUAGCUUUUAUAAAAACAUUUCAUAAAUUAGACCUAGUUGGUCUUUGUCUUAUUCAAGACAUCACAACUUUCCACAUUUGAUGAAUGUUAUAAACCUUUAAUACGCUUCACUCAUUGUCACAAUCUUAACUUUAAGACUUGUUAUUGAACAAAGUAUGAUAGACUUCUUGAUUUAACCAUUUCUUCAAUCCUUGAUUCCUCUUCUUAAACAUACAAUUGUACUAAGACUCACUUAGAGGAUCAAUUGAGAUAUGGUUCUUAAUCAUUAAGACCUAUCAUAAAGCAUAAAAGCUACUCUCCCUUCUUCUUAGAAUGGAGAAACUUUUAUCUUUCUGCCUACUUGAUUCUUCUUAUUCGUUCUACUAUUGAUCUAAACCCUUUAAUCAAUUCAGAAUUACACUUAAUCUUGUAAGUAUAAUCAUAUUUACUAAACCUUUAGUAAAUCAUGACGAAUAUCUUUGUUACUCUUAUGGUGGACUUGAUCAACACGCAACUUUGUGUACUCGAUCUCCUAGUCCUUCACUUGACACUUUGUCAAUGAAUUAGUCUAAUUUCCAAAUAUGAAAUUUCUCAUUCAUCGUGCAACCAAGUUGCAUGAUUCCAAGUUUCUGUCCAAUUGAAACUUGGGCGAUGAGAAACUCUCCCUAUUUGGUAAAUUCUCGACUUUCCAUAAAUAACAUAAUAAGAACCAAAUCCAUUAUUGCUAAUAAUAGAAACAUUCAAACAUCAAUUUUUCAUAUACGCCAUUGCAAGGAUAAAUAAAUAAUAUAAAAUCAAAAUUUAUUUUAUUGCGGAAAAAAUUUGUCCUUACAAUGCAAUUCAUUGAAAAACUAUGCUAAUACAUCUUUCUUAGCAAUCUAAUUCUAACUCUAAGUAGUAGCUCAAGAAUCUAAUCUUCGAGAAAUGCGAUCGAAAUCCAUUCCUUCACGGUUAGAUUCUGCUCACUUCUUCCCUUAAGCUUCCUUUCUUUUCUUCGAUCCUACAAAACAUCAAUUGUAAUCUUAUCACAUUAUGUAUUAAGAAUCUAGAAUAGAAGCUUAAAAGAGUUAGUUAAUGGAUUUUACCUAUAUUAGAGCCAUACGUUUCGACUCUCCCAUCUCUUAGAUCUCUUAGGUAAAUGGGGCAGCUUCGUCUCCAAUGCCCUUUCUCUUGGCAAUAAAAGCAAAUUGACUCUUUUGGAACAUGACAUGGAACUACUUCAGACAUUGCCUUUCUCUUAUGAUCAAACUUUUCGAUCAUAGCAUGUCUUUCGUUGCCAUUGUCUAUAUCCAUAGAGGUCUUGAAGGCAGAUUCACCAAUCAACUUUGCUUUUCUAUUGCGCCAAACCAUUGCUGAUUCAGCAGCAAUAAGCAUAUAGGUGAGAUCUAUAAGGGUCACGUCGCGGUUCAUCAUAUAGUACUCUCUUACGAACUCACUAUAUGAGUUAGGAAGUGACUGAAGAACCCAAUCAACAGCCAUUUCCUCACAGACAACGGAUCCCAACAUUCUUAACCUAUCAAUGUGUGACUUCAUCCCUAGGACGUGUGCACACACCGACUUUCCUUCUUUAUGUUUACUUGCCAAAAGGGCUUGAGUGAUCUUGAACUUUUCAAGCCUUUGAACUUGUGGGUUAGGGAGAAUAAUUGGAGGAGGAGGAGGAAGUGAAGCAUGAUUUCUUGUUCCUCGAUCGAAUCGUGGAAUAUCAUCUUCAUGUGGAAUGCUUGUUCCACGGGAUUUGGGAAGACCAUAGUUGUCGAACUUUGACAUCUACAAAACGGGAGAAAACGAAUUCAAGUUAGUUGAUUGAUUGAGUCCUUAGUAAAUCACCCAAAUGAGAUACUAAGGCUAGGACCCAACACAAUAUUCUACAACUCGGGAGAGGGAUGCCGUAACCCUAAUUGCAGAAUAUUUGAAGGUAAGUGAAUGACGAUUCACUAAUUUCCACCAUGAAAAACGAAAAAGAAAUUUAAGUUUUAAAUCUAUGAAAACUCCUAGAUCCUUUGAGAUUCAUUGAACUUUCAAUGGCAUGUUUAAAUCUCGAUAUGCCCCUCUUGUUUGUGACUGGGAUGCCGAGGAUCACAAAGCGGGUGUGAAUAACCAUGCAAACUUACAUGGUGCCCUCACAUGUUACAGUCACCUAUUCGAUGUGCCGGUAAACCACACACGCUCCACCGAACUAUGACAAACAUUGAGUCACCCUUUGCUACCUUUGCUUAGAACCAUUUAGUGUGCCGGUAAACCACACACGCUCCACUAACGUCUUCGCAAGGGCACAAAGUGUAAUUUCAUGGAAUUGCAUCAAUUCACUUUUGCCUAAGUAACUAAGAUUGGGAAUUUUAUGAAAACAUUUAGUUACUUUAAUAAUUCAUUAUACUUAUAAUGGAAGGUUUCGUCCUAUCCUACCCGUUCGGCUAACGACCCUCCACUAGUCAAGAGUGCGGUGGGUAAGAGUGGAUACCCAUUCAAUCGCCAUUUUAUAGGCAAUUUCCUUAAACACCCCUUAUAGACCAGCUUCGUGAAUGAGGCCUACUAACGGUAAGACUGACUUUUACUCAUACAUAUAUAUAAUGUUAGACUUUUAAUGUUAUAUAUAGUAUAGGGUGUAUUUUAUACUUUUAAAAUACUAGGUGGUCUAAUUUAACAAUUAUACUUUUAAUUCAAUUAAAUUGUAAACCUAAACUUUUAUGGAUUUAUUAAACCUCUUUUAAUUAUACACCUUAAUUAAUUAAUAAAACCAUAAGGGUGUGAUUUGAACUUUUUCAAAACUAUACUAGAGUUUUAGAAUUUAACAUUCCUAAUUAAACUUUUAAUCAACUUUUAAAUUCCAAAACUUGAGGGCAAGUUUUGAAACAUUUCAACACAUUAGGGUUUAGAAUUUAAAUAUACAUCAAAAUUAAACUAUUUAAUCAAAAUUUAAAUUCCAAAACUUGAGGGCAAGUUUUGAAACCUUUUUCAAAACAUUAGGGUUUCAACUAUUUAAAUUUCAAAACAACAAAACUAUUGGGUUCAAAUUUAAACUAUAAAACCUAAAGGGCAAAAUAUGAAACUUUUCAUAACAACAAGGAUCAAAUAACAAAUAAUCUAAACUAACAUUUAAUUACAUAAUUAUCCAUAUUUGAUUUGUUUAUUGAUUUCUUGCAUAACAAUUUAUCAAUUUACUCAAAAUAAUUAAUCAAUUAUCUUAUAAGGAAACAAUUAUCUUAUUAAUUGAUAAAUAUCUUCAUUUAGAUCACAAAUAUAGUCAAAUAUAUCAUAUAAUCGGAUUAAUAAUGAUCUAACAUCAUAAGGAAACUAUCCAUAAGCAAAAACAACAAGAAACCCCGAGAAAACCUCCAUCUGACGACUCGACUCGUCGAGUCAGGCAUUGGACUCGUCGAGUCAGCAUGGACUCGGCGAGUUCAGCCAUGGACUCGGCGAGUCUAGCUUCCAAAAACUCAAAAAACGAAUUUUUCAAUUAUGUAAUGCAUCUACAAUUGAAACCAAGCUAGGCUCUGAUACCACUGAUGGGUUUUGGUCAAAAGACAUCCUAUGUGCUCAUACAAACCCUAAAGCUUGGAUCUAGGUUUCUCUAUUGUACAUGCUUUGAAUCCAAGACUAUAAACCCUAAUUAUAGCAUAUGGAAAUCGACAUUAACAUAUAAUUAGGUUUGUGAUAUUACCUUUAAUUGUUAUGUAGCAAUAACAAUCCCAAUUCCACCUUGGAUUGACUUUGGAAUGCUUAGAGUCACAAGUGUCACUCCUCUAAUGGCUUACAAACACCAAGAGCAAAUGGAGAAGCUAUAAAGAGAGAGGAGAGAGGUUAGAAUUCGUCUCUAGGACUUCUUGGGAAGGGGUGUUUAUAUAGGUGUAGAGAUAGGGUUUCUGUCAUUAUCCUUAUCUAGUUGCUUAUCAACAAAGCAACCAAUAAGAUAAUCCUUGAAUCCUUAUCAUACUCGAAUUCUAAGGCUCUUUAUCCUUAAAUUCGUCCAACCUAUCAAUAAGAUAACUCUUACCUUAUUUUGUAACUAUCACAUAAUUACAAUUCAGCCCCUCUAGUUUAAUUAAUUACACUUGAUCACAAAACUAAUUCUUAAUUAAUUAUUGACCAAUAUUAAUUAAACAAAUAUGAUUUCUCCUUUAAUAUAUUAUUCUUAUAACAUAUUAAUAAAUCAUAUUAUCCUCUCUCUCUAUAUUUUUCUCCAAUCAAGUUGCUUUGGUGAAGGCAACCCAAAAGGACCAUGCACCAUCGGGUCAAGUACAUACCAAAAUUGUUAUGGACGUAGACACUAAUCCAACAUCUAAGACUUGUAUUGGAACGAAGUAUGACUCAUCAUCUUGAUUUAACCUUUUCAACAAUUCAAGAUCCCUCUUCUUAGUUAUACGAAUGCACUAAGAAUUCCUUAGAGAACUAAUUGUGAUAUGGUUUCUUAAUCAUUAAGAUGAUCACAAAAACUGAUACUAAAGUACUCUCCCAUUUUUUCAGAUUUGAGAAACUUUUAUCCUUCUGCCUAGUUUGAUUCUUCUUAUUCGCUCUGCCAUACAUUGGAACCUUUUUCCAAUGUCUGAAAAUUACACUUAAACUUGUAAGUAUAACCAUAUUUACUGAACUUAAGUAAAUUAUGACGAAUCUCUUUCUUGUUCAUCAUUGAGUUCUUUUAGUUGAUUUAGGGUCUCUUUAUUCUUCUCAACAACNGUGCACAAGAAUGUGUACUCGAUCCCUUAGUCCAUUACUUGACUCACACAUCCAUGUGAACAAGUAAUUAGUCUUAAUUUUCCAAUACUUGAAACUUCUCAUUCAUCAUGCUAUACAACUUGCAUAAUUCCAAGUUUCUAUCCAAUUCAAACUUGGGUGAUGAGAAUCUUUCAUUAUUUGGUAAAUUUAGACAUUACCACAAAUGAAAGAAUCAAUUUCAUAUUUCCACUCUUGCUAUUAAUGGAAUCAAAUAAGCAACAAUUUUUACUUAAAUGCCAUUGUAAGGAUAUUUUAUAAUAAAUAAAAUCAUCAUUUUCCCUUUAUUUUAAAACUUUGCGGAAAAACUUAUCCUUACAAUCCAUAUGAAAACUUGUUGUUAUCUAUUCCUAAGUAAUAUCUCAUAACUCCUAAGAAGUAGCUCAAGAAUCCGAUCUUCAAACUGUGCGAUAAAAAUCCAUCUAUGCGAUCAGAUUCAACAUAUUCUUUCUUUAUGUUCCUUUACUUUUCUUUGAUUCUUAAAACAUCAACAUGUGACCCAGUCAAAUCAUGUAAUAAGAAUCUCUGAGUAGAAACUUAGCAGAGUUAGAUAAUGGACUUUACCUAAAGUAGAGUCAAACUUAUUGACUUUAACACCCUUAGGUAAAUUGGCAGAUUCGCAAUCAAUGCCCCUUCCUUUGGCAAUAUAAACAUAUGGACCCUUUGGUAAUGGUACACGAGACUAUCACAGACUUAGCUUUUCUCUUUACCAUUUGGUCAACCCAGUUGACUAUGGCCGAUCCCUUUCCAUUGGGAAGAGUAUGAUUUUCUGGAUUUCCUGUGUCACUAUUGUCAAUGUCCAUCAAGUUUUAAGGAAGUUGAUCUUAACAAAUAGAUAAGAUCAUUAAGGGUCUUGUCAUAGUCUGUUUCAUAGGUGUCCCAAAGGAACUCACUAUGUGACUUAGAAAGUGAUUGAACCACCAACUUUCUCAAGACUUUGACACCCAACUCUCCCGGCUUGUCAAUAUGUGACUACAUCUCCAAGAUGUGACCACACCUAGACCUUGCCUUGCUAAUAGGGCCUGAGUGACCUUAAACUUUUCAAGAACUUGUGGGUUAGGGAGAAUAAUUUGAAGAGGUGAAGAAGUAUGAUAUCCAUGGGACAUCAUCUUCAUUAGGAAACCUUGUUUCAAGAGAUUUGGGAAGAUCAUAGGUGUCUAAACCAGACAUCUUUUGGGAGAUAUUCAAGAUAGUUGAUUUAAAGUCCUUAAUAUGACACCCAAUAUGAAAUAUUAAGGCUAGGACCCAACAAACUAUUUUAUAACUUAGAAGAGGUAUGCCGUAAUCCAAGCUAUAAAAUAUUUGAAGGUAGGUGAAUGACGAUUCACCAAUUUCCACCAAGAUAAACGAAAUGUAUUAUUAGGUUUUAAUUGGUUUUGAAACUCCUAGAUCUUUGAGAUUCAUUGAACUUUUCAAAGGCAUGUUUCAAUCUCGAGUGUGCCCUUCAGGUUUUGUGACUGGGAUGCCGAGGAUCACAAAACAAGGUGUGAAGUAACCAUGCAAAUCACUUGGUACCCUUAAUAAAUUACCCCUCAAUCGAUGUGCCGGUUAACCACACACGCUCCAUCGAUACUAUGAUAAAUAUUAAGUCACCCUUUACCUACCUUGUUAAGUCCAAGUUAGUGUGCCGGUUAACCACACACGCUCCACUAACGACUUAGACAAAGUGUAAAGUGUAAUUUCAUGGAUUAGCACCUUAUUCACAUUUUUCCUAAGUAACUAAGAUUGGGUAUUAUUAAGAGUUUAGUUACUUAGUAUUAUCAUUAAUACUUUUAAUGAAGGGAGAAUUCUAGUCCUGUCAAACCCGUUCGGCUAACGACCCUCCACCAGUCAAGCAAGCGGUGGGUGAGAGUGGACACCCAUUAAGUUGCCAUUUUAUAGGCAACAACCUUAUACCCACCUUAUAGACCGGCUUCGUGAAUGAGGCGUACUAGCGGUAAGACUGACUUUACUCUUAUACAUAUAUAUAUUAUUAACUUAUAAUAUUAUAAAGUAUAAGGGUUGAAUUUUAACUUUUAAAAUUCUAAGGGCUAACUUGGAAUUAAAGUAUUCAUAAGUGAAAACUUUUCAAAUUCCAAAACUUGAGGGCAAGUUUUGAAACUAUUCAAAACUAAUUAAUUCCAUAACUUAUGUGUUUAAAGUAGUUUUAAUCCAAAAACUCUUCAAGUUCCAUAACUUAUGGAAGACUUUAAACUAAUAAAAGAAUUAACUUUUCUUUAUUUUAUAACUUAUGGAAUUAAUUAAGGUUACACUUUUAUUCUUUAAUGAAGUGACUCUUGAACCUCCAAAAAUUGAGGAGAAGUUAUGGAGUCACAAAUACAAUCAAUGAUGACAAGACUAUUCAUUUUUUGUAACCAUUCCCAACUUUUAUGAGUUUUAUGAGUCUUUAAUGUGACUCUUCAUGUAACUUGAGGACAAGUUACACAAACACAUUUUAUACUCAACUCUUAGAUUAAAAUGGAUUGAAAACAACUAUUUCACUCAACAUUUCUAUUAAUCUAAGCAACUCAUAAGAACAAGAUAAUUCAAAUCAAACUUUUUCAUGUAAUUAGUCUAAACCUUAAACUAAUACAAAACAUGAAUCUAUUGACAAUUAUCUUUGAAAAUGGAUUAGCAUGAACAUUACCACAUCAAAAACAAGUUUAUAAGUUCAAAAACAACUUAGGGUAAUGUUCCUAGUCCAUUUCUAGCCAAAAAACUCGAAAAUAUGCUGUCUGGGGGUCCAACUCGUCGAGUGCAUGAACAAACUCGGCGAGUUGGAUCGAAUUCAUCACUUUUUAGGCAUGGACUCGUCGAGUCUCCUGAUGGACUCGCCGAGUCUGAUGGCCAGACAGCACCAGAUUCGUUUUUUCAGCUACUAUUGCAAGUAUAACAAGAAAACAAGCCUAGGCUCUGAUACCACUGUUGGGUUUUGAGCAUUCUAACACUCCUAAGUGUACAUGCAACCCUAAAUACCUUGGAUCUAUGUUUUCUCUAUUAUACAUGCAAAUAAGAACUUCCAAGGUAUUAUCCUAAUCUAGCAUACAAAACAAUGAAUAUAACAAGAUAGAAUACAUACCUCUUUGAUGUAGAAAGUCUUCAUGAAGCUUGAGUGCCUAGUGCCCCAAGUGUGACACCUCAAAUGGUUCACACAACACCAAAUACACUUGUAAUGACUUGAGAGAAAUCCACAACUCAUGAAAUCGGCUAGCCCUUCUAUUACACACACUAGUGCCGAUUUUGGUGAAUAAUAUGAUGCUUAUAUAGUGUGUUACAAUUAGGGUUACACCAUGUAAACCCUAAUUGUCAUGACCUUUCAUUUCCAUGACCCAUGGGUUAUGUAACCUCCAUGGACCAUCCUAUGGGUUUAACCCAACUUGAUUAUCCAUGGAGCUUUGGCCCACUAUAUAAGUUAUGGAUGAUUUGCACAAUCAACCCAUAUAUUUAAUUAGUCUUCUUUUGAUCACUUAAUUAAUCCUAGAUUAAUUCUUGAUCAAUACUAAUUAAAUACUAUUAUUCUUAUUAUUAAUAUACUAGAACUUAUAAUAUAUUAAUAACCAUAAGUGUCUUAUUUCUCUCAUUUAGUCUAUCCAAGUGGAUGAUGUCAUGCAACCCAAAUGGACCAUGUCGGGUCGGGUCAAGUCUUACCAAUUAUAGUUAUGGACUUAGACAUUAAUCCAACAAAACCUAGAUCCAAGCAUUAGGGUUUGUAUGAGCACAUAUGAUUGUUGUUAUGCAUAAAACCCAUCAGUGGUAUCGGAGCCAUGAUUGGUUUAAGUUGUAUGUUAUGCUUUAACUGUUUGCUUGCUGAAAAAUCAAGUUUUUUUGCUAUCUGUUGGAUGAACUCGACGAGUUCCAAAGUGGACUCGACGAGUUUUGACGCCUGACAGAAAGAUUUUCGGGAUUUUGUUGCUGUUUUGUCAUGGGAUUAAUGCCUAAAUCGUUUUUGAAGUAUAAAAUUCGAAUUUUAUAAUAUUUGCAUGAUUAUCCCUGCCAAAACAAUAGAUAAUUUCAAAUCUUUUAAAUAUUAGUUGUUUAUAUGAUAAAUAUGGACUAUUUAAAUUAUUUGGUAAUUAUCUUAUGACAAAAAUUAAAUUUGGACAAAUAUAGAUAAUUAUGAAAUUAAUUGUUUAAUUUAAAGUAUUUGUUAUUUGAUCCCGUAUGUUUUGAAAAGUUGAAAACUUGUCCUCAAGUUUUGAAAUUUAAAUUUUAUGAUUAAAAGUUUAAUUUUGAGUAAUUUAAAUUUCAAACCAUUAGAAUUUUACAAGUUUAAAAUUCAACCCUAUACUAUUAUAUAAUCACAUGCAUAAUUAAUAUAUAUAUAUAUAUAUAUANAUAUAUAUAUAUAUAUAUAUAUAUAUAUGUAACUUAAAAGUGCUAGUCUUACCGUUAGUAGGCCUCAUUCACGAAGCCGGUCUAUAAGGUGGGUAUAAGGUUGCUGUCUAUAAAAUGGUGCUUAAUGGGUGUACACUCACACCCACCGCUUGCUUGACUGGUGGAGGGUCGUUAGUCGAACGGGUUGGAUAGGGCAAUCCUCUCCUCAUUAAAAGUAUAAUGAAUGAUACAAAGUAAUUACAACAUUUUUUUUACAAAUUCCCAAUCUUAGUUACUUUAGGGUAAAAUGUGAAAAUGAUGCUAAUCCAUAGAAUUAGACUUUGUACCCUUGUCAAACGUUAGUGGAGCAUGUGUGGUUAGCCGACACACAAAUUUGGGGUUGACAUUGGUAGCAAAGGUGGCUCGAUGUUUGUCAUAGAUCAAUGGAGCUUGCGUAGUUUACCGGCACAUUGAUUAAGUGAUAGAGACAUUGAGUGCACCAUGUUGAUUCGCAUGGUUAUUCACAACUUGUUUGCGAUCCUCGGUAUCCCAGUCGUAAAUUUGAAGUGCAUAUCGAGAUUUAAACAUGUCAUUGAAAAGUUCAAUGAAUCUCAAUGAUCUAGGAGUUUUCAAAUACAUUUAAAACUUAAUCAUUUUUCGUUUUUCAUGGUGAGAAUUAGUGAAUCGUCAUUCACUUACCUUAAAAUUAUUUACUUUUAGAGUACGGCAUCCCUUUCUAAGUUGUAAAUAAUGUUGUUGGGUCCGAACCCUAAUUUCUCAUUUGGGUGUUUAAUUAGGGACUCUUUUUUCUAAUCAAAAUUUGUUCCUUUCUUUUUUAGAUGUCUGCAACCAACAAUAACAACACUUCUGGGUCAUUCUCAUUGACGAACCUAUGUCAAAAGGUGACAUUUGAUGGGUGAAACUUCAACAAGUGGAUGAGGUAUAUUCGCAUGAUCACACGCUACGAGGACAAAGAAUAUGUCCUCGAUGAGAAGCUUGAGAAGAUCAUCCCAGAUGUUGCUACUCCGGAAGAGUUGGCCGCUUUUGAGGCCCACGAGCGUGAUGCUACGAAAGUUCGUUGCAUCAUGAUGGCCACCAUGAACCUCGAACUCCAAAUGUCCUAUGAGGACAUGUAUCCGUAUGAAAUGCAUUAGGAUUUGCUGGAGAGGUACCAACAAAGCGCGAGGCAAGAGCGCUAUGAGAUCAUUAAUAACAUGAUCACUGGUAAAAUGGGGAGUGGAGAAUCCCUAACCUCUCAUUUGCAGAAAAUGCAGAGGUAUGUUGAUCGUCUUCUCAAAAUUAUUGUUAAGUUUGAUGAGGAUUUGGCUAUCAACAUAAUCCCCUACUCCUUGCUAUCCUGCUACAACCAGUUCAGAAUGACAUACCACACGAAUAAGGAAAAGGUCUCCUUGAGCAAGCUCCAAGGAUUGUUGAGGACUGCUGAGAGCAACCUCAAAGACAAAUCUGUUGCACCGUCCCCUGCUGUGGCUGCUUCUGUGAUGGAAAUUGGCCAAGGGAAGGGAAAGAAGAGGAAGGCUCCCUCAAAGAGCCACCAAAAGAGAAAGUCCUGUGAUGGUUCAUCCUUUAGUAGGACCAUAGCAGGCACUACUAAACCCUCCUCCGACCGCAAGGAAGCAGAGUGCUUCUAUUGCCACGAAAAGGGCCACUAGAAACGAAGUUGUGCCAAGUAUCUGCAAGACAUAAAGGAUGGGAAGAUACAGCCCACCUUUGCAGGUAUGUAUUCUAUUAAAUCUAAUAACUCGUCAUUUGCUACUUCAUGGGUUCUUGAUACAGGGUGUGGUUUCCACAUUUGUUCUGAUUUGCAGGGCCUAAGAAAAAGUAGGGAAGUGGAGCAUGGAAAGAUGAACUUGAUUAUGGGGAACAGAAGAUCGUCGCCUGUGACCAAAGUCAGAGUUUAUUCUUUAGUGUUGAGUAAUGGGUUAGGGCUAGAUUUAAAUAAUUGUUGCUAUUCACCAGAUAUGGCAAGAAACAUCAUUUCAUUUCAUGGAUUAUUUAGACAAGGUUUCACAUAUUCUUUUGAUAAUAGUAAUGGUUCUAUUAAUGUUUAUUUGAAUGGUGUAUUUUAUUUCAAUGCAUUGCCUUGUAAUGAAAUUUAUGAAUCUGUGAUGGUUGUUGAUAGUUUAUGAAAUGAUGUUUUUAAUAUUGAUUCGUCUACUAGUCUAGAUAAGGCAUGCUUGUGGCAUUGUCGCCUUGGCCAUGUCAACAUGAAACGUAUAGCACAACUUGAAAAGGAUAGAGUGUUGGAGUCAUUCAACCUUAGGGACGAUGACGUGUGUGAAUCUUGUUUGCUUGGGAAGAUGGCCAAGUCACCCUUCACUGGCACUUGUGAUAGGGGUGAGGGUCUAUUGGAUCUCAUACACACCAAUGUGUGUGGGCCCUUUAGAUCCACCACAAGGGAUGCUUUCCGCUUCUACAUGACUUUUACGGAUGAUUAUAGCAGAUAUGGAUAUAUCUAAUUAAUCAAGCAAAAGUCAAAAACUUUUGAAAAGUUCAAAGAGUUUAAGAAUGAAGUAGAGAAUCAGCUGGGCAGGAAAAUCAAGAUGCUUUGGUCGGACCGAGGAGGAGAAUACCUAAGUCUUGAGUUUCACGACUAUCUAAAAGAAUGCAUAAUUGUUUCACAAUUGAUGCCUCCGAGCACACAACAAUUGAAUGGUGUGGCUGAGAUACGUAAUCUAACCUUGUUGGACAUGGUUCAUUCUAUAAUGUGAUGGGCUUCGUUACCAAUAGCUCUCUAGGGGUAUGCCUUAGAGAUUGCCACCCAUAUCCUUAAUUUAGUUCCCACCAAGAAGGUUGCCAAAACACCUCACGGGAUGUGGACAAGGAAAGCUCCCUCGUUGGCACAUAUAAAGGUUUGUGGUUGCGAGGCUUUCGUAAGACGAGAGACUCAUGACUGUUGGAUAUAGUGUCUAAGUUCAUAACUAUAUUUGGUAUGUACUUGACCCGACCCGACAUGGUCCAUUUGGGUUGCACUUCACCCGAACAAUUUAUGGAUAAUAUUUGAGAAUAGUACAAGUUAUGAUUUAUUAAUAUAUUAUAAGUUCUAAUAUAUUAAUAUAAGAUCAUAUUAUUUAAUUAGUAGUGAUCUAUAAUUAAUCUAGGAUUAAUUUAGAGAUCAAAGAUAUUACUAAUUAAAUAUGGGCUUCUAUAUUUAUAUAGUGUGGGCUUGUGCUUAUUUGGAAUGGGCUAGGCUUGCAUGGGAAAGUCCAUGGAUACUCCAUGGAGCUUUAACCCAUGGAUCUCAUGGAAAUGAAGAGACAUGGGUAUUAGGGUUUACAUGGAUGUAACCCUAAUCCAUCACACUAUAUAAAGGAGGCUUUGGUUCUUGAAAUCACACUAGUUGACACUUGUUGAGGUGAGGCCCGAUUUCAAGAUAGUAGUGACUAUUCUCUCAAAGUUCCAAGUUUGUGGUGAUUUGUGAUUUCCANNNNNNNNNNNNNNNNNNNNNNNNNNNNNNNNNNNNNNNNNNNNNNNNNNNNNNNNNNNNNNNNNNNNNNNNNNNNNNNNNNNNNNNNNNNNNNNNNNNNNNNNNNNNNNNNNNNNNNNNNNNNNNNNNNNNNNNNNNNNNNNNNNNNNNNNNNNNNNNNNNNNNNNNNNNNNNNNNNNNNNNNNNNNNNNNNNNNNNNNNNNNNNNNNNNNNNNNNNNNNNNNNNNNNNNNNNNNNNNNNNNNNNNNNNNNNNNNNNNNNNNNNNNNNNNNNNNNNNNNNNNNNNNNNNNNNNNNNNNNNNNNNNNNNNNNNNNNNNNNNNNNNNNNNNNNNNNNNNNNNNNNNNNNNNNNNNNNNNNNNNNNNNNNNNNNNNNNNNNNNNNNNNNNNNNNNNNNNNNNNNNNNNNNNNNNNNNNNNNNNNNNNNNNNNNNNNNNNNNNNNNNNNNNNNNNNNNNNNNNNNNNNNNNNNNNNNNNNNNNNNNNNNNNNNNNNNNNNNNNNNNNNNNNNNNNNNNNNNNNNNNNNNNNNNNNNNNNNNNNNNNNNNNNNNNNNNNNNNNNNNNNNNNNNNNNNNNNNNNNNNNNNNNNNNNNNNNNNNNNNNNNNNNNNNNNNNNNNNNNNNNNNNNNNNNNNNNNNNNNNNNNNNNNNNNNNNNNNNNNNNNNNNNNNNNNNNNNNNNNNNNNNNNNNNNNNNNNNNNNNNNNNNNNNNNNNNNNNNNNNNNNNNNNNNNNNNNNNNNNNNNNNNNNNNNNNNNNNNNNNNNNNNNNNNNNNNNNNNNNNNNNNNNNNNNNNNNNNNNNNNNNNNNNNNNNNNNNNNNNNNNNNNNNNNNNNNNNNNNNNNNNNNNNNNNNNNNNNNNNNNNNNNNNNNNNNNNNNNNNNNNNNNNNNNNNNNNNNNNNNNNNNNNNNNNNNNNNNNNNNNNNNNNNNNNNNNNNNNNNNNNNNNNNNNNNNNNNNNNNNNNNNNNNNNNNNNNNNNNNNNNNNNNNNNNNNNNNNNNNNNNNNNNNNNNNNNNNNNNNNNNNNNNNNNNNNNNNNNNNNNNNNNNNNNNNNNNNNNNNNNNNNNNNNNNNNNNNNNNNNNNNNNNNNNNNNNNNNNNNNNNNNNNNNNNNNNNNNNNNNNNNNNNNNNNNNNNNNNNNNNNNNNNNNNNNNNNNNNNNNNNNNNNNNNNNNNNNNNNNNNNNNNNNNNNNNNNNNNNNNNNNNNNNNNNNNNNNNNNNNNNNNNNNNNNNNNNNNNNNNNNNNNNNNNNNNNNNNNNNNNNNNNNNNNNNNNNNNNNNNNNNNNNNNNNNNNNNNNNNNNNNNNNNNNNNNNNNNNNNNNNNNNNNNNNNNNNNNNNNNNNNNNNNNNNNNNNNNNNNNNNNNNNNNNNNNNNNNNNNNNNNNNNNNNNNNNNNNNNNNNNNNNNNNNNNNNNNNNNNNNNNNNNNNNNNNNNNNNNNNNNNNNNNNNNNNNNNNNNNNNNNNNNNNNNNNNNNNNNNNNNNNNNNNNNNNNNNNNNNNNNNNNNNNNNNNNNNNNNNNNNNNNNNNNNNNNNNNNNNNNNNNNNNNNNNNNNNNNNNNNNNNNNNNNNNNNNNNNNNNNNNNNNNNNNNNNNNNNNNNNNNNNNNNNNNNNNNNNNNNNNNNNNNNNNNNNNNNNNNNNNNNNNNNNNNNNNNNNNNNNNNNNNNNNNNNNNNNNNNNNNNNNNNNNNNNNNNNNNNNNNNNNNNNNNNNNNNNNNNNNNNNNNNNNNNNNNNNNNNNNNNNNNNNNNNNNNNNNNNNNNNNNNNNNNNNNNNNNNNNNNNNNNNNNNNNNNNNNNNNNNNNNNNNNNNNNNNNNNNNNNNNNNNNNNNNNNNNNNNNNNNNNNNNNNNNNNNNNNNNNNNNNNNNNNNNNNNNNNNNNNNNNNNNNNNNNNNNNNNNNNNNNNNNNNNNNNNNNNNNNNNNNNNNNNNNNNNNNNNNNNNNNNNNNNNNNNNNNNNNNNNNNNNNNNNNNNNNNNNNNNNNNNNNNNNNNNNNNNNNNNNNNNNNNNNNNNNNNNNNNNNNNNNNNNNNNNNNNNNNNNNNNNNNNNNNNNNNNNNNNNNNNNNNNNNNNNNNNNNNNNNNNNNNNNNNNNNNNNNNNNNNNNNNNNNNNNNNNNNNNNNNNNNNNNNNNNNNNNNNNNNNNNNNNNNNNNNNNNNNNNNNNNNNNNNNNNNNNNNNNNNNNNNNNNNNNNNNNNNNNNNNNNNNNNNNNNNNNNNNNNNNNNNNNNNNNNNNNNNNNNNNNNNNNNNNNNNNNNNNNNNNNNNNNNNNNNNNNNNNNNNNNNNNNNNNNNNNNNNNNNNNNNNNNNNNNNNNNNNNNNNNNNNNNNNNNNNNNNNNNNNNNNNNNNNNNNNNNNNNNNNNNNNNNNNNNNNNNNNNNNNNNNNNNNNNNNNNNNNNNNNNNNNNNNNNNNNNNNNNNNNNNNNNNNNNNNNNNNNNNNNNNNNNNNNNNNNNNNNNNNNNNNNNNNNNNNNNNNNNNNNNNNNNNNNNNNNNNNNNNNNNNNNNNNNNNNNNNNNNNNNNNNNNNNNNNNNNNNNNNNNNNNNNNNNNNNNNNNNNNNNNNNNNNNNNNNNNNNNNNNNNNNNNNNNNNNNNNNNNNNNNNNNNNNNNNNNNNNNNNNNNNNNNNNNNNNNNNNNNNNNNNNNNNNNNNNNNNNNNNNNNNNNNNNNNNNNNNNNNNNNNNNNNNNNNNNNNNNNNNNNNNNNNNNNNNNNNNNNNNNNNNNNNNNNNNNNNNNNNNNNNNNNNNNNNNNNNNNNNNNNNNNNNNNNNNNNNNNNNNNNNNNNNNNNNNNNNNNNNNNNNNNNNNNNNNNNNNNNNNNNNNNNNNNNNNNNNNNNNNNNNNNNNNNNNNNNNNNNNNNNNNNNNNNNNNNNNNNNNNNNNNNNNNNNNNNNNNNNNNNNNNNNNNNNNNNNNNNNNNNNNNNNNNNNNNNNNNNNNNNNNNNNNNNNNNNNNNNNNNNNNNNNNNNNNNNNNNNNNNNNNNNNNNNNNNNNNNNNNNNNNNNNNNNNNNNNNNNNNNNNNNNNNNNNNNNNNNNNNNNNNNNNNNNNNNNNNNNNNNNNNNNNNNNNNNNNNNNNNNNNNNNNNNNNNNNNNNNNNNNNNNNNNNNNNNNNNNNNNNNNNNNNNNNNNNNNNNNNNNNNNNNNNNNNNNNNNNNNNNNNNNNNNNNNNNNNNNNNNNNNNNNNNNNNNNNNNNNNNNNNNNNNNNNNNNNNNNNNNNNNNNNNNNNNNNNNNNNNNNNNNNNNNNNNNNNNNNNNNNNNNNNNNNNNNNNNNNNNNNNNNNNNNNNNNNNNNNNNNNNNNNNNNNNNNNNNNNNNNNNNNNNNNNNNNNNNNNNNNNNNNNNNNNNNNNNNNNNNNNNNNNNNNNNNNNNNNNNNNNNNNNNNNNNNNNNNNNNNNNNNNNNNNNNNNNNNNNNNNNNNNNNNNNNNNNNNNNNNNNNNNNNNNNNNNNNNNNNNNNNNNNNNNNNNNNNNNNNNNNNNNNNNNNNNNNNNNNNNNNNNNNNNNNNNNNNNNNNNNNNNNNNNNNNNNNNNNNNNNNNNNNNNNNNNNNNNNNNNNNNNNNNNNNNNNNNNNNNNNNNNNNNNNNNNNNNNNNNNNNNNNNNNNNNNNNNNNNNNNNNNNNNNNNNNNNNNNNNNNNNNNNNNNNNNNNNNNNNNNNNNNNNNNNNNNNNNNNNNNNNNNNNNNNNNNNNNNNNNNNNNNNNNNNNNNNNNNNNNNNNNNNNNNNNNNNNNNNNNNNNNNNNNNNNNNNNNNNNNNNNNNNNNNNNNNNNNNNNNNNNNNNNNNNNNNNNNNNNNNNNNNNNNNNNNNNNNNNNNNNNNNNNNNNNNNNNNNNNNNNNNNNNNNNNNNNNNNNNNNNNNNNNNNNNNNNNNNNNNNNNNNNNNNNNNNNNNNNNNNNNNNNNNNNNNNNNNNNNNNNNNNNNNNNNNNNNNNNNNNNNNNNNNNNNNNNNNNNNNNNNNNNNNNNNNNNNNNNNNNNNNNNNNNNNNNNNNNNNNNNNNNNNNNNNNNNNNNNNNNNNNNNNNNNNNNNNNNNNNNNNNNNNNNNNNNNNNNNNNNNNNNNNNNNNNNNNNNNNNNNNNNNNNNNNNNNNNNNNNNNNNNNNNNNNNNNNNNNNNNNNNNNNNNNNNNNNNNNNNNNNNNNNNNNNNNNNNNNNNNNNNNNNNNNNNNNNNNNNNNNNNNNNNNNNNNNNNNNNNNNNNNNNNNNNNNNNNNNNNNNNNNNNNNNNNNNNNNNNNNNNNNNNNNNNNNNNNNNNNNNNNNNNNNNNNNNNNNNNNNNNNNNNNNNNNNNNNNNNNNNNNNNNNNNNNNNNNNNNNNNNNNNNNNNNNNNNNNNNNNNNNNNNNNNNNNNNNNNNNNNNNNNNNNNNNNNNNNNNNNNNNNNNNNNNNNNNNNNNNNNNNNNNNNNNNNNNNNNNNNNNNNNNNNNNNNNNNNNNNNNNNNNNNNNNNNNNNNNNNNNNNNNNNNNNNNNNNNNNNNNNNNNNNNNNNNNNNNNNNNNNNNNNNNNNNNNNNNNNNNNNNNNNNNNNNNNNNNNNNNNNNNNNNNNNNNNNNNNNNNNNNNNNNNNNNNNNNNNNNNNNNNNNNNNNNNNNNNNNNNNNNNNNNNNNNNNNNNNNNNNNNNNNNNNNNNNNNNNNNNNNNNNNNNNNNNNNNNNNNNNNNNNNNNNNNNNNNNNNNNNNNNNNNNNNNNNNNNNNNNNNNNNNNNNNNNNNNNNNNNNNNNNNNNNNNNNNNNNNNNNNNNNNNNNNNNNNNNNNNNNNNNNNNNNNNNNNNNNNNNNNNNNNNNNNNNNNNNNNNNNNNNNNNNNNNNNNNNNNNNNNNNNNNNNNNNNNNNNNNNNNNNNNNNNNNNNNNNNNNNNNNNNNNNNNNNNNNNNNNNNNNNNNNNNNNNNNNNNNNNNNNNNNNNNNNNNNNNNNNNNNNNNNNNNNNNNNNNNNNNNNNNNNNNNNNNNNNNNNNNNNNNNNNNNNNNNNNNNNNNNNNNNNNNNNNNNNNNNNNNNNNNNNNNNNNNNNNNNNNNNNNNNNNNNNNNNNNNNNNNNNNNNNNNNNNNNNNNNNNNNNNNNNNNNNNNNNNNNNNNNNNNNNNNNNNNNNNNNNNNNNNNNNNNNNNNNNNNNNNNNNNNNNNNNNNNNNNNNNNNNNNNNNNNNNNNNNNNNNNNNNNNNNNNNNNNNNNNNNNNNNNNNNNNNNNNNNNNNNNNNNNNNNNNNNNNNNNNNNNNNNNNNNNNNNNNNNNNNNNNNNNNNNNNNNNNNNNNNNNNNNNNNNNNNNNNNNNNNNNNNNNNNNNNNNNNNNNNNNNNNNNNNNNNNNNNNNNNNNNNNNNNNNNNNNNNNNNNNNNNNNNNNNNNNNNNNNNNNNNNNNNNNNNNNNNNNNNNNNNNNNNNNNNNNNNNNNNNNNNNNNNNNNNNNNNNNNNNNNNNNNNNNNNNNNNNNNNNNNNNNNNNNNNNNNNNNNNNNNNNNNNNNNNNNNNNNNNNNNNNNNNNNNNNNNNNNNNNNNNNNNNNNNNNNNNNNNNNNNNNNNNNNNNNNNNNNNNNNNNNNNNNNNNNNNNNNNNNNNNNNNNNNNNNNNNNNNNNNNNNNNNNNNNNNNNNNNNNNNNNNNNNNNNNNNNNNNNNNNNNNNNNNNNNNNNNNNNNNNNNNNNNNNNNNNNNNNNNNNNNNNNNNNNNNNNNNNNNNNNNNNNNNNNNNNNNNNNNNNNNNNNNNNNNNNNNNNNNNNNNNNNNNNNNNNNNNNNNNNNNNNNNNNNNNNNNNNNNNNNNNNNNNNNNNNNNNNNNNNNNNNNNNNNNNNNNNNNNNNNNNNNNNNNNNNNNNNNNNNNNNNNNNNNNNNNNNNNNNNNNNNNNNNNNNNNNNNNNNNNNNNNNNNNNNNNNNNNNNNNNNNNNNNNNNNNNNNNNNNNNNNNNNNNNNNNNNNNNNNNNNNNNNNNNNNNNNNNNNNNNNNNNNNNNNNNNNNNNNNNNNNNNNNNNNNNNNNNNNNNNNNNNNNNNNNNNNNNNNNNNNNNNNNNNNNNNNNNNNNNNNNNNNNNNNNNNNNNNNNNNNNNNNNNNNNNNNNNNNNNNNNNNNNNNNNNNNNNNNNNNNNNNNNNNNNNNNNNNNNNNNNNNNNNNNNNNNNNNNNNNNNNNNNNNNNNNNNNNNNNNNNNNNNNNNNNNNNNNNNNNNNNNNNNNNNNNNNNNNNNNNNNNNNNNNNNNNNNNNNNNNNNNNNNNNNNNNNNNNNNNNNNNNNNNNNNNNNNNNNNNNNNNNNNNNNNNNNNNNNNNNNNNNNNNNNNNNNNNNNNNNNNNNNNNNNNNNNNNNNNNNNNNNNNNNNNNNNNNNNNNNNNNNNNNNNNNNNNNNNNNNNNNNNNNNNNNNNNNNNNNNNNNNNNNNNNNNNNNNNNNNNNNNNNNNNNNNNNNNNNNNNNNNNNNNNNNNNNNNNNNNNNNNNNNNNNNNNNNNNNNNNNNNNNNNNNNNNNNNNNNNNNNNNNNNNNNNNNNNNNNNNNNNNNNNNNNNNNNNNNNNNNNNNNNNNNNNNNNNNNNNNNNNNNNNNNNNNNNNNNNNNNNNNNNNNNNNNNNNNNNNNNNNNNNNNNNNNNNNNNNNNNNNNNNNNNNNNNNNNNNNNNNNNNNNNNNNNNNNNNNNNNNNNNNNNNNNNNNNNNNNNNNNNNNNNNNNNNNNNNNNNNNNNNNNNNNNNNNNNNNNNNNNNNNNNNNNNNNNNNNNNNNNNNNNNNNNNNNNNNNNNNNNNNNNNNNNNNNNNNNNNNNNNNNNNNNNNNNNNNNNNNNNNNNNNNNNNNNNNNNNNNNNNNNNNNNNNNNNNNNNNNNNNNNNNNNNNNNNNNNNNNNNNNNNNNNNNNNNNNNNNNNNNNNNNNNNNNNNNNNNNNNNNNNNNNNNNNNNNNNNNNNNNNNNNNNNNNNNNNNNNNNNNNNNNNNNNNNNNNNNNNNNNNNNNNNNNNNNNNNNNNNNNNNNNNNNNNNNNNNNNNNNNNNNNNNNNNNNNNNNNNNNNNNNNNNNNNNNNNNNNNNNNNNNNNNNNNNNNNNNNNNNNNNNNNNNNNNNNNNNNNNNNNNNNNNNNNNNNNNNNNNNNNNNNNNNNNNNNNNNNNNNNNNNNNNNNNNNNNNNNNNNNNNNNNNNNNNNNNNNNNNNNNNNNNNNNNNNNNNNNNNNNNNNNNNNNNNNNNNNNNNNNNNNNNNNNNNNNNNNNNNNNNNNNNNNNNNNNNNNNNNNNNNNNNNNNNNNNNNNNNNNNNNNNNNNNNNNNNNNNNNNNNNNNNNNNNNNNNNNNNNNNNNNNNNNNNNNNNNNNNNNNNNNNNNNNNNNNNNNNNUGCUGGACAAUAAGUAAGACAAUGUUCCAUGUAUUUGUCCGGCUGAUAUCUAGAACAGAGGAUUAUAUGAUCACUUAUCUAAAUGGCGCGUUCUAGUUCAACAGAGUUUAAAGAGCUACGAUUGCUGAUCGGUUCCUGAAGUUAUACUUGCAAAUAUAGUUACUAGACUUAUCCAAGUGGGAGACUGUUGGAUAUAGUGUCUAAGUUCAUAACUAUAUUUGGUAUGUACUUGACCCGACCCGGCAUGGUCCAUUUGGGUUGCACUUCACCCGAACAAUUUAUGGAUAAUAUUUGAGAAUAGUACAAGUUAUGAUUUAUUAAUAUAUUAUAAGUUCUAAUAUAUUAAUAUAAGAUCAUAUUAUUUAAUUAUUAUUGAUCUAUAAUUAAUCUAGGAUUAAUUUAGAGAUCAAAGAUAUUACUAAUUAAAUAUGGGCUUCUAUAUUUAUAUAGUGUGGGCUAAUGCUUAUUUGGAAUGGGCUAGGCUUGAAUGGAAAGUCCAUGGAUACUCCAUGGAGCUUUAACCCAUGGACCUCAUGGAAAUGAAGAGACAUGGGUAUUAGGGUUUACAUGGAUGUAACCCUAAUCCAUCACACUAUAUAAAGGAGGCUUUAGUUCUUGAAAUUAUAGAAGUUGACACUUGUUGAGGUGAGGGCCGAUUUCAAGAUAGUAGUGACUAUUCUCUCAAAGUUCAAAGUUUGUGGUGAUUUGCGACUUUCAUUUGAGGCAUCCACACU
This 264189-nucleotide long non-coding RNA is filed under the name Lactuca sativa (garden lettuce). Its description in RNAcentral is "long non-coding RNA (LSAT_LNC002970)". Lineage: Eukaryota; Viridiplantae; Streptophyta; Magnoliopsida; Asterales; Asteraceae. The record is from RNAcentral.